GGCACAUUGGCAGAUGGAAAAGAAAUUGCAGUUAAGAGGCUUUCAAGAACCUCAGACCAAGGACUCAUUGAGUUGAAGAACGAAGUCAUCUUGAUUGCCAGACUACAACACAGGAACCUCGUCCAAUUAUUGGGAUGCUGUUUGGAAGAACAUGAAAAACUCUUGAUAUACGAAUACAUGCCCAACAAAAGCCUGGAUGCCUUCCUUUUUGGUUUGAGCUUUAGCAGAUGCAAUGAAUUUUUGAGCUAGUUAAUUUUAGUUUUAUAAAGUUGAGUUUCAUCUGAGUCUCUCAUCUUUGACAGAUUCGAAUAUAGGGCAAUAUCUAGAUUGGAAGCUGCGCAUGAACAUCAUCUGUGGAAUAGCUCGGGGACUUCUCUAUCUGCAUGAGGAUUCUCGCCUGAGAAUUAUCCACAGGGAUCUGAAGGCUAGCAAUAUUUUGCUAGAUGGCGAGAUGAAUCCAAAGAUAUCCGAUUUCGGAAUGGCAAGGAUCUUCAGUGUAGAUCAAGACAGGGCAAACACGAACAGGGUCGUUGGAACCUAGUAAGUGCCUCAAUAUCUUUCUACGUCCUUUACAUGUUUUGAUUGAUUCAGUAGGCCAACAAAGGACUCUGAUUAUCUGCUCAACAACACCAGAUAGAGCACAUUCAUAUUUCAGAAGUUCCAUACAGAAGUUUUACUUUUCUCUUUUUCUUACUUCCAACUAAUUGUUCUUCAUUACAUAAUUCUGGUUAGUGGAUACAUGGCACCGGAGUAUGCAAUGCAAGGACUCUUUUCUGUAAAAUCAGACGUCUUCAGUUUUGGAGUUCUCUUGCUAGAGAUAGUAAGCGGGUGCAAGAAUAAUGGUUUUCAUCUCCAAGUAAAGGGUGAAAGCCUUCUCACAUUUGUAUGUUCCUAAUCACCAUCCCAGUUUAAUAUGAAAUCAAAGAUUUUCGUGUAGCUAUGCUUGUUAAAUUUCCUUGCUAAAUGACAGGCAUGGAAGUUGUGGUCCGAAGGUCGAGCAUUGGAACUUAUCGAUCCAUUAAUUGAUGAGUCAUGUGGUGAAGUUGAAGUGCUGAAAUGCAUACACAUCGGUCUAUUGUGCGUCCAAGAAGACCCGGCGGAUCGACUGACUAUGUCACUCGUGGUUCAUAUUUUAGCUGGCGAUACUAUCACACUCAGCUCACCAUCGCAGCCUGCAUUCUCCGUUGGGAGAGAUGCGGAAAAACUUAAUCGUGCCUCGACUGUCAAUGGAGUAACCCUUUCGGUUGUUGCGGCUAGGUGAUCAAGUUUUAUACAAUGGAAAUGCUGUUAGAGAUAAUUAUGGUAUAUUUUGUCUUUUAGGACUGUGUAUAUAUAUUUCCAUUGUAAUAUAUUUAUAUCCUCCUACUUUCUAUAUUUUUUAUCACGUAAAGCUGGCUUAUGUUCUCUUCUGUAUAUAUACGGAAUAUAUAGAAAUUAAAGAAUUCUUUCACAUAUUUCUUAUCUUAGUGUUAGAGGUAGACGAUCUUGAGCAAUUUUUGAGUGCUCGAGUGGGACACAUCCGAGUGCACACCCGGAGCACACCUUCACGUAUCGCGUCAUGUGAUUCAUUUUUGUUAUAAUUACUGAUUCCCUUUCUGAACAUCAAUUCUUAAUAUUUUCAUUACGUACGAAUAAACGUCAGCCUAUUGCUGCGUAAUCUACACGUUGGUCGGUUCACUCUUCAGCACAUGAAAUCACCUCUUUGGAUCUUUUCUCCCAACUCCGUUUGACUUCCUCUUCGUCACAUUGAGUUUGAGAGUUUGUUUAAGAUAAUUAAGAUUUUUAACUUGAUCCUCCAUUUUUUAGGGUUGUGAAUAUAUAUUUCACUGGCAUGUGCUAUCAGUAAUUUCUUAUGCAAUGCAAGGACUCUUUUUUGUAAAAUCAGACGUCUCCAGUUUUGGAUUUCUCCUGCUAGAGAUAGUAAGCGGGUGCAAGAAUAAUGGUUUUCAUUUCAAACAGGGUGAAAGCCUUCUCACAUUUGUAUAUUCCUAAUCACCAUCCCAGUUUAAUAUGAAAUCGAAGAUUUUCAUGCAGCUAUCCUUGUUAAAUUUCCUUGCUAAAUAACAGGCAUGGAAGUUGUGGUGUGGAGGUCGAGAAUUGGAACUUAUCAAUCCAUUAAUCAAUGAAUCAUAUGAUGAAGUUGAAGUACUGAAAUACAUACACGUCGGUCUAUUGUGGGUUCAAGAAAACCUGAUGGAUCGACCAACUAUGUCUCUCGUGGUUCAUAUUUUAGGAGGCGAUACUAUCACACUCAGCCAACCAUCACAGCCUGCAUUCUCAAUGUGGAGAGACGUGAGUAAACUUGAUCGUGUCGUGCCUAGUCACGAAGCCUUAACUGUUAAUGGAGUAACCCUUUCGAUUGUUUCGGCUAGGUGACCGAGUAUCAUCACUCUUCCUUCAGUUUAUUUCUCUUUUAUUCAAUGGAAGGUAGAAUGAUAAUAAUUAUGGUGUGUGAUCUCUUUUAGCAUCGUGACUGCCAUUUCUGAAUCAUUUCCGUGAUCAUCAAUUAGUAAGCGCAAGGUUAAAAAGCUUGUUAAUUAGUCAUCAUUUCUGUUCAAUUCGCCGCUUAUGUUCUAUCAGAAUGAUACAUAUAAUUGCUUGAGUAAUAUAUCAAUUCUACAAGUACCCCAUCGAUAUAUUAAAAAAAAAAAGCAUAAAUAAAUUCUAUAUUCUAGCUUUAGUAUAUAUAUUGACACAUAAUUCGUGAAUAAUACUAGGGCAUUUAAUACUAAACUACGGCUAAGUAGGAGGUCCUAAAUUCAAUCUUUUAAGACCCUUAUUUGUCUCUUUUACUAUUAUGUCUACACUUUAAUUUUAGGCCAAAGUUCGGUUUACAUGUGUUGAGGAGUGUCACGACCUCUUAGAAAGCGGGUUGGAUCUAAACUUAACUCGAACUAUCCUAAGCCUAUACCAAUUCACGACUUAGGUUUAAGUUAUUUAACAUGCAAAUGAUUUUUAUUUAAGUGUCGCUACCAAUUAAUUUAUGAUAGGUUGAUUAGAUAACUAAGUAAAAUAAUGUGAGAAUUAUUUUACUCUUACGAAUUAAAGAUUUUGGGUACGGAGACUUGAUCACACUAAAUUACUCUAACACCAUUUUGGUACAUUUUUUCUUUUAUUUUCAAAAAAUGUUUAGCAGGCGCCUUGGAUCAAUUUUAUUACACUUAACAUGUAAGAUAAUCAUGCAGGUGUGCAUAUCACCAAUUUAACAAUGAAUAAAGCAGUAAAUAAAUUGCAGGAGACACCUUAUAGCAAUGAAAACAUCUACAAUAUUAGCUCAGAAUUCACAUCAAUAAUCAUAGAUAUGAUCUAUCAUUAACAUGUAGUUGCUAGGGGUGAGCAUCGGUCCAAGGGUUGACCCUGGACCGGCCCAACCUUGCUGGUUCUGGUCCGGUUCCUAGGGAGACUAGGCCGGUCCUUGAUCCUAGAAUUCCUAGACUAGCACUGUGUUGGUCGAUCCUCAGUCUUGAGAGUUCUGUGUCAGUCCAACCCAGACCAAUCCUGACUAUAUAUAUAAAAUAUUAUUUAUAGUUUUUUAUAUAAAGAAAACCUUAAAAUAAAUAACGUCAACAACAUUAAAUGGCUUUUUAGUGAGGAGUUCAAGUAAUUUUACAUUUUAUUUUAAUAACUUAGAUUUUUAAUGUUUUUUACAGUGUCAACAGUCAUAAUUUACGAAAGAGAAAAAUGUUUUUGUUAUGAGUUCUCAGGGCGUUCAAAAAGGCUUAAAUAGCUCCUUAAGGCAUCCUCAUAUAGUAUUCGUUUUCUUUUGUCUUAUUUGUCAUCUUAGUUUUCAAUUUGCCAAAAUUGAAAGAAACAACUUCUCCGCUUGCUACUUAACACUCACCUAGCUCACUUUGGUCAUUUGUGCUACUCGCUACUCAAUGCUCACCUGACUUGUUGCUCCCCACUCGACAUUCGAUGCUUAUCUUGUUCGAUGCUCACCCCACUUAACCCUCACCACUUGCCUUUUUUAGCUGACCCCUUUCAUCAUCGAACCCGUUGGGUCGGUACGGUCCUCGGUUGCCCUUUUAAGGAGUACAAAAAAUGAAAUAAAAAAUUAUUGAUUGAUCUUGGGUUACUUAGAAACCAGACCAAAUCCAUUGGGUCAAUCCAGUCCUUAAUCGCUUUUUUGAAAAGUACGAAAAAUGAAAUAAAAAAUUAUCGGUUGGUCUCGGGUUGACCUUGGAACCGGACCGAACCCAUCGGGUCAGUCCGGUCCUCAGUCCCAAGCUCAAUAGGGUUGGUUCCCGGUCCCGAAAAUUGAGGACCAAUACUGUAUGGGUUGGUCCUAGAGUUAGGGGUGGACUGACCCAACCUGAACCAUGCUCACCCCUAGUAGUUGCUCAAUUGUUUUUUUUGGGGGGGGGGGUGGUUUGCACUUAUUUAAAUGAAAUCUAUAAACUCUGUGCAAUGCAAUGCAAUGACGUGAUUAUAAUUACUUCAUUACCUUCACCGAUGAUCAGUCACGGUAUGAUUAUUUACAUCUCAUGAAGUAUAAAUCUGAAUCCUUUGAAAAGUUCAAGGAAUUCAAGGCUGAAGUUGAGAAAUAAAUAGGAAAAUGUAUUAAAGCUCUUCGAUCGGAUUGAGGAGGUGAAUACCUUAGUACUGAAUUUCUGGACUAUCUUAAAGAUAAUGGUAUUUUAUCACAAUGGACACCUCCUAGAACUCCAAAACAUAAUGGUGUAUUUGAACAAAGAAAUCGUACUUUAUUAGAUAUGGUGCGAUCUAUGAUGAGUUACACCACAAUAUCCCUUUAGGGAUAUGCCCUUGAGACAGCUGUAUAUAUACUUAACAUAGUACCAUCCAAAUCUAUUCCAACCAUGCCCUAUGAGAUAUGGCAUAGUAGGAAACCUAGUCUUAAUCAUAUUAAGAUUUGGGGUUGUCUAGCUUUUGUAAAAAAGCUGAAAAUGGAAAAAUUGGAGGCAAGAUCUGAACAAGGUCGCUUCAUUGGGUAUCCAAAGGAAACUCUUGGAUAUUAUUUCUAUUUUCAUUCAGACCAAAGAAUUUUGGUAAGCAAGCAUACUUCUUUUCUGGAGAAUCAGUUCGUCCAAGAAGGUGGUGUUGGGCGGAAAACAGUCUUAUAAGAAGAAAAUAAUGAAUUACCAAAUAACCAAGUUCAGAUACUAAUCUCUGAUUCAGUGGGAAAUUCUAAUACUCUACCUCUUAGGAGAAGUGCGAGAACAUCUCACUCACUUGCUCGUUAUAGACACUUGGUUGAUCAUAUUGAACCAUUAUUCAUUGUGAAUGCUAGAGAUCAACUUGGUGAUUCUAAAACCUAUGAUGAGGCGAUGUCGGACAUCGAUUAUGGUAAAUGGCUAGAAGCCAUGAAAUUUGAAAUGGAUUCAAUGUAUUCCAAUGAAGUUUGGACCUUAAUUGACUUGCUUGAUGGUAUUAUACCAAUUGGCUGUAAAUGGAUCAUCAAGAGGAAGAUGAAUGCCGAAGGUCAAACUAGAACUUACAAAGCACAGCUGGUGGUGAAAGGAUAUCGUUAGAAAAAAGGAAUUUAUUAUGAUGAAACUUUCUCACCCAUGGCCAUGCUAAAAUCCAUUUGAAUUAUGUUGGCUAUAACUGCACACCUAGAUUAUGAGAUAUUCCAGAUGGAUGUCAAAAUGGCUUUUCUAAAUGGUUUUCUCAAAGAGGACAUCUAUAUGGAACAGCCACAGGGUUUUGAAUCCAAUAGUGAAAAACGGAAGGUGUGUAAGCUUAAAAGAUCCAUUUAUGGACUUAAACAACUCUUCAGAAGUUAGAAUAUCUGUUUUAAUGAGGUAGUCAAAUCAUUUGGCUUCAUCAAAAAUCCGGAUGAACCUUGUGUAUACAAGAAGAUCGGUGGGAGUGCAAUUGUAUUUCUAGUUUUGUAUGUCAAUAAUAUACUUUUGAUUGGAAAUGAUGUACCAAUGAUAUCAUUGAUAAAACUAUUAUUGUCACAGAAAUUCUCCAUAAAAGAUUUAGGAGAGGCAACCUACAUUUUAGGUAUCAAGAUCUAUAGAGAUAGAUCAAGAUGAUUGAUUGGCCUUUCAUAGUUUAGGUAUAUAGACAAAGUGUUAAUACGUUUUAACAUGCAAUGUUCCAAUAGAGAAUUAUUGCAUUUUAGGCAAGGGAUCCAUCUUUCUAAAGAGAUGUGUCCCAACACUCAUGAAGAAAGAGAGCGGAUGGCAAAGAUACCAUAUGCAUCUGCUAUUGGAAGCAUAAUGUAUGGUAUGCUAUAUACUAGACUUGAUAUUACACAUGCUAUAAGUAUUACUAGUAGAUAUUAGUCUGAUCCAAGAGAAGAGCACUGGAUAGCAAUCAAGAAUUUUCAUAAGUACUUGCGAAGGACUAAAAUCUAUUAUUGAUAUAUGGAGAAGGAGAAUUUAAAAUUGUAGCUUAUACCGAUUCCAAUUUUCAAUCAGAUUCUAAUGAUUAAAAGUCUACGUCUGGGUUUAUCUUUACAUUCAAUGGUGGUGCAGUUAGUUAGAAGAGUUCUAAGCAAAUCAUAACUGCCGAUUCCACUACUAAGGCAAAGUAUGUAACCGCUUUUGAAGCAACAAAGGAAGCUGCUUGGAUGAAGAAGUUUAUUUUUGAACUUGGAGUUGUUCCCUCAGUUAAGCAACUGAUUACAUUGUUUUGUGACAACAAUGGGGGGAUAGCUCAAGCCAAGGAAUCAAGGUCUCACCAAAAGUCCAAGCACAGUGAGAGAUGCUUCCAUCUCAUCAGAGAAAUUGUUGGGAGAUGUGAUAUCGCUUUGCAAAAAAUUUCCUUAGUAGAAAACGUGGCAGAUCCCUUCACUAAGGCCCUAUUUUAGUCUUCUUUUGAAAGACAUAUUGACAAAAUGGGUUGAGGUACCAGACAAGUUGGAUUUAGUGCAAGUGGGAGAUUGUUGAAUGUAUGCCUUAAAGCUACUAUGUAAUAGUUACAUGUUAGGGAUUUCAGUUGUACUAUCAUUAUUAUUAUUUAAUUAAUGGCAAUGACGUAUUCAUUCAUUUGUCAAAUUAUUUUAUAUUUAUAAAUGAUUUCAUAAGAUUAGUUGUAACUAGACCUAUUAUUAAAACAUUAAGAAUAUAUGUGACAGGGUUAUAGUUAGACCGAAUAUUUAAAUCGUUCCUAAUUGAGACAGGUGUGUUCAUAACUUCAACAAUAACUUCACCAUUAAGUAUUUGAUACUUAAGGGAAUGAUGAGUCACAAGUUAUUGGGUAAUGUGAUGCCUAAAUUAAGAACACGAGUGUUUUUUUUUGGUACCUAGGGAACCUCCGUGCGCCGCUUCGCGGCGGAGUAAACCCUGGAGGAGCAGUAGAGUCACCACCACCCUUGCUGCCUCGGAUAAGUCGUGGGUUCAUUUCUCGCAAGGCAGACAACACAGCGAUUUGAACUUAGGACCUCUCCUGAAAGGAACCUGCGCUCAACCACUACGUUGCCACCACAGGUGGUUAAGAAUACAAGUGUUUGUAUUAGACAAGUUCACUAAACGUGACACAUAUGGAACAAUUAGCAACAUGAAAGUUAUUAGCGUGGUCAAUGUCUAAUUGUUCAUGCUUUGGUCUUGUGUAAUUAAUCUUUAGACCUGAGAUACAGUGUUAACUUGUGUGUCGAACAACUAUGGUUCACAGGUGCACGUAAUGCCGGGUCGUUGAUCUGUCUUUAUACCUGAUGGUCAUAGUUUGUUUAUAUACAAAGUUGCACAUGUGCGCAAUAUGAAAUAUGUCUCAUUGUUACAUAUAAGGUAUAAUAAUGAUGUCCUAUGUGAUCUAAUUAUGACAUUGCAUCGAAAUCCUCGGCUGAGAUUGUAACCGAGAAUAAAUUGUUUAUAUCUCAAAUAAUAUGCACGUCAAUUAGAUUUGUAUAUAUGAUUGAAUUUGUGACUUGACAAAUAUUCCAUGGUCUUUAUUUGAUCGGGACAUAGUAAGAUAAAGUGAUUGAAUUACACUAUAGCAAAAACUAAUACGUUCAUUAUGUUCUUAAAGCAUUCAUACUAUCUAAGUAGCCAUGAUAGAUUGCUAGAUGUCAAUCAUGGCUUGUAGGACCAAAAGAUUAAUCGAGACAAUUAAUUCUUUUGGGAGUACUAAUAUGUUAGUACAAGUCUUACCAUCAGCUUAGUGAUGAACCUAGGGAUGUCACACACCAUAAACAAUUAGGAUAACGUGGAACAAGAGAGAAAUAAUGUUGUAAAUGUGUUUGCAAUUAUUGCAAUCGAAUUGAGUCGACUUGAAAUUAAAUUAAAUAAGAUUUACUUUAAUUUGCAUUAUAGUCAUGAGCCUACUUGCAUAUGAUGCACUUGCAUGCCCAAAGUGAAUACAUAUUAAUAUAUUCCAAAUGUAAAUAUAAAAAUUAUGUUCUUUUUAUUUUUAAGGGGAUUGAUUAAUUAUUUAUUUAUUCAUUUAAUUAAUUAAUUAAUUAAUUAAAGUGGAAAUGGUCAGCAAUUCUUGCUGACCAUUUGGCAUGAAUCAUUGUGAACAUGUACGAUUGUGCAUGGUUGCUCAUCGUUUAUUUUUUUUUUUUUUUAAAUACUGCUUAACGAAGGGCUGAAAAGAUGGUUGUUGAAAAUAGAAAAACGUGUGCAUGUUCUUGUGUUUUUUGAGAUGCGAGAAAGAAGAGGCAUUCUCUCUCGUUUGAGUUGUGACUAAAAACAUCAAGGAUACGACGGAUUGUCUCCACGAGAUUGCUAGCACGAUCAUAGUGGUGAUUAUCCGAAAGUUCUCUCUUUCAUUCGACAUCCAUUAUUGGUGUGUCUGAACUAAAGGUCCAACGUUUGUGGGAUUCGAACUGAAGAACAUUCGAACCAAUUUGUUUAAAGCGUGAUUCGAGAGAUAAUUCGUUUAAUUCCCUUUUCAUAUUUAGAUUUUUUAUUAAAGCACACGAACAACGCAUUCGAAGAAUCAUGUAUAAAAUAUAUUAUGUUUGUUUCUGCUACGUUCUUUUUUUGUUAAUUUUACCUAUACAUAAUUCGUGAAACCCCAACAGAUAAUAGUCGUUGGUGGGAACUCAGCAACAGGAAGUGAGUUGCGGCCGUCGAUAGAAGGAGUUGAGCUGAAGUGUCAAGCACCGUUUCCAUGAAUGUGUCAGAUAGGACGCGGGUCUUCUCUUUUUGCUUUUUCACUGGAUAGUAUCUUUCGAGAUGAAAGUGUCCUCUUCUCUAUUCACAGACCUUGGGAACCAGCAAGAAGAGAGAAAAUAUUGGCUGUAGCUAUGAGGCCAGCUCAGCAAAAAUUCAGUCUACAGCCUCACAAGUCAUUUUCUGUCUCCACUUCUCCCUCCCUCACCCUUUCUUCUCUCUCUUCACAUCUUCCUCUUUUUCUCUCUCCUUCGCCUAACCCCUUUUCCCUUCUUCGACCUUGACCUUGAGCUCGACCUCAAACACACUGCCAUUGCUUUCGGCACGUUGUCUCUAUCUAUGCCUCCAUCUUCGCUUAAUUCUUCCCCGACCUCCACUGCCGCCACCUCUUGUUCAACUCUUCCUGUGUCCUCUGUGUUUGCACUUGCGUCGACCAGGAGGUGGAGGUCCUACACGCGUCGACGAACCAUGCCUUUGCCGCCACCUCGCCGUUUCCUAAGCCGACCCUAGUCAACCUUGAACCAACCCAAAUUUGAGGUUAAUCUGAGGCUCAAGUUCGCCAGCCAAGCUCGAGCUCAAUGAUAGAGGAUUGAGACGGCGAUGAGAUGGUCGACUGAGAUGGUAGUGAGGAGGUGGUAGUUACGUCUAUGCUUGUCCCCGUCGGAGUGAAAGGAAGAAGAAUUUUUUUUUAAAAAAAAAAAGAAAAGAGAAAAGGGGUUAGGCGGAGGACACAGAGGAAGAGGAGACGUGAAGAGGAAGAUAGAAAAAUAAUUCUCUCUCUCUCUCUCUCUCUCUCUCCACGCCAUCUCCUUGGCAUGAUUUCCCUCAAUGUGCUGCCUAUUCUAGUGUGUGUGGCCCCCUUUCUUUUGCAAAUCACACUGGUUUUUAUAAUGCCCCCUCACCAACUUCCUCUUAGGAUAUCAGCAUAUUUUCUUUCUUUAUUUCAUCAACAAAAAGUUCUUAAUUUUGCCGAUCGAAUCCCACCUCAACGUACUUUUUUCUUUUAUUUAUGAAUAUAUGAAAGAUCCACCACCAUAUGAUUUUAUCUUUUUGUUUCUUUUCGUUGGCCAAAUUUUUCUUCUAUGCUUUUGAACGACUAUUGGAAGAAUAAUACCGAUUUUUUCUGAAAUAUACCAAUCUUUGAACUCGUCUCUCCUCAUAAGUCAAUUUUCAGCCAUUAAAGAAUGACAGGCUUGGCCAUGUCCUUCUCACUAUGGGCUUGGUCCAACUAGUUAAAUUAAAGCUCAAAACCAUCCAUUCAAACCCAUCUAUCACUGGUCCAAUGCAAACGCAAUAAUAAAAACAAUAAUAAAUGCUCCCAAAACUAUAUGCUAUGUAAUUUAAUAUUAAUAUUUUUGUUUACGGGUUAAAAAUUAAUAUCUAAUUUUCUAUGCAAUAAAUAAAUGAUUAGAUCGCCAAAAUUUAGGUAUCAAUAGCUGCUCAUCUUUGAAGGUGAGCUCAUAAAGGUUGCAUACAAAAACAAAUUGAGACCUAAAUUUUUACCAUGCAAAUAUAAUGUGAUAAAUUUUUAUGUGAGGACAUGUGUUUUGAUGAACCCAUGCCCAUUUUUUAACGUAAAAUAUGAUGCAAAUGCUAAUAAAGAAAUAGAAAACAUACCUUUAGUUACUCACCUGAGGAUUUGAGAAAGUAAACUUGGAUAUAGGGAUUUUAUAAACCAUGGGUUAUGAAAGCUCGCCAUGCUGAUGAAAAGAACUUCGAGUUACAGAAGUACGUCACGUCAAUAGAAAGAGACUCUGGGCUAUGAAAGCAUGCCAAGUCGAUGAAGAAGAACUCUUAGUUAUGGAAGCACACCAGCUUAAUAAAGAGACUCUGGGUUAUGGAAGCACAUCGUGUCGAUUAAGACAGAUAUCAGGUUAUAGAAGCACGCUGUGUUGAUAGAAAUAGACUCUGGGUUAUGGAAGCGCACUAGGUUGAUGUAGAGAUUCCGGGCCACGGAAGCACUUCGUGUUGGUUAAGAGGGGCAUUAAGCUAUAGUAGGACGCUAUGUCGAGAGACUCUAGGCUACAAAAGCAUACCAAGUAGAUGUAGAGGAACUCUGGGCUACAUAAGCACGUCAGGUUGAUAAAGAGAUUCCAAGCUACAGAAGCACACUAUGCCAAUUAAGAGGAGACUUCGGGCUAAGAAAGCAUACUGUGUCAAUAGGAAUAGACUAUAGGUUAUGGAAGCAUGCCAGAUUGAUGUAGAGGAACUCCAGGCUAUGGAAGCACACCAGGUUGAUGAAGAGACUCCGAGCUAUGAAAGCAUAUCAUGUCAAUUAAGAGUAGACUUCGAGCUAUGGAAGCACGCCAUGUCAAUAGGAAGAGACUUUGGACUAUGGAAGCAUGCUAGGUUUGAUGCAGAGGAGUUCUAAGCUAUAGAAGCAUGCUAGAUUGAUGAAGAGACUCCAAGCUAUGGAAGCACACCGUGUUGGUUAAGAGGAGACUUUAGAUUACGGAAGCACACUGUGUUGAUAAGAAGAGACUCCAAGUUACAAAAGUAUGCCAGAUCACUAUAGAGGAACUUUGGGCAACAGAAGCAUAUCAGGUUGGCAAAGAGAUUCUGGGCUACGGAAGCACAUCAUGUUGAUUGAGAGAGACAUCGAGUUACGGAAGCACAACAAGUCAAUGAAGAUAACUCUAGGCUACGGAAGCACACUAGUUCAAUAUAAAAGAACUCUAGGCUAUGGAAGCACACCAGAUUGAUAAGGAGACUCUGAGCUACGGAAGCAUGCCAUGUCGAUUACCUAUGGAGAUAAAAUUCAAGAAUGUUUAGAUGCAUUUCGAGGCUUCAGAGAGUAAUUGGAACAUCGGGUAUUACUUGAUCUUCAAGGAAAUAUUACCUGUCAAACAUGGUUAGAGCUAAAACAUAUAUGUAGUCAUCAAAGAAAUAGACAAUCUGAGCUACUCUAGAAUGCACACUCCAAAGUCCACUAAAGCUUUUAUCAAUUCAAUCAAUGUUUAUGCAUAAUGAUUCUACCAUAUUUGCACCACCAAAUUUCCACUGGAGAGAAUUAUCAUUCAAGACAAUUUUCACUUAUAAUUUCAACUUCUUGAAAACGUUAAUUGAGAGAUUUUUAGUUAGAAAGGACUUUCACUCACUUCAUUUAGAAAUGCUAUUUUAUGAGAAUCAUUUCAUCUCACCAUCAUCAUAUUGACAAGGGUCUAAGUAUUCUCGCGAGCGGUACAACCUUACCAAUCCGAGAGGAAUUUUUUAGGACCGUAAUGUAGGCUUGGUCAAUGACUUAACAAAGGGGGACUCUUUGAGUCAAGGUUGUUGAAAGAACAAAACUCCACAAUCAUCUCCGGGUUUACAAGUCAAGAAAAUUGCGAAAUGAGAUAGAAAUAAUCUUGCUCACACUUCUUCGAGCAAUGUUUAUAAACAUAUGAACACCUAUGUUAAUUCAAGUGCCAUAAUCUAAAAAAACUUUGCAAGGAACAAAACAUAGGCUAGGUUUAUAGGUUGAAAAAUGAAAUGAUUAUUAGGCUCAAAAUGUGUAUAGAGGGAUAAGAGUUGAUGAUCAUCUUGGCAUUGCCAUUAGUUUUCUUCUUAACCAUCGGGGAUUGUCUUCAUAAUACUCCAUUGAUUGCAACACCUUGGUAUUUGGGUACUUUGAUUAUUGCUCCAUUGGGGAUAUAUCUCUUGAUAACCGAUGGCCAUCUAUCUUGACUUUUUUUUUUUCAUUUUCCCCAUGGACAUUGGCCUUAUUUUUACUAGGCACACUGCUUUUUCGUGUCCUUAAAUUUCAUUCAUUUUUUCUUCACCUCUUUUUUCAUGAACAUUGACUUUACUUUUAUUAGGCACACUACUUUUUCACGCUUCUUAGUUCUAUUUUGAUUUCAAGUUUUGACUUUUGACACAUUGUCUACAUUUAUAUUGAACAGCCACACACAUUGGUUUAUUUCUACCAAAUGAUUUAACAUUUGAACUCACAAGGUAUUCCUCUUAUGUUGGCACUCUCUGUCUUUUGCUGGCACUCUCUAUCAUGCUACUUGAAUGAUUGUCUUUUGCCUUACCCCAGUUUAGGGGAUAAUCACCAAUCGGGUUUGUAUGAAAUGAAAUGCAAGCUCAAGUGAGCUAUGCAAAGGAUAUGAGUGUAUAAGAUAGAGAAAUGACCGCUCUUCAUCAUCUUAAGGCACUUAAUUACCAUAUGAAUUCAUCUCUAAUAGCAAUACUUGAAGAUUGAUGUAAGUGAGAGCAGGAAAAUUCCUAUCUAUUUCCUCACCUAAUGAUGUUGUCCUACCUCAUGUUUGUCCCAAUUUUGGUUUUUCUUGAUAGGGGUAAUUUGAAAAAAAAAAAAAAAAUUCUCCCCAAGUGUAUGGGCUUAAAGGGAUUAAACAAUAGAUUACUUGUAGUGUUUGGGAUAGAAAAAUGAAUUACCUCUCAUCAUUUUAGUCAUCAUACCUUUCGUGAGAGAACCUUUUACCUUGUGGAUAUGGAAUUUUUCCACACUCACCUCACCUUGUAUAAACAAGGGAUUGUGUAUAGAUAAGGCUUGCCUUUCUUCAUCUUGAUGCAUCUCAUUUAGCAUGCUCAAUCCACUUCACAUCAUUCAUUAGAUUAAUCUAUCUUGAAAAAUCUCCACACAAAAUUGGCCAAUAAAACAGGUAAAGUCACCAUGUAAAUUCUCUUUUCAAAAGCACCUAGCAACUUUAAGCAUGAAAAACUUGGUAACUUCUGAGCAAACAAUUUACCAUACUUAAAAAAUGUUUUCAUAAGCAUGAAAACAUGUUUUUGAGUAUUCAUUCAAGGAAUUGCCUGGUGAAGGGAUUGUCUCAACAAUAGGUGCUCUUGGAUUGCCCUUAUCUAAAUGGAAUGAACAUACGAGUUGAUCAAUCGAGACUAAAAAUUCAAUUUUUGAUUUGAUAAACACUCCAUUCAUGCUUUUGUUCCUGCACAAGAGAACGUUCAUGAAUAAGAUACUGUACAAACAAAAGGAAAUGCAAAUUGAACAUCUAGUUUGGCUCAGAAUGAGAUUUUAUUUUGGUUGGGUCAUUGCCAAAACCUAUCAUGCCCCCAAUCUAUAGUCUUUGAUGGAAAGAAUACAGAGUCAUUUCCAAAAUCAUUUAUGUUCAUGAAUGAGAUGUACCUCUUUUAUCAAAUAUGGACGAUCCUCACUUGACUUGCCCCUCAUUUUCUCAUUAUGUCGUUUGGCUCUUCGGGGUUGACAUCUCACAUGAGAAGUAAUGAGAUGUGCCUUCACAUCUCACUUUGAAAGCUAGGUGAUCUUCUUUUGGCUUGCCCUCAGUUUCUUAUUGAUGUGCAAGAAAACAGCUUGGGACAACAGUGGAAAUAGGAAGUAAUAGGAAGUGUUGAACACCUUCUUCAUUCUUUGGAGAUGCCAUCACAAUCAACCAAGAAGUGAUCCUUUGCUCCCACGUGAAUUUUUCCUUCAGAUGUAUGUUCCCAAAUUUGUUGAUUAUCAAUUGAAUCAAAUUCUCUAUUAUAAAAUGCUGUUGAAUUAUACUCUGAGACGUGAAGUAAAUGAGUUAGAAAAACAAAUAAGCCUAAGCUAAUGUAUGCUUUAAACAAUUGCUACAAAAUGAUUAUUUUAUUUUAUUUUUUUUUGAAUUUUUUUUUUUGGGUGAGGAAAUAUGAUGAAGCCCAGGUCUCAGAAUUCUCCUUGGAUCUUACACUUUUUAUCAGUUGGAUAUCAUCAUCGGGCCAGUUUGGUGUACCCCAUCAUGCCCUCAAAACAAAACUUGUAACUUUAGUGAAAUUCACCAAUCAAAUUAUAUUUAUUGGAGUGAAAAGUGCAACAAUCAAUUCCUAGAAAUGAAAUGAAAUCCUAGCAAGCAAGCAAAUCUUAGAAAGCAGCAAAAAUUCCCACGUAAGGGAGGGUGUAACUGAACAUGCCACUAAUUAAAUAAGGAAAUCAAGCUACUUAGAACCAUGAAUUAUGUGUACUUGGGUUCUUCACCCUCCUUAGUCUCUUGAGGUGAAUGCUCUAGGGUCAAACAUUCUUCCUUCUAGAUACAUCACCAAUCUUACUUGGUGGCAUCAAAUUCGACUACCUUAGAAAAUUAGAUGGUUCAAGAGUCCCCUUAGCUCUCUUCUUUGGAUUGAAAUUUCCCACUGAAGAUGAUGUAUCCAUGUGAUCAUAGCGCUUUCGCUUGACAAGACAAGCUACAGUAGCAUGCAGCUCGUCAGCUUGACUUUUUGGAGGCUUGCAAUUCACUUGUUCAUAUCAUUGUCAAAAUUAGCAAUAUUGCUCAGCACUUCAUUUUGGGGAUAAGUACACUAAUGGUGCUAUAAGUUGUGUACGGCGCUAACUUUGGUGUCAAAAGUUUCCGUUGGAUCACUUAAGUGCCAAAUCGGAGGAAAAACGAUCACUUUGGUGCCAUCAGCGAGAAAUUCUAGCCAAAAUGAUUACGUGACUUUUAUAUUUAAAAAAAAAAUCGACGUGGCUUAAGAUUGUCCACGGUGGAUAGCAUAAAACGAUGCAUUUUUCCUUUCUUCGUAGAAAUGAUGUCGUUUCUUGUCAUCCACCGUGGAUUCACAUAUAAACGACGCUGCGUUGCUCCAUAACAAAAAACGAUGUCGCUGAAGAGGGAGUAAAAUAGGGUUCGUAUACGGUUCUCCUCGACGCCGGCCGUAGCUCGCUCACCCACCGUUGUUCACCACCGUCGUUCGCUCGCCUGCCGUCGCUCGGCCACCGCGUAGUUGCGCCGUCAUUCACGAUCGUUUAGGUUUGUCUUGUCCUCUAUGUGGAUCAAUUUUGCGAAAAAUUUAGGGUUCUAAUGGGCAAGUUAGGGCACGGAGGGCAAAUUGAGGGUUUGGCUCAGGGGGAAAGUAGUGGGGAAAGUGGUGGGGAUGUCACUUUUAUGGGGACAUAAUAGAAAAAUUGAUUCUUCCAUCGUUCGUUUGCUUUCUGUUGUGGGGACUGAAUAGAAAAAUACGGUGCGGAAGGCUUGACUCGGAGGGAAACGGUGGUGGGACCGAAUUUGUUUGUUUAAUUAAUUUGUCUGCUUUUGUGAGGGACCGAAUGUGAAUGUGAUUGAAUUGAAAAAUGGGUGGUGGGGACCUCACUUUGUUUAUUUAAUUCAGUUUCUUUUGUUUCUGUAAAUGCACCGAAUUGGGGAUAUUUUAGUCGCAUUUGUUCCUUAACAACAAAACGACAAGGACUUGCAUGUGAAGUUGCCGAUUCUGUCAUGUGGUUCCAACAAAAUGACAAUGACUCUUUUCUUUUUUUCAUUGAGUGCAACAUCGACAUGGAUGGGAAUCAAGUAGGCGUCAUUGUUUGCUAUGGUGGAGAGUUUGUUAUUGGCACUGAAGAUUGGGAAUAUAGUGGUGGAAAUGAGGUACUAUUUAUGUCAAUGUUUGGAAGCCAUCAUAUAUUGAUUUUCUGAGGGAUUUGGUGUAUUUUUUACGAUGCAAAGUGCAAAAACUACAUUACUGUGUUCCUGGGAAGGAAUUGAAGGAUGGGUUGAGAUUUUUUAAUGACGAUAAUGAUAUUAAGAAUAUCAUUUACCAUUAUCUUCACGGUGAAGAAGCUAAGGUAUAUGUUGAGUAUUAUAGUGAGGAUGAGGAUGGGGAUGAGGAUGGGGAUGAGCAGACCACCAUUGAAGGAGGAGAAGUGAGGGAUCCUGUUCAAGCGAGUAAUCAGGUCGGAGAUGAGUAUAGGUUAGAUGAAGGACAAAAUGAGAGGGAGAUAAGUCAUAUUGAUAGAGAUAAACAAAGAGGGAGAUGUCCUGAAAUCUUGAGUGAAGAUUUGGGUGAAGAUGUGGGCGAUGAAGACUUCAUUGGAUUAGAAUGAGAAAUUACUUUAUCUAGUGAAUCGGAAGAUGAAUGUUUGGCUUUAGUAAAUUUCCCAAGUGACAAAAAUGAUGAUGAACUCGCACAGUCAAGACAAAAGCAAAAGGAAUUUCUGAGAAAAAAACUUGCAGCUUCAGCAAAAAGGCCCGAGCUAAUAAAUAGGGAUGGAGAUCCAGUUGAGGGUAAUAGAAGUGAAGAGAAGAAAGCUAUGGCGAUGAAGUUGCUAGUUCGGAAAAUGAGCUUGACAAUGAUGAUGAAAAACCUGCUCCUCGAAGAAAAAGUAAGUACCAUUGCUAUGAUCCGACUGUUGAUAAACCUGUUUUGUUGGUGGACAUGAGAUUUGACGAUGCCAAACAGUUCAAGGAAGCUGUUGUGAAGAACUCAAUUGGUGAACAGAUGAGCGUUAAAUUCAUUAGAAAUACGAAGGAAUUUGUGAGAGCUAAGUGUUCACAACCUAAUUGUUCAUGGAAGCUCUAUGCCGCACUUAGUAAGAAUGGUUUAUUUCAGAUUAGGUCCUUUCAAGAGGAGCAUACUUGUCUAAUUAUCUUUAACAAUAAAAGGGUAACAAGUGUGUGGUUAUCAAAGUAUUUUUUCAAUACUAUCAAAGCAUUGCCCGAGAUCAAGAGUCCUUAAUUUCAACAGUUAGUGAAGGAGCAAGUGGGGGUUAAUGUGUCGAGGAAUUAAUGUAAGAGAGCUAAGAUGAGGGUGAUGAAGAUAUUGAUGAAUGGGUAUAAGGAAGAAUAUGCGCAGGUAUGGGAUUAUGCUAGUGAAUGCAUGUUUCAAAACCCAUUUAGUAUGGUAUAUGUAGAGGUUGUGGAGAGGCCACUCCUUGAUCUUGGGCCUAGAUUUGAUAGAUUUUAUGUCUGUUUUGAUGCAUGCAAAUGGGGCUUCUUGGCUGGUUAUAGAAGAGUUAUAGGAUUGGAUGGAUGCUUUCUAAAGGGUUUAUGCAAGGGGGAGUUGUUGGCUGCUGUGGGGAGAGAUGCCAAUAAUCAAAUGUUUCCGCUAGCUUGGGCAAUGGUAAAGAUAGAGAACAAGGAUAUUUGGUCCUGGUUCCUAAAAAAUUUGAUGGUUGACCUUGAGAUAACCGAUGGGGGGAUGGGCAUUCAUGAGCGACCAACAGAAGGUAAUUUCAUUGUCAAUUAAUUCACUCCCUUUUAAUAUUAAUCACUUGCAUAUUUUUCUUGACUUGUAUUUAUUGGUUUGAAUUUUUGUAGGGACUUAUUCCUGCAUUGGCUGAGUUGAUGUCACAUGCUGAGCAUAAAAUGUGCGUGAGGCACAUAUGUGCAAACUGGUCAUGGAACUUCAAAGGAGAUAGGCUGCAGAAGCAGUUCUGGCAUAUAGCAAAGAGUACGAAUAUGACUAAUUUCAGAUUAGCCAAACAAGGAUUGUUGCAGUUGACUAAGGAAGGUUUUGAUGCACUAUUCUAGACAGAAGCUAAGCAUUGGUGUCGGGCCUUCUUCAGCGAAGAAUUCAAAUGCGAUAUCAUUGAUAACAACCUUAGUGAAACUUUCAAUGGUAGAAUUUUAGAAGCCAGGUGCAAACCAAUCAUCAGCAUGCUUGAUGAUAUUCGAGUUAUGGUUAUGACUAGACUACAUAGGCAAAGAGAUGAGGCUACAAAAUGGAGUAGAGACUAUGGCCCUAGGAUUGUGAAGAGAUUGGAUGCAAAUGUUGCUGCUAGUAGGUUUUGCCAUCCAGUUUGGAAUGGAGAUAAUUGAUAUGAGAUUAUUCAAAAUCAGGAUAAGUAUGUUGUCAACCUGGAUAGAAGAAAAUGUUCAUGCCGAGCUUGGCAACUGAAUGAAAUUCUCUGUGCUCAUGCCAUUUGUGCUAUUCAAAUGAAGCAAGAAAACCCAGAUAAUUACCUAUAUGAUUGGUACAAAAAAAGCUCAUACCUUGCUUCAUACCAAUUCAUGAUGCAGCCUAUCAGAAGCAGCAAAUUUUGGGAGCCAACAAAUCAUGAAAGCUCUCUACCUUUACCGCUAAAGAAGCAAAUAGGAAGGCUGAAAAAGAGAUAAAGAAUGCAGCAGGAAGAUGCAUCAAGUCAAAGGAUGAGUAGGACUGUAUCAAAGAUGAAAUGCUCUUAUUGUAGCAAGGAAGGGCACAAUAAGAAAGGUUGUGAGCUGAAAAAGCAGCAUUAACAGCAAGAUGUAAUGGCUGAUUCAGUGCCAGGGACAGGACCUACUGAAGAGUUUCUUGUUGGGCCUAUUGAAGGGAGGACAGAAGGCCCUGUUGUAAUGCCUAUUGAAGGGCAAACAGAAAGCCAUGCUGUAAGGUAAGUAUCUUCUUUGUCUCAGUAACUUUACAGUUCUUAUUCGAUAGAGUUUGAUGGUUGACCAUGUGUAUUAGCUUCUCUUGUGCUUUUCCUCUGUCAUGCACUUGUAAUUUGAGAAGUUCUCUCCAUUUGUUUCCACCAUGAAAAUGAGUAGAUGUCUAAUUAUUCAUUGGAGUUGGUCAUAAUCCUAAUAUAGUACAUUGUUGUAAGACUUACUAAAGGGCCAGAAAAGGCCCUGUUGUAGGCUCAAGUGCAGGGACAAGGACUGGAAUGGGCAGGAUAGCAACAACAACAACUGAGUCCACUAUUGAGCAAAUAAGAAAAAAAUAUCCUAUAAGUUGUACAUCGCUGUGUUUGGUCUUUUAUGAGCUAAAAUUUACAUUUAUUAUGUGUUUCUCAAGUGAGAAGACGAGCAACUGCACAAGUUGCAGAUAUUGCUACAAGGAUUGUUGUUCCUGAAAAUGAUGCACCACAACGAACAAGAGGGGCUCUUGGAAAAAGAUUAAGGCAAUAUGGUUAUGAGAUUUACACAGAUGAACGUACUGGAAUGACUAUUUUGAAUGUAAGAUUUAUAGGUCUCAUGCAUUUUAUUUGUUGUACUUCAAUUCAUUUGGUUGAUAAUAUCACUAUGUUCUUGUAGCCUGGGAGAACUUCGGAGGUACUUCUUUCUUAAGGUGGACCAACUCAAGUGAUGAUGCCAGCUUGACAUGCACAUGCCUUUUUUUUUUUUUUUGUAUUUUUCAUUAAAAUAUUCGAAAUUAAUUAUUUACUCUAAUUUAAACGUGCAAACUAUCCUAUAAAAGAAUAUUCAGUUUAUUCUAAAACAAUAUUUUGGUAAUUUAUUAAAUUCGGAAUUAUAAAAUAACCAAAAUAAGCAUGCAAUCUAUCCUAAAAAACUACAAUAUAAUGUUUUUGGAUUUUUUUAUUAGAAAUAAAGUCAAUUAAAAUCAAACAAAAGUAGAAAGAAGUCAAAUCCAUAACGAACAUGCUGUCAAAUCACACUAGAUAUUAUCGAUAUCCAUUUAAUUUUUCAAAUAAAUUAACGAAUUGUAUCUCAUGCAUGAGAUCAGAUUAGCCAAUUCUUAUGACAUGGCGAAUCAUAUUUUGGGCAUAAGAUUGAAUUGACGAUUUUCUGCGUGAUUGUGAGUUGUAUUUCGGGCCUUACACGUUGUGAAGUUAGGAAAAUUUCCUAAUUCAUGGGGAUUGAAAAGAAAUUUUUUUGGAUAUGGUAAUAUCAACCAAAGAUUAAAGCAAGAUCGCAAUUUUAUGAAUUAGGUAAUGAGAUAUAUGCAAAUCAAAUUAAUUGAGAUUCUUACAUAAUUCAGGAUGUUACACGGAUGAUGUUUCUGAAUUUGGACGGACAAUGGAUCACGGGAAUCGUGAUGAGGAUGACCAGCAAUCGGCGGCGCUCAUGGUUGCUCGAUAGUCGCCAGACGGGUUCCACAAGCUACGCAAGGGACCGAGAAUCGUCGAUGGAUGGGGGCAAGGACAGCAGGUAUCGGUCCUUCGAUGUUGGUGUUGUGGGCUGGAAGCAGAUAGGUACAGGAGCUCGCGGUGAUGCUGAUCACGGUGCGGUAUCCUCUGUUCGUGCGUUUCUCACUUAUCGAAUAUUCCGGAAUUCUGUCCGAGAACUUAAGCUUCUUUUGACUUUGCUUACAAACUUCACCUUUUAAAAAAGCUUGGGCAAAACAGGACAAAUUUCACCGCUUCUCUCGUAUUGCGAACGCCCUCUUGUGCCCAUUGAAGAAUCCAGGCGAUGUCGCCAAGAACCUGCAAAGGAAAAGUGCAAUCGUGAUUGACGUGGGGGCUCGCUGGCCGCAGGACGUGAGCUUUUGUAAAUUCCCCAUAAAAGUACAUGGAGAGAAAACAUGCACCUAAAUAGGCAACUACAAUCAAGCGAAAGAUUUCGAAAAGUAAAAUCGUAUUCACUCCCUUCAGCCUUAUACAGGGCAACCCUAGUUUGUAUGAAACUAUCACAGGACCAAAAUUUUAGAGGAUUAAGGCAGCAACCCAGCCGCUAGCACUACCCUAUAGCUUACUCACCAGACAAACACACACAAUCACACACCAUACCCAGCCCCACCUCAGCAAACAGCAAUCACCACAAAAUAGAACCGACACGUUGAGGAGGAUCUUGAAAAUUGUAAGAGUUAUACUACUACUCACAAGGCCUUGCUAUUCGAUCCGGUGGGCCCAAUAUCUCCAAAGCAAACCCUUGAGAAACGCCCAAAAUCAAUUUUGAGAGCCACGCCAGCUUAGCCCAUGUUUGGCAAAAAGUAUUUAUGUUCCCCGGAAUAAAAAUUUAUGUUCUUUUGUUCCGGGAAACAAAAAAAAUAGAAACAUGUUUAGUAAAACUUUUAUUUUCGGGAACAGAUUUGUAAUAGAAACAAGAAGUAGAAAAAAAAUUGCUUCUUAUUCUCGAGAACAAUUCUGAAAACAAUUUUUCUCUCUCUUCUUUUAUCUUCUUCUUUUUUCUUUCAUUCUUCUUCCUUUUAGUCGGUCGCUGGCUUCAGCCAUUGCUGAUGACCUUACUAGAGCAUCGCUAGCCGGCGCGAGGCUCGACCUCGCCAUGCUAGGGCGAGGCCGACCUCGCGUCGCCUGGGAGAGGUUGAGCCUCCCAGAUCUGGUGAGGCCGAGCCUCGUAGUGGCCUAGCGAGGGUCAGGCAAGCUCGCCGAACCUCACCCAGCCAGUCGCCAGUGGAUGCCAUGGCCGACGACUAGCCAUAAAGGAGAGAGAAGGAAAAAAAAGUAAUAAAUAAAUAAUAAUAAUAAUAAUAAUAAUAAUAAUAAUAAUAAUAAUAAUAAUAAUAAUAAUAAUAAUAAUAAUAAUAAUAAUAAUAAUAAUAAUAAUAAUAAUAAUAAUAAUAAUAAAAAUAUUGAAAAAUUAAAAGAAAUAAUAAAAUUAUACAAGUUUAUUAAACACAUUUCUAUUCCCGGAAUAGAAAUUUUUUGCAGUUACCAAGUGCAUUCUUAUGCUCAGAAAUUGUUCUCGGGAACAGAAAUAGAAAAAACUAUUUAUAUUCAAAAAUUGUUCUCCAAAACAGAAACGUUACCAAACGCUCCCUUAAUUGAUACCCACAUCCUCAUCAAAAACCCUAGAAUCAAACACACAAACUUUGAACCAAAUAGCUCAAAGCAAAAGAAACAACAGUCUUUGGAACUUUUUCACUCCUAUGAAGUCACAAAUUGAAGUCUCGCAACAAUCCAAUUAGUUCUCGAGGUAAAAAAACAUUAGACAUUCCACCAGCAAAACUAGUUCAAAAGAGAUCUGAGCACUUCGGAUCUUCUAAUGUCAAGCCCUUGAAGUUUCGGUCAUGGCGAAGAGAGACGGAGAUGGAGUGAAGUCCCUAAUUGAAGUCGUGACUCACAAAAUGAAUUCUUCUCUCUGUGUUUGUCACUCUCACUAAAAAAGAAGGAAGUUCAGAUGAAGGGUGUAGCUUGUUUGGUAACCAUUCCGUUCCUGAGAACAAUUUAUGCUUAGAAAUAGUUUUUUCUAAUAUUGUUCUUUGGACGAGUUAUUUAGCAUUUGACCGUAUUAGUAAUUGCAUAAAAUUUAUGUUCCUCAAAUAGCUAGUCACUGAGCCUUAGCGAUGGCUAGCGGCUAGCCAGAAGGGAGAGCUAGCGACUUUGUUUGCUUUGGGGGCCACUCGUCGGUCUUGGGGGAGCCUCACUGGCUCUUGGUGAGGCCGACCCACCCAUCCACGGUGAUGUCAAGCCUCACCAAGAGUCGACGAGGUCGCUAGACCUUGUCUUUGGUUGGUUACUGGACAUUGCCGAGCCUAGCAACGAUUAGAGAAGGAAGAAGAAGAAAAGUAUAUAUAUAUAUAUAUAUAUAUAUAUAUAUAUAUAUAUAUAUAAAGAAGAUAAUGACUUGAUUUCAGAAUUUGUUUCUAAAAACAAAUAAGUAACUUUUUUCUACUUUUUAUUUCUGUUCCAAAUCUAUUCCAUGACUACUAAUAUGUUUUCGGGAAUAGAAAAAUUAACUAAUAGUAUUAAACGGAUUUUUGUUCUUCGGAAUAAAAGAACAAAAUUAAUUAAGAAUUAACUGGUUACCAAAAAGGGCCGAAGUAAAGCGUAAAGGUAUAUAGAGGGUCGUGGACUUGUGGGUGUCGUGUGGGUUUUGAAAAUAUGGGUUAAAAUAUGGGUCACGUCUGUCUCGUGGGUCUCGUGGGUCUCGUGGGUUGGGUAUAUUGGCUCUUUUUUUUGGUCUUUAGUUUUCCAUAACCCACUUAACCCAUUUUGAAAGAAAACGAGUUACCCUAAUAAUAUUGCGCCUCUUAAAACUGAGUUAUAAAAUAGGUACACGAACCAUUUUGCCGGCCCUACUUCUGACCAACCAUAUCAGGGUCAAAUUAGUCAGCAUCCUACUUUAUAUAUUCUCCUUCUGGCUUUCACCAUCCAUGAAAUCAAUAUGGAAGAGAAUGGUUUUUUACUAUCAUUUGCCAACAUAUAAUAAAGAGGAUAUCACAUCGUCUUCCAGGCCGUGCUUAUAUAGGCAAGUACAAAAGAAGAAUGGCAGACCUGUAAUAUACUCAAUGAACCUCCGCAAAAGUUACGGAGCUUCAUGACUUUCGAAGCAGAGAACACACAUUUGGAAGAAAAUCAAAAAGACAUAGAGUGCUCUCGAGUGUUCACUUUCAAAGAGCAAGAAUCGAUAUCUCUGAGCUUCAAGAACGUAAUAAGCAGCUAAGUCUUGUCGGAUCAAUCUCCUUAGUCCCAUCAUCUUCAUCAACAUGUAUUCGAGUUUCCUUUUGGCUCUUUAUUUAACAAAGGCAUCCGCACCCUUGUGACUCUGAAGAGAAUCACAUUGGGUGUGGCAGUUACCCAUCCCACAUAUACCGAAUAAUUUAUGGGAGAUGUGCAUUCCUAUGCUCCUGGAUGACUCCAAGAGAAUACGCAAGAAUGAUGAUUCAAAUUAUGAUCUUGAACACGAGAGAUGAACACACGUAUGACUUGAGCAACCCUAACUCAUAAUUGGACUUAUAACCACCUCCUAGUCCUUGUCAGCCUUCCAGUCAACCGCUUUUUUGUUAGGUAGCGCAAGCCAGGAAUGUUCAUCCUCAUUUCUUCUGGGAAAAUGAAGCCAGUUGGGUAGUCUCUAGUGAUUACAGCAAUUGAAUAUUUGACUAAUCCGUCAUUUCUGAAGCCGGCAUCAGGGGGGGCACCUGCAAAACUUGUUCUUGGUCAAAUCAGACAAAUGCAAGACCUGGAAGUUACUGAUAUCAAACAAGUUUGUGUAUCUUGCCCUCCGAAAGUUGCUCAUCAUCUACUCCUCUUUGAAUUACUCUUAUUGUACUUGCGUUCUUUCCAAAUUAACGGAUCAAGAUGAUUAUCGAUGCACCAAGAUAUAUUGCAUUCGCUUUCUUGAUUUCAGGCCCGAUCCUCUUCAUCCCAGACACUCCUGUCAAUGCACAGACAUAUCUUCAAGAGGGGAGCUCUAGUAAGGGCAAGUACACUGCUUUUAGCAAGUUCCAAAACAACCUCUACAGCCUCCUCGACAGGUAGCUUCACAACGAAGGACGCGUUAACUGUUUCUACAACAUGACAGAAGCGGAAUAUCCAGACAAAGUUUAUGGUCUAUUCCUCUGCAAGUAAAUCACAUGGAAAAGACAUCCAAAGUUUCUACUCUUUAGUAAUACCUUUAAAUUCAAUCCUUAUAAUCUUUGGAAUCGGCUCACUUGGUACUAGGUGAUGCAAGCCUAGGGUAGGCUUUCUCGAACAGUAGGAUCGGGAGAGUGACUCACACAUGGGAAACAGGACGAACAUAAAUUUCAGCACUAUGCAAGCUCAGGAGAACACAGAUCGGAUCGACUUGAUUCCAAAGCCAAAUGAACAAAGACUUAUCGAUCUACAAUUUCUCUGUUUUGGGUUUUAUGAAAUAAGCACUGUAGAAUGUUCGAAUUUGGAUUGGAAAUAACGAACAAAACAGGAAAAGAUAGAAACUCCGUUGGUUGCUCUUCUAGGCCUCCAAGGAAGUUGAGGGGGCACCGAUUCUUCUAGAUCGAUGACUGCAACUCUUCAAGGAUGCAGAUUUCGAAAGCUCCGACUCUUCAAGGACGGAGUGAAAACUCUUCUAGGUUUUCAAGGGUAUAAACUCUACAAGGUUCACGAUACUUGCUUCAAAGCAAAGUUUUCAUUCAUCAAAAGUCGUUUGUCUUCUACAAGAAAUUGGAUGGCUUAUAUUGUCAAAGAAAUAAAGAUAGAGCAUUGAAACUAGGAGAAAUAUCAAAUAGCAUAGAAACGAUAAACUAGUAAAAGCGUCAUGCGGGCUCCCAAGGUGUCUUUCAAGCUUCCGAGAUGGACUCAAGAUAUCGAUACGGCUUCUCGAUUUUGUUGAGCUUGAAUGCAGGCCGAUCUUCUUGGUUGAGAGAGCUGGUCUUCAAUGCGGGCUGCAUCACUAGGAUUUAUAAUGAACCUGAUGUGUUGGUCUUAAUUGAGAUCCUCUAAAAGUAUGGUGAUCCAAUGCCAACAAUUUGGUUGAUACUAUCCAAACUUAAGUAACUACCAAUGCAACUUUCCUAUCCCUUUUUAGAGGUUAUGUUGCCGCCAAUCUCUGUCAGUCUUGCAUUAAAUCAGCUACUGGCAACAUCUUAGAAUGAUGUCCAGGAGAGAAAGGGGUGACCAUAGGGUACGGUGAGUGUCUCGUGCACUACUCUGACAGAUCAUUCUUCUCUAUCAUGGAGUCAAUGCCGGCUUUUUCAAUGUACAACCUUAUGAAUGUACCAGAUCCCAACCAGUUCCUCCCGGUUGUAGGGGAAACUUUCAGGAAAGUGAUGGACUCGGCAAUCUCCUCAGAAAGCUUAUUCGCAACCAUCAAUGUUAGUGUCUCAAGUUCAGUGAGCUUGUAUACACUUGCGCAGUGCACCCUUGACUUAUCAAAGUCAAUUUGUGAACAGUUUCAGGGCUGCUGCAAUCGCUCAUUUUCCUACCUUCAUUAGCGAUGGAAAGCAAGGUGCGAGAGUUCUUCUGCUGAGUUGUCAGGUGCAGUUCGAACUGUAUCCUCUUUAUGAGGAAAUUAGAUGCCAAGCAACAGCACAUUCUCCAACUAACAAAACCAGCAUCAAUUCCGGUACUAGAGGUAUAAAAAUUGUAUAAUGCUCAAAACGUGCAUUCAAUUUUCAUGGUAAACAUAUAAAGGUACUCAUUAUAAGCUGUUUUGUGUAUCAUAAUGCACUUCACUUGCUUUUACGAUCUAAACUUUGAUCAUUCUCUGAGUUCCUGUUACUAUUUAUGCCUAGUGAGAAAAAUCUGCAGACUAAAUUCAAGGAAUCACUUUGUCUUGAUAGGGGUGAAACAAACAAAAGUUCCAUGGAUUGCAAUAGUUAGCUCAGUCAUUGGAUCGUGUUUACUCUAUCCAUCAUAGGUUCAUGCAUUUUUUUAAACAGGACAAAGAGAUUGAAGAAAGGUAUAUAUGAAUUCAUCUUGCUUGCCAUUAGAAGACCAUCUUCUAAACUUCACCUUAUAAGAGUAACCUCUUUUACUGUCAGAGAAGGAAAACAGCCUAGAGGUUCAGUUACUUUAUCUGAGACUAGAAAUUGGAGUAGAGUUUUUAGAGGAAAACUAUCGAGGAGAAAAGCCAGUGGAUCCUCGAGAAUUCACUCUGAUACGAUUAGACGUUAUAUGCACAGCCACCGGGAACUUCUCUGACGAAUGUAAGCUUGGGGAAGGCAGGUUUGGUCCUGUAUACAAGGUAAGCAUUUCAGUGACUAAACACUUAUUUAUGGGGAUAUUAGGAAAUUCUUCUAAUGGCAGCAAAUUGGCUGUCAUUAUUGUCAAAUCUCUACUAACGUUACGCUGUUUCAGGGCACAUUGGGAGAUGGAAAAGAAAUUGCAGUUAAGAGGCUUUCAAGAACCUCAGGCCAAGGACUCAUCAAGUUGAAGAACGAAGUCAUCUUGAUUGCCAGACCACAACACAGGAACCUCGUCCGAUUGGUGGGAUUCUGCUUGGAAGAACAUGAAAACCUCUUGAUAUAUGAAUACAUGCCCUACAAAAGCCUGGAUGUCUUCCUUUUUGGUUUGAGCUUUAGCAGAUGAAAUGAAUCUUUUGGCGAUUUUUAUAAAGGGCAAAUCCAUUUGAGUCUCUCAUCAUCAACAGAUUCAAAUAUGGGGGCAAUCUCUUGAUUGGAAAUGCGCCUGAACAUCACCUGUGGAAUAGCUCAGGGACUUAUAUAUCUGCAUGAGGAUUCUUGCCUAAGGAUUAUCCACAGGGAUCUGAAAAGCUAGCAAUAUCUUGCUAGAUGUUGAGAUGAAUCCAAAGGUAUCCAAUUUCGGGAUGGCAAUGAUCUUCAGUAUAAAUCAAGACAAGGCCAACUCAAACAGAGUUGUUGGCAUUUAGUAAGCGCUUUCAAAUAUGUUUCUACAUCUGUUAGAUAUUUGAAUGAUUCACUAGGCCAAAAAAGAACUCUGAUGAUCAGUUCAACAUGACCAAAAUGUGAAGAUUCAUAUUUCAGAAGUUUCUUAUAAUCACUUGUGAAUUUUUUUCUUACUUCCAUCUAAUUGCUCCUCAUCACAUAGUGGACACAUGGCACAGGAGUAUGCGAUGGAAGGGCUCUUUUCUAUUAAAUCAAACGUCUUCAGUUUUGGAGUUCUCUUGCUAGAGAUAAUAAGCGGGUGAAAGAAUAAUGGUUUUCAUAUCUGAGAGCACGAUGAAAGCCUUCUCGCAUAUGUAUGCUCCUAGUCUCUGCUUCGAUUUAUUAUGAAGUUCAAGAAUUUUGUGCAGCUAUUCUUGCUUAUUUCCCUUGUGAAAUGACAUGCAUGGAAAUUGCGGUCCGAAAAUUGAGGGUUGGAACAUACCGAUCCGUCAAUCAAAGGGUCAUGUGAUGGAGUUCCAGUGCUAAAAUGCAUACAUAUCAAUCUGUUGUGCGUUCAAGAAGACCCGGUGGACCGAUCGACUAUGUCACUUGUGGUUCAUAUGCUAGGAGGUGGUAUGAUCAUUCUUGCCCAAAGAUCGCAGCCUGCAUUCUCAGUUGGGAGAUAUGUGAAAACACUGGAUACUAUCGGAACGAUCCACAAUGUUUCCACCGUUAAUAAAGUAAACCAAGAAUCAUCACCUUUCUUCAGUUGUUUCUCUUCCAUACAAUGGAAAUGCUUCACGAUUUGACAAAAUAGAACUAGUUACAAUGUAUGAUCUCUUUAUUAUUGUGACUGCCAUUUCUUAAUCCUUGAAUUACACAAUCAUGAAUUAUAUAUUGUGAGGAAAAAAAAACCUGUUUAGUAGUCGUCAUUUCUACUGUAAUUCACCACUAAUGUGCUUUAAGAAUGAUAGAUAUACUUACAUGAGUGAUGUAUCAAUAUUCAAUUCUAUAAGUACCCCAUUAAUAUAUAAGAAAGAAUAUACAUAUACAAAUUCAAUAAUCUAAUUUGAGUAUGUUCACCGAAAUCUUAAUGCAUGAAGAGUGUAGAGUGUUUAGAUAUUAAAUCACGUUUGAGCCGGACUGAUUGCAUUCAAAUCUUUCCAAACUCAUGUUUGCCUCCCCAAUUAGAUAUUUUUACACUUCAGUCUCAAACUAAAGUUUAGCUUACACGUGAGGAUAGUGUUAGAUUAUUUAAGUAUUAAAUCACGCUUUUAUCUAAUAGCCCAAGAUGGUUAGAAAACUUUUUACAGAGGAGCUACCAAGUCAAGGCAUCAUUUUGUAAUAGUUUUGAAAUGGUCAUGUAAUGACUUUCUAGACUUUGUAUCAAAUUUACUUUGGCUUUGUAAUGUUUGAUUUAUUUAUUUUUUAUAAACUCUUAUUUAUUUUGUAACGGCUAUAUAGCGGUCAUCUUAUCCUUCAAUAAUUACUAAUUUAUUUACAACUAUCUCUUAAUACUCUCUCUUUCUUUUACCUACAAAUUGUUACUCCGAAUAUAAUUGGAAAGCGAAAUUGAUAUAUCAAGACAAAAAUAUUCCUAUUUCUCUUUAUGUAUCUUUCUUUUCCUCGUUGAAUUAUACACAUAACUUUGUUCCCAUUCCUUCUGUUAUUCUAUCGCAUUGAGUUUCUAUUUUGAGGGCCGGAAUUAUACUUAAAAAUGGUGCUUUGUACACUUCAAACAUUUGAUUUUAUUCUCUCAGCAUUUUCAAUAGAUUUCCAACAAUUAUUAUUUUCAUAUUAUCUAACGUUUUCUCAACAAUCUUGACGGCAAUUGCCUUAUGGAUUCCCUGGUCUCUACUGUCUCGCACCAGUUUCUCCGGCGGUUUGAUGUUGGCUAGCGGUUUUACUGUCGCGACACCUUUAAUCAUUGUCGUUGCGGCUCUUCUUAACCGAUCGCGAUGUUAGCUGGGUUCACUCCUAUGUGGAGGAGGCCCAAUGAGUUGCAAGCCCAAAAAGGGCUUGAGUCCAUAUGAUAAGUUAUAUGAGGAAAUAUGGUUUCUUACUAUUUAUAUAAAGUGAUGGUCGCAAAAGAAAAUAGUUACAAGAGAAAAAAAGAAAGAAUAAAAUCUGAGGUUUGGGGCAAGAUCUGAUUUACAUCAAGCUAGCGUGGAGGUCGCUUCAUGGUCCGAUUGAGCUAAAAUUUUGUCAGCAUGUUCAUGGCGCAAUUUUAUCGAAUCUGAACGGUUUGAUUUUCGUUUGAAGCUCCCUACAUCAGGUUUUUCAUGGAUUGAUCAAAACCUACAUUUUUGGUCAGAUUUAUCCUUGAUCUCUUGUGAAAUUCAUGUGUAUUACCAAGAAUUAUGUUCUUGAGGUCUUUGCUGCUAUGUACUUCUAGUAUUUGCUAGAGAAGAACAAUUUUGUUGAUAGUGAAGAAUUUUGGGUGGACUUCGGUCCCGUGGUUUUUGAUCUCCUCACAUCGAGAAGGUUUUCCACGUAAAAAAAAUCGUCUUGUGUUCGCUUGAUUGGUAUUUAUUUUACUCUACUAUAUCAAUUCCUAUUAGGUUUACACAAGAGUGGAUAUUAUUUUAUUCCACUGUGUUGAUUCGAUAUUGUUCGAAUUGUUUCUGUUCUCCCAUCAAAGUGGUAUAAGAGCAUCUAGUUAUUGCUUGAUUUUUCUGCCUUGUGUUAAACAAUGGAAACGAAUACGAGUAGAAUGGUUACUUUGAAUGGUUCGAAUUAUCAUAUUUGGAAAGGGAAGAUGGAAGACCUUUUAUAUGUGAAAGAUUUUGAUUUGCCCGUAUUUGCCGAUGAGAAACUAGAGAAUUAAACUGAUGCUAAAUGGUCUAUAUUUCAUCGUCAAGUGUGUGGUUAUAUUAGGCAGUGGGUGGAUGAUAAUGUUUUGAACCAUAUUAUUGAGGAAACACAUGCACGCAGUUUAUGAGAUACGCUCGAACAAUUAUAUGCUCGAAAGACUGGGAAUAAUAAGUUAUUUUUGAUAAAACAGAUGAUGGCUUUGAGAUAUCAAGAUGGUACUCGUUUGACUGAUCAUUUAAAUUCUUUUCAAGGAAUUAGAAAUUAGUUGGCUGUGAUGGGAAUCAAGUUUGAUGAUGAGAUACAAGCAUUAUGGUUGCUUGGUACUUUGCCGAACUCCUAGGAGACAUUCCAACAUCUUUGUCUAAUUCUGCCCCAGAUGGUACAAUUACCAUGGAUUUGGCUAAGAGUAGUAUUUGAAUGAAGAGAUGAGAAGGAAGACACAAGGAUCGUCCUCUUCACAUUCUGAUGCCUUGGUUGUUGAGAAAAUGGGAAGAAGUGAAUCUCGAGGUCCGAGAAAUAGAGAUAAAAGUCAAGAUAAAAGCAGAAGUAAGUAUAAUAAAUUUGCUAAUGUUGAGUACCAUUAUUGUCAUCAGAAGGGACAUAUUCAAAGGUUUUGUCGCUAGUUAAAAAGGAAGAAACAAAAGGAGAAAGGUAAAGAGAAGAAAAGUGAUAAUGACAGUGAUGACAAUCGUGUCGCUGCACUUAAAGAAGACUUUCUCGUUAUUUUUUAUUGUGAUGUGGUGAAUUUUGUAUCUCAUGAGACCAGUUGGGUAAUUGAUAGUGAUGCAUCCGUUUAUGCUACGUCUCGUAGGGAUUUCUUUACAUCAUACAGGUCAGGUGACUUCGGAUUUGUGAAGAUGGGAAACAAUGGGCUAGCUCAAGUUGUAGGCAUCGGUGAUGUGUGCCUAGAAACCAACAAUGGCACAAGGUUAGUAUUAAAUAAUGUUAAACAUAUACCUGAUAUCCGCUUGAAUUUGAUUUCUACAGGCAAGUUGGAUGAUGAGAGGUAUUGCAGCAUCUUCAGUAAUGGUCAAUGGAAGCUCACCAAAGGUUCUCUUGUUGUGGCUAGAGGUGAAAAAUAUUCUUCAUUGCAUAUUAUGCAGGCAAAGUUGUCCACAGUCAAAAUUAAUGCAAUAGACAACGAAGAUAUGGCAUCCGGGAAUUUCAACCCGAAAUAUUGAUUUUGAGGGAAACGAUAUUUGACUUUGAAUGGCCAUAGGGACAAUUACAUCAUCGGCCACGAUAUUUUAUCUCUUGGACUGAACCCCUUAUGAAAAUGUUAAUUGAUUAUGAGAAUGUUAAUUGAUUUCUAUAAAUAAAAAUCAAAAUCAAAUGCCCUAAAGUGGUAUAGGAAUUAUGGGCUUAUUAUCGAUAUUUUUCUAUGGGCUAUUUAAAUUGGACAUAGGACGAUUUGAUAAAGAAGACUUUGUUCUUGACUAUGCACUUUAUAGAUUUGAUGGAUUAAUGUCACAAAGUCUUUUGGUCAUUUUAUUAUGCAAUUAGGUAUUUAUUUAAAUGAGGAUUAAAAUGUAUUAUUAAAAAUAAACUUGGGCCAUUUAAGUUUGGGCUUUAGGCCCAAGUGAGAUGGGCCUAAAGUGGGCCAUAAGCCCGGCCCAUGUCGACGCAUGUAGGGGGAAGGAGGAGCCGCAUGGCUUCCUCCAAGUGUCUUCGGCAAAGGAGACACUUGUCUCCUUCUUAGGGACAAGUGUCCCCCAUGCAAAAUAAGAAUGCAUGCAAAUAUAUAUACGACCAAAAAGUGAGAGAGAGAGAGAGAGAGAGAGAGAGAGAGAGAGAGAGAGAGAGAGUGAGUUGCGAGAGAGAGGAACCGAGAGGGAGGAGAGGAAGGAGCUCGCCGUUCGUCCGCCCGCACGCUGUCCGCCGCCCGUCCGUCGCCGUCCGUGUGCUGUCGUCCGCUUGAUCUUAGAGCCAAGUUAGGAUCAAUUUCUACUCUUGCAUGUGUGUCUUGCAUAUGUGAUUGGUUGGUGGUAGAUCUCGGAUGUUUAGGGUAGGCAAAACCAAAGCUAGAGUGUGACUUGUUCUUGAAAAAGCUUGCUGAUUUCAUGUAAACCGCCUGACCCAGAAACUUGUGGAGGCUUGCAUGCAUGUUUCGAAUUGGAUUUCGACCUUGAUUCCUUCAUGAAAGUUGUAGCCAACAUCUUAAACUACAACUUACUAAAAUUUGGGACAAAAUGGUGGAGAUUUAAUGUGGCACCCCUCGACGGCCCCCGAUCCGAUUAGGGUCGCCACAGUUCGCUUACCAUUCACUUUUCCUAAUAACAUGUCACUCCGCUACCAUUUCAAUUGCAGCGGGUCCAUACAACCUGGGGGUUUACAUCUUUUAGAUUGGUCCCUUCCACAAUUUAUAUACGGAAGCACAUCCAACAACUCACUUCCCUAUAUUCAGAAAACGAUGCACACCUACUAAACAUUUAUAGGUAAAAGCCGUACACUUUUAUUCACUUAAACCAUAUGGACAUCGUUCAUCGGUACAUCAAAAUGCCAUAGUUUUCUAUACUUGGCUAUACGUCAAAGGAUGACCAACAUGUCUUCCAACAGUUGUAUACUUAAAGUCCAUCGAUCAGUGUCGGUGUCCAAAAGUUCAUUCAUUUGCUAUCCUCCUCCUCGCGGUCAUAUCCAACUACUUAAUCCAUCUACUAAUUUGAAAUGUUGGUCCCCGAAGGGGUGAGUACAGCCACUCAGCAAGUAAAGGACCAAUAAACCACUCAAUGCAUCAUGCCACACAAUCAUCACAAUCAUAGCAUCACAUGACAUUUAAGCAUCCAUGCACAAUUUACCUUGAUAUCAUGCACAUAUCAUCAUACCUCAUGUACAUACAUUAUCAUAUAGUCAUCACCAUCAUGUCAUACACUUACCAUCAUCAUUACCAUGCAUCCAUGCACAUAUCAUCAUCAUAUUACAUGUACCAUCAUCAUUACCAUGCAUCCAUGCACUCAUCAUCAUCAUAUCACAUGUACCGUCAUCAUUACCAUGCAUCCAUGCACAUAUCAUCAUCAUAUCACAUGCAUCCAUGCACAUAUCAUCAUCAUAUCACAUGUAUCAUCAUCAUUACCAUGCAUCCAUGCACUCAUCAUCAUCAUAUCACAUGUACCAUCAUCAUUACCAUGCAUCCAUGCACAUAUCAUCAUCAUGUCACACAUGCCAUCAUGCCACAGGUGCNNNNNNNNNNNNNNNNNNNNNNNNNNNNNNNNNNNNNNNNNNNNNNNNNNNNNNNNNNNNNNNNNNNNNNNNNNNNNNNNNNNNNNNNNNNNNNNNNNNNGCACUUACCAUCAUGCAUUCAUGCAUAUAUCACCAUGCCAUAUGUGCACAUACCACCAUGAUUCAUAUCAUCCAUGCUAUCAAGCAUACAUCACCAUGAGAUCCAUUCAUGCCUUCAUGAUCGCAUUUUCAAUAUCAAAUAGCAUCAACUUAUUUUCAUAAGCCGAUCAUGCAUCAUGCCAUAUGCAUACACCCAUGCACAUGAUUCAUUUUCAAUUCUUAUCUUUCAUAAGGAUCUCAUCAGUUUUUCUUUCCAGGGACCAAUGUUUGCAUCCCACAAUUUAUCGCUCGCACCCAAUCCUGGCAUCGUAAGGAACCUCCGGGCAUAUAUUCAAAAUACAACCGAGCAUCCGGCCCCCCACAUUCCGAGCAUCUCGCAUCCCAACUAGCAUCACGAGGCAUCCCCCCGAGCACAAACCUCUGGGGCUUCCGGAAUUACGUACCGACAUACCACCAGGAUCCCCCCCCUCUUCUGGAAUUACGUACCGUAUACCACCGGGCAUCUCGAAACUCCCGAGGACCCUCCGGAAUUAUGCCACUAGGCCACCGGGCAUCCGGCACUCCCUAGCCAGGCAUCCCGACACUCCCGGGGCAUCGUCGGCUCACACCUCCGACGGCCUUCUCACUUAUCUCAAUUCACAUCUUCAAUUAUAGUUCAAUUUUAACAUGGCAUGUGAUGUGAUGGCAAUCAAGAUCAUUUUCAUCCUUUGAUUCAUACAUGCAUCUCAAAUCAUCAUCAUACAUGCAGCAAGACACAAUCAAUCAUAACAAUACAAUUCAUGGAGUCCAUACAAUUUAGAAUAGUCCAUUUAUCAUGCCUUUUUGAAGUUUACUAAAUUCCAGCUUGUACCAUUUUAGAAAACAUUUAAAUUAAAUAUCCAUAUAAUCCUCAAAAAUCAUGAAAUCAGGACAUGUGAUAGACAAGACAGUAAGAUAAAAAUUUCAUGAAGAACACAUGCCCGAAAGAGUUUCACACAAGAAGAUAUAAUUCACGCAAAUACAGCAUGUAAUUUCGGAUAGAAACAGAAUGUGCAGUUUUUGAAAUAAUUCGAUUAAAAUACCCGAAUGACCUCCGAAAAUUAUGAAAUUUUACCAGGUUAUAUUUAAGACACUAAAGUAGAUUUUUCAUGCAGACAUCUAGGCCAUAUUCGUUCUCGAUAAUUUUCUACAGACGUCCGAAUCUCCUGUUUCUAGCACCGAAACGUCCAGUUUAGCUAUCUCCGAAAUAUCGAGUUUUCACCUACUUAUCCUUCUUCGUUUCCUCUGAAAUUUUGAUAAUGUUUGCCUCAAGAGGUCCCCUACAACUUUCAUUAAGAGAUAUAAGUGAAAUUUCCAAAGAAUAGUCACCAUAUGGGUCCAAGAAGUCUCGGGUGUCCAGUACCGUAUUUCCAGAUUUACCAUCUUCAAGAGAAAGUCGAUUCACUAGGCUACACUUGUUCAUUUUACCUCACAUUUGAGUAUGUUAGUCUUUAUGAUGUUCUCUACAAGUUUCAUGAAGAAGUCGAAGGGAAAUUCUCGGUAAAAAGCAACAUGCAACCCACAAAACUACCAAAAGGUCAGCAAAGCAGUUCCAGAUCUAGUGUCUUCGUAGGAAGAGGGUUUUACCCCUUAAAUCUCAAUAAUUUUGUCCCAACUUUUAUUAUGUUAUAUUUUGAGAUGUUUUCUACAACUUUCAUGAAGGAGUCAAAGUCAAAAUCCAACUCGAAACAUGCAUGCAAGCCUCCACAAGUUUCUGGGUCGGGCGGUAUACACGAAAUCAGCAAGCUUUUUCAAGAACAAGUCACACUCUAGCUUCGGUUUUGUCUACCCUAAACAUCCGAGAUCUACCACCAACAAAUCACACAUGCAAGACACACAUGCAAGAGUAGAAAUCGAUCCUAACUUUCCUCUAAGAUCAAGCGGAUGACAGCACACGGACGGCACACCGGCGACAGACGGACAGCGUGCGGGCGGACGAACGGCGAGCUCCUUCCUCUCCUCCCUCUCGGUUCCUCUCUCUCGCAACUCACUCUCUCUCUCUCUCUCUCUCUCUCUCUCUCUCUCUCUCUCUCUCUCACUUUUUGGUCGUAUAUAUAUUUGCAUGCAUUCUUAUUUUGCAUGGGGGACACUUGUCCCUAAGAAGGAGACAAGUGUCUCCUUUGCCGAAGACACUUGGAGGAAGCCAUGCGGCUCCUCCUUCCCCCUACAUGCGUCGACAUGGGCCGGGCUUAUGGCCCACUUUAGGCCCAUCUCACUUGGGCCUAAAGCCCAAACUUAAAUGGCCCAAGUUUAUUUUUAAUAAUACAUUUUAAUCCUCAUUUAAAUAAAUACCUAAUUGCAUAAUAAAAUGACCAAAAGACUUUGUGACAUUAAUCCAUCAAAUCUAUAAAGUGCAUAGUCAAGAACAAAGUCUUCUUUAUCAAAUCGUCCUAUGUCCAAUUUAAAUAGCCCAUAGAAAAAUAUCGAUAAUAAGCCCAUAAUUCCUAUACCACUUUAGGGCAUUUGAUUUUGAUUUUUAUUUAUAGAAAUCAAUUAACAUUCUCAUAAUCAAUUAACAUUUUCAUAAGGGGUUCGGUCCAAGAGAUAAAAUAUCGUGGCCGAUGAUGUAAUUGUCCCUAUGGCCAUUCAAAGUCAAAUAUUGUUUCCCUCAAAAUCAAUAUUUCGGGUUGAAAUUCCCGGAUGCGACAUUUAAGGGGUAAAACCCUCUUCCUACGAAGACACUAGAUCUGGAACUGUUUUGCUGACCUUUUGGUAGUUUUGUGGGUUGCAUGUCGAUUUUUACCAAGAAUCUCUCUUCGGCUUCUUCAUGAAACUUGAAGAUAACAUCCUAAGGACUAACAUACUCAAAUUUGAGGUAAAAUGAGCAAGUGUAGCCUAGUGAAUUGACUUUCUCUUGAAGACGGUAAAUCUGAAAAUACGGUACUGGACACCCGAGAUUUCUUGGACCCAUAUGGUGACUAUUCUCUGGAAAUUUCACUUAGAUUCAUUAAUUAAAGUUGUAGGGAACCUCUUGAGGAACAACAUAUCCAAAUUUCAGAGGAAACGAAGAAGAAUAAGUGGGUGAAAACUCGAUAUUUCGGAGAUAGCUAUACUGGACGUUUCGGUGUUAGAAACAGGAGCUUCGGACGCCUGUAGAAAAUUAUCUAGAGCGAAUCUGGCCUAUAUGUCUUCAUGAAAAAUAUACUUUAGUGUCUUAACUAUAACCUGGUAAACUUUCAUAAUUUUCGAAGGUCAUUCGGGUUUUUUAAUCGAAUUAUUUCAGAAACUGCGCAAUCUGAGUUUAUCCGAAAUUACAUGCUGUAUUUGUGCAAAUUAUAUCUUCUUGUGCGAAACUCUUUUGGGCAUGUGUUCUUCAUGAGAUUGUUACCUUAUUGUCUUGUCUAUCACAUGUCCUGAUUUCAUGAUUUUUCAAAAUCAUAUGGAUAUUUAAUUUAAAUAUUUUCUAAAAUUGUGCAAGCUGGAAAUUUAGUAAAUUUCAAAAAGGCAUGAUAUAUGGACUAUUCUAAGUUGUGUGAACCCCAUGGAUUGUAUUGUCAUAUGUGGUUGCAUGUAUGAUGAUGAUUGGAAACGCAUAUAAGAAUUAAAUUGAUGAUAAUGAUCUUGUUUGCCAUCACAUUAUAUGCCAUGUUGAAAUUGAGCCACAAUUGUGAAUAUAAACUAUGAUAAAUGAGAAUGCCGUCGGAGGUUUGAGCCAACGAUGCCCCGGGAGUGUCGGGAUGUAUGGCUAGAAUGGUAAAGGCCGGAUGCCCAGUGGCCUAGUGGCGUAAUUCCGGAGGGUCCUCGGGAGUUUCGAGAUGCCCGGUGGUAUACGGUACGUAAUUCCAAAUGAGGGGAGGAUCCUGGUGGUAUGUCGGUACGUAAUUCCGGAAGCCCCGGAGGUUUGUGCCCGGGGGGAUGCCUCGUGAUGCUAGUUGGGAUGCGAGAUGCCCGGAAUGUGGGGGGCCGGAUGCCCGGUUGUAUUUUGAAUACAUGCCUGGAGGUUCCUCGUGAUGCCUGGUUGGGUGUGAGUGAUGAAUUGUGGGAUGCAAACAUUGGUCCAUGGAAAGAAAAACUGAUGAGAUCCUUGUGAAAGAUAAUAAUUGAAAAUGAAUCAUGUGCAUGGGUGUAUGCAUAUGGCAUGAUGCAUGAUCAGCUUAUGAAAAUAAAUUGAUUCUAUUUGAUAUCGAAAAUGCGAUCAUGAAUGCAUGAAUGGAUCUCAUGGUGAUAUAUGCAUGGAUGCAUGAUGGUAAGUGCAUGGAUGUAUGUGCACCUAUGGCAUGAUGGUAUGUGUGACAUGAUGAUGAUGAGUGCAUGGAUGCAUGGUAAUGAUGAUGAUACAUGUGAUAUGAUGAUGAUAUGUGCAUGGAUGCAUGGUAAUGAUGAUGGUACAUGUGAUAUGACGAUGAUGAGUGCAUGGAUGCAUGGUAAUGAUGAUGGUAAGUGUAUGCCAUGAUGGUGAUGACUAUAUGAUGAUGUAUGUACAUGAGGUAUGAUGAUAUGUGCAUGAUAUCAAUGUAAAUUGUGCAUGGAUGCUUAAAUGUCAUGUGAUGCUAUGAUUGUGAUGAUUGUGUGGCAUGAUGCAUUGAGUGGUUUAUUGGUCAUGUACUUGCUGAGUGGCUGUACUCACCCCUUCGGGAACCAACAUUUCAGAUUAGUAGAUGGAUUGAGUAGUUGGAUAUGACCGCGAGGAGGAGGAUAGCAAAGGAAGGAACUUUUAGACAUCGACACUGAUCGAUGGACUUUAAGUAUACGACUGUUGGAAGAGAUGUUAGUCAUCCUUUGAAGUAUAGCCAAGUAUAGAAAACUAUGGCAUUUUGAUGUACCGAUGAACGAUGUCCAUAUGGUUUAAGUGAAUAAAAGUGUAUGGCUUUUACUUAUAAAUGUUUAGUAGGUGUGCAUCGUUUUCUGAAUAUAGGAAAGGGAGUUGUUGGAUGUGCUUCCGUAUAUAAAUUGCGCAAGGGACCGAUCUAAAAGAUGUAAACCCCCAGGUUGUAUGGACCCACUGCAAUUGAAAUGGUAUCAGAGUGACAUGUUAUUAGGAAAAGUGAAUGGUAAGCGAACUGUGGCGACCCUAAUCGGAUCGGGGGCCGUCGAGGGGUGCCACAGAAGAUGCAGUUGAGUUAUGGCAUAAGAGACUCAGUCACAUUAGUGAAAAGGGUUUGUCACUAUUGGCCAAGAAGAAGCUCCUUUCAGGAUUGAAAAGUUCAGCGCUAAAGAAGUGUGCUCACUGUUUAGUAGGAAAACAGAACAGAGUUGCAUUUAAAAGCUCCUCUCCUUCAAGAAAGUCAAGUAUACUAGAUUUAGUGCAUUUUGAUGUUUACGGUCCUAUGAAAACAAAAUCACUUGGUGGCUCUCUUUAUUUUGUUACCUUCAUAUAUGAUUUUUCAAGGAAAAUUUGGAUUCAUACCUUGAAAACUAAAGAUCAAGUGUUAGAUACUUUUAAGCAAUUUCAUGUUUCAGUUGAGAAACAGAUUGGAAAGAAAUUGAAAUGCAUCUGAACUGAUAACGAGGGAGAAUAUAUUUGACCUUUCGAUGAAUAUUGCAGACAACAAGGUAUUCGACAUCAAAAGACACCUCCCAAGACGCCUCAGUUAAAUGGCUUAGCUAAGAGAAUGAACAGAACACUAGUUGAAAGGGUAAGAUGCUUACUUUCACAGUGAAAGCUACAUGGAUCCUUUUGGGAUGACGCUUUAAGUACGGUUGUACAUGUAUUAAAUCUUACUCCAUGCAUUCCUUUAGAGUUUGAUGUUCCUAACAGAGUUUGGACAUGCAAAGAUGUUUCUUAUGAUUAUUUGCAUGUCUUUGGGUGCAAAGCAUUUGUGCAUAUUCCCAAAGAUGAGAGGUCUAAACUUGAUGUGAAAACACAACAGUACAUAUUUAUCGGUUAUGGACAGGAUAUGCUUGGCUACAAAUUUUAAGAUCCGGUUGAAAAGAAAAUUGUAAAAAGCAAAGACGUUGUGUUUAUGGAAGAUCAAACAAUAAAUGAUAUUGAGAAAGUAGAGAUGAUUUCAGCAUCACAGGUUAGUGAUAAUCUAGUUGAUUUAGAUCCAGUUCCUCUUACAAAUAUUCCUACACAGGUUGAUGAAGAGCAGCUGGAAGUCAAUGUUCCAAAUAAUGCAUAUGUUCCUAAACAUGUUGAAACAGACAAUAAUAUUCCUGAACCAGAGGCUCAAUUAGAUGUUCCAUUGGAUGUUCAAGUCCGGAGAUCCGUUAGAGACCGACGACCUUCCACCAGGUAUUCUGAAGAUGAGUAUGUAUUAUUGACUGAUGUAGAUGAACCAAAGUGCUAUGCAGAAGCAAUAGAAGAUGAGUACAAAAGCAAUUGGUUCGAUGCUAUAAGAGAUGAGAUACAGUCACUUUAUGAUAAUCAUACUUUUGAGUUGGUGAAGUUACCUAAAGGUAAAAGAGCUUUGAAGAACAAGUGGGUAUAUAGGUUGAAGUAAGAUGAACAUACUUCACAACCACGAUACAAAGCUAGAUUGGUUGUUAAGGGAUUCGACAGAGAAAUGGCAUUGAUUUUGAUGAUAUAUUUUCUUCGGUAGUGAAAAUGUCUUCUAUCCGUAUGGUACUAGGCUUGGCAGCUACUCUAGAUUUGGAAAUUGAGCAAAUAGAUGUUAAAACAGCCUUCCUACAUGGUGACUUGGAGGAAGAAAUAUACAUGGAACAACCUAAGGGUUUCAAAGUGAAAGGGCAAGAUGAUUAUAUAUGCAAAUUGAAGAAAAGUCUCUAUGGCCUAAAACAAGCACCGAGGCAGUGGUACAAAAAGUUUGCGUCAGUUAUGACAGAACAUGGCUAUAAGAAGACUUCCUUGGAUAACUGUGUGUUUGUCCAAAAUUUUUCUUAUGAUGACUUUAUUAUUCUCUUGCUUUAUGUUAAUGAUAUGCUGAUUGUUGGCAAUAAUGCUUCAAGAAUUGAGUUAUUGAAGAAACAAUUGAGCAAGUCUUUUGCCAUGAAAGACUUGGGCUUGGGCUUGGCGAAGCAGAUUCUUGGCAUUAGAAUUACUUGAGACAGAGAUGCUAAGAAGUUAUUUUUGUCGCAAGAGAAAUAUAUCGAGAAGAUCCUUCAGAAAUUUUACAUGGACAAGGCUAAAAUGGUUAGUACUCCUCUUGCUGUUUACUUUAAGUUAAAUAUGAAGCAAAGUCCCAUGACUGAUAAAGAGAAGAAAGAUAUGGAAAGUGUUCCAUAUGCUUUAGCUGUAGGAAGCUUAAUGUAUGCAAUAGUAUGUACACGCCCAGACUUGGCGCACGCAGUUGGCGUUGUUAGUCGCUAUUUGUCAAACCAAGGCAGAGAGCACUGAAAUGCAGUGAAGUGGAUUAUGAGGUAUCUUCGGGGAACUUCAAAUUUGAAACUCAGUUUCGGGACCGAGAAACUUGAGUUAGUUGGACACACAAAUUCUAACUUGGCAAGAGAUAUUGAUACUCGUAAAUCUACUUCUAGUUAUUUGAUUUCUUUUGCGAGUGGAGCUGUGUCAUGGAAGUCAAGAUUGCAGAAGUGUGUUGCACUUUCUACAACCGAAGCUGAAUUUAUUGCAGCGAUUGAAGCGAGUAAAGAGAUGUGAUGGAUGAAGAAUUUCUUAGAACUUGGGUUCAAGCAAAAGAGGUAUGUGCUAUUUUGUGAUAAUCAAAGCGCAAUUCAUCUUGGUAAGAAUUCAUCUUUUCAUUCUAGAUCAAAACAUAUUAAUGUUAGAUAUCAUUGGAUAAGAGAUGUUCUAGAUGAAAAGUUGUUGGAACUUGAGAAAAUUCAUACGAAUCAUAAUGGCUCUGAUAUGAUGACGAAAACUCUAUCAAGAGAGAAGCUUGAACAUUGCCAAUUGAUAGCAGGGAUGGUGAAUCCUUACUAUGUGGAGGAGGCCCAAUAAGUUGCAAGCCCAAAAAGGGCUUGAGCUCCUAUGAUAAGCUAUAUGAGGAAAUAGGAUUUCUCACUAUCUAUAUAAAGUGAUGGUCAUAAAAGGAAAUAGUAACAAGAGAAAAAGAGAAAGUAGAAAAUCUGGGGUUUGGGGUAAUAUCUGAUUUACAUCAAGCUGGCAUCGGAAGUCGAUUCAUGGUCCGAUUGAGCUGAAAUUUUGUCAGCAUGUUCGUGACGCAAUUUUAUCGAAUCUGAACGGUUUGAUUUUCGUUUGAAGCUCCCCACAUCAGGAUUUUCAUGGAUUGAUCAAAACCUACAUUUUUGGUCAGAUUUAUCCUCGAUCUCUUGUAAAAUUCAUGUGUAUUGCCAAGAAUUAUGUUCUUAAGGUCUUUGCUACUAUGUACCUCUAGUAUUUGCUAGAGAAGAACAAUUUUGUUGAUAGUGAAAAUUUUUGGGUGGACUUCGAUCCCGUGGUUUUUGAUCUCCUCACAUCGAGGAUGUUUUCCACAUAAAAGAAAUUGUAUUGUGUUCGCGUGAUUGGUAUUUAUUUUACUCUACUAUAUCAAUUCCUAUUACAUUUACAUAAGAUGGGAGAUUAUUUUAUUCCGCUGCGUUGAUUCGAUAUUGUUCGAAUUGUUAUUGUUCUCCCAUCAUGUGACUUAGUUCACUUCGACGAUCGCAAUUCCAAUGGGGCAACCAUGACUCCGGCGGCUUUAUCUACAAUCUGCUGUCACGUCUCCAGCUCUGCCGCUGUGUAUCCUUCUCCAUGACACUCAGGCGAUGAUGAAAUCCAUCAACUAAGACCCAUGCCUGCAAGAGGGACCGGCGAACUUCAGGGCGUUUAGUGGAAAUGAGGUCAGGGCGUAGGAACGGAUCCAUAGCACAGCUGCUUCAUGAUAGCUAUGCGCGUUAUCACCUCACCACCGCUAGAGCCACAAUCAACCCUGAAUCAUCUCACUCUACUGAAUCAAGCCAAGCAUCGUUGUUGGACCAUCGGGUCAUUUCGUAUUAAACUCAGAUUCUCUGAUUUAUCUCUACUACAUUGUCUAGCUGAGUAUCCUAGGUCAUAUUUUGUUUUGAAUUGUUAGCUAUUCUGUUUAUUAGAUGCUUCACACCACAUGCUCACAACUUGUUCGACAGAAUGCCUAACUCAAUCGUGGAUAGUUAGUCCUAUUGCAUUCUGUUUAUAAACAUUUUGAUGUCCAAUUGAUGUCGGUUGCGUCUUGCUGCAUUUCCUGUACAUAGUUCAUUAAUAUGCAAAUGGAUUGGAUAUAUAGGUGAUGUAUGUCGAAUGCUGUUCACAAGUGUUUUGAAUGUAUCAAAUCCUAUUCAUAUGUGGUUGUGCAUGUCAAAUGAUGCUCAUGCGUGUUACUUUGAGAUCGUGAGGUGCUGAAGGAAAGAGAAGAGAAUGCGGGACGUUAUCAAUUAGAGGUGAAUUUGAAUGAAAUAGGCUUAGUUUGACUAUUCUCUUACAUGUUCAUGAUUAUGGGUAGUGUCUAAUCUCUUUUUCAGGGUUCAAAGCAUGUUUACAAAUCAAGACAUUGCUUGGCAUGUUUUGACAUACUUCAUUGAACAUGAUUCCUAACAAAUUUGGCUUAAUUCAAUGCUAAUUUACUUGUUUGUAAAUAGAGGCUCACAUGUCAAUAGUUUUUAGGUACUUUUUAAGCAUGUUUAGACCUCAUUUUUAGUUCCAGUUCAGGACCGUGCUUGCUGGGUGUUGUUGGACCGUGCAUACUAGCAAUGUGGUCUAAUAUAUCCAUGAUAUGGAUUUUUUUUGUGGCCAGUAUGAUGACAUGGAGUAAGUUAUAAUAUAUAUAUGAAAAGAAUGAAAAACAAGAACAAGCGCCACCACACACCAAGAAUUUUGUAUGUUCCUACUCACAUUCCAUUUUUAUAUGAAAUCCAAGAAUUUUGUGCAGCAUCCUUCCUUAAUUUUUCUUGCAAAGUGAUAGGCAUGGAAGUUCUGAUCUAAAGAUUGAGGGUUGGAAACUUACUGAUCUGUCAAUUAAAGAGUUAUGUGAUGGACUUCAAUUGCUAAAAUGCGUACACAUUGGUCUAUUAUGCAUUGCAGAAGAUCCGGCAAACUAACUGACUAUGUCAUUUGUGGUUCAUAUGUGAGGAGACGAUACUAUCCGCGAUACUAUCACACUUACCCAACCAUCGCAGUCUGCAUUCUCAGUUGGGAGAUAUGUGAAAACACUUGAUUCUAUCGGCCCGAUUCACAAAGCUUCCACUGUUAAUGAACUAACAAUUACAAAUGUUUCACCUAGAUGACCAAGUAUCAUCAAUCCUCCUCCAGUUCAUUUCUCUUUUAUACCAUGGUAGGUAGAAUGAUAAUUAUAGUGUGUGAUCUCUUUAGCAUUGUGACUGCCAUUUCUUAAUCCUUGAUUUCCGCAAUCAUCGAUUAGUAAUUGUAAGGUUAAAAAGCCCAAUAGUCGGCAUUUCUAUCCAAUUUAUCACUUUUGUUCUAUCAUAAUUAUACAUAUACUUACUUGAGAUAUAUAUCAAUUUGUAACCCAUUGAUAAAUUAAAAUUUAAGCAUAUAUAAAUUUGAUAUUUUACCUUUAGUAUAUUCAUCGAAAUCUAAUUUGUGAUGAAUAUUAUAAUUAAAUACUAGAUAACAAAUGAGUAGAAAGUCCUGAAUUCAAAUCUCUCUAAACCCCCAUGUACCUCUUUUACUUGCGAAUGUUCAACCUAUGCAUGUGGAGGAAUGUUAGAUUAUCCAUAUAUUAGAUGACGUCUUCAUCUAAUAGUUUAGAGAAAAUCAUUCAUAAAGUCCUACACCUAUUGUACUCUUGUUAAUUCAAUCAUAGACAUUUUUACCUUUUGUCAAUUGAGUCUAUCCGGCUAAGUUUAAUAGAAAAUCGCUAACAUGAAUGCUGGAUGUCUUAUGUGUCACAUGAACAUUUUAAAUAAUAUUUAAUAAAUUUUUUAUUUUUUUAUAUUUUUUAAUCCUUCCCUUCCCUUUCUUUUCUUUUCUUUGGACUCAAGUCGGCAAAGGUAUCGCGGCGUUGCCCCAAAAGGGGAGAGGGCAUCGUGGCCUUUGCUUCGGGCCAAGGCUAGCAAGGGUCACCACGCCCUUGCCUUGCCUAGAUUUCGUAUGGGCAAUGCGGCCAUUGCCAAACUCCUAACCCUUGCCCACUGGCUGGCAAGGGCCAUACACCCUCUCUAGCCCGAAUCCAAAAAAACGGUAAAGAAAAAAAAAAGAGAAAACAUAAUUAGAAAUUCAAUAAGAUGUUAAAAUAUCAUUAAAAAAAAUGUCUACAUUAGCGUCAGCCAUGCCAUGUAAGACGUUUGGCAUCUACGUCAUCCAUUUCUGGCCAAAAUUGCCUAGAUGAGUUCAAUCGAUAAAAAGUGAAAACAUUUAUAACUCAGUUGGCACAAUUAGAAGGUUUUAAAUUGAAUUGGAAAAAGCGUAAUAGGUUUAGGAUAUUUUGGAUAAUUUUCUUCACAAAAAUUCAUAAUCAAUGACCUAUUUUCAUUUGAUAUAAUUAAGUAAAAAGAAAACAAUGUGUAAUGCCAAGCAAUAGUAUCAAGUAGGGGUGUGCAACCAAACUAGUUCUACCCAGGAACCGAAUCGGACCGCCUGAAAAAUAGGUCUAGGAACCGGUUCAGGAACGAGUUCCAAAUUUUUGGAAUUGGUUGUAAUAGGUCCAGUAAUAGGUUCCGAGUGAAUACCCACUCGAGAACUAGAUCAGACCGUCCUAUUUUGGAACCGAUUUUAUAAGCUAAAAAGCCAAAAUCCUAAUUUCUUUUCCCAUAAAUUCUAACCUUAGCAAUUUUUCGUCAUUUGUCCUUCCUCAAAGCUCCUCACCAAUCUUUCCUCUUCCCUAAUUAAUGACCUAUUUUCAUUUGAUAUAAUUAAGUAAAAAGAAAACGAUGCGUAAUGCCAAGCAAUAGUAUCAAGUAGGGGUAUGCAACCAAACUAGUUCUACCCGGGAACUGGAUUGGACCGCAUGAAAAACAGGUCCACGAACCAGUUCGGGAACAUGUUCCAAAUUUUUGGAACUAGUUGUAAUAGGUCCAGUAAUAGGUUCCGAGCGAAUACCCACUCGGGAACUAGAUCAGAUCGUCCUAUUUUGGAACCAAUUUUAUAAGCUAAAAAGCCAAAAUCCUAAUUUCUUUUUCCCAUAAAUUCUAACCUUAGCACUUUUUCUUCCUUUGUCCUUCCUCAAAGCUCCUCACCAAAAAAAGAAAAAGAAAAAUAGUUAAUGAUACAUUCAUCCAAUGAAUUAUGACUUCUCUUUCCUCUUCCCUAAAGUUUUAUGGAUGAUUGGAGAAUGUAAUUUUAUAAUUUACGUUAUAUGUUACAUGUUUGAACUUUUUGUCACUAUAAUUGUACGGGAUUACGUAUUCAUAAUAUGAAUUUCAUAUUAUGGAUUGUUGUUUAUGGUGGAUAGCAAUUUCUGUUGUUCAUCUUUUACAUUAAAUCGUUUCGUUACUCAUAACCUCAUAUGAUUUUGCUAGCAAAAAUGAACCCAAAAAAGGCAAAAAAUAUAAUAAAAAAGGUUCUCGAGUAGACUUUGGAACUGGACUGGAAAAAUAUGAUAGGUUCCAGAAUCGAUUUCAAGCAAACAGGGUAGGUUACAGGGUCCAAAAACUUGGAACUGGUUAUAACAAAAUACGUUCAGGUUACCUUGAAACUAACCACCUUGGAACCAACCACCCUUAGUAUCAAGUAAUGCAUGUGGAUGACUCAGCAACGGUAUUUGUCCACUAGACCUCCUCGUUGGCGCCCAAGGGAAAAACAUUAGCUGGCUAAGCUCGCCUAGUGGAGAAACCUUCCUUCUUUUAUUUUUAAAAUUUCUAGCUAGGGAAACAAAAGGAAAAUAAAAAAUAAUCAUAGGGUUUUGUGUUAUAUUAUCUUAUCUGUGAGUUUACUACUAUUUUCCUCUCCUAUAUCGGAAUUUUGGGCUUAAUUUGUGCUACUAGUGUUUAUAAAAUUUACAUAUCAUAGUAAAAUCACUAAUAAAUGGAAAAGCACCAAAACAUAUAUUAGCGUUCAUGAACGACCAUUCAUAUAUCUUUACUUUUGGGAAAAAAAAAAACAUGCUAAGUGUUACUUUUGAAAACCACCAUUCACAUCAAUUAUCAGUGAUAUAGCUAGUAUAAGCACCUAGAUGGGGGUGAAUAGGUGUAAAAAUAAUUUCUCGAGAUAUGAAAACAAUACUAGACAAAUUAGAAAGGAAGCUCUCCUUUAGUUAACAAAUUGAAGUAUGAUUAAAGUAAAGCAGAGAGUGGGGAAGAGAAAAUUGAACACAAAGUUUAUAGUGGUUCGGUUUAUUCCAAGCCUACGUCCACUCUUCUGCACUGACAGCCCACUGGCUGGAUUUCACUAUGAACAAAAGAGAUGUUACAGCACUGCUUUCACUUGAUUCCACAGUGUAGAUAUUCUACCACACUUCCUCAAGGUAUCUCAAAAUAUAGAUUCUCUUUUGUGUACAAGAUUUCGCUCAGUAAGUGAAUUGACUAAGAAUCAAAGAGCUUCAGACUUUGGAAUUCUUCUAUCGUGCACACUUCGAACAACUGGAACGUCUUCCUUUUAUACUCUUUUGUGCCAUCAUACCCGUUGGCACUUACAAAAGGAAUUCUUCCAAUCCUCCCGUUGGACAGAAUCAAUUAAGGAAGAUUAUUCGAGCUAUUAAAGGAACAUGUCGAUAGCCCAUCAAUCCUGCUCGCCCAUACAAUCAGGAUCUUGGUAUCCAUAAGUAGAACCUUCCAAGAAUACUUCGUCAAUCAUCGGAUCUUUAAUCAUUCUUGAUUUGAAUAAAGGAAUCCGUUAUGUCAUAUCCAGCCAAGAGAUCUUCUCCAGUCGAUAAGGCCAAAUCCUUAAUGAAGCAGUUCUGGAUAGCCUUUCUUCAACGGAUUAGAAACUGUCAAUGAGAAUAGACUUUGAGUCUUGAGUCUGGUAGUCCGGAGGUCUUCAGACUUUAAUAGAAGAGUCUGCAAAACUUCAGACUAGACUGAUAGAAACGUUUUGUCAGCUUCAAAAUAUUCCAGAAAGAUUUCUCCAACAAUCUCCCCCUUUUUGAUGGUGACAAAACUUUCCUGCAUAUUUGAAUAACUUUGACCUGCAAAACAUUACUCAAGCAAAUAUGGAUAUCUCAUAAAGAUUAAUAGCUUAAUGAUAACACUAGAAUCUGCAACCACAGAAAAUAAGUUAGUCUUGCAUGAGAGUAAAGCCAUUCAUAAGAUAUCAAUAAUACUUAAUAUAAACAGUAGUCAAAUCCAAAUCCACGUUCAGUCAAUCCUCAUCCAGACACAGACACACAAGUCAAACAUCAAAACAAACUGAAAAUUCAACAAGUUUAAGUUCAAAGAUUUCAAAUCUCACAUCUCUCUCCCCCUUUUUGUCAUCAUAAAAAAAAGGUUGAGAUGGGAAUAGAAUGGAGUCAAGUUUGCUUGGGAAUGCGAACAAGCUGGAAAUCUCCCAUGGACUGGAUGAUGCCUUCCAGCUUUUUCAAUUCUUCCUUCAGUUGAUCCACCUCUUCACCUUUAGCAUUGGCUUGAAUCUGAAGAGUAAGGGCUUGGAUCUAAUCAGACAAUGAAACGGAAGAAGCUUGUCCUGCAAUCUUCAAGUUCUGAACUUUGCUUUCCAAAGCAUAUAUCUAACCCCGCAAUUCCAAAAGAACAUCAAUGAUCCUACGAAAAUCUGCUGAGUUAUCAGUUUGCGUACUGGCUUCGGUACGAUCUGAUGGAGUAAAGGCAGACGAUGGUAUAUCGGCAUAAUCACGCAGAUUUGGCGACAAAGCACCAUGUCCCUCCUCAGGAAAUAGAGAGGCAUGAAUGUCUUCUGAAUCUGCUGGAGAGCGGCUGACUCCUUCACUGGUAACAGGAUAUGAGGACAUUCCUCUGUUCUCACCAUCUCCCCCUGUUUCCAUGGCUUCAGGUGGAGAAACGUUUUCCUCAUGCUCUCCUUCCUCUUGAUUUUCUCUUUCUUCUUCUUCUUCAAACCUUUCCUCCCCUGCUUCUUUUUCUUCAGCUUCUUUCUCCUUUUCUUCCUUCUCCCCUGCUUCUCUCUCCUCUGCUUCUGUUUCUUCUUCUUUCUCCUGUUCUUCUCUCUCCUCUGCUUCUUUCUCCUGUCGUUCCAUUGAUUCAGGAACAUAACGACUCAGCUUCUUUAAUGCUAUAGCAGAAAUUGUGAGGUCAUCCUCAUCAUCUUCAUCAGUAAUGAGAGCUUUUCUCUUCUUGGAUGGAGCAACCAUGGGUUCCUUCCCUUUUCUUUUCGCUGCUGAAGAGACUUGAUGAGAUUUGACAGGGGUUUUCUCCUUAAAUUUCUCCAACGCCUUGUCGAGCUCUUUCAGACACAUUUUGGACACCAUUUUUAGUCCUACCACCAUUUUGUCACAAGGUCGAACACAGAGAAUUUGUGGAGGCUGAAUAUUCAAAUGUCUGAAUAUCUUUGACAUAAGACCUAGAUAAGGAAGUUGGCCCUUGUCCUUCACCACUGCUCUAUACAUGUGAAACAGAAUAGUGUGAGGAAGAGAAAACUUUUUCCCAGCAUUGAUGGCGUACAUCAGCUUUGCCUUUGAGUUAAAAACAUCAGUCUUGGAAGUUGAUUUCGGUCUGAGGCAAUUGAUCACAAUCUUGUGAAGCAAAAUGUUGAACGCAUGCAUCCUUGAGUAGGAAAUCCUUCCCUCAAUCAUUUUGUCUUUAACAAGUUUCAAUGUGGCACGAGCUAUAGAGACACUGAUAGGUUGAUAUCUCCCUCUCUCAACCCCAAUAACAUCUGCCAACAUAUCCACAUCCACUACAAAUUCCUGAUCUCGGACACUGAAAGAGAUUCUAUUUGCAUCCAAGAAACUAAGAUUUGAAUAGAAAUAUGCAGUUAAUUGAGCAUAGGCUUCUGUGGUGUCAGAACAGAACUGUUCAAGUUGAAGAAAACUGAAAUUUUCCCGCAAAUUGACAUUCACAGCAUCAAGGAAAUCAAAAUCUACACUCCUAGGGUUUAUCACCCCACACUUCAACAAUUUGGAGUAUAGAUCCUUCUGUUCCUUCGAUCUAAACAACUCUGUUCUUUUUCCUCGAAUUUUUGCCGCAACACCCAUUUUCGGUUGAAAUUGGCUGUACAAUCUGUCAUCAUCAUUCCCAUCUAUCGGAUUAAAUCCCCCAACACGCGGAUCACUUGGGAUAUUUGCAAGGGUUUUUUCUGCCAACCCUUUAGGAGCAAUUGCCAAACUCUCCAUUUUUCGCAAAAAGAUGUACUCAUUCCCAUAUCCCUUGUCCUUAAGAAACUCAUCGAUGUAGUUCAAUGGAGUACCAAUGCUCUUUAAAGCACGAUAAAGCUUAUAAAUAAAAGAGGGCUUUUGAACUCUUACAGGAUCUGCGUCUUCAACGAUUUCUUCCUCUUGUUGAUGAACAGCAUUUUGUGGACUAGAUGGUGGAGAAUGACGCUACUGAGAAUGUUGUGGGCUCUGCUGCUAACUUGGUGACUCCUCUUCCUCGGUGAGAUCAAAGUGAGUAGGCCCCUUACUCAUUCGCCGUGGUCCCCUGCUUGCAAUUCUCGAAGACUUUCUUGAAGACGACAUCUUUCUCAGUCUUUGAAAGAUUCCUUGCUUGACUUUCCCAAGAAAGAUGACAACUUUUUCAAAGAUUAAACAAGGGAGGAAGACAGGAAUGGAGGAUCAAUGCUUUUUAGGGUUUUGGAGUUAAGUGAAGAGGAACCGACUGUAUAUAGUUCAGUCGAAUAGAGGCAUACCAAACGUCGUAAAGGAAGGUUAAAAGAUGCAUUUUAAAAAAAAAAACUGCAUUUUUCAAAAAUAGAUAACUGCCAUUAACUCUUUUUGAAAAGGAAAAAAUUGCACUUUUCACGGAAAUUGAAGAUAGCAUAAAUCAAUUAUGAAUGGAUAAAUGAUCGUACCUUUACGGGAUUUAAUAUAAAAUAAAAUAACUUACAUUCAAAAACCAUGAUUGUCUGAGACUGCGAGUCUCUAGACUUUAACUUCUUCAAGCUUCAAGAUGUUGAGUCUGGAACGGAUGAUUUCAAAUUGAUUUUUCUCCAAAGGCUUUGUAAAUAUAUUCGCCAGUUGGUUCUUUGAGUCAACAAACUGAAUCGAAACUUCUCCAUUUUGAACAUGAUCUCUAAUGAAGUGAUGUCGAAUCUCUAUAUGCUUUGCUCUUGAGUGAAGAAUUGGAUUUUUGGUAAGAUUGAUUGCACUGGUGUUGUCACAGUUAAUCUCCGUGCAUGAAUCUUCAAUCCCAAAAUCUCUUAAUUGUUGUUUUAUCCACAGAAUUUGUGAACAACAACUUCCAAGAGCUACAUACUCUGCUUCUGCUGUAGAAAGAGCUACUGUAUUUUGCUUCCUUGAAAACCAAGACACUGUCCUACUUCCAAGUAACUGACAAGUACCCGAGGUGCUCUUUCUAUCAACUCUGCAACUGGCUAGAUCUGUGUCUGAAUAUCCAAGGAGAGUAAAGUCUCCCUUUUUAGGAUACCAAAGGCCGAUGCUUGAAGUUGAAGCAAUGUAUUUGAUAAUACGCUUUGCAGCACUUAGAUGAGAUUCUUUAGGGUCUGCUUGAAAUCUGGCACAAAUGCAAACACUAAACAAAAUGUCAAGUCUAGAAGCAGUAAGAUAAAGAAGUGAACCGAUGAUACUCCUGUAUAGCUUCUGGUCAACUUUCUUUCCUCCUUCAUCUUUGUCUAUCUUCAAGGAAGUUGACAUUGGUAUAUCAGUCUUUUUGCAAUUUUCCAGUCCAAACUUUUUGACAAGAUUAUUAGCAUAUUUUUCUUGAUGAAUAAAAGUCCCUUCCUUCAAUUGUUUCACUUGAAGUCCAAGAAAGAAGGUUAGUUCACCCAUCAUGCUCAUUUCAAAUUCAUCCUGCAUAGACUUAGAGAAUUUCUUGCACAAACUUUCAUUAGAGGAUCCAAAAAUGAUAUCAUCAACAUAUAUUUGAACAAGCAUAAAACUUUUGCUUUCUCUUUUGAUAAACAGAGUAGUGUCUACUUUACCUUUUUCAAACCCAUUUUGAAUUAAAAACUUACUCAGCCUAUCGUACCAAGCUCGAGGUGCUUGCUUUAAUCCAUACAAGGCUUUUUUCAGUCUGAAUACUAAGUCUGGCUUCCUUGGGUCUUCAAACCCAGGUGGUUGUUCCACAUAGAUUUCCUCAUGAAUAAAUCCAUUCAGGAAAGCACUUUUGACGUCCAUUUGGAAUAACCUGGAAUUCUUAUAACAAGCAAAAGCAAGUAAUAAUCGAAUUGCUUCUAACCUUGCUACUGGUGCGUAAGUCUCGUCAUAGUCUAUCCCUUCUUCUUGCGUAUAUCCCUUGGCCACGAGUCUUGCUUUGUUUCUUAUGACUUUUCCUUUUUCGUUCAUCUUGUUUCUGAAAACCCAUUUAGCUCCAAUAAUAGAUUUACCUUUUGGUUUAGGAGUCAACUCCCAGACAUUAUUAAUACUGAAUUGUCUGAGUUCUUCUUGCAUAGCUUCAAUCUAGCUUUCAUCAGAUAAAGCUUCUUCUAUGCUUUUUGGUUCUAUUUCAGAAAUAAGAGCUACAGCACUAGACUCUUCGCGCCUUUUGGAUCUUGUGCGAAUUCCUUCAUUAAUGUUGCCAAUAAUGAGGUCUUUGGGAUGACUGGACUUAUGCUUCCAGUUACUGGUUGAUUUGUCAGGUUGAUGAUCACUUCCUUCAUUUGAAUCUUCAAUAACCAUUUGUUGCUGGUCUUUCAGAGUCUGAGUUGCUUCUUGAGAUUUAGACUUUGUAGAGUCUGGAGCAGGUUCAGAUUCUUCAAGAUAAGUCUGAGCAGAUUCAUUUUGCAUAGAAUCCUGGAAUUUGACAUUCAUUGAUUCCUCCACAGAUUGACUCUUCUUGUUAUAGACUCUGUAGGCUUUGCUUGAGGUAGAAUAUGCAAGGAAGAUUCCUUCGUCUGAUUUUUCUUCAAACUUUCCAACUCUAUCAUUUGCAUUUUUCAAUAUAAAGCAUUUGUAUCCGAACACAUGAAAAUAUGAAACAAUAGGCUUCUUUCCUUUGAAUAACUCAUAGGGUUUUUUUUUUUUUUUCCAGAAUAGGCCUUAGAAAAACUUUAUUGAGAAUGUAACAUGCUGUUGAAACUGCUUCAGCCCAAAAUCGUGAAGAGAUGUUACUUUCAAUUAAAAGAGUUCUAGCCAUUUCUUGAAGCGAUCUAUUCUUUCUUUCCACAACUCCAUUUUGCUCUGGAGUAUAUAGAGAGGAGAACACAUGCUGAAAACUAGAUUCAUCAUAGAAUUUUGUAAAAUCUUGAUUUUCAAAUUCACCUCCAUGAUCUGUUCUUAUACACGAGAUAACAUACCCUUUUUCAUUUUGAACCUUUUUAGCAAACUUUUCAAAGUAAGAGAAAGUUUCAGACUUACUUGCCAGGAAAUAUACCCAAGUAAAUCGUGAGUAAUCAUCCACAAUUACUAGGAAAUAUUUCUUACCUCCAAUGCUCUGAGUUCUGGUUGGUCCGAAAAGGUCCAUAUGCAGAAGCUGUAGUACACGAUUAGUGGAAACUUGAUUUAUUGGUUUAAAGGAAUUUCUUACCUGUUUUCCCAAUACGCACGGCGUACAUAGAUCAAACUUUUGGUAUGACAAUUUGGGUAGACCACGAACAAGCUUCUUUGCUGAAAUUUUGGCUAUCUGCUUCAUAUUGAUGUGCCCAAGCUUUCUGUGCCAUAAGCUCGCUUCAUCUUGAAUUGAGAUUAGACAUUGCGAUUCAUUUGGUUUCACAUCCAAGAGGUAGAUGUUUCCAUGUCUUCGGCCCAUGAAUGACUGAGUAGAAUCUUUACUGGUUCCUGAACAUAUUCCCUCUUGAAAGUUGAUUUUGAAACCAGUAUCACACAGCUGACUAAUACUGAGUAGAUUGUAGUUGAGUCCUUCCACUAGGGAGACAUUGCUUAUAGUGAGGUUUCCAAUCUUUACAGUUCCAAAUCCCACAAUUUUUCCUUUGCUGUUUUCUCCAAAUGAGACUUUUCCACCAUUUACUUGAACGAGCUUUAUGAAGCAAUUUGAGUCUCCUGUCAUAUGUCUUGAGCAUCCACUAUCUAGAUACCAUUUUACCUUUUUCUUGAUAGUGACCUGCAUUUAAAAGAGAGACUCAAGCUUUCUUUGGUACUCAUAUUUUCUUGGGUCCAUUGGUGUUAGUAUAAUAUGCGGUUUUUGCCUAUACUUUCUUAACAGGUUUCCAAACCGUAGGACACUCUUUUUCAAAAUGAUCUGCACUAUUGCACUUUGAAUAUCUGAGAACAUUUCAACCCACUGGUUUUACAAACACUUUUUGAAAAUGAUUUUUGUAAAAUGUCUUUGAAGGUCUCUGAUUAAUUCUUUCCUUCACUUUAGGAAAAUCAAUUAAAGGAAUGGUUUCUGCUGUCAUUCCUAAACCAGAUUUAUUGAAAUAAGGUCUUUAUGCUGAAAGAAUUUUUUCAAGUUUCUCAGAUCCUAUUGAAAAUAUUUUUGAAAUAUUUGAUAAGUCAUUUUUUAAAAAUGCAUUUUCUUUCAAGAGAUUAUCUUCACUUUCUUUAAGAGUAGAAACAUUCGUGUCUAAAUGUUUCAACUUUUCUUUCAAAACAUUUUCCUAUUGUUUUAGUGUAGAGUUUUCCUUUUUAAGUUCGGAAAUCCUUUUAAGAGAAGUCUUAAGACUAAAACACAGCUCAUCAAUGUAUUUGGAAACUUUAACAGGGAUUUUAAAAUUACUUACCUCAAAUUCACUGUCUGAAUCUGAGUUUGUCUCGGAGUUUGAUGCAGAAUCCGAUUGUGCCAUCAGACAUAUAUUGGCAUAAUCAUCAUCACUUUCUUCACACUCUGUAUCACUCCAGGUUUCUGCUUUAAGAGCCUUUCAAUACUUUUUAGCUUUUCCUUUCUUCUUUUUCAGAAGAGGACAGUUGGGUCUGAUGUGUCCCUUUUUCUUACAUUCAAAGCAGACUACAUCUUUGUUUGAUUCAUCAUCAUCAACAGACUUGGUCUGUUGCUUUUGAAAACUCUGUUUCUUUGGAUUGAAUCUUCUUCCUUUUCUGUUCAACUUUCUGAAUCUUCUUAUCAUGAGAGCAAGCUCCUCAUCAUCCAUAUCGUCUUCAGAAUCUGUGACAUCAGAAUCAUCAUUGAAUUUUAAUGCAAUGGAUUUCUUACCUUUAGGAUCUUCGUCUUCAUUGAUUCGUUCCACUUCAUAAGACUGAAGAGUUCCAACCAACUCAUCGACAGAUAGUGGCAUGAUUCUUUGUGUCUCUCUUAUUGAGGUCUUUAUGUGAUUCCAAUCCUUGGAGAGUCCACGCAGUAACUUGUUUACCUUCAUGGGAUUAGAAAUUGGUUGAUCUUGAUUUUGAAGACCAUUCACGAUUUUUGUAAAACAACUAAACAUGUCAGUUAUAGAUUCUCCUGAUUUCAUUUUGAAUGCUUCAUAUUGACCGAGGAGAAUGUUGAUUCUAGUCUCUUUCACUCGAUCAGUUCCUUCAUAGGUGAUAUGUAAUCUAUCCCAGACUUCUUUUGCUGUAACACAAGAAGAUAUUAUGUUAUAUUCAGUAGGUGAUAAAGCACAAUAUAAAGAAUAAAUUGCUUUUGCAUCAAGAGCCUGUCUCUUGAUUAUCUCUUCCUGAGUCAUUUCACUUGACUUAACAGUUUCUUUUCCUUUCUCUGUGACAGAUGCAGCUUUAGGAGUGAUUCCUUUUUCUAUAACGUCCCAUUCCAGAGGAUCCUUUGAUCGUAGAAACGCUUUCAUCUUGUUUUUCCAGAUGUUGUAAUCCUUUCCAUCAAAGUAAGGUGGUCUGGUAUUGCUCUGCCCUUCCACCAGCCCUGGAGCUAGCAUACUAGCCAUGGAUCUUUAACUCUGAAGGAAAACACUUCAAACAAAGUGAGUACACAGGCUCUGAUACCAAUUGAUAUAGCUAGUAUAAGCACCUAGAGGGGGGUGAAUAGGUGUAAAAAUAAUUUCUCGAGAUAUGAAAACAAUACUAGACAAAUCAAAAAGGAAGCUCUCCUUUAGUUAACAAAUCGAACUAUGAUUAAAGUAAAGCAGAGAGUAGGGAAGAGAAAAUUGAACACAAAGUUUAUAGUGGUUCGGCUUAUUCCAAGCCUACGUCCACUCUUCUGCACUGACAGCCCACUGGCUGGAUUUCACUAUGAACAAAAGAGAUGUUACAGCACUGCUUUCACUUGAUUCCACAGUGUAGAUAUUCUACCACACUUCCUCAAUGUAUCUCAAAAUAUAGAUUCUCUUUUGUGUACAAGAUUUCGCUCAGUAAGUGAAUUGACUAAGAAUCAAAGAGCUUCAGACUUUGGAAUUCUUCUAUCGUGCACACUUCGAACAACUGGAACGUCUUCCUUAAUGAAGCAGUUCUGGAUAGCCUUUCUUCAACGGAUUAGAAACUGUCAAUGAGAAUAGACUUUGAGUCUUGAGUCUGGUAGUCCGGAGGUCUUCAGACUUUAAUAGAAGAGUCUGCAAAACUUCAGACUAGACUGAUAGAAACGUUUUGUCAGCUUCAAAAUAUUCCAGAAAGAUUUCUCCAACAAUCAGUAUGUCUCCUUUUACUUUGUAAAAUGCCAGCUCUAAAUCCUAAUUUCUCACACCCACCCAAAUUAGCCAAAACCAACUAAAAACUAAACCAUUUAAACCCUAAGUAGUAUACUAAAAUGAAUUUUGCAAGGAGGGGUAAUUUGCUCUUUUCAAGGUGGAGUUUUGCUUAGAGGUUAUAUGAAUGGUUUGCAAAGAUUGUUUAUACGUUGGGUCAAAAGUGAGGUAUGUAUUUAGACAUAUUUUUGUAAUUCUUUUUAAUAAUAAAGGCGCAACAACACAAGCCUCAAGCUCUUGCCUAGACCUAGCCCACCCGUUGACCAGACUUGUCCAAGCUCACUAAAUAGGCUUAAAAAAUUUAGCCAACCUCACUUAUGAAUGAGGUCUAUUAGCACAACCACUGGGGUUUGCCCUAGUGGCCACCCUUCCAACAUGAAAGGGGGAGGUGGGGGAUUUGAAUCUUCACUUGUGGGGACGAAUUAGUUUCAAGUGUGGGUUGUGACUCCCACGUUCUGCAAGGAGGCAGUGCAAAAAUUUGAGAGUGAGAAUUAAAAUAGAAGUAGAAUAUGACCGACAAAAAAAAAAAAACGUCUACUAGCGCGAUAUAGGGAAAAGUUACUAAAUCUGACCAAUCAUAUCUAUCAAAUCAAUGAGGAAAAAAUAUUUUCUAUUAUCAUUUGCCAACAUAUAUUAUAGAGAAAAAAUCAUUGUCUUUCAAAACGUACUUAUAUAAGAAAUUACAAAAGAAAAAUGAUAGUCAUGCGAUAUUCCCAUCAAAUUUGCGCAAAAAUUACGAACUUUGAUGAAUAUUGCAUCAAUCUUUCGAAACACAAUUUCUUUCUCUAACACCUCUUACAAGACCCCAUAAACUGCAAAAUUCAGAGAAAUUGGAUCUAUUUAUAUUUAGUGCUGGCUUUUAUUGGCUCUUUGUUGGGACCCGGUUUAAUAACUUUUUUCGGUCUUUUGGGUUCCACCCGAUCGUUGGGAGUACAAGCCGGGAGCGUGGGAACGUGGAAAUCGUCCCUGUUGACAGGGGAACAUGGAAAUCGGACUAAUUCGUCUUUGCUAACCCCGGUAUAUGGGAGAGCAGCUACAAAACUUGGUUCUUGAUCAAUUUCUUGACCCAGACCCCGAGGCCUAGAAAGGACAAUAUUAUGGCUUGGGAGAGGGAUGGCUCCCAAGGGGGGGAGAAUGUGACGACUGACCCUAAUCUGGGGCAGUACGGAGGGACGGACUAAGAUCGCCUCGGUAGUACGCGGGCGAGGCUAAGGGCAUGUCUCCCGUCCCGCUUAGGGGGAGUCCUGGAGGACAAUAUUAUGACUUGGGAGAGGGAUGGUGGUUUGUCCGCACCUCUACCCCUGCAUAACUCGUUUUAAAGCCGUAAGGGCCGAAGGUCCAAAGCGGACAAUAUUACAUAGUGGGGCCCAGGUCCUUUGAGUAAAAUUUCCUUAUUUUAAAAAUGUAUACUCUUCCUCUUGCAUAAUAAUAAUGAAAGAUUAUAGUCAAGGGUCUAAGGUGACGGCCUAGGACGUCACAAAAGCUAAUAUCUGAAACUUGGUCGUGGAUUUCUAUAUUAUUGUUUUAAAUUCUAAAAUCCAAUUUAAUUUUAAGCUCAAAUUCGAGGCAUAUUUUAACAAGGGUUACUCAUUUAAAGCAUAAAAAAAUACAUAUAAAUUCGAACAGACAUCACGAGCUGUCGACAUAUAAAAGGAGUGUUAGAUUUUGAAGAGCCAAAAAUCAACAUUUCAAAAAAGUGGUGAGUUCUUAGUCCCGUGUCUUCGUCAACGAGCAUUGGACUUUCAUUGGAGCAUCGUACUUGUUUUUUCCACGAAAAACGUAUGUACCCCUAUUCCUUCCGAGCAGGUCUCACCUGAGAGGAUGUGCACGUGUGGCGAUUCCAACCGAGCCUUGAACGAGGAGAGGAGGAACAUGUGAUUCAUAACCAUUGCCGAGUCUUUGUCGGGUCUUUUCGGUUUGUAUCUUAGGUUGGUUUUAAACCACCGAGGGGACAAAAACCUUUGGUGUUUUUUUUUUUUUUGGUCAGAAAAAACCUUUGGUUGAUUUAUUUAUAUUUAGUGCCGGUCUUUAUGGGGUCUUUUUGGGUCCCUCUCCCCAGAUUCUUCCUCUGGUAGGGCAAGCCAGGAACGGUCACCCUCAUUUCUCCUGGAAAAAAGAAGCCAAUUGGAUCACCCCUGUUGACGAAGGAACGUGGAAAUUGGACUAACAGUCACCCUCAUUUCUCCUGGAAAAAAGAAGUCAAUUGGAUCACCCCGUUGAUGACAUCUUCAUCUAAUAGUUUAGAGAAAAUCAUUCAAAAAGUCUUACAUCUAUCGUACUUUUGUUAAUUCAAUCAUAGAUAUUUUUACCUUUUGUCAAUUGAGUCUUAUCCGGCUAAGUUUGAUAGAAAAUCGCUAACAUGAAUGCCGGAUGUCUUAUGAGUCACAUGAACAUUUUAAAUAAUAUUUAAUAAUUUUUUAUUUUAUUGUUAUUAUUAUUUAAUCCUUCCCUUCCUUUUCUUUUCUUUUCUUUGGACUCAAGUCGGCAAGGGUAUCGCAGCCUUGCCCCAAAAGGGGAGAGGGCGUCAUGGCCUUCGCUUGGGGCCAAGGCCAACAAGGGUCACCAUGCCCUUGCCCACUGGCUGGCCUAGAUUUGGCAUGGGCAAUGUGGCCAUUGCCGAACUCUUAACCCUUGCCCACUGGCUGGCAAGGGCCAUACACCCUCUCUAGCCCGAAUCCAAAAAAGGGUAAAGAAAAUAUAAAAAGAAAACAUUAUUAGAAAUUUAAUAAGAUGUUAAAAUUUCAUAAAAAAAAUUGUCUACAUUAAUGUCAGCCAUGCCAUGUAAGACGUUUGGCAUCUACAUCAUCCAUUUCUGGCCAAAAUUGCCCAGAUGGGUUCAAUCGACAAAAAAUGAAAACAUUUAUAACUCAAUUGGCACAAUUAGAAGGUUUUAAAUUGAAUUGGCAAAAUCGCAAUAUGUUUAGGAUAUUUUGGAUAAUUUUGUUCACAAAAAUUCAUAAUUAAUGACCUAUUUUCAUUUAAUAUAAUUAAGUAAAAAGAAAACAAUGUGUAAUGCCAAGCAAUAGUAUCAAGUAGGGGUGUGCAACCAAACUAGUUCUACCUGGGAAUCGGAUCAGACCGCCUGAAAAAUAGGUCCACGAAUCAAUUCAAGAAUAGGUUCUAAAUUUUUGGAAUUGGUUGUAAUAGGUCUAGUAAUAGGUUCCGAGUGAAUACCCACUCAGGAAUUAGAUCAGACCGUUCUAUUUUAGAACCGAUUUUAUAAGCUAAAAAGCCAAAAUCCUAAUUUCUUUUUCCCAUAAAUUCUAACCUUAGCACUUUUUCAUCAUUUGUCCUUCCUCAAAGCUCCUCACCAAUCUUUCCUCUUCCCUAAUUAAUGACCUAUUUUCAUUUGAUAUAAUUAAGUAAAAAGAAAACAAUGUGUAAUGCGAAACAAUAGUAUCAAGUAGGGGGUGUGCAACCAAACCAGUUCUACCCAGGAACCCGAUCAGACCGCUUGAAAAAUAGGUCCACGAACCAGUUCAGGAACAGGUUUCAAAUUUUUGGAACUGGUUGUAAUAGGUUUAGUAAUAGGUUUCAAGUGAAUACCCACUCGGGAACUAGAUCAGACCGUCCUAUUUUGGAAUCGAUUUUAUAAGCUAAAAAGCCAAAAUCCUAAUUUCUUUUUCCCAUAAAUUCUAACCUUAGCACUUUUUCGUCCUUUGUCCUUCCUCAAAGCUCCUCACCAAUCUUUCCUCUUUCGUAAAGUUUUAUGGAUGAUUGGAGAAUGGAAUUUUAUAAUUUACGUUAUAUGUUACAUGUUUGAACUUUUUGUCAUUAUAAUUGUACGGGAUUACGUAUUCAUAUUAUGGAUUGUUGUUUAAGGUGGAUAGUGAUUUAUGUUGUUCAUCUUUUACAUUGAAUCGUUUCGUUACUUAUAACCUCAUAUGAUUUUGCUGCAAAAAAUGAACCCAAAAAAGGCAAAAAAAAAAAAAAAAAAAAUAGGUUCUUGAGUAGACUUUGGAACUGGACUGGAAAAAUAAGAUAGGUUCUAGAACCGAUUUCAAGCAAACAUGGUAGCUUACAGGGUCCAAAAACUUGGAACUGGUUAUAACAAAAUACGUUGAGGUUACCUUGAAACUACCCACCUUGGAACCAACCACCCUUAGUAUCAAGUAAUGCAUGCGGAUGACUCAGCAACGGUAUUUGUCCACUAGACCUACUCGUUGGCGCCCAAGGGAAAGACACUAGCUGGCCAAGCUCGCCUAGUGGAGAAACCUUCCUUCUUUUAUUUUUAAAAUUUCUAGCUAGGGAAAAAAAUUAAAAAAAAAAAUAAUCAUAGGGUUUUGUGUUAUAUUAUUUUAUCUGUGAGUUUACUACUAUUUUUCUCUCCUACAUCGGAAUUUUCGGCUUAAUUUGUGCUACUAGUGUUUAUAAAAUCUAUAUAUCAUAGUAAAAUCACUAAUAAAAGGAAAAACACCAAAACAUAUAUUAGCGUUCAUGAACGACCAUUCAUAUAUCUUUACUUUUGGAAAAAGACAAAAGCAUUCUAAGUGUUACUUUUGAAAACCACCCUUCACAUCAAUUAUCAAUGUCUCCUUUUACUUUGUAAAAUGCCCGCUCUAAAUCCUAAUUUCUCACACCCACCCAAAUUAGCCAAGACCAACUAAAAACUAAACCAUUUAAACCCUCAGCAGUAUACUAAAAUGAAUUUUGCAUGGAGGGGUAAUUUGCUCUUUUCAAGGUGGAGUUUUGCUUAGAGGUUAUAUGAAUGGUUUGCAAAGAUUGUUUAUACGUUGGGUCAAAAGUGAGGUAUGUAUUAAGACAUAUUUUUGUAAAUUUUUUUUUAAUAAUAAGGGCGCAACAGGACUAGCCUCAAGCCCUUGCCCAGACCUAGCCCACCCGUUGACCAGACUUGUCCAAGCUCGCUAAAUAGGCUUAAAAAAUUUAGCCAACCCCACGCGUGAAUCGGGUCUACUAGCGGGAUAUAGGCAAAAGUUACUAAAUCUGACCAAUCAUAUCUAUCAAAUCAUUAAGGAAAAAAAAUAUUUUCUAUUAUCAUUUGCCAACAUAUAUUAUAGAGAACAUAUCAUUGUCUUUCAAGAUGUACUUAUAUAAGAAAGCACAAAAGAAAAAUGAUACUCGUGAUAUUCCCGUUGAAUUUGCGCAAAAAUUAUGAACUUUGAUGAAUGUUGCGUCGAUCUUUUGAAACGCAAUUUCUUUCUCUAACACCUCUUACAAGACCCCAUAAACUGGGUUGCUUGCUCAAAGCAUAGAAAAACACAUUAGAAGAAAUUCGAAAAGAUAUCCAGAGCUGUUCACAUAUAAAAGGAGUGUUAGAUUUUGAAGAGCGAAAAAUCAACAUUUCUGACCUUCAAAAACGUGGUGAGUUCUUAGUCCCGUGUCAUCGUCAACAAACACUGGAGUUUCAUUAGAGCAUCCUAUAUAUAUAUUUUCUACCAAGAACAUAUAUACCCUUAUUCCUUCGAAACAAAUCUCAUCAGGUAUGAUGGUCCUCCGCUCCCACACGGAAAAAUUGCUAUGCUUCUGGAUGACCCCAAAAGAAUGUGUAGGUAUGGCGAUUCGCACUCGGGCCUUGAACGAGGACGAGGAACAUGCUUAGGAUGACUCAUAACCAUUGCCAAGUCUUUGUCGGAUAUUUUGGGUUUGACCCUUAGUUGAUUUGUAUCCAUUGUGGGGACCAAACCUUCGGAUGAUCUAUUUAUAUUUAGUGCUGGCCUCUAUUGUCUCUUUGUCGGACCCCGUUUAACAACUUUUUUCGGUCUUUUGGGUUCCACCCGAUCGUUGGGAGUACAAGCCAGGAACGUGGGAACGUGGAAAUCGUCCCUGUUGACAAGGGAACGCGGAAAUCGGACUAAUUCGUCUUUGCUAACCACGGCAUCUGGGAGAGCAGCUACAAAACUUGGUUCUUGAUCAAUUUCUUUACCUCGACCUCCAGAAGUUGCUUAUUAUCGUACUCCUCUUGAGUUGAAAGAGUCCAUGGCCGUCUUUGAAUUACUUUUGCUGUACUUGCAUUCUUUCCAAGUUCAAGCAAAAAAGAUUGUCGAUGCACCAAGAAAUAUUUCCUUCGCUUUCUGGAUUUCAUGCCUGAUCCUCUUCAUCCCAGGCACUCCUGUCGGUGCACAGACAUAUCUUCAAGAAAAGUGCGCAGAUAGGGGCGAGAAUGCUGCUAAAAACUAUGCUCCUUAUAGCAAGUUUCAAGACAACCUCAACAGCCUCCUCUCCAAGGGCAACUACGCUGAUUACAACAAAGGACCCAUUCACGGCUUUCACAACACAACAGAAGGCGAAGAUCCGGACAAAGUUUAUGGUCUCUUCCUCUGCAGGUAAAUCACAUGCGAAAGAUGCCAAAAAAUUCUACUUUUGAGUAAUAUCUACCAAAUCAAUCAUUAUAAUCUUUGGAAUCGACUCACCUAGAACUAGGGUUUAUAAUGGACCUGAUAUAUUGGUCUCAAUUGAAACCUCUACAAAAUACGGUGAUCCAAUGCCAACUGAAAAAUUACUAUCCAGAUUUAAGUGACUACUCUUGCAACUUUACUAUUUCUCUUUAGAGGGGAUGUUGCUGCCAAUCUCUGUCAGUCUUGCAUCCGUUCAGCUAGCAGCACGAUCAUAGAAAGAUGUCCAGGACAGAAAGAGGCAAUCAUAUGGUACGACGAGUGUUUCUUGCGCUACUCCAACAGAUCAUUCUUCUCUAUCAUGGAGACAACGCCGUUUCUUUUCAUUGUCAACCCUGCGAACGAUUCGGUUACCUUCAACAGGACUAUGGAGCAAACUUUUGAUAAUGAGAAGGACUUUGUGGCAGAAGUGACGGAUUUGUCGAGGAAUGUGACGGACUUGGUGAUCUUGUCAGAAAGCUUAUACGCAACCUUAAACGUUAGUGUCUCAAGUUCAGUGACCCUUUACGGGCUUGCACAGUGCACCCCCGAUAUAUCAAAAUCAGCUUGUAAGAGUUGCUUGCUUUCUGCUAUUGAAAAGUUUCCAACCAUUCUUAAUUAUCGAAGGGGAGGUGCCAGAGUUCUUCAGCCAAGUUGUAAUGUACGGUACGAACUGUAUCAUUUUUAUGGGAAGACUAGAGGGAAAACCAGCACCGAUUCCAGCAUUAAAGGUAUGAGUUAUAUAAUGUUCCAAAUGUGCACUCAGUUUGUCAUGGUAAGCGUAUAAUGGUAUCAUUCCAUUGCUUCUAAUUCUCAAUAUGAGCUGUUUUAUGUAUCAUAUUGCACUUGACUUGCUUUUACGAUCUAAACUCUGAUCAUAUUCUCUUGAUUUCAAUGAGUUCUUGGUAAUAUUUACACUUAGAAAGGAAAAAAAAAGUCUGCAGAUUUGUGGUAUGUUUAGAUCCAAGGAAUUUCUCUUUCUUGACAGGGGUAAAACAAAAUCCAUGGAUUGCAAUAGUUAGCUCAGUAAUUGGAUCAGGGUUACUAAUAGUUAUCGUGGGUUCGUGUAUUUUUUUGAAGAGGACAAAGAGAUUGAAGAAAGGUAUAAGUGAAUUCAUCUUGCUUGCCAUUGUAAUGGCCAUCUUCUAACCUUUACCUGACAAGAGUAAACUCUCGGACUCUCAGAGAAGGAAAACAACCAAAAGGUUCUGUUACUUCAUCUGAGACAAGAAAUUGGAGAAGAGCUUUCAAAGGAAAACUCUCGUGGAGAAAAGCCAGUGGCUUCUAAAAAAUUCUCUCUGAUGCGAUUAGACGUCAUACGCGCAGCCACAGGAAACUUCUCCAAUGAAUGUAAACUUGGGGAAGGUGGGUUUGGCCCUGUGUACAAGGUAAGCAAUUUAGUGACUCAAUGCCAACUUAUGUGGAGACUAGGAAAAUCUUCUAAUGGUAGCAAUCUGGCGGAGUCAUUAUCCAUAGCAUGAACUGAAUCGAAUUUUGGUUAUCAUCAGUAAUUCUCAGAUGGGGAUCUCACCACUUACUACCCUGUUUCAGGCCACAUUGGCAGAUGGAAAAGAAAUUGCAGUUAAGAGGCUUUCAAGAACCUCAGACCAAGGACUCAUCGAGUUGAAGAACGAAGUCAUCUUGAUUGCCAGACUACAACACAGGAACCUCGUCCAAUUAUUGGGAUGCUGUUUGGAAGAACAUGAAAAACUCUUGAUAUAUGAAUACAUGCCCAACAAAAGCCUGGAUGCCUUCCUUUUUGGUUUGAGCUUUAGCAGAUGCAAUGAAUUUUUGAGCUAGUUAAUCCUAGUUUUAUAGAGUUGAGUUUCAUCCGAGUCUCUCAUCUUUGACAGAUUCGAAUAUAGGGCGAUAUCUAGAUUGGAAGCUGCGCAUGAACAUCACCUGUGGAAUAGCUCGGGGACUUCUCUAUCUGCAUGAGGAUUCUCGCCUGAGAAUUAUCCACAGGGAUCUGAAGGCUAGCAAUAUUUUGCUUGAUGGCGAGAUGAAUCCAAAGAUAUCCGAUUUCGGAAUGGCAAGGAUCUUCAGUGUAAAUCAAGACAAGGCAAACACAAACAGGGUCGUUGGAACCUAGUAAGUGCCUCAAUAUCUUUCUACGUCCUUUACAUGUUUUGACUGAUUCAGUAGGCCAACAAAGGACUCUGAUUAUCUGCUCAACAACACCAGAUAGAGCACAUUCAUAUUUCAGAAGUUCCAUACAGAAGUUUUACUUUUCUCUGUUUCUUACUUCCAACUAAUUGUUCUUCAUUAUAUAAUUCUGGUCAGUGGAUACAUGGCACCGGAGUAUGCAAUGCAAGGACUCUUUUCUGUAAAAUCAGACGUCUUCAGUUUUGGAGUUCUCUUGCUAGAGAUAGUAAGCGGGCGCAAGAAUAAUGGUUUUCAUCGCCAAGUAAAGGGUGAAAGCCUUCUCACAUUUGUAUGUUCCUAAUCACCAUCCCAGUUUAAUAUGAAAUCAAAGAUUUUCGUGCAGCUAUGCUUGUUAAAUUUCCUUGCUAAAUAACAGGCAUGGAAGUUGUGGUCCGAAGGUCGAGCGUUGGAACUUAUCGAUCCGUUAAUCGAUGAGUCAUGUGAUGAAGUUGAAGUGCUGAAAUGCAUACACAUCGGUCUAUUGUGUGUCCAAGAAGACCCGGCGGAUCGACUGACUAUGUCACUCGUGGUUCAUAUUUUAGCUGGCGAUACUAUCACACUCAGCCCCCCAUCGCAGCCUGCAUUCUCCGUUGGGAGAGAUGCGGAAAAACUUGAUCGUCCCUCAACUGUUAAUGAAGUAACCCUUUCGGUUGUUGCGGCUAGGUGAUCAAGUUUUAUACAAUGGAAAUGCUGUUAGAGAUAAUUAUGGUAUAUUUUGUCUUUUAGGACUGUGUAUGUAUCUCCAUUGUAAUAUAUUUAUAUCAUCCUACUUUCUAUAUUCAUCACGUAAAGCUGGCCUAUGUUCUCUUCUGUAUAUAUACGAAAUAUAUAGAAACUAAAGAAUUCUUUCACAUAUUUCUUAUCUUAGUGCUAGAGGUAGAUGAUCUUGAGCAAAUUUUGAGUGCUCGAGUGGGACACAUCCGAGUGCACUCCGGAGCACACCUUCACAUAUCGCGUAAUGUGAUUCAUUUUUGUUAUAAUUACCGAUAUCCCUUUCUGAACAUCAAUUCUUAACAUUUUCAUCACGUACGAAUAAACGUCAGCCUAUUGCUGCGUAAUCUACACACGUUGGUCGGUUCACUCUUCAGCACAUGAAAUCACCUCUUUGGAUCUUUUCUCCCAACUCCAUUUGACUUCCUCUUCGUCACAUUGAGUUUGAGAGUUUGUUUAAGAUAAUUAAGAUUUUUAACUUGAUCCUCCAUUUUUUAGGGUUGUGAAUAUAUAUUUCACUUGCUUGCGCGUAUUGGUAAUUUCCUAUGCAAUGCAAGGACUCUUUUCUGUAAAAUCAGACGUCUCCAGUUUUGGAUUUCUCUUGCUAGAGAUAGUAAGCGGGUACAAGAAUAAUGGUUUUCAUCUCGAACAGGGUGAAAGCCUUCUCACAUUUGUAUAUUCCUAAUCACCAUGCCAGUUUAAUAUGAAAUUGAAGAUUUUCAUGCAGCUAUCCUUGUUAAAUUUCCUUGCUAAAUAACAGGCAUGGAAGUUGUGGUGUGGAGGUCGAGAAUUGGAACUUAUCAAUCCAUUAAUCAAUGAAUCAUGUGAUGAAGUUGAAGUACUAAAAUACAUACACGUCGGUCUAUUGUGCGUUCAAGAAAACCCGAUGGAUCGACCAACUAUGUCUCUCGUGGUUCAUAUUUUAGGAGGCGAUACUAUCACACUCAGCCAACCAUCACAACCUGCAUUCUCAGUGUGGAGAGAUGUGAGUAAACUUGAUCGUGUCGUGCCUAGUGACACGACCCACGGACAAAGCAUGAUCCAAGAUCGUCCGUGACGGGCCGUGUCACGUACAAGGGGCUACCCGAGAGCAGCCCACGGUCGACCCAUGAGCAGAACGAGCGAGAAGGCCCAUGCGCAAUCCAUGAGCGGCCCAUGAGCGAUGUUCGAGCAGCCCGUGACGGUUCGGCUGGUCGCGUGUCAGACGGACCUGCAACCCUGAUCUUGCUUCUGACACACGCCCAUGGUCUGCCCAAGGCCUGACGAGCGCGACCCAUGGACUUCUCAAGGGCCUGCCGUGUACAGACCAUUGAGUAGCCUUCGAGUAGCCUGUUGUAUAGCUUUGUAAUGAUGAUACGGAUUUGAAAUGGACCGUUGGAUCGGAGGGACGAUCAACGGCUGAGAUUCGACCCGCUCUUGUAUAAAUAGGGAUCCAUCUCCCACUUUGUAAACAGUUCGUUCACAAGCAAUAUACACUCUUUUUGCCCAUUCAGUUCUUGUGUUCGAGCGUGUGUGUGUGUAAGGUUGACUUGGGAUCACUGAUCCUAAGGCCACGCGGUGUUUGAUCGACCGAAAUUGAUCGACCCGUGACAAGUGGUAUCAGAGCCAACAUUCCAAACGUAAUGGCUGAUCCUCGCGCUGAUGCUCCGGUCGUUCAAGGCGAUGAGAGUGAAGAUCGUGGGCGUCAAGCCGAGAGGAAUACCCGGUCGAAGAAGGCCCGUGCUGCCUCGUGUGCGAGGGAUCCGAAGGGAGAUCUGGACAACCGUCUGACGGACAUAGAGGAGACCGUCACGAACGUCUAGGCGUUGAUGGACGACCUGCACCAGGCCGUUGAAGGAGCGGAAGCCGGUAGGGAGGAGUUCUUGGCCGAAGUGCAAGAGCUCCAAGCCGGCAUGGGAGAGCUCCGUGUCGAGGUGCAAGGAUCCUUCAUGCACGAGCUGCAGCAGCGGGAUGAGACUUGGGAAGCCGUGAUGGCGGCCAUGCGGGCGGAAAUGACGGAGAUGAAGGGCAAGCUCGUGGAGCUUGAAGCGGCACGCGUGAACGGGUGAUCACCGUGCAGUCCCGUGCCGAUGCACCCAAACCAAAGGAGUUCAAGGGCUCCCGGGUGGCAAAGGACGUGGACAACUUCCUAUGGUACAUGGAACGAUACUUCUAGACCAUGGGAACAAUCGACGAUGUGAUCCAAGUGAACACCGCAGCCAUGUAUUUAGCUGAUGAUGCGCUGCUAUGGUGGAGACGUUGGUCGGAUGGUAGGAAUGGCGAUCCUAUUGUGACCUGGGCUCGGUUGGUCGAGGAAUUUCGGCGAACCUACUAUCCCGCUUAUGCGGAGGAGGAAGCUCGAGGGGAACUCAAGCGCCUAGAGCAGAAGGACGGAGUUCGUGACCAUGUGAAGCGGUUCUCGGAGCUGCUGCUCCAAAUCCCGUCCAUGACCGAGACGGAGGCGUUCCACCAGUUCAUGGGCGGACUCAAACCUUGGGUCAAACAGGAGCUCAAACGGUGCAAUGCAACAGACCUCACCACAGCCACUUUCGUGGCCGAGUCUCUUGUUGAAUAUAGGCCGCCAACCGCCGCCAAGCCCGACUUUCGAUCGAGAGAAAAGGCCACUGGUGGGGGAGAUCGAGGCCGGUUCCCUCGACCAAAUGCUGGCAGGCCGUCUCUGACCUCUCAUAGGAAUCAACCCGAGUCGAGCCAUGGAGGAUACCAACGCAAGGUACGCACAUACAAGUGCUUCUUUUGUGACGGUCCCCAUAUGGCUUGGGAUUGCCUGAAGAGAGGAAAGUUGGCGGCCCUGUGCAAGGAGGACAAGCCGCGAGAGGAGGCGCGGUUGGGAUCAUUGCGGAUCCUUGGAACGAUCAAGGCCAAGAAGGCCAAAGAACCAAAAGGAAUGAUGUUCGUAGAUGUGAAGAUCGGAGGUACCACGAUGAGCGCACUUGUGGAUACCGGGGCGUCCGAUCUGUUCAUAUCCAAAGAGGCCGCGAAGAAGCUGCAUCUUCCGGUCGAGGCAAAUGAGUCCGGUUGGCUCAAAACGGUGAAUUCCAGAGAAGUCCCGACCAGCGGCAUGGCCAGGGGAGUGGAGUUCCACCUGGGUCCUUGGACCAGCAAGGAAGAUAUCGAGGUAAUUCCCCUCGAUGACUAUGACUUCAUACUCGGUUUGAGAUUUCUCGACCGGAUCAAUGCGGGUGUCAUGCCCUUCGCGGAUUGCAUAUGUAUCCUGGACAAGCGGUGCCAAUGCAUGGUCCCGAUCUACCGUGAAUCGGGAUGCGAUAGGAAGAUGCUAUCGGCCAUGCAGCUAUCCAAAGGGCUGAAGAAAGGCGAGGUGACCUUCUUGGCGGCAUUGAAGGAGGAGGGCGCGGAGGAAAGCACGGUACCGGAAGAAGCAUCCCGAGUCCUCGAUGCCUUCCAAGAUGUGAUGCCGCCCGAGCUGCCCAAGAAGCUGCCUCCUCGGAGAGAGGUCGACCAUCGGAUCGAGCCGGUACCCGAUGCUCGACCACCGGCCAUGGCUCCCUAUCGCAUGGCCCCGCCUGAGUUAGAGGAGUUGAGGAAACAGCUCAAAGAGCUGUUGGAUGCUGGAUAUGUUCGGCCAUCCAAGGCCCCGUUCGGUGCCCCGGUCUUGUUCCAAAAGAAGCAUGACGGAUCCCUUCGUAUGUGUAUCGAUUACCGGGCAUUGAACAAGCUGACCGUCAAGAAUAAGUACCCGAUUCCCCUUAUUGCUGACUUGUUUGAUCAGCUCGGAGAAGCCCGUUGGUUCUCCAAGCUCGACCUUCGAUCGGGAUAUUAUCAAGUGCGGAUUGCCGAGGGGGAUGAGCUGAAGACAGCAUGUGUGACCCGCUAUGGAUCAUACGAGUUCCUUGUCAUGCCAUUUGGCUUGACCAAUGCGCCGGCUACGUUUUGCACACUCAUGAACAAGGCACUGCAUCCGUUCCUUGAUCGGUUCGUUGUAGUUUAUCUUGAUGAUAUAGUGAUAUAUAGCCGGACGCUUGAGGAGCAUGUUGAACAUUUGAGUCGAGUUUUUCGGACCCUUCGAGAAAACGACUUGUAUGUGAAACGUGAGAAAUGUGCCUUUGCACAAAAAGAAAUUUCGUUCCUUGGGCACAUCGUCGGGGGUGGACGUGUGCGGAUGGAUGCGGCCAAGAUCCGUGCCAUUGUUGAUUGGGAGCCACCAACCAAGGUGACUGAGCUGAGAUCCUUUCUCGGUCUCACAAAUUACUACUGGCGCUUCAUCUGGGAGUAUUCGCACCUCACCGUGCCACUCACGGACAUGUUGAAGAAAGAAAGGCCGUGUGAGUGGACGGAUCGGUGUCAAGAGGCGUUCGAGUGGUUGAAGCGGACCAUGACCAAGGAGCCGGUGCUUAUGCUGCCCGACUACACCAAACCAUAUGAGGUAGAGACCGAUGCUUCUGAUUUUGCCAUCGGUGGUGUCUUGAUGCAAGAAGGUCAUCCGGUGGCCUUCGAGUCCCAAAAGUUGAAUGAUGCCGAGCGACGAUACACGGUCCAAGAGAAGGAGAUGACCGCGGUGGUGCACCGCCUUCGCACAUGGAGGCACUAUAUCUUGGGGUAAUGGUUCAUUGUGAGGACUGACAACGUGGCUACGAGCUACUUCCAAACUUAGAAGAAGCUCAACCCAAAACAAGCUCGGUGGCAAGACUUCCUGGCCGAGUUUGAUUAUGUGCUGGAAUACAAGCUCGGAAAGUCCAAUUCCGUGGCCGACGCCUUAAGCAGGAAGUUCGAAUUGGCCAAUAUGGUGAGCAGGCCCGAUUGCCCGUGGGUUGAUCGUAUCAAGGAGGGGCUGAAGCAUGAUCAAACAGCCCAAGACCUCCUUCGAUACACCCAAGAAGGCUUGACGAGGAGAUUUUGGCUCGAGGAUGACCUCCUCUACACCAAAGGACGGCGACUCUAUGUGCCGCUCCAUGGGAAACUUCGAAAGGAAGUCCUAAAAGAGUGCCACGACUCCAAAUGGGCGGGACAUCCGGGAAUCCACCGCACCAUGGCGCUCAUUGAAGAUCAAUACUAUUGGCCGCAUAUGCGGGAUGAUGUGGAGACAUAUGUGCGGACGUGUCUUGUCUGCCAACAAGACAAGAUAGAGCAACGGUCCCCCGCGAGGCUCCUUGAACCGUUGCCUAUCCCAGAACGUCCAUGGGAGAGUAUCUCCAUGGACUUCAUUGUGAAUUUGCCCAAGUCCGAAGGGUGUCGGACCCUCAUGGUCGUGGUAGAUUGCCUCUCCAAAUAUGCGACGUUCGUGCCAACAACAAAGGAGUGUCCAGCCGAGGAAGCCGCCAAGCUGUUCCUCAAGCACGUUGUCAAAUAUUGGGGCGUUCCACGCACGAUCGUGAGUGAUCGCGACCCUCGGUUCACCGGACGGUUUUGGACUGAGCUCUUCAAGUUGCUGGGGACGUGUCUCAACCUUUCCACCAGCAUGCAUCCACAGACCGACGGACAAACCGAGCGAGUGAAUGGAUUGCUGGAAAUCUAUCUUCGGCACUAUAUGAGCAACACGCAAGUAAACUGGGCACGGCUGAUCGACGUGGCCCAAUUUUCUUACAACUUGCAGCGGAGCGAGUCCACGAACCAAAACCCGUUCGAAAUCGUGACCGGGUAGCAGCCGCUCACGCUAAGCGCAAUCACCUUGGGGUAUCGAGGAAGUUGCCCGUCCGCAUAUAAGCUCGCUAAGGAAUGGGGUGAACAGGCGGUUUUGGCCCGGGUGUGUCUGAAUAGGGCCGCGAAACGCACGAAGAAAUGAGCCGACAAAAAGCGACGCCAUGUGGAGUUUCAGGUCGGGGACUUGGUACUGACCAAAUUGCACCUCGUCCUUCGGUACAGGAAACAAAGGGCUGAUCCGUCGCUAUGAAGGCCCUUUCCGAGUGAUACAGCGGAUCGGGAAGGUGGCGUACAAGCUGGACUUACCGCCCAAGCUCAGGCUACACCCCGUGUUCCACGUGAGCAUGCUAAAACUGUUUCAUGUGGACGAGGAUGAUCUGGAUCGGGGCACAUCACAGCGAGCGCCCCUUGGGGCGAAGACCUCCUAUGAUCGGGAUGUUGAGUGCAUCAUGGCCGAUCGGAUCAUACGGAAGAAAUAUCGGGCACCAAGGAAGGAAUACCUCGUCCGGUGGAGAGGCCUUCCCGAGAGUGAAGCAAGUUGGGAACCCUCCGAGGCUCUGUGGCAAUUCAAGAAGUACGUUGAAGCCUUCCAUGCCACAGACGCGACGAGGACGUCGCCUGAUUAGGUGGGGGAGAAUGACACGGCCCACGGACAAAGCAUGAUCCAAGAUCGUCCGUGAUGGGCCGUGUCACGUACAAGGGGCUACCUGAGAGCAGCCCAUGGUCGACCCAUGAGCAGAACGAGCGAGAAGGCCCAUGCGCAAUCCAUGAGCGGCCCAUGAGCGAUGUUCGAGCAGCCCGUGACGGUUCGGCUGGUCGCGUGUCAGACGGACCUGCAACCCUGAUCUUGCUUCUGACACAUGCCCAUGGUCUGCCCAAGGCCUGACUAGCGCGACCCAUGGACUUCCCAAGGGCCUGCCGUGUACAGACCAUCGAGUAGCCUUCGAGUAGCCUGUUGUAUAGCUUUGUAAUGAUGAUACGGAUUUGAAAUGGACUGUUGGAUCGGAGGGACGAUCAAUGGCUGAGAUGCGACCCGCUCUUGUAUAAAUAGGGAUCCAUCUCCCACUUUGUAAACAGUUCGUUCACAAGCAAUAUACACUCUCUUUGCCCAUUCAGUUCUUGUGUUCGAGCGUGUGUGUGUGUAAGGCUGACUUGGGAUCACUGAUCCUAAGGCCGCGCGGUGUUUGAUCGACCGAAAUUGAUCGACCCGUGACACUAGUCAUGAAGCUUUAACUGUUAAUGGAGUAACCCUUUCGAUUGUUUCGGCUAGGUGACCGAGCAUCAUCACUUUUCCUUCAGUUUAUUUCUCUUUUAUUCAAUGGAAGGUAGAAUGAUAAUAAUUAUGGUGUGUGAUCUCUUUAGCAUUGUGACUGCCAUUUCUGAAUCAUUUCCGUGAUCAUCAAUUAGUAAGCGCAAGGUCCUGUUCAAUUUGCCACUUAUGUUCUAUCAGAAUGAUACAUAUAAUUGCUUGAGUAAUAUAUCAAUUCUACAAGUACCCCAUUGAUAUAUUAAAAAACUAAGCAUAAAUAAAUUCUAUAUUCUAGCUUUGGUAUAUAUAUUGAAAUCUAAUUCGUGAAGAAUACUAGGGUAUUUAAUACUAAACUACAGCUAAGUAGGAGGUCCUGAAUUCAAUCUUUUAAGACCCUUAUUUGUCUCUUUUACUAUUAUUUCUACACUUUAAUUUUAGGCCAAAGUUCGGUUUACAUGUGUUGAGGAGUGUCACAACCUCUCCGAAAGCGGGUUGGACCUAAACUUAGCUUGAGUUAUCCCAAGCCUAUACCAAUUCACGACUUAGGUUUAAGUUAUUUAACAUGCAAAUGAUUUUUAUUUAAGAGUUGUCUUCAAUUGGUUUAUGGUAGGUCGAUUAGACACUUAAGCAAAAUAAUGUGAGAAUUAUUUUACUCCUACGAACUAAAGAUUUUGGGUAUGGAGACUUGAUCAUACUAAAUUACUCUAAAGCCAUUUUGGUACAUUUUCUCUUUUAUUGUUAGAAAAUGUUUAGUAGGCACCUUGGAUCAAUUUUAUUACAUUUUAACAUGUGGAGCAAUCAUGCAAGUGUGCAUAUCACCAAUUUAACAACGAAUAAAGCAGUAAAUAAAUUGCAUGAGGCACUCUAUAGCAAUGAAAGCAUCUGCAAUAUUAGUUCAAAAUUUACAUCAACAAUCCUAGAUAUGAUUUAUCAUUAACACGUAGUCGCUCAAUUGUUUUGUUUUGUUUUUGUUUUUUUGUUUUUUUGUUUUUUUUUGGUUUGCACUUAUUUAAAUGAAAUCUAUAAACUCUAUGCAAUGCAAUGCAAUGACGUACAAAAAUGUCUAACUAAAAUCACAUGCAACAUGUAGCCUAUCAUGCAAGCUAUAUGUCACGCGAUAUUAAUUAAAUUACCCAAUAUAAUGACGGACAAAAAUCAACGUAACUAUUCUAACAUGUCACACGCUUUAAUUUGAACAAUUCUUAAACACACAAUUUCUAAAAAAUAGGUGAACUAAUUCUACACGACACGCAAUUUCAUGAACCUAACAUAUAAUUAUUAGAUGACAUGCGGGCAAUGAUAUGACAGUGAUGAUGCCAACUUGACAUCCACAUGACUUUUUUUUUUUUUGUAUUAUUCAUUAAUAAAUUCGAAAUUAAUUAAAUACUCUAAUUUAAACAUGCAAACUAUCCUAUAGAAGAAAAUUCAAUUUAUUCUAAAAAGAUAUUUUUGGUGUUUUAUUAAAUUCCAAAUUAUAAAAUAACCAAAAUAAGUAUGCAAUCUAUCCUAAAAGAACUACAAUCUAAUCUUUUUGGAUUUUUUUAAAGAAAUAAAUCAAUUAAAAUCAAACAAAAAUUGAAAGAAGUCAAAUCCAAAAACAAACACGCCAUCAAAUCACACGAGAUAUUAUCGAUAUUUAUCUAAUUUCGAAAAUAAAUUGACGAAUCAUAUCUCUCGUAUGAGAUUAGAUUGGCAAAUUUUUAUGACAUCGCGAAUAAAAUGUCGGGCAUUAUAUCGUAUUUUGAGCAUAAAACCGGACUGUUGGCUAUUGCAUUAGGAAAAUUUCCUAAUUCACAAGGAAUCAAAAGAAUUCUUUUCGGAUAUGGCAAUAUUGACCAGACAUUCAAACAAGAUCGCAAUUUUAUGAAUUAGAUAACGAGAUAUAUGAAAAUCAAAUUAAUUGAGUUUCUUACCAAAUUUACGAUGUUACGCUAUGGAUCACGAGAAUCUCGGUGAGGAUGACUGGCGAUCGGCGGCGCUGACUGUUUCUCGGUAGUCGCCAGAUGGGCUCCACAAUACCUGCGAAACAGAAAUUUCCAAGCUACGCAAGAGACCGAGAAUCGUCGAUGGACGGGGGCAAGGACAGCAGGUCUCGUUCCUUCGCUGUUGGUGUUGUGGGCUUGAAGCAGAUCGGCACAGGAGCUCGCGGUGAUGCUGAUCACGGUGCGGUAUCUUCUGUUCGUGCGUUUCUCACUUGCUGAAUAUUCUGCAAUUCUGUCCGAGAACUUAAGCUUCUUUUGACUUUGACAUCAAACUUCACCUUUUAAAAAGGCUUGGGCAAAGCAGGACAAAUUUCACCACUUCUCUUGUAUUGUGAACGCCCUCUUGUGCCCAUUGAAGAGUCCAGACUCGCCGAUGUCGCCAAGAACCUGCAAAGGAAAAGUGCAAGCGUGAUUGACAUGGGGGUUCCGUAAGAAUUAUUGUGGCCCAUAUUAUGUGAUUUAUUAUAUGGUUUAAUAAAUCAUUGAAAUGCUAUAAAUAAUUAUUGGUUACGAGAAGGUACGACUCUAAUAAAAAUGAAAUGGUAUAUCGCUUUGAUGGAAGGCGCCUUUUCAAUGAACGUAUAAUUAGAGUCCGGUCCUCUCUCUACCAAAAAAAAAACAAACAACAAUAACUGAAAGGAAUUUGGUAUUCUCUCCUCCAUCAAUUGAAUACAUUAAGGUUUAGUGGGUUAAGGGAGAGAAAUCGGAUUUCUUCAUUUGGUUCGAGUUCUUUCGGUUUUCUACAACGACCAUCAUCAAGUGCAACGUUAUGGAGAAAUGUAUGUCUUCAUCUAAUUGUGAAAAUCAUGAAGAUCAAAAGAUCAUUGAUUUGUUAUGAAUUUCCGCAUCAAAGAAAUAUAUGAAUUAUCUAACAGUUGGUAUUAUAGCAAUUGGUUUAUGAUCUCAUGAUUUUUCCGUUUAAAGAAAUAUUAUAGUUUAUGUUUGAUGAUUCGUUGAACGAUCCUGUUCGUAUUAUUUAUUAUUGUUAAAAUGUUUUCGGAUGAUUAUGGUAAAAAAAAUCUGAAUGAUGGAACGUUCUUCAUGGACGAAAAUGGCGAAUAAAAGUUACUGUGCGUGAGUGAAAAAGGACAAAAAUGGAAAAAUUCGGAAUUUUGAGGGCAAGUAAGAAACUCGCCGAUUCCGGGGAAAAUCCAGUGACCCACAGUUUGAUUUCGGACUCACACCGUCGCACUGCCAUGAGGAACAUUAGCCAUGAGUUUUUUCGGUAUAUUGGUGUUCGCCGGAGGCUAAUCGAGCGGCGGAAGCCGCGGUGGUGGAGGUUUUGUGUUCUGAAAAUUUUGGUUUGAUUUGGGGCCAAUUUCUUGGUCAUUUUCGCCGAAACUUAAACCCAUGUGGUUGUGCUGGCAUACUCCAGAAAACCCAUUAUUUUAUUUGUGUCUGGGAUGGGCUACCGGAGAAGAAAUGGCCGGCGAAACCGCGGCGGAACGGCGAAAAACGGCGAAGAAUCGCGUCUGUGCGCGAGGAAGAAGGCGCGUGGGCUCCACGUGUGCGUUGCGGUUGUAGGCGCGUGGAACCCACACGCCACGCGCCGUCACGUGCGUGCAAGCGCUGCGUUGUUGGCGCGUGCAACGCACGCGCCCACGCGUUGGACACGCGCGUGUGGGGCAUGCACCUGCGGCGGAUGAAGGCGCGUGCUUGGCACGCGCUUGACGUCCCCACACGCCCUUUUUACGUUUUUGCCCCUAUGUCAUUUUUAAAAUUCCCAUUUUUUCCUUCUCACAAUUUAUUUACUGUUCUGCCCUUGUUUAAUUAAUAAUUACGAUUCUGCCAUUGCUGAUUAUUUACCAUUUUGCCCAUGGAUUAUAAUUUUAUGAUUCUGCCCUUUAUGGAAUUAUGAUUUUACAAUUUUGCCCUUAUGCUUUGAUUGCAUUUUAUCCUUGUGUGCAAUUUGGUAAAUAUUUAUAUUUUACAAUAUUAAAAAUUCAUAUUAUGAAUGGUUUGUUAGUCACCAAAGUGGCCAAACUUUGAAGUUUUUUUGAAUUUUGAUAUUGUAAAUUAUUUUAUUCAAUUACCCAUGAUUAAUUGAUGCUAUGUAUGAAAUUGAUAUGUUUUAUAUUAGUAUUGGAGUUAUGGGUAUAUUGAAGUUCAUUUAUUAUAAGAACUUAGGGAUUAACCCAAAGGUUAAUUAUUUUCUUAUAAUUCAUGAACAUGAUCGUUGAUAAUUAUAUGACUUGUUAAAUUUGUUUGUAUAUCCAAAGAUAACAAAUAAAUUUUAAUAAGAUAUAUUUACAAUUAUCAAAUAAAAGUUAUUAGCAUCAUUAUGGUAUAUAUAUCUUUGUUUAUCUUAGGAUCGCCCAAAGGAGAACUAUGAUGUACAUGUGUCAUUUAGUUUGAAUCUAAUUAGGUGAUAUUCUCAAAGCAUUAAUAUAUGAGUAUUUUCUUGCACAUUUGCAGUAUCUGUACCUGUUUCACUCCAUUCGCACACCUCAUCUGUUCCCUUAUUCAAUGGGAUAAAUUUUCCUGAUUGGAGUGAACAAGUCCAGUUUCACUUAGGUGUCCUGGAUCUUGAUUUAGCGCUUCAAGUUGAGAAACCAGCUGCUAUUACUGAUGAAAGUAGCGAUGAUGAAAAGUUUUUCCAUAAAGCUUGGGAAAGAUCGAACAGAUUGAGCUUAAUGUUCAUGCGAAUGACAGUUGCAAACAACUUAAAGACUUCUCUUCCCAAGACUAACAAUGCUAAGGAAUUUAUGAAAUUUGUGGAAGAGCGUUUUCAAACUGCUGAUAAGUCACUUGCUGAUACAUUAAUGAGCACACUGACCGCCAUGAAAUAUGAUGGUUCGCAUACCAUACAUGAGCAUAUACUUGAGAUGACGAAUUUAGCAGCAAAAUUAAGGACUUUGGGAAUGAAUGUGGAUGAGUACUUUUUAGUACAAUUUAUACUUAAUUCCUUGCCUCAUGAGCAAUAUGGGCCAUUUCAAAUGAAUUACAACACUAUAAAGGAUAAGUGGAAUGUAAAUGAAUUGGCCAAUAUGCUAGUUCAAGAGGAAACAAGGAUAAAGAAUCAAAAGGCUCAUUCUGUUCAUCUCUCAAGUCAUCAAGAAUUUUGAAAGAAUUUCAAGAGGAAAGGUGGAAGGAGCAAGAAGAAAGAACUACACAUCGUGAAUGACUCUUCAAAGGCUUCUCAAAUCCACAAGAAGGAACACAAUCUUAUUAAGUGUCAUUUUUGCAACAAAAUUGGACACUUGAAGAAAGAUUGUCUGAAAUGUAAGGCUUGGUUUGAAAAGAAAGGUAAGCCUUGUGCUUUAGUAUGUUUUGAAUCAAACUUUACUGAAGUUCCUCAUAAUACUUGGUGGAUUAAUUCUGGUGCCACCACUCAUGUGUCAAAUACGAUUGAGGGAUUUCUUACGAUCCAAACUAUAAAGCCAAAUGAAAGUUAUGUGAUUACGGGGAACAGAAACAAAGCUCCAGUUGAAGGCAUUGGCACUUAUCGUUUGAUCUUAGAUACUGGGCAUUAUUUGGAUUUGUUUCGAACCCUUUAUGUACCUACAUUUUCUCUCAAUUUAGUUUCUUUGCCAAGACUUGAUGUGGCGGGAUUUUAUUGUAAGUUUGAAUCUGAAUCUUUCAAUCUAUUUAAGAGUGAUACUCUUAUUGGAACUGGAACUUUAUGUGAUGGUCUCUACAAAUUUAGACUUGAUAAUACUUUUGUUGAGACAUUAUUGACCUUGCAUCAUAAUGUUGGCAUUAAACGAAGUUUGGUGAAUGAAAAUUCUGCUUACUUGUGGCAUAAACGUUUGGGUCAUAUAUCCAAAGAAAGAAUGCAAAGAUUAGUUUAGAAUGAAAUUCUUCCAAAUUUGGAUUUUACUGACCUUGGAGUGUGUAUUGAUUGUAUUAAAGGUAAACAAACAAAACACACUAAGAAAGGUGCCACAAGAAGCAAAGAGCUUCUUGAAAUUAUACAUACUGACAUAUGUGGUCCUUUCGAUGUUCCAUCUUUUGGUAAGGAAAGCUAUUUCAUAAUCUUUAUUGAUGAUUUUUCACGUUAUGGUUACAUUUAUCUAUUGCAUGAUAAGUCUCAAUCAGUAAAUGCACUUGAAGUGUAUAUUAAAGAGGUUGAGAGGCAAUUAGAUAGAAAGGUGAAAAUAGUAAGAUCGGAUAGAGGUGGUGAAUAUUAUGGAAAAUAUGAUGAAUCGGGACAAUGUCGAGGUCCAUUUGCUAAAUUCCUUGAAAGACAUGGCAUUUGUGCUCAAUACACAAUGCCAAGUACACCACAACAAAAUGGUGUAGCAGAAAGGCGUAACCGUACUUUAAUAGAAAUGGUUAGGAGUAUGAUGAGUCAUUCAUCUUUACCCUUAUCUUUGUGGAUGUAUGCUUUAAAGACUUCUAUGUACUUAUUAAAUAGGGUUCCUAGUAAGGCAGUUCCAAAUACUCCAUUUGAACUGUGGAUGGGAAGGAAACCUAGUUUACAACACCUACAUGUUUGGGGUUGUCAAGCAGAAGUAAGAAUUUACAAUCCACAUGAAAGGAAAUUGGAUUUAAGAACGACCAGUGGUUAUUUCAUUGGUUAUGCAGAGAAAUCGAAAGGGUAUAAAUUUUAUUGUCCUAAUCAUAAUACAAGAAUUGUUGAAUCUGGAAAUGCUAGGUUCAUUGAGAAUGGUGACAUCAGUGGGAGUGAACGAAUGCGUGAUGCUUGCAUUCAAGAAGCAAUGGUAGAAGUUCCUAUACCCAAAGCUUCUAAAGUUGUUCCUGAUAUUAUAGUACAAUCUAACAAUAAUCAAGAACAACAAAUUAAUGAACAAACACUCAAUAAUGGAGAUGUCAAUAAUGAACCUCCAAUUGGCUGAGUCACAAGAAAUAGCAUUAAGGAGAUCUCAAAGAGAAAAGAGGUCGGCUAUAUCUGAUGACUAUAUGAUUUAUCUACAAGAGUCAGAAAUUGACUUAGGAAUUGGAAAUGAUUCAGAUUCAUUUUCCCAAGCCAUGGAAUAUGAAGAUUCUAAUGAAUGGUUUAAUGCCAUGGAAGAAGAGUUAAAAUCCAUGCAUCAAAAUCAAGUUUGGGAUAUAGUUGAAUUGCCUAAAGGAUGUAAGAAGGUCAGCUAUAAAUGGGUCUUUAAGACCAAACGCGACUCAAAAGGCAAUAUUGAACGACAUAAAGCCAGACUUGUUGCAAAGGGUUUUACUCAGAAAGAAGGCAUUGACUAUAAAGAGACAUUUUCACCAGUCUCUAAGAAGGACUCACUUAGAAUCAUUAUGGCUUUUGUGGCUCAUUAUGACUUUGAGUUACACCAAAUGGAUGUAAAAACCGCUUUUCUUAAUGGGAAUUUAGAGGAAGAGGUUUAUAUGGACCAACCCGAAGGCUUUUCAGUUAAAGGAAAUGAACACAUGGUAUGUAAAUUAAAGAAGUCAAUAUAUGGACUUAAACAAGUUUCCCGACAAUGGUAUCUUAAGUUUAACGAUACCAUAACUUCAUUUGAAUUUAAGGAAAACACCAUUGAUCGGUGUAUAUAUAUGAAGAUUAGUGGGAGCAAGUUUAUUUUUCUAGUUCUGUAUGUUGAUGAUAUUUUGCUUGCUGCUAAUGAUCUUGGUUUGUUACAUGGAACCAAGAAAUUUCUCUCUAAGAAUUUUGAAAUGAAGGAUAUGGGAGAGGCAACAUAUGUGAUAGGAAUAGAAAUAUUCCGUGAUAGAUCACAAGAAUUAUUAGGAUUGUCUCAGAAAGCCUACAUUGAGAAAAUUUUAGAGAGAUUUAAUAUGAGUAAAUGUUCAGCAGGAAUAGUUCCAAUUCAGAAAGGUGACAAAUUUAGUCUUAUGCAAUGUCCGAAAAGUGAAUUGGAACGAGAACAAAUGAAAAAUAUUCCUUAUGCAUCUGUUGUGGGGAGCUUAAUGUAUGCACAAACUUGCACCAGAUCAGACAUCAGUUUUGCUGUCGGAAUGCUGGGCAUGUAUCAAAGUAAUCCUGGAAUGGAUCAUUGGAAAGCUGCAAAGAAAGUUCUUAGAUAUUUGCAAGGAACGAAGAAUCAUAUGCUCACUUAUAAAAGAUCUGAUCAUCUCGAGGUGAUUGGAUAUUCAUAUUCAGACUUAGCCGGAUGUGCCGAUACAAGAAAAUCAACAUUUGGUUACUUGUUUCUUCUGGCUGGAGGGGCAAUUUCAUGGAAGAGUGCGAAGCAGUCAAUUAUUGCUGCAUCCACUAUGGAAGCUGAAUUUGUGGCAUGCUUUGAGGCCACAAUUCAUAGAUUAUGGCUGCGGAAUUUUAUUUCAGGGCUUGUGAUCGUCGACAGUAUUUCCAAGCCGCUGAAAAUUUAUUGUGAUAACUCUGCAGCAGUUUUCUUCUCUAAGAACGACAAGUAUUCUAAGGGUGCUAAGCAUAUGGAGAUCAAAUACUUGUCUGUCAAAGAAGAAGUUCAGAAACAAAGAGUGUCAAUUGAGCACAUUAGCACCAAUCUUAUGAUAGCAGAUCCCUUAACAAAAGGACUGCCGCCCAAAACAUUUAAUGAGCAUGUUGAAAGGAUGGGCAUUAUUGGACGUCAUUAAUGUUUGUAUUAUGAUUGUAUUGAGUUUAUGUAUUUGACACUUUGAGCUCACUUACGUGUUUAUGAUAUUUCCUGUUUUCUAUUUAGUAUACAAUAUGUAAAUAGAUGAAUGUUAAACAGGAUAAUUUCUAAAGAAACAUUAUGGUUGGACUAUUACUGUACUUCUCAUUUAUGGAUCAUGUUAAGUAAAGUGCUAUAGUUGUAGUACAUAGAAGGGACUACGUCGAUUAAUGACAUACAACCGCUAUGACUCGCAUUAGUUUUCUUUACUUAAUUCUGAUUAUUAUGUGAUUGCCAAUUUAAUGAAAUUUUAUAGCAUAAUCUUAUUGUGCACAUUACAGUCUUUAUUAAACCAUGAAAGGAACAUCAUAUGGGCCAAGUGGGAGAAUGUAAGAAUUAUUGUGGCCCAUAUUAUGUGAUUUAUUAUAUGGUUUAAUAAAUCAUUGAAAUGCUAUAAAUAAUUAUUGGUUACGAGAAUGUACGAUUCUAAUAAAAAUGAAAGGGUAUAUCGCUUUGAUGGAAGGCGCCUUUUCAAUGAACGUAUAAAUAGAGUCCGUUCCUCUCUCCACACAAAAAAAAAAAAAAAACGAACAACAAUAACUGAAAGGAAUUUGGUAUUCUCUCAUCCAUCAAUUGAAUACAUUAAGGUUUAGUGGGUUAAGGGAGAGAAAUCGGAUUUCUUCAUUUGGUUCGAGUUCUUUCGGUUUUCUACAACGAUCAUCAUCAAGUGCAACAUUAUGGAGAAAUGUAUGUCUUCAUCUAAUUGUGAAAAUCAUGAAGAUCAAAAGAUCAUUGAUUUGUUAUGAAUUUCCGCAUCAAAGAAAUAUAUGAAUUAUCUAACAGGUUCGCCGGCCUCAGGAGGCUAGCCGGCAUCAUGUGACUCAGCGAGGAGGUAUCAGGACAGCAUCGCCGUGUUGUGGGGAGCCAGAGGCACAAUGUAGCCCGGUCCACGAAUUGUUGUCACAGGUGGUCUGUUUGGCAAUAGCAGACUCGGCAGGGUUCUUGGCUUUUAAGUGUUGCCGAGAGUGAAUUAAGGGAUGCAAGGAGCGUGGCACGAAGGGUACUCGAGUUGCUGCUGUGAUGAAGAGUAGCAACGAGGAAGCGUCACAGCCGUUGGUGGGAACUUGGCAACAAGAAGUGAGUCGCGGCCGUCGACAGGAGUUGAGCUGAAGUGUCAAGCACCGUUUUCACGAAUGUGCCGAACAGAACGCGGGUCUUCUCUUUUUGCUUUUUCACUGGACACUCUCUUUGGAGAUGAAAGUGUCCUCUUCUCUAUUCAUAGACCCCGGGAACCUGCAAGAAGAGAGAACAUAUUGACUGCAUCUCUGAGGCCAGCUCAGCAAAAAUUCAGUCCAUUUAUUUUGUGACACGUGUCAUGUACGGCCUCACAAGUCAUUUUCUGUCUCCACUUCUCCCUUUCUCACCCUUUAUUCUCUCUCUUCACGUCUUCCUCUUUUUCUCUCUCCUCCGCCUAACCCCUUUUCCCUUCUCUGACCUUGACCUUGAGCCCGACCUCAGACACAUUGCCAUUUCUUCAUGCACGUUGUCUCCAUCUUUACUUAAUUCUUCCUCAACCUCCACCGCCGCCACCUCCUGUUCAACUCCUCCUGCAUCCUAUACGUUUGCACCCACGUCGAUGAACCAUGCCUUUGCCUCCGUCUCGCCGUUUCCUAAGCCGACCCUAGUCGACUUUGAACCAACCUACAUUUGAGUCAAGCUGAGCUCUAGAUCACAAAUCUUGGCUCGCUCGACCUUAGAUCCAAAAUCUGAGGCUCAAGUUCAUCAGCCGAGCUCGAGCUCGAUGACGAAAGAUUGAGACGGCGAUGAGAUGGUGGACUGAGAUGACAGUGAGGAGGUGGUAGUUACGUUUGUGCUUGUCCCCGUCAGAGUGAAAGGAAGAAGAUUUUUUUUUUUAAAGAAAAAAGAAGAAGAGAAAAGGAGUCAGGCAGAGGAAACAGAGGAAGAGGAAGACAUGAAGAGGAAGAGAGGGCGAGGAAGGGAGAUAGAGACUGACUUGUGGGGCUGUGUACAACACAUGUCGCAAAAUCAAUGGAUCAUUUUUUUUUCUGAGCUAGCCUCAGAGCUACAGCCAAUAUUUUCUCGCAAGAAGAAAAGCAAUUCUUGCUCUCUCUCUCUUUCCACGCCAUAUCCGUGGCACGAUUUCUCUCAAUGUGCUGCCUAUUCUAUCGUGUGUGGCCCCUUUCUUUUGCAAAUCACACCAGUUUUUAUAAUGACUCCUCACCAACUUCCUCUUGGGAUAUCAGCAUAGUUUCUUUCUUUAUCCCAUCAACCAAAUGUUCUCUAUUUUGCUGAUUGAAUCCCACCUCAAUGUACUUUUUUCUUUUAUUUAUGAAUAUACGAAAGAUCCACCACCAUAUGAUUUUUUCUUUUUGUUUCUUUUCGUUGGCCAAAUUUUCAUUCUAUGCUUUUGAACGAAUAUUGGUAGAAUAAUACCGAUCUUUUUUGAAAUAUACCGAUCUUCGAAGUCGUCUCUCCUCAUAAGUCAGUUUUCAGCCAUUCAAGAGUGACAAGCUUGGCCAAGUUCCUUCUCACUAUGGGCUUAGUCCAACUAGUUAAAUUAAAACUCAAAACCAUCAAUUCAAACCCAUUAAUCAUCGGUCCAAUGCAAGCACAAUAAUAAAAACAAUAAUAAAUACUCCCAAAACUAUAUGCUAUGUAAUUUAAUAUUAAUAUUUUUGUUUAGGGGUUAAAAAUUAAUCCCUAAUUUUCUAUGUAAUAAAUAAACGAUCGGAUUGUCAAAUUUUAGGUGUCAAUAACAAUCCCUCUUUGAAAGUGAGCUCAUAGAGGUUGCAUUCAAAAACAAAUUUGAGACUUAAAUUUUGACCCUUCAAAUGCAAUGUGAUAAAUUUUUACGUGGGGACAUGUGUUUUGACGAACCCAUGCCCAUUUUCUAACGUAAAAUAUGAUGCAAAUGCUAAUAAGAAAUAUAAAACAUACCUUUAGUUACUCACUUGAAAGCUUGCCAUGCCGAUGAAAGGGACUUCGAGUUAUGGAAGCACAUCGCAUCGAUAGAAAGAGACUCUGGGCUAUGAAAGCAUGCUGAGUCGAUGAAGAAGAACUCUGAGUUAUGGAAGCACACCAGCUUAAUAAAGAGACUCUAGGUUAUGGAAGCACACCGUGUCGGUUAAGAGGGACAUCGGGUUAUAGAAGCACACCAUAUUGAUAGAAAGAUACUCUGGGUUACGGAAGCCCACCGAGUUGAUGCAAAGAUUCCGAGCCACGGAAGCACUUCGUGUUGGUUAUGAGGGGCAUUAGGCUAUAGAAGGACACUGUGUCAAGAGACUCUAGGCUACAAAAGCAUGCCAAGUCGAUGUAGAGGAACUUUAGGCUACGGAAGCACGCCGGGCUGAUAAAGAGAUUCUAAGCUACUGAAGCACACUGUGCCAAUUAAGAGGAGACUUCGAGCUACGAAAGCAUAUUGUGUCGAUAGGAACGGACUCCAGGUUAUGGAAGUACGCCGGAUCGAUGUAGAGGAACCCCAGGCUACGGAAGCACACCAGGUUGAUGAAGAGACUUCGAGUUAUGGAAGCACAUCAUGUCAAUUAAGAGGAGAUUUCGAGCUAUGGAAGCAAGCCAUGUUAAUAGGAAGAGACUUCGGGCUACGGAAGCAUGCUAGGUUGAUGCAGAUGAGCUCUGAGCUAUAGAAGCAUGCUGGAUUGAUGAAGAGACUCCAAGUUAUGGAAGCACACCGUGUUGGUUAAGAGGAGACUCCAGAUUACGGAAGCACACUGUGUUGAUAAGAAGAGACUCCGAGUUAUGGAAGUACGCCAGAUCAAUAUAGAGGAACUCUGGGCAAUAGAAGAAGCACAUUGAGUUGGCAAAGAGAUUAUGGGCUACGGAAGUACAUCAUGUUGAUUAAAAGAGACAUUGGGUUACGAAAGCACGCCAUGUCAUGCGCCGAUCCUCGAGUGUGUGCCCAUCCCUCGGUGGUUGACAAAUUUGCGACGUCCCAGAACGCGUCGCCGACCCUUUCAUUUUUAAUGCACAUGCGGAAGCGAAACAAUACCUCUGACAACAACCAACACGGGAUAGAAAAGCAGGAAACAUAUUCACAACCAAAACACUUUUAUAAACACCCCGGUUUAUAUACAGACUAGUCUAUAAACAAGAGUCUAUAAAAGCAGAUAAGCCUAUAAGUCCUCUAGGCUGACGAAUCCCUAACUGCAAAAUUCGAGGUCUCUUGGAGAUUUGGGUCUACCACUGCACCACUAGGAGGGUCAGCUGUACUCGCGCUAAAGGUGACUUCUAACACCGACAUAGGGACCUCAAAAUCCUAUAGGGGACCCUCUCUAUGUCCAUUGAGCCUGCGACGAUACCAUGCUCUGAAUUGAUGGGGUACCCUCUAGGGUAGACCCGCAUCGACCCAGACGAUGGUCCUCACAAUUUCAUAGACCUAGAUCCCGUGGCACUUGGGAACAUGGAUAUUGGUGACCUGCCCAGUAAUCCACUUGGGCUAGCCAAAAUGUUCCGAAGGAACCACCAUCUAAGGACCUGAAAAGGUUGAGCUCACGACGGGGUAAGUCAAUGUUUCAGUAAGUUCACCUCCUAAACUUCGACUAGGAAUGAAAUACGUCUAGAGGCAGCUAUACACACAAGUCAGAAGACUUACCUUGCCUCAAUUCCCUCCUGCACGUCAGCACAGUUCAUAAUCUCAACCAAUAUAUUCCAUCCAAUCGAUUAUUCAAUCCAUUCAAUACCAUCGAUACCAUCUAUCAAUUCAAUAUCAUUUAUCUAUCAUCGAUACGAUCACUGCUCACACAAGCUGAAAUAGAUGGUCAUAGCUCUCACAAGCUGAUAUAUAGAUGGUAGCUCGCACAAGCUGAUAUAUAUUAUAGCUCACCCAAGCUGAUAUAGUAUACUACUCUCACAAGCUGGCAUAUCAAAGCACACUUAGGUUGAUAUAGUAUACUGCUCUCACAAGUUGACAUACAAUAAUGCUCGCACAAGCUAACGAUUUAAUAAGGCUCACACAAGCUGACGAUUUAAUAAGGCUCACACAAGCUGACGAUUUAAUAAGGCUCACACAAGCUAAUACUCGAUAAAAAUAAUCAUGUGUGUGUACGCGGUUGGUCUGAGCCAAAAUGCUAUAUCUUUCUUUUCAAAACUCCCACUAUUUAAUAUAGUGCCUAAAAAUAUUUUUGGCGUUAAAAACUGACGCCCCGGUAUUUUCUUAUUAAAUAUCGAAAUUACACAAUUUCGGGAUAAAUACCCAAAAUUACAACCAUCACUCAAUUUGCAUAGAAUAGCAUCUGAUUAAAUAAAUCUGAUUAAAUAAAUCAAGCACACCAUUGCAAUCAUCAUGAAAUUCUUGUCACCGGCUAACCCGAUAUAAUUUCCGAAAAAUAACAAAUAAUUAAAUAAAUACCAAAAAUAAUUAAAUAAAUACAAUUAAUUACCAACAAUGCAAACUUAGGCCAAAAAUGCUUAAUUAACUACCUGAACGGGCCGGGAAAAUUUCUGAACCUAUCUAGAUAAAUAGCACAACUUAUCUAGUCUUUAAUUGAUCCGUUCUAAUCAACUAACAUGCACAAAUGAAUAAUUAAAUCAUUAAUCCAUUCUAACUAACCACCUAAACCAUACUUAGCAUAAACUAAACACCCCUUAAACGUCAUUAACUCCCUAAGCAUAGUUUAGCAAGUAAACUCACCGGUUUAGCGAUUCGGUGAGUUCACGGCGACGGCGACGCGGAGACGGGCGACAAACCUCCUAGCAGCGAUGCCAAACAAGGCCUGUAAGAGGACCGAAAUGGCCCACGAAGGCUCAUAGUUGAGCUGGGCUUAUGGUUCUGUCCUAGGCCAAGCUAGCUGAAACCAGCGGCUGAAACGGCAAAGCAGGUGGACCAGUGGCCGCAGCAGGCAACGACGGGCGAUGGCGGCUGCGCCGGCAACCUGAACGGCGACCAGGGGACUUCGACGGUGGCCUGAGAUGGCUCAGGGGCACGGUUGGGUGCGACAGAGGCGAGAUGGAAAAACGAUUGCGCGGAGGACUCGAGCAGCUGCUCAGGCGAGCGACAGCGCUGGACGGCGGCUCUAGUGGCUCGGCGGGCGUGCAACGGCUAGGGGGAAGGGGCUGCUCGGUUUCUUUUCAAUUUCUAAGCUUCAAGAGGUUUGAAAAUGGAGAAAGCAAGUCUGCUGAGGAAGAUAGAGACAGCUAAAGAGUGGAGGGUCUCUCAAAGCCUACAAAGCCUUCCAUUCUAUCCAUUUUGUCCCUUAGCAAGGCCCCACCAGCCAUGGCUAUUAUCCAUGGCCCCUUGGCAGCCCAAGACUUCCUUUAGAAGCUUUACCAAGUGGUCCAAAUGUCCCUCCCCAUGGCCUACGAAUUUUGCACCAAAUUCCCCCAAACCCACUUCAAUUCUCCUUCAAUUGGAUCUAAAUCGGUCCUCAUAAAUUCAACCAAGGUACCAUCAUCCCAUUCCACAUUUUUUCUCGUUAAUUCGUCCAACUGGAAUCCAAAAAAUGCGAUAAAACACGGCCCUCUGAUCUUUCUGGACAAAAACAACCCUACUUUGGAAUUUUGCCAAAAAUCUCGGUUUGCAGAAAAAUCUUCAGAGGGUGAGUCGAUGAUCCUAAAAUGAAUUGUGACAUGACAGAACUUUCAAUUUUUGAAAUCGGGUAUUCGCAGUUAAUUUUAAUCUAGCACAAUUUUAACGUGACUUAAUCUACUAGGUAACUUUUAAGAAUUUUUAGUGCAAUUGACCUGUGGUCAAUUAUUUUCGAGCCACAUUGUACAUCUUCGACAUAUUGACGACUCUUGGUUGUCGUGAAAAUCUGGAGGUUUCAAAUACGAACACAGAGUACCAAAACAACAGACAAAUUGGUCUAGUGCCGAUCGACGAGAAUUUUGCAAUUAAGUAGAAUCACCCACACUUAAUCACAUGGCUCAGUCGAGUCGACCUAUCUCUAGUCUCUAAUCGAUUUUCAACUGUACUGUAAUGACUCUUGCAGACUAGCACGGUUGAGCAGUCGAUUUCUGGUUGACUUCUCAAAUAUAUUGCGUUAAAAUCUCUUAACGGCUUCACCAGAUAGACUACUUAUCUCGUAAGUGAUCAGCUCAGAUAAUAGAACUAUAGGCGCGUUAAUGAAAAGCUCAAUUCAUUCAAUUGAAAACAGAACUGUAAAUUGAGGAUGUCACAACUCUUCCCCUCUUAUAAAAAUUUCGUCUUCGAAAUUUAAACCAUCACAACCUUUCCCCCAAAAAGGUGGGGGUACAGUUGUCUUAUUGAAUCUUGGUGCGUAGAACCUGGUCUUUUCGAUCCACAAUCUAAACCGAUCUUUUCACAUAUGACAUUGUCGUCCACAUCUAAUUCUUUAAAAUUCAGCACAUGGGUCAGGUCAGGUUCAUACUUCCUCAGCAUCGACACGUGAAAGACAUUGUACACUUACGCCAACCUCGGCAGCAAUGCGUUAGAAUCGCUUUUCUUUCCAAAAUCUCGAAGGGACCUACGUACCUCGGACUCAACUUCCCUUUCUUGCCAAAGCAUGAAGUGCUCACCAAAUGGGAAUUCCAAAGGCCUUCGACGCUUAUCAACGUAGCUUUUCUAGUGGCUCUGAGCGGUCUUUAAUCUGUCUCUGAUGAUGGCAACUGCAUCCACUGACUGCUGGACUAACUCUAGGCCUAUGAUCUUUCGUUCUCCAACCUCAUCCCAACACAUUGGCAUUCUACAUGCUCUGCCAUACAACGCUUCAAAACGAGCCAUCUGAAUGCUCUGCUGGUAGCUGUUGUUGUAGACAAACUCGACAAGAUGAAGCUGUUCCUCCCAGCUUCCCCUGAAAUCCAACAUGCAAGCUCACAGCAUGUCUUCGAGGGUUUGAAUCGUCCUCUCAGAUUGGCCAUCUGUCUAAGGAUGAUAAGCCAUACUGUACUACAGCUUCGUUCCUAAGACAGCCUACAAACUCUUUCAAAAAGCAGUUGUGAACCUUAGGUCUUGAUCUGAUGUAAUCGUUACCGGCACUCCAUGCAGACGAACAAUCUGACGCACAUACAACUCUGCAUGCCUGUCCAAAUCAAGGUCCUUUCGUACUACGAUGAAGUGAGUCGACUUCGUCAAUCUGUCGACCACUACCCAAAUGGAAUCAUUACCCCUCUAACUCCUUAGUAAGCUUAUCACAAAGUCCACUGUGAUGUGCUCCCAUUUCCACUUGGGAAUCUCGAGAGGUUGCAAAAGUCCUCCUAAUUUACAAUACAGUGCCUUUACUUGUUGACCUGUCAGACACUUUGCGACAUACUUGGUGAUAUCCGCCUUCAUACCAGACCACUAAUAGUGUUGACGCAGUUUCUGAUACAUCUUUGUACAGCCAGGAUAAAUGCUGUAACUGUUACGAUGAGCUUUUGAUAAGAUCUCUUCUUUAAGAUCUGCAUUGUCAGGUACACACAACUGCCCUCGGAACCUUAGUGUUUCGUUCUCAGAAGUCCAAAAAUCAGCCUUCUUCUUUUCGGUAUUCUCUUGCAGGAUCUUUUGAAUCUUUGGGUCUGUCCACUGAAGUAUCUUUAUUCUAAUCUACACUUCUGGCUCAAUCCUAAGGGUAGCCAUAAGAUUUGAAAGGUGGCCUACCUCAAAUUUGAAAAUCGAAUCUUGAGCUUUCUCGAGUAAAACUCAUUCCUUAACCAUCAUAUGUGCAAUUGAAGACUUCUGACUCAUCGCAUCUGCGACAAUGUUCACCUUUCCAGGGUGAUACAAGAUAUCACAAUCAUAGUCCUUCAGAAGUUCCAUCUAGUGACGCUGUCUCAUAUUCAACUCAUUAUGAGAGAAUAAGUAAUUAAGACUUUGAUGGUUAGUGAAGAUCUGGAAUCUUUCUCCACACAAGUAAUGUCUCCAAAUCUUCAGAGUGAAAAUUAUUGCCGUGAGUUCUAAGUCAUGUGUCGGAUAAUUCAGCUCAUGAGGUCUCAACUGACGGGACGUAUAUGCAACAACCUUACCAUGUUGCAUCAGCACGCAACUCAGUCCUCUAAAUGACGCAUCACUAUAGACCUCGUAUCCUCCAAAACCAGAUGGUAUGAUCAGCAUAGGUGUGGUAGUUAGCUUCUGCUUAAGCUCUUGGAAACCACACUUACACUUGUCUGUCCACACAAACUUCUAUUCUUUCUUCAGUAGUCGAGUCAACGGUGAUGCUAAUGCUGAAAACCCUUCCACGAACCUUCUAUAGUAUCUUGCCAAACCCAAAAAGCUUCUGAUCUCUAUCACAGUUGUCGGUCUUGGUUAGUUGAUAACUGCUUCAAUCUUGGUCGGGUCAUGGAGAUUCCUUUGCCUGAAAUCAUGUAACUUAGAAACGCAACACGAGUCAACCAAAACUUGCACUUACUGAACUUAGCAUACAGUUCAUGAUUCCUUAGGGUCUAAAGUACCAUCCUCAAAUGCCUUUCUUGUUCCUUUGAACUUCUUGAAUACACCAGGAUAUCUUCAAUGAACACGAUCACAAACUAAUUUAGUUAUUCUUUGAACACUCGGCUCAUCAGAUCCAUGAAAGCAGCUGGGGCGUUCGUCAAAUCAAACGGCAUUGCAGUGAAUUCAUAAUGGCCGUAUCGAGUACGAAAUGCUGACUUCGGUAUGUCCUCUUUUCUAAUCCUCAGCUAAUGAUACCAUGUCCUUAAGUCGAUCUUAGAAAAUAUCGAUGCUCCUUGAAGUUGGUCAAACAAGUCAUCGAUUCUCGGGAGCGGAUAUUUGUUCUUGAUCGUCACUUAAUUGAGUUGACGAUAGUCGAUGCAUGGACGCAAUGAACCAUCCUUUUUCUUCACAAAUAGAACUGGUGCUCCCCAAGGUGAUGCACUGGGACGUAUGAAUGCCUUAUCCAACAAUUCAUGCAUCUGCACCUUCAGUUCUUUCAACUCAGAUAACGCCAUUCGUUAAUGAGCCUUAGAGAUUGGCUUUGUUCCGGGUGUUAACUCGAUCACGAACUUAAUCUCUCUCUUUGGUGGCAGGCCUAGCAAUUCUUUUGGAAACACGUCUGGAAACUCUUGAACCACUGUGAUAUAUUCGAUCUUCAGCUCCUCAACUGUCGUGUCCAUGAUAAUCGCCAGGUAACCUUGACAACUCUCGUCUAACAAACAGGUUGCCUCAAGUGACAAGAUUAAGGAAAUUGAGGGUCCUCAUCGACCCCCAGUAAACUCGAAAAUUUCACCCCCUAACGAGUUAAACUGAAUCGAGUUACGAUAGCAGUCCAUCUUAACUCAUUGCUUGGUGAGCCAGUCCAUGCCAAUUAUCACAUCAAAAUUAUACAUAGCUAAGACUAACAAAUCUAUCCUCCCCUCUCGCUCACCAAUCACUAACUUGAAACCAGGACAACCCACUGUAGCUAACACAUUAUCCUUUAACGGUGUAGAUAUGCUAACCACUGACUCCAACAACUCAGGAAUCAAUCCUACUAGCUUAACAAACUAUUCAGCUAUAAACGAAUGAGUUGCACCAAGAUCAAAUAAAACAUAAGCAGUGUGGUCGUUCAGCGAAACCGUACCUAUAAUCACAUUAGACGCGUCCUCAGCCUGCUGUAGUCCCCUCGACUUUCUAGGACAAUCUCUGGCUAAGUGACCCAGCUGGCCACACUCGAAAUAAGCACCCAUCCUUAAAUGGCACAGGGUUAAACCAUGUCAUCUUCCACAAAAGUGACACAUGCCAUUCUGACUCAUCGCUGACUUGUCGAUUCCACCCUUCCUAUUGGGUGGGACAUGAUACCUUCCUCCAGUCAUGGGACUCUUCCCAAAUCGAUUCCCGUCUCUAUUUGAACCGAACCUUGAACCAGGCAAGGCGGCUUGCUCACUCAAACUUCUCUCUAUUAGCUGGGCCCGACCAUAUACCUCAUUGUAAUCCUUGAGAUUAAGCGGCACCAGUGGGUUUCUCAGCUCUGGUCAAAGGUUGUUCCUGAACCUCUGAGCUUUGUCUUCCAGAUCUUCCAUCAAUCUUGGAGCGUACUGAGACAGCUCAGCAAACUUUGAUUCGUACUGAUCCACGGUCAACAUCCCUUGACGGAGGCGCUGAAAUUCGUCCAUCUUCUGCUCUCGGACGCUACUUGAAAAGUACUUGUUGUUAGAGGCUCUGAGAAAAUCGUUUCACAUCGGGACUACGCCUUCGGGGGAAACUGUGCCUCUAGUGGCUCUCCACCAAGUAUUCGUGUUACCUUGUAGCUGGUAUACUGCCAGGACAACUUUCUCCUCUUCAGUGCAUAUCAGAAAUGCAAAGGCUUUCUCUAGGUCUUGGAUCCAGAGCAAUGUAGACUCGGGAUCAAUCUCAGGAUCUCCUACGCCAGUGAACCUCGGCGGGUUUAGCUUCAAAAAUUGUUCCACGAGCUUAUGUAUCGGCCUCUCUCUCUCUCAAUUACUACGUUUCUAGGUGGAACUUCGGCAAGUGCAACAGUGGCUGUGGCUUCAGUAAUGGCGACAACGGCACUUGUAGCGGCAGCAAUAGUGGUGGUGGCUUGAUUCUAGGCUUGCUGCCCCAUCAGUGCUCCUAAUGCCUCAAGCACCUGCAUGAUCCCGUUGAUCCUAGGAUUACCAGGGGCUGCUACCCCAGCACCAAUAGGAGGCGGUGCUACUCCACUAGCGCUAGUCUGAACUAGCACUUUACCACAAUCCCCUCGGGUACCGACCCUUGUCAGCGUCUUACCCCGAGUAACAGGUCCAAUGGUUCUCUUCCUAGGAGUCCUCUGCUCCUGAUCACUCAUGCCGCAGAUUCUAUACAGAAACUUGCCUUCCAAUUCCACAUAAAAUUAAAAGCUGAGCGAUCCCCACAAAACAAUUUACCAACCAACUAUCAAUCACAUGCACUAGCAUAAAACAAAGGUCAUCCUACUAAUUAUCCCAUAACCUAUUGCACCUUAUCACUCCAACUAUCGACCAGCUCUAAUACCACUCCGGGCAGGGAUGUCAUGCCCUAAUCCUCAAGUGCAUGCCCAUCCCUUGGUGGUCGAUAAAUUUGCAAUGUCCCAUGACGCGUCACCGAUCCUUUCAUUAAUGCACAUGCGAAAGCGAAACAAUAUCCCUGAUAACAACUAAUAUGGGAUAGAAAAGUAGGAAACAUAUUCACAAUCAAAACACUUUUAUAAACACCUCGGUUUAUAUACAGACUAGUCUAUAAAUAGGAGUCUAUAAAAGCAAACAAGCCUACAAGUCCUCUAGGCUGAUGAAUCCCCGAUUGAAAACUCCGAGGUCUCCUAGGGAUUUGGGUCCACCACUGCACCACUAGGAGGGUCAGUUGUACCCUCGCCAAAGGCAACUUCUAACACCCAUACAAGGACCUCAAAAUCCUACAAAGGACCCUCUUUGUGUCCAUUAAGCCUACGAUGAUACCAUUCUCUAAAUUAAUGGGGUACCCUCUGGGGUAGACCUGCAUCGACCCAGACGAUGGUCCUCACAAGUUCAUAGACCCAGACCCCGUGGCUUGGAAUAGGGAUAUCGGUGCCCUGCUCGGUAAUCCUCUUGGGCUGGCCAAAACGUUCUGGAGGAACCACUAUCUAAGGACCCGAAAAGGUUGAGCCCAUGAUGGGGUGAGACAAUAUCUCAGCAAGUUCACCCCCUUAACUCCGACUAAGAAGGAAAUAGGCCUAGAGGCAGUUAUACACACAAGUUAGAAGACUUACCUUACCUCAGUUCCCUCCUGCACGUCAAUAUAGUUAUAAUCUCAACCAAUCAAUCCCAUCCAAUCGAUCGUUCAAUACGUUCAAUACCAUCAAUACCAUCUAUAAAUUCAAUACCAUCUAUCCAUCAUCGAUAUGAUCGCUACUCACACAAGCUAAAAUAGAUGGUCAUAACUCUCACAAGCUGACAUAUAGAUGGUAGCUCGCACAAGCUGAUAUAUAUAUUAUAGCUCACCUAAGUUGAUAUAGUAUACUACUCUUACAAGCUGACAUAUCAAAGCACACUUAGGCUGAUAUAGUAUACUGUUCUCACAAGCUGACAUACAAUAAUACUCGCACAAGCUGACGAUUUAAUAUGGCUCACAUAAACUGAUACCCGAUAAAAAUAAUCGUGUAUGGGUACAUGAUCAAUCUGAGCCAAAAUGCUAUAUCUUUCUUUUCAAAACUCCUACUAUUUAAUAUAGUGCCUAAAAAUAUUUUUGGCAUUAAAAAUCGAUGCCUUGGUAUUUUUUGAUUAAAUACCGAAAUUACACAAUUUUGGGAUAAAUAUCCAAAAUUACAAUCAUCACUCAAUUUGCAUGAAAUAGCAUCCGAUUAAAUAAACCAAGCACACCAUUGCAAUCAGCACGAAAUUUCAAUCACUAGCUAUCUCGGUAUAAUUUUCGAAAAAUAACAAAUAAUUAAAUAAAUACCAAAAAUAAUUAAAUAAAUACAAUUAAUUACCAAAUAUGCAAACUUAGGCCAGAAAUGCUUAAUUAACCACCCGAACAGGCCGGGAAAAUUUAUGAACCUAUCUAAAUAAAUAGUACAACUUAUCUAGUCUCUAAUCCAUCCACUCUAACCACCUAACAUGCCCAAACGAAUAAUUAAAUCACUAAUCCAUUCUAACUAACCACCUAAACCAUACUUAGCCUAAACUAAACACCCCUUAAAUGUCAUUAACUCCAUAAGUAGAGUUUAGCAAGUAAACUCACCGAUUUAGCGAUCCGGUGAGUCCACGACGACGGUGAUGCAGAAACGGGCGACAAACCUCCUAGCGGCAACGCCAAACAAGACUCGGAAGAGGCCCGAAACUGCCCACGAAGGCUCACAGCUGAGCUGGGCUUCCGGUUUUAUCCUAGGCCGAGCAAGCUGAAACUAGUGGCUGAAACGGCAAAGUGGGUGAACCAAUGGUUGCAACGAGCGACAACGGGCGACGGCGACUACUUUGGCCACAUGAACGGCGACUGAAGGACUUCAACGAUGGCCUAAGAUGGCUCGGGGGCACGGCUAGGUGUGACGGGAGGCAAGAAGGUGAGACGAUCGCGCGGGGACUCAAGUGGCUGCUCAAGCGAGCGACGGCGUUGGACGGCGGCUCUGGUGACUCGAUGAGUGUGCAACAGCUAGGGGGAAGGGGCUACUUGGUUUCUCUUCAAUUUCUAAGCUUCAAGAGAUCUAAAAAUGGAGAAAGCAAGUCUGCUGAGGAAGAAGGAGACAAUUGAAGAGUGGAGGGUCCCUCAAAGCCUCAAAAGCCUUCCAUUCUAUCCCCUUUGUCCCUUGGCAAGGCCCCACCAGCCAUGGCUGUCAUCCAUGGCCCCUUGGCAGCCCAAGACUUCCCUUAGAAGCUUCACCAACUGGUCCAAAUGUUUCGUCCCCCAUGGCCUACGAAUUUUGCACCAAAUUCCCUCAAACCCACUUUAAUUCUCCUUCAAUUGGAUCUAAAUCGGUCCCCAUAAAAUCAACCAAGGUGUCAUCAUCCCAUUCAACAUUUUUCCUCGUCAAUUCGUCCAACUGGAAUUCCAAAAACGCGAUAAAAAAUGGCCUUCUGAUUUUUCCGAACAAAAACGGCCCUACUUUGGGAUUUUGCCAAAAAUCUCGAUUUGUAGAAAAAUCUUUGGAGGGUGAGUCGACAGUCCUAAAAUGAAUCGUAACAUAACAGAACUUUCAAUUUCUGAAAUUAGGUUUAAAUUCGCGGUAAAUUUCAAUCUGGCGUGAUUUUAGUAUAACCUAAUCUACCGGGUAGCUUUUAGAAAAUUUUAGUGCAAUUGACCCAUGGUCGAUUAUUUUCGAGCCACAUUGUACAUUUUCAAUAUAUUGGUGACUCUCGAUUGUCGUGAAAAUCUGGAGGUUUCAAAUACGGACACAGGGUACCAAAACGACAGAAAAAUCGGUCUAGUGCUGAUCAACGAGAAUUUUGCAAUUAGGUGGAAUCACCUACACUUAAUCACAUGGCUCAGUUGAGUCAACCUAUCUCUAGUCUCUAAUUGAUUUUUAACUAUUCCGUAAUGACUCUUGCAGACUAGCACGGUCGAGCAGUCGAUUUCUGGUCAAAUUCUCAAAUUUAUUGCGUUAAAAUCCCUUAACAGCUUCACUGGAUAGACUAGUUAUCUUGUGAGUGAUCAGCUCAGAUAAUAGAACAAUAGGUGCAUCGAUGAAAAACCCGAUCAUUCAAUUGAAAACAAAACUGGAAAUUCAGGAUGUCACAACAUAUUGAUAAGGAGACUCCGAGCUACGGAAGCACGCCAUGUUGAUUACCUAUAGAGAUAAACUUCAAGAAUGUAUAAAUGAAUUUCGAGGCUUCAGAGAGUAAUUGGAACGUCAGGUGUUACUCGAUCUUCACGGAAAUAUUACCUGUCAAACACGGUUAGAGCUAAAACAUAUAUGUAGUCAUCAAAGAAAUAGACGAUCUAAGCUAAUCUAGAAUGCACACUCCAAAGUCCACCAAAGCUUUCAUCAAUUCAAUCAAUGUUUAUGCAUAAUGAUUUUACCAUAUUUGCACCACCAAAUUUCCACUGGAGAGAAUUAUUAUUCAAGACAAUUUUCACUUAUAAUGUCAACUUCUUGAAAAUGUGAAAUGAGAGAUUUUUAAUUAGAAAGGACUUUCACUCACUUCAUUUAGAAAGGCUAUUUUAUGAGAAUCACUUCAUCUCACCAUCAUCAUAUCAACAAGGGUCUAAGUAUUCUCGUGAACAGUACGAUCUUACCAAUCCGAGAGGUCUUUUUUAGGACCGUAAUGUAGGCUUGGUCAAUGGCUUAACAAAGGGGGACUCUUUGAGUCAAGGCUGUUGAAAGAACAAAACAUCACAAUCAUCUCUGCGUUUACAAGUCAAGAAAAUUGCGAAAUAAGAUAGAAAUAAUAUUGCUCACACUUCUUCGAGCGAUGUUUAUAAACAUAUGAAUAGCUACUUUAAUUCAAGUGCCAUAAUUUGAAAAACUUUGCAGGGAACAUAACGUAGGCUAGGUUUAUGGGUUGAAAAAUGAAAUGAUUAUUAGGCUCAAAAUGUAUAUAGAGGGAUAAGAGUUGAUGAUCAUCUUGGCAUUGCCACCAAUUUUCUUCUUCACCAUCGAGGAUUGUCUUCAUAAUACUCCAUUGACUGCAACACCUUGGUAUUUGGGUACUUUAAGUACCGCUCCAUUGGGGAUACAUCUCUUGAUAAAUGAUGGUCAUCUAUCUUGACUUCUUUUCUUUUCUUUUUUUUUCAUGUUCCCCAUGGACAUUGGCCUUAUUUUUAUCGGGCACACUGCUUUUUCGUGUCUUUAGAUUUCAUUCAUUUUUUUCUUCACCUCUUUUUUCAUGAGCAUUGACCUUACUUUUAUUAGGCACACUACAUUUCAUGCUUCCUAGUUCUUUUUUUAUUUCAACUUUUGACUUUUGACACACUGUCUACAAUUAUAUUGAAUAGCCACACACAUUGGUUUGUUUCUACCAAAUGAUUUAACAUUUGAACUCACAAGGUAUUCGUCUUCCGCUGGCAUUCUUUAUCAUGCUGCUUGAAUGAUUGUCUUUUGCCUUACCCCAAUGUAGGGGAUGAUCACCAAUUGGGUUUGUAUGAAAUGAAAUGCAAGCUCAAGUGAGUUAUGCAAACGAUAUGAGUGUAUAUGAUAGAGAAAUGACCGCUCUUCAUCAUCUUAAGGCACUUAAUUACCAUAUGAAUUCAUCUGUAAUAGCAAUACUUGAAGAUUGAUGCAAGUGAGAGCAGGAAAAUUCCUAUCUAUUCCCUCACCUCAUGAUGUUGUCCUACCUCAUGUUUGCCCCAGUUCUAUUUUUUCUUGAUAGGGGUAAUUUUGAAAAAAAACAUUCUCCACAAGUGUAUGGACUUAAAGGGGUUAACCAAUAGAUUACCUGUAGUGCUUGGGAUAGAGAAAUGAAUUAUCUCUCAUUAUUUUGGUCAUCGUACCUUUCGAGAGAGAACCUUUUACCUUGUGGAUAUGGAAUUUUUCCACACUCACCUCACAUUGUAUAAACAAUGGAUUGUGUAUAGGAUAGGGCUUGCCUUUCUUUAUAUUGACGCAUCUCAUUUAGCCUGCUCAAUCCACUUCACAUCAUUCAUUAAAUUAAUUUUUCUUGAAAAAUCUCCACACGAAAUUGGCCAAUAAAACAGGUAAAGUCACCAUGUAAAUUCUCUUUUCAAAAGCACCUAGCAACUUUAAGCAUGAAAGACUUUGUAACUUCAGAGCAAACAAUUUACCAUACUUAAAAAGUGUUUUCAUAAGCAUGAAAACAUGUUUUUGAGUAUUCAUUCAAGGAAUUGCCUAGCAAAAGGACUGUCUCAGCAAUAGGUGUUCUUGGAUUGCCAUUAUCUAAAUGGAAUGAACAUAUGAGAUGAUCAAUCGAGACUGAAAAUGCAAUUUUUGAUUUGAUAAACACUCCAUUCUUGCUUUUGUUCCUACACGAGAAUGUUCAUGAAUAAUAUACUAUACAAACAAAAGGAAAUGCAAAUUGAACAUCCAUUUUGGCUCAGAAUGAGAUUUUAUUUUGAUUGGGUCAUUGCUAGAACCUAUCAUGGCCCCAAUUUGUCGUCUUCAAGGAAAAGAACAAAGUGUCAUUUCCAAAAUCUUUUAUGUUCAUGAAUGAGAUGUACCUCUUUUAUCGAAUAUGGAUGAUCCUCUUUUGACUUGUCCCUCAUUUUCUCAUCAUGUCGUUUGGCUCUUCGGGGUUGAUAUCGCACACGAGAAGUAAUGAGAUGUGCCCCCACAUCUCGCUUUGAAAGCUAGGUGAUCUUCUUUUGGCUUGCCCUCAGUUUCUUAUUGAUGUGCGAGAAAACGGCUUGGGACAAUUGUGGAAAUAGGAAGUGUUGAAAACCUUCUUCAUUCUUUGGAGAUGCCAUCACAAUCAGCCAAGAAGUGGUCAUUUGCUCCCACAUGAAUUUUUCCUUUGGAUGUAUGUUCCCAAAUUUGUUGAUUAGCAAUUGAAUCAAAUGCCUCUCUAUUAUAAAAUGCUGUUGAAUUAUACACUGAGACGUGAAGUAAAUGAGUUAGAAAAACAAAUAAGCCUAAGUUGAUGUAUGCUUUUAACAAUUGGUACAAAAUGAUUCUUUUUUUUUUUUUUUUGAAAUUUUAUUUUUGGUGUGGAAGCAUGAUGAAGCUCAGGUCUUACAAUUCUCCUUAGAUCUUACACUUUUUAUCAGUUGGAUAUCAUCAUCGAGCCGGUUUGGUGUACCCCAUCAUGCCCUCAAAACGAAACUUGUAAUUUUAUUGAAAUUCACCAAUGAAAUUAUAUUUAUUGGAGUGAAAAGUGUGACAAUCAAUUCCUAGAAAUGAAACGAAAUCCUAGCAAGCAAGCAAAUCUUAGAAAGCAGCAAAAAUUCCCACGUAGGGAGGGUGCAAGUGAACAUGCCCCUAAUUAAAUAAGGAAAUCAAGCUACUUAGAACCAUGAAUUAUGUGUACUUGGGUUCUUCACCCUCCUUAGUCUUGUGAGGUGAAUGCUCUAAGGUCAAAUAUUUUUCCUUCUAGAUACAUCACCAAUCUUUUCUUGGUCGCAUCAAAUUUUACUACCUCAGAAAAUGAGAUGGUUCAAGAGUCCUUAGCUCUCUUCUUUGGAUUGAAAUUUCCCACUGAAGAUGAUGUAUCCAUGUGAUCAUAGCACUUUCGCUUGACGAGACAAGCUACAGUAGUAUGCAACUCAUCAGCCUGACUAUGGAGGCUUGCAAUUCACUUGUUCGUGUCAUUGUCAAAUUAGCAAUAUUGCUCAACACUUCAUUUUGAUAAGUCAUUUUAGCUCUCGACCAUGUAUGUAUGGGUGAGCAGGAUCGCUCCAUAAUCACCUAGUUCAAAUGAAUAAGAACAUAUAAGUACAUGGAAUAAAUAAAGAGCUGGCACAUGACGACGAUCUAAUUUUUUUUUUUUUCAUUUAUUUGCGAAAAGUCUAUACAUGAAAGGAAUUUCCUAAAAAUGAACUAGGAAAAUACAGACAGCAUACUCUAGAAAGGACUAGAAAAUAAGGAUAUCAAAUUCCUAAACAUGAACUAGGAAAAGUAAAAGUUUGAGACUCUCCCUAAUGAGAACAACAAAGGCAUGCAUUGAAAACAAAUUUUCAGAGUUUUCUUUUUGCCAUUUUUUUAAACAACAACAAAUUUCUUGGGAAAUAACAAUCUAUGACACGACUAUGAAAAUAAAAGGCAUAAAUUAAAAGUAAAUUAUCCAAAUUUUUUUUUUAAAGGACUCAGUGAUUGUUACUUCUAAAUCGAAAUGACCAUGAUAUUAACUUCCUAAUUGACCUAUUCCCAUCAUGGACUGACCAAAUGUACGGGAAAGUAAAUAAAUUGCAAAGAAAAGGUUUAGAAGACUUACUUCACCAAGUACGACAACGGCAAACACACAGACAUACACAUGGUAUGUGGCUCAAUUUCUAUUCUAGACAGCUUAAAAAAAUAGAGCCACAAGGAUGAUUGGACUAGCCGCGACGCAUGUGGACUAAGUCAGGUCCUCAUGACUCUGACUUGAUCGAAGAGCCGACUUGGGUCGCAAGCACAUGGACCAGGGUGGGUAUUCUUGACAUCAAGAAAAAAGAUUCGGGAUGGAGAUGGACGACUCGUACUGCGUGCAUGUGAUUGGAGUGAUAUCCAUUUCAAAUCAAUAAGGAAAAAAAUAUUUUCUAUUAUCAUUUGCCAACAUAUAUUACAGAGAACAUAUCAUUGUCUUUCAAGACGUACUUAUAUAAGAAAGCACAAAAUAAAAAUGAUACUCAUGUGAUAUUCCCAUUGAAUUUGCGAAAAAAUUAUGAACUUUGAUGAAUAUUGCGUCGAUCUUUUGAAACGCAAUUUCUUUCUCAACACCUCUUACAAGACCCCAUAAACUGGGUUGCUCGCUCAAAGCAUAGAAAAACACAUUUAGAAGAAAUUUGAAAAGAUAUCUAGAGCUGUUCACAUAUAAAAGGAGUGUUAGAUUUUGAAGAGCGAAAAAUCAACAUUUCUGACCUUCAAAAACGUGGUGAAUUCUUAGUCCCGUGUCUUCGUCAACAAACACUGGAGUUUCAUUAGAGCAUCCUAUUUAUUUUUUCUACCAAGAACAUAUAUACCCUUAUUCCUUCUAAACAAAUCUCAUCAGGUAUGAUAGUCAUAUGACAUCUUGAUUUUCGAGUCUGAUUUCAAUGAGAUGAAAUGGGCUUUUCAUCGACGCGCUUAUGGCCUUAUUCUCUGAAAGGGCCCCUCACGAGAUAACUAGCUUAUCAGGUGAAGCCGUUAAGGGACUUUAAUACAAUAACCUUGAGAAUUCAACUUGGAAUCGACUUCUCAACCGUGCUAGUCUACAAGGGUUAUUAUGGCACCAUCAAAAUCGAUCAGAGACCGGAGAUAGGUCAAUUCGAUAGAGAUAUGUGAUUAGUAUGUGGGUGAUUCCACCUAAUUGCAAAAUUCUCGUCGAACAGCACUAGAUCGAUUUUUCUAUCAUUUUGGUACCCUGUAUCCGUAUUUGAAACCUCGAGAUUUUCACGACAACCGAGAGUCGCCAAUGUGUCAAAGAUGCACAAUGUGGCUCGAAAAUAAUUGACCACGGAUCAAUUGCACUAAAAAAAUUCCUAAAAGCUACCUGGUAGGUUAGAUCACGUUAAAAUCGCAUCAUAUUGAAAUUAACCGCGAAUUUGAACCCGAUUUCAGAAAUUGAAAGCUCUGUCAUGUCACAAUUUAUUUUAGGAAACUCAUCCUUCGAAGAAUUUUCGGCGAUCUGGGAUUUUUGCGGAAAAUCGAUUCGGACGGUUCGGAAAAUAACGGAAAUUUGGAUUGGCCAAAUUGAAUGGAUUUUUGGCCUCCUUACCGAGCCUUUGAGUGUUGGAAACUUGUAGAAAUUUUGUGGGCUUCAUCUUCAUCAAAAUUUGGACGUCAAAAUGGGGAAUUUCGUGGAGGAUUUGAAGCUCAAUUGUUGAAAUUCGGAGCUUUGUAUAAGAGGUUGGAUUUUGUGUAUCAAUUUGAAUUAUUUGUGGAUUAAAAGUUAGAAAGAAAUAGAGGACAAGAGGGAUAAGAUUAGGGGCUUGUGGGGACCAAGAUUUGAUGAUUUAGAUAUUUUAAUUUGGACUUUCAAGGCUUCUCUUGCAAGCUUGCCGCCGGUCCUCAUCUUCUUUGCUCGAGCACCCCGUUGCUCUUUCUUUUCAUUUUCUCUUCCUCGCAUACUUCAAGCCCUCCUUCAAUUUUCCUUCGUCACUGAUUUUCUCUGCCCCUUCCCUGGUGUUAUCCCCCAUCAUUUCCUUUUACUAGUUGCCGCAUCAUCCCCAUCACCUCUAUCUUCACUCCUCCUCUCUCAUCCUGUUUGGUCAACCAUCAGCACACCGAUCCUCCUUCUUCUGCCACGAGACCACUCACCACCGAAGCUUAUCUCCAUGAAGCAAGUCCACCGAGAUCUAUAUUCACCCGAGUCAACCAACAGCCGGUUUGUUGACCCUGCAGCUCCUAGCGAUCGUGGCCAUCUCCACUUCGCUUUCUUGCUGCCACCGUUCAAUCCAGCAAAGCCCACGAUCGACCAGCCGCAGCCCAGCAUCUUCAGUCCACAACAUCACAUCCUCCACCAGCGAUUUCUUUCCACUGCCACCGUCCGUGACUCACCUACCCUCGAAGACAGCCCUUACCGCCAUCUUUCUCCUCGUGUCCUCAGCUCCAUCGACUUCGCUGCUUCCUCGUCCACGCGUCUUCAGCGGUCAACCAGCAAAGCCCAGUUGACCCGAGCAGCGAAGCCCGAAGCCCAGCGUCCCCCUUGCUGCUUCUUUGUUCAGCCCAAUUGAAGCCGAAGUCCAGCCCAGCGAAUUCAGUCCAUGCAUUGUUCUUCAGCCGUUGCAGCCCGUGAACUUAAGCCCACUUGAAGUCAACCCACGGAAGCCCAGCCGCAUCUCAGCCCAAGCCCAGACCAAGCCCAACAUUUUUCUAUGGGCUUGCAAGGCCUUUUUGGCCCCGUCCAAGUGCCCGUUGACGCUGCCGAAAGUUCAGGUUUCAGCCGCCAUCGCAGUGAACUGGUUCUCACUUUAAACUGGUGAGUUUAUACACUAAACUCUUCUUAGUAGGCUAAUGACAUUUAAGAGGUGUUUAGUUUAAUUUAAUUAAGGUUUAGAACGGAUGGUGGUUAGAACGGAUAGAUUAGGGACUAAAGUAGUUGUAUUAUUUAUCUAGAUAGGUUCGGAAAUUUUCCGAGCGCGUUUCAGUAUUUAAUUUAGGAAUUACGGCCUAAGUUAUUUAAAUUGAUUUAUUUAAUUAAUUUCGGUAAUUAUCUAAUUAAUUAAUUAUUUUCCGAAAAUUAGACUGGGAUAGCCGAUGACCGAAAUUUCAUGCUAAUUGUAAUGGUAUGCGUGGUUUAUUUAAUUGAAUGCUAGAUUGUGUAAAUUGAGUGUGUUUGUAAUUUUGGGUAAUAAUCCCAAAAUUGAAUAAUUUCAGUAAUUAAUUAGAAAUUAUCGGGGCGUUGAUUUACAACUCCAAGAAUGUUUUUAUAGACUAUAUAAAUAGUGAGAUUUUCUAAAAGAAAUAUAUUAUAUUUUUGGCGUAGGCCGACCGUGUAUCCACACAUGAUUAUUUUUAUCGGGUAUUUUUAACAUGAAUAAAUUAGGCCAAGAUAUUACUUUAUGUGGCAUCCCAAAAUUCAAAGCCAAGCCAUAAGGUGUGUUAAAGUCUUUAAUUAGGUGAUAUAAUUUCCAUGGUUUAUGUUUUAGCCAUUAGUCUUUUAAUUGGAUGAUUUGUGCUUAUGGUUGUGAAAAUUCAAAUUCGAUAGAUUAAUAAUUUAUGCUUGGCCAUGUGCUUUAAAAAUUAAAUUUCAAUAAAUAAAAUGCCCCAAGACUUUGGCCAAGAUAGAAUUUGAAUUUGGAAAUAAUUAUAGAAAGGAAUUCAAAAAAAAAAAAAAGAGGGAAAAAGGGGGUUAAUUUUCGAAUGGGCCUUAAACCCAUUUGGCCUAAGCUUGAUGGGCCAAGCUAGCCGGCCCAAUAGAGGCCCAAGAGAGGAGUAGUCGCCGGCCAUAGAUGGCCCAAGCCCAAGAAGCCCAAAUUCAAAAUUCAAUUGGACAAGUGGCACAAGGCCCUCAUGCAUUGGCCUAGACUAGGAUGCCAUGCAUUGGUCCAAUUAAGUGGCAUGUAAUCAUUAGCAAUGAUGGGCUCUAGGGGGUAUAAGAGGAGAGGAGAGAGAGAAGGUGGCCGGAUUUCUUUUGGCCGAGAGAGAGGGUGCGAGAGAGAGAGAGAUUUCGAGAGAAAGAGGGAGAGGCCGAGAGAGAGAGGAAGGAGGGAGUCACCGUCGCCGCCGUGUCCGUCCGCUGUACGCCGUCGUUUGUUCAUCCUAGAGGCAAGUGGAGUCCUCUAACUUCUCUUGCAUGCUUGUAUAUUGUUUGUUUGUUAGAUUUUGGGUGUUUUAAGUGAGAAAAACCGAGGUAAGGUUGGCUUGUUCUUAAGUCGUGUGACUGUUCUUGCUCGGGUUGUGGGAGUCCGUAACUUCUUUGAGCUUGCAUGUGUGUUUGGAGUCAGAUUUUGGCUUCGAUGUCUUAAUGAAAGCUGUAGCUAACAUCUUUUACUAUAACAUACUGAAAUUUAGUGAAAAAUUAUGGAGAUUUGAGGGGUUAAAGUAUUGUUAUACGGAGACCUCAGAUCUGGAGAGUUUUUACUGACCUCUUGCUGGAUUCAUGGUUUCAUGUUGGUUUUUGUUGAGAAUAUCACUUAUAUUUCUUCAUGAAAGUUGUAGGAGACAUAUUAAACUACAACAUACUCAAAUUUGAAGUGAAAUGAACAAGUAUAGCCUAGUGAAUCGACUAGAUAUUGAAGAAAAUGAUUCUGGUGGUGUAUUUUGAGAUACCCGAGACUUCAAGGACCUAAAUGAUGACUCCACUCUGAUUAUUUGACUUGGAUCUCUUCAUGAAACUUGUAGAGGAUACCUUGAUGUAUAACAUAUAUAAAUUUCAGAGGAAACGAAAGAGAAUAGCUAGGUGAAAUCUCAAUAUUUCGGAGAUGUGUUUACUGGACGAUGCCGUAAUGGAUCCAGAAGCUUCGUGAGGUUGUAUAAAAUAAUCUAAAAAGAAUAUAGCUUGGAGUUAUUCAUGAAAGUUGUGCGAAAAUGUCUUGGCUAUCACUCUGAAAAAUUUCAUAAUUUUUGGAGGCCAUAUGGAUAUUUUAAUCGAAUUUACUCAGAAACUGUGUAUUCUGGUCAUUAUCCGAAUACUAUGUGCUAUUUUGUGGAAAUUGUGAAAUUGUGUGAAAUUCAAGUUGGCCAUGAAUUUUGCAUGAAAUUGCCAUUCUAUUGGUUUGUUUGAUGAUUGCUUGAAUUUUGUGAUUUUGGGAAAUUAUAGAUAUUGAGUUUAAUAUUUAUUUAUGAAAAUAAAUAAAUAUGAUAAUAAAAUUAAAUAAAAAUAAUAAUAAAAUAAUAAUAAUAAAAUAAAAGGGAUUAUUUUAUUGGCCAUAAAUUCCAUUGAAUUUAUUAAUAAAUAAUUAUGCAUUGUUGUAUGUAUGAUAAGACAUUGGUGUAUGUAUGACCAUGAAUUGUGAUGCAUGUGUGAAUCAUAUGCCAUGUUAAAAUGAGAUCAAAAUGAUGAUAAAUGUGGAUAAUGAUAAGUGAGUAAGUGGUUGUGGUGGAGGAUGAGGCCGGAAUGUACAGAGAUGCAUUGCCGGAAUUCCCUGGGAGAUUCAGGAUGCCCGGAAUGUGGGGGGCCGGAAGCCUUGUCGGAGGUCUUUGCCCGAAAGGAAUGCCUCGCGAUGCCAGGAUUGGGGUGCGAGAUGCCUGGCUAGAAGGGUAAAGGCCGGAAGCCCUGUCGGAGGUUUCUGCCCGAAGGGAAUGCCUCGUGAUGCUAGUUGAGAUGCGAGAUGCCCGGAAUGUGGGGGGCCGGAAGCCCGGUGGCCAUGGGAUGGCUGGAAUGCUGGGAACCCUGUCAGAGGUCUUUGCCCGAAGGGAUGAUGAAAUUGAUGAUAUGAGAAAUGGGUGAUGUGGUGAUCAAAUUUAAAGAUAAAAGAUGAAAAUUAACCCAUGAUAUUAUAUGCAUGAUGAUAUGCAUGAUGAUGAUGAUGAUGAUGAUGAUGAUAUGUGAUGUGAAAUAGGGAUGAUCACCUAUGAUAUUAUAUGCAUGAUGAUAUGCAUGAUGAUGAUGAUGAUGAUGAUAUGUGAUGUGAAAUAGGGAUGAUCACCUAUGAUAUGAUAUGCAUGAUGAUAUGCUUGAUGAUGAUGAUGAUGAUGAUAUGUGAUGUGAAAUAAUGAUGAUCACCCAUGAUAUUAUAUGCAUGAUGAUAUGCAUGAUGAUGAUGAUGAUGAUGAUAUGUGAUGUGAAAUAAUGAUGAUCACCCAUGAUAUUAUAUGCAUGAUGAUAUGCAUGAUGAUGAUGAUGAUGAUGAUGAUAUGUGAUGUGAAAUAGGGAUGAUCACCUAUGAUAUGAUAUGCAUGAUGAUAUGCAUGGUAAUGAUAAUGAUGAUGAUAUAUGAUAUGGCUCGAAGACAUGUAUGAUGAAAUGAUGCUAUGAUGAUGAUGUCAUGUAUGAUGUAAUGAUUCCAUGACAUGUAUGUUACAAUGAUGAUACACAUGAAUGUGUCAUGAAUUGAUAUAAUGAUGCAUGAUAGUAUGCGCAUGGCUUCAAGGUAAGUAACGCCUGCAAUGCAUGUAUGAUUGCAUGAUGCAUUGAGUUGUUAUUGGAUUUCCCUAUCUGCUGAGUGGUUGUACUCACCCCUUUUGGGGAUAACAUUUCAGAUUAGCCAGUAUGCCGCUUCCUGCCGUCACGCGUGGGGUAUUUUAUGGUCUACCAUCCGAUGUAGAUGUCGAGUGUGCUGAGAUAGGCUGUCCCUCUGUUCCCGGACUGACUUUUAUUCGAGUACGCUGUCUAGUGAUGUACGACAUAGGCCUGGCUGGGGGCCCUGUCAUUCAGGAGUUCAUUUCUGUGCACGUUCGUCGGGAUGGAGCGAUGCGAGGGAUGUUGCCGCCGCCACCGCCUGAUGCACCGGGUUGGGUGUGAGACCCGCACGCGCGAUGAGUAGGAGCCGGAUCUUUUUGAUGUAGAUAGCCGACACUUUUGAUGGGGGGUUUAUGCUCGUAUGAUGUUGAGGGUCGACGGUUUCUUUUUGAGGUUUUAGGCUGGACGUGACUGAGUCCUAGCUUUUCCUUUUUGUUGUACCGACCCGAAGGGAAUCCCAUCUUGUUAUAUAUGUAUGUAAGUAAAGUGUCGAGGCUUGUUUAUAAAAUGAUGGUGAAUUAGUAGUGUGUAUUUGUAUCAUGGUUGGUAGGGGGAGAGACGGUGAUAUUUUAAUUUGCUUCCACUAAUGAGUCGCAUUGGGACCGAUUGUUUAAAAAAAAAAAAAUGUGUCUGCGAAUUAGGACACUUUUUCGAAAGAAAGAAAGGUAAUAAGGUGGAACAUCGGCGCUGGUGACGACCUGCGAAGGGUUCGGGGUGUCACACUUUAAUUGAGGAAUUUAUGUGCGAAGCACAUUGCCUUUGGACGUGAGUGAAUAGUUGUGUGAUGGUUUAUAGUCAGGGUGGGUUGAUUAUUGAAAGUUGAGGUAAUAUGUGUCGGGUUGAGGGAACCCGAUGGGUCGUGAGCAGGUAAAGGGCUAAGUACUACACAAGUAUGAGAUUUCAUGUGAGUCACCUCUAGUGCCUUAUACCAUUACUUAUUGUAGUCAAGGGUUAAGUGUUACAUGGCAACUUGAGUCUUAUGGGAAUUACCUCUAGUGCGCUGCAGUAUUAUUAUGCAUAGUGAAGGGUUAAGUACUACACGAGAAUGAGACUUCGUGUGAGUCACCUCUAGUGCCUUAUACUAUUGCCUAGUACAACAAAUGACUAAGUACUUCACGAUAGCAAGAUUUCAUGUGAGUUACCUCUAGUGCCUUAUAUUAUUGCUUUUUGUAGUGAAUGGCUAUGUACUACAUGAUAGCAAGACUUCGUGUGAGUUGCCUCUAGUGCCUUAUACUAUUAUUAUUUGCGGUCAAGGACUAAGUGCCGCAUGAUGACAAGAUUUUGUGUAUGGUCACCUCUAGAGCCUUGAGCCUGAUUUUGAGUUAGAAUGUUGAGAGUAAAUAUCGGAUGUAGAUGGAACCCGAUAUGAUUUACCACACCUGAUUAUAAGACAAAAUUGUGUGACACGGAAUGGGACGUGUCAUAACGAUUUGGCCUUAUAAUCAGGACUCUUGUGGAUUGUUUGAUUGAAUGAUGGAUUAAUGGUGUUGAUUCAAUUGAUUGAGUGAUUGAUUGACUAAGAUUGGAUGAGUUAUCCCAAAGGCUCGAGUGUUGUUACUGCACUUAUAUGAUAUAUGAAUUGUGCUAACAUGCAGGAGGGAACUGAGGCAAGGUAAGUUCUUUGUUCUAAUUGGGUGGUUGUCUGAUUAGAGCACUCUAGGCGUAUUACCCUCCUAAUCGGAAUUUAGAGCAUGAACUCGCUGAGAUUUAUAUCUCACCCCAUUGUGGACUAAAUUUUUAGGGCCGUAGAGUGGAGGACCUAAAGCCGAGUUAUGGUGAUCUGAAGAGUAGGUCAGAUAGGACAGCUUCUUUUUGAGAACUAGUCUUUUAAAGUCUUUUGGAUAUAGACUUUUGUAUAUGACUCAGUGUGUGUGUAUAAAAGCAUGUUUUAUUUGUGAAUCUGUUUCCUGCUUUUCUAUCCCAAGCUAUUGAUGUCAGGGGAUUAGUAAUUUGCUUCGCGUGUGCAAUAAAAUGAAGGGUCGUCGACUUGUCCUGGGAAGUUGCAAAAUUUUUAUCGACCGCCGAGGGAUGGGCACACACUCAGGGUUCGGGGCAUGACAAGUCCUCCGCUCCUUCACAUGGAAAAAUUCCUAUGCUUUUGGAUGACCCCAAAAGAAUGCGUUGGUAUGGCGAUUCGCACUCGGGCCUUGAACGAGGAGGAGGAACAUGCUUAGGAUGACUCAUAACCAUUGCCAAGUCUUUGUCGGAUAUUUUGGGUUUGACCCUUAGUUGAUUUGUAUCCAUUGUGGGGACCAAACCUUCGGAUGAUCUAUUUUUAUUUAGUGCUGGCCUCUAUUGUCUCUUUGUCGGACCCCGUUUAACAAUUUUUUCGGUCUUUUGGGUUCCACCCGAUCGUUGGGAGUACAAGCCAGGAGCGCGGGAACGUGGAAAUCGUCCCUGUUGACAAGGGAACGCGGAAAUCGGACUAAUUCAUCUUUGCUAACCCCGGCAUAUGGGAGAGCAGCUACAAAACUUGGUUCUUGAUCAAUUUCUUUACCUCGCCCUCCGGAAGUUGCUUAUUAUCGUACUCCUCGAAUUGAAAGAAAGUCCAUGGCCGUCUUUGAAUUACUCUUACUGUAUUUGCGCUCUUUCCAAGUUCAAGAAAAAAAGAUUAUCGAUGUACCCAGAAAUAUCUCCUUCGCUUUCUGGAUUUCAUGCCUGAUCCUCUUCAUCCCAGGCACUCCUGUGAGUGCACAGACAUACCUUCAAGAGCGGUGCGGAGAUAGGGGCAACUACGCUGCAUAUAGCAAGUUUCAAGACAACCUCAACCGCCUCCUCUCCAGGGGGCUUUACAACAAAGGACCCAUUUACGGUUUCUACAACACGACGGAAGGUGAAGAUCCCGACAAAGUUUAUGGUCUCUUCCUCUGCAGGUAUAUAACAUGCGAAAACAUACCAAAAAUUUCAACUUUCGAGUAAGACCUUCCAAAUCAAUCAUUGCAAUCUUUGGAAUCGGCUCACUCAGAGGUAGGAUUCAUAAUGGACCCGAUAUACUGGACUUAAUCGAAAUCCUCUACAAAGUACGGUGAUUCAAUGCCAACCGAAAAAUUACUAUUUAGAUUUAUGUGACUACUAAUGCAACUUUACUAUGCCUCUUUAGAGGGGAUGUUGCUGCCAAUCUCUGUCGGUCUUGCAUCCGUGCAGCCUGCAGCACCAUCGUAGAAAGAUGUCCAGGACAGAAAGAGGCGAUCAAUGGUAUGACGAGUGUCUCGUGCGCUACUCUAACAGAUCAUUCUUCUCUAUCAUGGAGACAACACCAGUUAUUUUCAUUGUCAAACCUGCGGACGUUUCGGUUACCUUCAACUGGAUUGUGGAGCAAACUUUCGAUAAGGAGAAGGACUUUGAGGCGGAAGUGUCGGACUUGGCAAGGAAUGUCACGGACUUGGUGAUCUCCACAGAAAGCUUAUAUGCGACGAUAAACCUUAAUGUCUCAAGUUCAGUGACCCUGCAUGAGCUUGUGCAGUGUACCCCCGACAUAUCAAAGUUAGAUUGUAAGAGUUGCUUGCUUUCUGCCAUCAAAGAGUUUCCUACCGUUCUUAAUUAUAAAAGGGGAGGUGGGAGAAUUUUUCUGCCAAGUUGUAAUCUGCGGUACGAAAUGUAUCGUUCUGAUCAGGCACCAACUAACAAAACCCACAAUGAGUCCGGCAGUAAAGGUAUGAGUUAUAUAAUACUCAAAAUGUGCACUCAAUUUGUCAUGGUAAACGUAUAAUGGUACCAUUCCAUCGUUUCUAAUUCUCAAUAUAAGCUGUUUUGUGUAUUACAUUGCACUUGACUUGCUUUUACUAUCUAAACUAUGAUCAUUCUCUCCUGCUUUCAGCAAGUUCUCGGUACUAUUUACACUAGGUGAAAAAAAAAAAAGUCUGCAGAUUUGAGGUUGUUUAGAUGCAAGGAAUUUCUCUUUUUUGACAGGGGUCAAACGAAAUCCAUGGAUUGCAAUAGUUAGCUCAGUAACUGGAUCGGGGUUACUAUUAAUUAUCGUGAGUUUGUGUAUUUUUUCAAAGAGGACAAAGAGAUUAAAGAAAGGUAUAAGUGAAUUCAUCGUGCUUGCCAUUGGAAUGACCAUCUUCUAACCUUUACCUUACGAGAGUAAACUCUUGGACUCUCAGAAAAGGAAAACAGCCAAGAGGUUCUGUUACUUCAUCUGAGACAAGAAAUUGGAGAAGAGUUUUCAAAGGAAAACCCUCGUGGAGAAAAGCCAGUGGCUUCUCAACAAUCAUCUCUGAUGCGAUUAGACAUCAUACGCACGGCCACAGGAAACUUCUCCAAUGGAUGUAAACUUGGGGAAGGCGGGUUUGGCCCUGUGUACAAGGUAAGCAAUUUAGUGAUCAACACGUAUUUAUGGGGAAAUUGGGAAAAUCUUCUAAUGGUAGCGAACUGGCAGAGUCAUUAUCCAUAGCAUGAACUGAAUCGGAUUUGGUUAGCAUUAGUAAUUCUCAAAUAGGGAUCUCACUACUGACUUUAUGCUCUUUCAGGGCACAUUGGCAGAUGGAAAAGAAAUUGCAGUUAAGAGGCUUUCGAGAACCUCAGGCCAAGGACUCAUCGAGUUGAAGAACGAAGUCAUCUUGAUUGCCAGACUACAACACAGGAACCUUGUCCGAUUGUUGGGAUGCUGCUUGGAAGAAGAAGAAAAACUCUUGAUAUAUGAAUACUUGCCCAACAGAAGCCUGGAUGUCUUCCUUUUUGGUUUGAGCUUUAGCAGAUGCAAUGAAUUUUUGAGCUAGUUAAUUUUAGUUUUAUAAAGUUGAGUUCCAUCUGAGUCUCUCAUCUUUGACAGAUUCGAAUAUAGGGCAAUAUCUAGAUUGGAAGCUGCGCAUGAACAUCGCCUGUGGAAUAGCUCGGGGACUUCUCUAUCUGCAUGAGGAUCCUCGCUUGAGAAUUAUCCAUUGAGAUCUUAAAGCUAGCAAUAUUUUGCUAGAUGGUGAGAUGAAUCCAAAGAUAUCGGAUUUCGGAAUGGCAAGGAUCUUCAGUGUAAAUCAAGACAAGGCGAACACAAACAGGGUUGUUGGAACCUAGUAUGUGCCUCAAUAUCUUUGUACGUCCAUUAAAUGUUUGAAUGAUCACUAGGCCAACAAAGGACUCUGAUGAUCAGCUCAACAACACCAGAUUGAGCACAUAAAUAUUUCAGAAGUUCCAUAUAGAAAAUUACUCUUCUUUGUUUCUUACUUCCAACUAAUUGCUCUUCAUCACAUAAUUCUGGUUAGUGGAUAUAUGGCACCGGAAUAUGCGAUGGAAGGACUCUUUUUAGUGAAAUCAGAUGUCUUUAGUUUUGGAGUUCUCUUGCUAGAGAUAGUAAGCGGGCGCAAGAAUAAUGGUUUUCAUCUUCGAGAGGAGGGUGAAAGCCUUCUCACCUUUGUAUGUUCCUAAUCACCAUCCCAGUUUAAUAUGAAAUCGAAGAUUUUCGUGCAGCUACCCUUGUUUAUUUUUCUUGCUAUUUGACAGGCAUGGAAGUUGUGGUCCGAAGGUCGAGCAUCGGAACUUAUCGAUCAGUUGAUCAAUGACUCAUGUGAUGAAGUUGAAGUGCUGAAAGUCGUACAUGUUGGUCUAUUGUGCGUUCAAGAAGACCCGGCGGAUCGACCGACUAUGUCACUCGUGGUUCAUAAUUUAGGAGGCGAUACUAUAACACUCAGCCAACCAUCGCAGCCUGCAUUCUCAGUUGGGAGAGAUGCGAAGAAACUCGAUCGUGUCAUGCCCAUUCAAGGAGCCUCAACUAUUAAUGGAGUAACCCUUUCGGUUGUUGUGGCUAGGUGACCAAGUAUUAUACAAUGGAAAAGCUGUUAGAUAGAAUUAUGAUAUUUAUUUUAUCUUUUAGGAUUGUGCAUGUAUCUCCAUUGUAAUAUAUUUAUAUCAUCCUACUUUCUAUAUUUGUCAUGUAAAGCCGGCUUAUGUUCUCUUCUUUAUAUAUACAAAUAUACAUAAACUAAAAUAUUAUAUGUUUUGCAUAUUUCUUAUCUUUUUAUCUUAGUGUUAGAGCUAGACGGUCUUAAGCAAAUUUUGAGUGCUUGAGUGCGACACACCCGACUGCACACCAGGAGCACACCUUCACAUCUCGUAUCAUGUGAUCCAUUUUUGUUAUAAUUAGUAAUGCCCCUUUCUCAAUGUCGAUUCUUAACAUUUUCGUCACGUAUGCAUAAACGUUAGCCUAUUGCUGUCUAACCUACACACAUCCGUCAAUUCUCUCUUCAGCACAUGAAAUCACCUCUUUGGAUCUUUACUCCCAACGCCAUUUGACUUCCUUUUUCUCACUUUGAGUUUGAGUGUUUGUUUAAGAUAAUUAAGAUUUUUACCUUGAUCCUCCAUUAUUCAGGAUUGUGAAUAUAUAUGUCACAACCUGAUCCACAUACAGCCGCAUGACAACCCUUCCUCAAUACUACUUUCUCUUUGGGUCAUUCAAUUGCAAUGUCUUAGGAGGCAUCGCCAACCCAAAUCAUAAUAACAUUAAAACACACAAGCGGAAAUGUAAACAAAUCUCCAACCAUCAAACAACAGGGAUAGUUAAAAACAUAUUCAUAUAUGUAGAAGAGUGUUACGAAUCAACGUCUCAUACAACAUGAGUUCAGGGGUUAAUCAACUAGUUUCUUCACCUCCGACAUGCCUAACCGCUUCGCCACGACCUCUUCCAAAAAGGGCCCCUGGGCGUAUACCUACGCCUCUAAUACUACGAGGGUGGUUCAAAAAGUGCUAACACCCACAUCUACCUAAACCUCAAUGUCCUCCGGGGUCCAGGCCUCCCAUAUGGUGAUCAGCACAAGGUCAAUCUCGAGGUCAGACACCUCCCCAUCGGGAACGUCCCGAUCCUUGGCAUCCCAGCUGAUGUCGCCCACAGGAUAGGCCCAUGGCUCUUGCCACCUACCCAAAAGUAGCAAGCCACAAAUCGGUGUGGCACAAGGUUAAGUAAACCCUCAUUGACCCAAAUUGUCAUGACAUAUCACCUAUAGUGCGUGUCGGCCACUCCCACUACCAGAUGCUCUGUCACCUCCUGACUAUACUUGACAGGGAGGCCAAAACGAAUCUAAUGAAAUUGUUUAGUCAUUCUUAGAACCUGAAAACAUUUCAACAAAUAAAUAUGAGAUAAACUCAAUAGUGAACUUCCUAGACAUGGAAAUAUCUAGGAAGAGCCCUAAACAUGCAAAUAUCUAUCAAUGGCAAAACAUGGCAACACACUUCUCACUUUACUCUUAUCGAUCUCAUAACAACUUGUCUACCAUACAAGGCCAUCAAAGUAGAUGCAUAGACAAUUUCAUAACAUAACCUUCAUGUUCUCGAGCCAAACAUACUAAUGUGCAUUAUGGUUCAAAUCAUGCGCACAUGCCAUGUAAUAAUCUGAACUGGAACACAUACAAAUCUCAUCCACUUUCCAUACAAAAAUGUGUAGAUUAUUAUGGCCACUCAGAACCCAAAGCCAAUCCAAAGGUUUGCAAAUCAUCUGGAAAAGCUGGGCAUCGUCUUGCCUCAUCGAGCAUAGCAUCCCGUUGACUUGGGGGCAUUCCUAUAAGGAGCUUCAUUCCGAAAUUCAUCCACGAACGGCAUCCUAUUGACUUUGGGGCAUUCAAACUUAAUCGGGCAUCAUCCUACGUAAAACGCCUUAAGACGGGUUCACACCUUGCGUAAAACGCAUCAGGGUCUUAGGUGAUCACACAUGCAUACCAUCACAUACUCCAUUUUGUCUUUAUCAUUUAACCUGUGUGAUGCUCAUGCAAUAUGCAAUUUCACAUGUCAAAUGCCAUCAUUCCACACACGUACAUCAAUUAUCUCAUACACAUAUGGACCAUUCACUUCCUAAACUCAUGACACAUAAUCUACAUAUCAUGUUUAACCACUAAUUCACAUGGCACGUCAUCCAAAUAACAUGUUUAACCACUAAAACACAUGGCACAUCAUUCAAUUAACAUGGAUAACCACUAAAACACAUGGCACAUAACCUAAAUAACAUGUUUAACCACUAAACUACAUGUCAUAUAACCGAAAUAAUAUGUUUAACCACUAAGCCACAUGUCACAUAAUCCAAACAACAUGUUUAACCCCUAAACCACAUGUCACAUAAUCCAAAUAACAUGGAUAGCCACUAAACCACAUGUCGCAUAACCCAAAUAACAUGUUCAACCACAAAACCACAUGUCACAUAAUUCCAACAACAUGUUUAGCCACAAAACCACAUGGCACGUCACUUAAAUAACAUAGAUUACCACUAAUUCACCCUAAACUAUUCCCUAAAUGCAACGAAAGCCCUAAUCAAAUGCUAAAAAGCCACUCGCGGACGACUCGGGCUCCCAAACAUGCCAAGGAAAAGGACUACAAGGCCGGACAACGGCUAGCCUCACAUCCUUCGCGCGUAGGUGAGCUGGACAACAACUGAACAACGGUCUAGCGAUUGCACGUUUGGGGUUCGACGGGUGGUCGCCGGCAAGGAAAACAAGGGGAAAAUGUAAGAAACAAGCUUGAAAUGGUGAUGAAAAUGGCUUGGAGGGUUUGGCUACUCAAAGUGAGGGAGAGAAAGGUGAGUUUGAGAGUUCAAGUGAGAAAAAUGAAAGUGAAAGUGAGAGAGAAAGCGGGUGGCUGGCGGUGAGGGGAGGGAAAGGAAGAGAGGGAAAAGAGAAAGGAACAUUCUAUCUCCAUAAAUGUCCAUCCCAUCCUAUAUCCUUCAACCUACUAAGCCUAGAGUUCUUUUAAUGAGGAAGUGACAACUUGAAGAGAGAACAAAGUGAGAGUGAGGGGGAGAUAGGUGGCCGACAGUAUUGAGGGAGAGGGAGGAGAGAGACAAGAAGAAAUCUUGCUCAUAAAUGCCCAUCACUUCCCUUGACUCUUGUCCAUCAAGCUUGCCCAAAGAAGAAGCAAGAUAUAGCAUUAAAUGGGAGGAUUUGCACUCAAGUGACUAGGAUUGGACUAGACUAGGUAGCAUUUUUCUCUCCUCUCUGCCAUUUUUCCAUUUUUAUCCUUUUGUCUUUAGUCCAAUAGGAGGGCAUUUCCGUCAUUUCACCAAGAUCUCGCAUUAUUCAUGUCAUUUUGUGCAUUUAAUGCCAAGAUUGUGUCAAAAAGGGCUUGAUGGGCUUUGAGGGGCCCAUGGGCCUCCCUUGGUCGCCCACCCCUUAGGUGUGUGGGUCUUGGGUUGCCCACUUAGGCUCAGGCCCAAUAGGUCAUCGUCCUUGACCCGUUUCCAAUUUUUCUACACUCAUAUGCCCUUGCUGAUGAAAAACCGAGGUUUCGCCCUUAAAUGGUCUUUUUUUUUUUUUAUUUAUGCCCUCAUGGCUUAUCAAUCCUCAAGACAUUCUCGUAUGACAAUCACUUACCAGAAUAAUUUCAUUCUGAAAAACUGGGUCAGAACGAGGAUGUCACAACUCUUCCCCUCUUAAAGAAAUUUCGUCCUCGAAAUUUGCAGGACCAACCACUUCCUCGAAUAGAUUGGAGUAUUUGCUCCUCAUAAUGUCCUCGCUUUCCCAUGUCGCUGCCUCGGUGCCGUGAUGCUGCCAAACAUUUUCGACCAAGGGAAUGACUUUGUUGUGCAACACCCGUUCUUUUCUAUGCACGACACGCAUUGGCUGCUCAACAUAAGUCAGUCUGUCGUCCACCUCGAUCUCUUCAUAGCUUAGCACGUGUGUCAAGUCUAAUUCAUACUUUCUUAGCAUGGAAACGUGGAACACGUUAUGAACCUGGGCAAGAUUUGGUAGUAGUGCCAAUUGGCAAGCUAAAGUUCCAAUUAUUUCCAAAAUUUCAAAAGGUCCUACGAAUCUGGGGCUUAGCUUCCCUUUAUUGCUGAAACGAGACAUACCUCUCAUUGAUGAUACUUUAAGGAACACGUGAUCGCCAACUUGGAACUCUAGAAGUCUCUAUCGUUUGUCCACAUAGCUUUUCUGGCGACUUUGGGCUGUCUUUAACCUUUCUCAAAUGAUCUGGACUGCAUCCACAGAUUGUUGCACUAGCUCGAGGCCCAUAAUUUUCCUUUCUCCAACCACAUCCCAACAGACGAGCAUUCUACAUGCACAUCCAUACAAUGCCUCAAAUGGUGCCAUUCCGAUGCUCAAUUGAUAAUUGUUGUUGUAUGCGAAUUUGACGAGGUGUAGUUGGUCUUCCCAUUCUCCUUUGAAAUCUACGACACAUGAUAUCAUUGGUGCCAUAUGCUACCCUAUUCGAUGUAGUCCAUGUUUAUGAUGAUUCACUAUAUUUGUGCUAUGUUUACUAAUGAGCAAAGUUAGGAUCUUGUUGUUUAAUGCCUUGUUUUAUCCUUUAUUGGGCAUUGUUGCUCACCCCUUAUUUUUCCUCUUAGAUCAUUAGCUAUGGAUGUGACACCCUUGAUGACUUAUGGCACAGCUAAGCGGGUAGAUGGCGUGUAUGGGAACUUUGAGGAUGGAGAUUCUAGUCUUGUUUUGACUCAUUAUGUUUGUAUUGUCUGCAUAGAUGAUGGAUGCCCUAAUCAUUUCCCAAUGCGAUUUGUGUUCGUGUACCUUAACGUGAAUGGGAGUUUGUUUGGCCCCAUCUGUUGGUGAUGUUUUGGGCGUGGAGUAGGAGGCGCGCGUGGUAUGGAGGGAUGUAGUGGAUGAGGAAAACUACCGGGUAGAGGAGUUAGGCACCUUUUUGGCCUCUCCUAGGUAUUUUGUUUGGGUCAUCUUGAUGAGUAUUUUUCUAUGUUUGUAAUUGUCAAGAUGUCGUUUUUCUCUUGUAAUCCUUACUUAUGAUGAAUGAAAUGGAAGCAUGUCGUUAUGGAAUUUGUUCUUGAGUAAAAUUUUCAUAUUAAUGAAAGAUUAUAGUCGAGGGUCUAGUGGUAGGUAGGACACACGUGCUAAAACACUGAUCACUUGUGCUUGUUGUAUUGCUAUUUUGUAAAGAAUGAGUAAACCUCGAUUACUCAUAGGGUAUUAGUAACUUAUGUUACUUAUUAGUUGGUUAGGGUAUUCAGUCACUUAAUGACUAGUGACUGAUUUGUAGAAUGGCUAGUGCUUCAAGAGGGAGAGGAACCGGUAGAAGGACAGCCACGAGUGAAUCCCUUAUAAGGACAUAGCCUAGAUUGGAAGGGAUUUUUGCAAGCUCUUGCUAAUGUANNNNNNNNNNNNNNNNNNNNNNNNNNNNNNNNNNNNNNNNNNNNNNNNNNNNNNNNNNNNNNNNNNNNNNNNNNNNNNNNNNNNNNNNNNNNNNNNNNNNNNNNNNNNNNNNNNNNNNNNNNNNNNNNNNNNNNNNNNNNNNNNNNNNNNNNNNNNNNNNNNNNNNNNNNNNNNNNNNNNNNNNNNNNNNNNNNNNNNNNNNNNNNNNNNNNNNNNNNNNNNNNNNNNNNNNNNNNNNNNNNNNNNNNNNNNNNNNNNNNNNNNNNNNNNNNNNNNNNNNNNNNNNNNNNNNNNNNNNNNNNNNNNNNNNNNNNNNNNNNNNACAAGAAGGUGAAGUUUAUGCAGCUAACCCAAAACAACCUAACGAUGGAUCAGUAUGAGCCAAGAUUUGUUGAACUCUCUAGGUUUGCUCCCAAGUUAGUUGAGGAUGGGGAGGAUAAAGCCAAGAGAUUUUUGAAUGGUAUAAGGCUUGACAUGCGUAGGCAUCUAGUGCCUCCGAACCUAAAAGAUUAUCGUGAAUUGUAUGAGCGUGCUUAGUUAGUGGAAUAAGAGCUUGUGACGAAAGGGACCCUAGUAACCCAUCAGGCGAGACCAAUCCAUCAGGCUGGUCAAAGCAAUUUCCACUAUGACAAGAGACCCUUUCAAGCUGGGCGACCAUCGUUCUCAUUGACUAAGAAAAGUUGGACUAGAGGACCUGGGAAGGCAUGGAAUAGUUAGUCAUCGAGGCAACCGCGAACCCAUAUUUCUACUUGUCGGGUGUGUGGUGGAUCACAUGUGAGCAUGUUGUGCCAAUUUGUGAAGGCAUAUUUUGGUUGUGGACAGCCAAAUCACUUGGUUAAAGACUAUCCACAAAGGAGCACCUAGUAGCAACGGCUACCACAAUCAUUGAUUGCAUCGGUGUAACAAGAAAAUAACCGCAGGUUGCCAACUCAAGAAAGAGUCUAUGCAGUUACACGUAAUGAAGUUGAGGCCUCUAAGACAGACAUUAUAGGUAUUAUUUCCUUGUCUGACCAAAAUGCUUAUGCUUUAUUCAAUACUAGAGCUACACACUUGUUUGUGGCUACUCAGUUUGUGCAAUUAAGUAGGAUGAGACCUAGGGAGAUGGAAGUACCCCUUAAUAUCUCCACAUCGUUAAGAGACAUAGUUUUAUCUACCCUAGUGUGUAAGGACUGUAGGAUCUUUAUAGUAGGACAAAGUUUGCCUUCAAAUUUGGUGGUGUUAACUAUGUAUGAUUUUGAUGUGAUCUUGGGGAUGGAUUGGCUUCAUAAGUACCGAGCUAAUAUGGAUUGUUAUAGGAAGAUCAUUUAGUUUAAUCCUCUUGAUCGCCCUAGUUUUGAAUUUUAUGGAGAUAGAGUGACUCCUUCCUUACCGCUCAUUACUACACUUGAGGCUCAUUGACUACUUGAGAAUGGUUGUGAGGGUUAUCUAGCUUGUGUGAAAAAUCAAGAUAGAGAAGGAGUAAAGCUAGAAGAGAUUUCGGUAGUUCGGGAGUUUCUCGAUGUUUUUUCUAAGGAGUUACCAGGCCUACCCCCAGAACAAGAAGUUGAGUUCGUCAUUGAAGUGGCACCCGGUACAAAACCUAUAUUGAAGGCCCCAUAUCGAAUCGCGCUAAGUGAGUUGAAGGAACUAAAUGUGCAACUACAAGAGUUGAUUGACAAAGGGUUUGUUAGGCCAAGUGCAUCACCUUGGGGUGUGUCAAUAUUGUUCGUGAAAAAGAGGGAUGGAUCCUUAUGCCUCUGUAUAGAUUACAGGUAGCCGAAUCAAGUAACGAUUAAGAAUAAAUAUUUAUUGCCUAGGAUCGAUGACCUAUCUGAUCAAUUGCAAGGAGCAUCAAUGUUUUCUAAAGUCGAUCUAAGAUCAGGGUACCAUCAAUUAAGAAUCAAGAAGGAGGAUGUUCCUAAGAUGGCCUUUCGAACUAGAUAUGGACAUUACGAGUUCUUAGUUAUGCCCUUUGGAUUAACUAACGCACCAGCCGCUUUUAUGGAUUUAAUGAAUAGAAUAUUCAAGCUGUUCUUGGGUUGAUUCGUGAUUGUUUUCAUAGAUGAUAUACUGGUGUGUUCCCUUGAGGAUCAUGUUGUAAACUCUUAGAGAACAUCAAUUGUACAUCAAAUUAAGCAAAUGUGAAUUUUGGCUGGACAAAGAUAUAUUCUUAGGUUAUGUGGUGACUGGAAAAGGGAUAUUGGUAGACCUAGAAAAGGUCGAAGACGUUCUAAAUUGGCCAAGAUCGAUGAUGGUAAUCGAGAUUCGAAGUUUCUUGGGUUUGGUGGGAUACUAUAGGAGAUUUGUGGAAGGAUUUUCACGGAUUGCAAGGCCGUUGACUUAAUUAACUUGGAAGAACUUGAAGUUUGAAUGGACAGAGGAGUGUGAGCAAAGUUUCCAAUAACUCAAGAGGAGGCUAAACACGGCACCUAUCUCGACAAUACCUUCAGGACCUGGAGGAUUCGUAGUUUAUAGCAACACAUCACACAAGGGACUGGGUUGCAUUUUAAUGCAACAUGGAAAGGUCAUUGCGGAUGCGUCAAGACAAUUGAAGCCGUAUGAGAUGAAUUACCCUACCCACAACCUGGAACUCGCAGUAUCAUUUUUGCAUUGAAGAUACGAGACUUGUAUGGAGAGAAGUUCGAGAUCUACACGAAUCAUAAGAGCUUGAAGUACCUAUUCUCUUAGAAAGAGUUGAAUAUGAGGCAAAGGUGGUGGAUGGAAUUAUUAAAGGACUAUGAUUGUGAGAUCUUAUACCACCUCGAAAAGGUGGCCAUAGCAAUAGUUAGCUUAAUGGUCAAGGAAUGGAGUUUACUAGAGAAGAUCCUUAAUCCGAAGUUUAAGGUCGAGAUGGAUGAUCUCACGAGCAUAAUGGCUACCCCUAGGAUUGAGCUAGAGAUUAUACAACAAUUAAAGACUCUACAACAAUCUGACUUGGAAAUCUCGAAACUUUUCGAGAUGAGAUUGUGAAAGGGAAGAGACUUGAAUUCCAAAUUUCAGAAGAUGGAAUUGUGAGAUUCCACAAAUGCCUUUGUGUGCCUAAGGACAAUGAGAUAAGCAGGGAGAUCUUGUUAGAAGCCCACAGGAGCAACUACAUCAUCCACCCAGGAAGUACCAAGAUGUACAGUAACCUUCGCCAAAGUACUAGUGUAAUGGAAUGAAGGCAGAUAUCAUGAAACAUGUCGCAAGGUACCUGACGUGCCAAUGGGUGAAAGCAGAGUAUUGUAAGCUUGCAGGGAUGUUAAAGCCAUUGGAAAUCCCAGAAUGGAAAUGGGAACAUGUGACAAUGGACUUUGUGCAAGGAUCGCCAAGGACCUCAAGUGGUCAUGAUUCGAUAUGGGUGAUAGUGGAUCAACUAACGAAGUCAACCGACUUUCUGGCUAUAAGGGUAGAUUGUUCAUUGGAAAAGUAUGCUGCUUUAUAUGUUAAACAAAUAGUACAACUUCAUGGUGUCCCUAUGACAAUAACUUCAGAUCGAGAGCCGCACUUUACAUCGAAUUUCUAGCGAAGUCUUCAAGUGGCAUUAAGGACCAAGCUUCAAUAUAGUACUGCUUUUCACCCCUAAUGUGGCAUCCGAAAAUUCCAACGGCCCUCAAAUAUGCAACGGCCAUGUUUUCUUUUAUCUAUUGGACCGACCAACCGUGCAACAAGAGAAGUCUUUGGACUUUGAUCGUUUGAUGGAAUUCGGCCAUGCAUGAGGAACACACAUGCCGAAUUUAAGAAUAAAAUUUUGAGGAGUUGGACCGUGCAUGAGGACCAUGCACGUCUUUUCUUUGUGCGAUUCGGCAAGUGAGGAAAUGAAUUUUUAUCACCAUACAACUCUGUUGAGUUCUUUCUCCACGCAAGAAUUUCGUUCACAUACUUGUACAUUGUUGCGACACCGUGUGGUCAUGUGAGUAGGCUGUAAUUUAGCUCAUGCAUGGCGGAGAUUAAGGUAAAUAUUUGGAGAAAAUUGGGCCACGCUCGGAGACCAUGCGGCCACGAAUUUGUUGGCCCAAGCUGCCCGACUUUCUUUCUCCUUCUUCAUUCGGUCGACAGCAUGGAGUCAACAAAUCAAGGGAUUGUUGACUGAGAGGAGCCCAGCAACUGCCACGUUGCUCUCCCAUUCGGUGGCCAGCACAUGAGGAAAACCGGACAAGGAGAGACACGCCUCCUCCACCUGUCCAUUUCAGCUUUAGCCACUUAAAUUUCUGAAUGCAAAAAGUGAUUAAUUAGUUAAUCAAAGAACAAAAAGGGAGGAGUUCGGAUUUGAGGGGAAGAGAGAGAGUGAACUGAGCCGAACCCAGAGCAGAGAGAAAGAGAGAGAGAGAGAGUUCGAGCGAGAGAGUGGGCGCACGGGUGUGAGCCGCAAGGGAGGAAGAGAAGGAUCGCCGUCCGCCCGUGCUCGAGCUGCUGCCGUCAAUGCCGCCCGUCUUCAUCACCAUUGAGUCACGCACGAGGUCCCGAGCUUCCCGUUCGGUUUGUCGAUUGAGCUUAGGAGUGAGGCAAGUAGAAGUUCAUUAAUCUAUGUUAUGCAUGUGGUGAUUAUCUGGUGAAGUGCUGGUAGAUUUGAGAAAACGCUGAAAUGGAAACUGCAUGUUGGGUUUUCAGAUGAUUGAUAUGAAGAUUGAGUGCUGUUCUUUGGAGGAUUAAAUGUAUUGUUGCUGUGUUGUGUUGGAUUGAGCUUGAUGAGUACUAGAUCAAAGUUAGAAGUCAUUGCAUGUUGUUUUGAGUCUUGCAUGUCUCAAAAAUUUAGUGAAAGUUGGCUGUUUUGAUUGAGCAAAGUGAAGUGAUGCUUGCCAAGUGAAGAAAUGAGGUGUAUGUUGAGAUGAGUGAGCUUAUAGAUGAAUAUAUGCUUUGAGCUGUGGAAGGUUUCUCUGUUAAUAAGAACUUGCUGAAAAUGUUCUUUGAUGCUGUGGAAGAGUCUUGAAGUGUUAUAAGAUAGAUUGGUUGAGAAACAAAUGGUUUGAUUGAACUAGAAAUGAAGAAAACCGUAUGUACCGAUUCUGUUUUAGAGAAAUUUAGAUAGAAAGUCUUUUUAAUUGUGUCACUCUGAUUUAUAACGAUGAAGAUAAGAAAAUGAACCAUUUUACAUAAUAGAACACCCAUUAUAUUGAGUUUGACAUCUAGCUAUAGCCACAUGAAUGUAAAAAUAUGAAGGUAGAAGUGAACCUAUUGAAAACAAUGAACUGUUUCGUAGAGGAUAGCUUGACCUGUGAUGACUCCGUGAAUUUUCUGUAAUUAUCUAGUUAGAAUUGGACUUUGAACUCUUAAUGAAAGUUGUAGGACACAUCCUUAGGAAUAACAUAUUAAAAUUUGGGAACAAGAGGACAAUAUUAGUUGGUGAAACGAAUUUUCUUCUGUAGGUACUGAAUCUGAAAGUUACUGCAGAAUUUUGAAGGAAAUAGCAAACUAUUACUCUUUAUACACAACGAAUAUGACUUAGUGUCCUUCAUGAAAUUUCUUCCUUUAGGUCUUAUGUAUAACAUAUCAAAAUUUCAAAGCUUUCUGAGUUCAUUUAGGGGUCAUUACGAAAUUGUUACUAAAACUGUGCAUUGUGAUGUUUGAGCUGUUUUGUUCCGAAUUUGCUCAAUUUGUCCCAAAGGUGAAUGCAUCUUGAGUUGUUAUUUGACAUGAUGAUAUUGAAAUUCAGCAUAUCAUGAUAUAUUGAGAUUUGGUGGAGAUUCAUGGGACAUCUUGUCAUUGCAUUGAAAAGUGUUUUCGAAAUUAAGAUGUUAAUUGUUGCCGUUGGACCCUCGGGUCAACGAUGCCCCGGGAGUCGGGAUGCCCAAAGGUUCGAAUGAGUCGAUGCCCUUUGGAUGCCUUUUUUUAUUAUGAAUACAUGCCCAGAGGUUUUCCCAGGGAGCAUUGGGAUGCUCGGUUGUAUGCUUGUCAGUACGUAAAUCCGGAGGUUAGGGGUAACCAUGUCUAUGGUCCCCAGUGAUUCCUCGUGAUGCCAGGUGGGGUGCGAGAUGCCCAAAGGUUCGAAUGAGUCGAUGCCCUUUGGAUGCCCGGUUGUAUGUUGAAUACAUGCCCGGAGGCUUCCGCAAUGCCAGGGUUGGGUGCGGAAUCCCAGAAGGACGCAAACGUUGGUCCCCUAGGGGGAUAAAACCGUUUGAAUAAUUAAAUCUAAUGAUUAUAUUAAGUGUGAGUGUGGUCUAGUUAUGGGACUAAAUUGUAUGGCAUGGAAUGGGACGUGUCAUUAUAGUUUGGCCCUAUGAUCGGGACUUGUGUAACUGGACAUGAUGCAUCUUGAGGGUUUCGAAAUUGUACUUGCCAUUGCAUUGAAGAAUUUCAUGAUUUUGAUGCUUGCUUAUCCAUUGAUUACCUGUUUUUGUCUAUCUUGCAUGAAUCUGGAUAUUGAUGGUACUGCGUGAUAUAGCUUAAUGAAUCUUUUACUACUGAGUAGUUGUACUCACCCCAUUUGGGGACUAACAUUUUAGACUAAGUCAAGAUACCUCUGCUGGCACCGCCACCAGUAGAUGGACUGAGUGAUUGAAUAUGACCACGAGGAGGAGGAUAGCAAAUGAAUGAACUUUUGGACGCCGACACUGAUCGAUGGACUUUAAGUAUACGACUGUUGGAAAAGAUGUCGGUCAUCUUUUGAAAUAUAGCCAAGUAUAGAAGACUAUGGCAUGGCAUUUUGGUGUACCGACGAAUGAUGUCCAUCUGGUUUAAGUAAAUAAAAGUGUUCGGCUUUUAUCUUAUAAAAGUUUUAGUUGGUGUGCAUUGUCUCUGAAUUUGGAAUAGGGAGAUGUUGGAUUUUGCUUCCGCUAUAUAUAUAUAUAUAUAUAUAUAUAUAAACUGCGCUGGGACCGAUCUAAAUGAUAUACACCCCCAGGAUUUAUGGACCUAUUAUAAUUCUAUGGUAUCAGAGUAAUAUAUUAUCAAGUCAAGAGAAAGGCAAGUGGACUGUGGCGACCCUAGCGAAUCGGGGGCCGUUCCGAGGUGCCACACCUAAAUAGAUGGACAAUGCAAGAGGACUAUACAGACAUUGGAAGAUAUGCUUUUAGCCUGUGUCAUUGACUUUAAGGGUAAUUGGGAUGAAAAGUUACACUUGGUGGAGUUAGCCUAUAACAACAACUUUCAACAAAGCAUAGGCAUGGCUCCAUUUGAAGCAUUAUAUGGUAGGAAUUGCAAGACUCCUAUUUGCUAGGAUGAGGUUGGAGAAUGGAUAUUAACGGGACCAUAAUUGGUUCAGGUGACAACUAACACGGUAAAGACAAUUCGAGAUUGGCUCAAAUUGCUUAAAGCCGACAGAAGAGUUAAGCCAACAAGGGGCAUAGGCCUUUGCAAUUCAAUGUAGGCGACCAUGUGUUCUUAAAGGUAUCGCUAUGAAGAGCGUAUCAAGGUUCGGAAGGAAAGGAAAGUUGAGUCCAUGAUUUGUAGGGCCUUCUGAGAUUCUUGAAAGGCUAGGGGAGUCGGCAUAUCAAGUAGCCCUACCACUGAAGUUGUCCAACAUGCACGAUGUUAUUCAUGUGUCCAUGUUAAGAAAAUAUAAACCUGAUCUUGCACAUGUGCUAGAUUUUGAAGUGCUUGAAAUAGAUAAGAAAGUGAAGCAUGUGGAGGAGCCGGUACAAAUUAUGGACCGUAGGGAACAAAUGCUGAAGAACAAAACAAUACCGUUGGUCAAGGUAUUGUGGAGAUACCACGACUCGAAAGAGGUGACGUGGGAGAGCGAGGAAGAGAUGAAGCUUAAGUAUCCGCGUCCUUUCUAGUAAUCAAGUAAGUUUUAAAAUUUCGAGAUCGAAAUUUUAUAAGGAUAGGAGAGCUGUGACAUCCUGAAAUUUCAGUCUGAAAAUUUCAUUUAAGCUAGUGAUUGUCAACGGAAGAGGAAUCGGGAUAGGUGGGAUUGUCCGAUGGGCUUUGCAUGUGGGCUAGGCGUGUGGAAAGCCUAGUGGGCCGAGUUUUGGGCUAAGCGUGGACUGGAGAGAGAAAAGUGGGCUGUGAAUAAGGCCCAAUGGGCUGGACGUGUGCGGAAGGUUUGGUUGAGGUGGAAAAUACCGAGAUUUUGGUCAAUGUAUGUGUUGCGCAAAUUCGAAUAAUUUUGAAUGUUCGAUGGUAUAUUCUUGCAAUUCAAUUGGUGUUGUUGUGAUGUAUGGAAUUAAUAGUGGACAUAAGAUCCUUGAACAUUAGAAAUUGUGGCUUUAAGAUGUGUGCAAUUCCACUAAGUUUUUGGUCAUAUUGUUAGUGGAGGAUCUUGGAAUAAAGUUGCUUGAUUUGGUGCCUAGCGUUUGAGGUGGCCGAAUUCUUUGGGCUAGGAGAGGGAUUAGUUUUGUUUUGUAUAAGAAGCCAAGUAGAAAAAGACAAGAUCUAAGGAUUACUUGCAAUAAGUUUUGGUUUCCCAUGCAAGUUUCAGUUUUCCCCCUUCCCAUCAGCCGAAAACUAGUCCUCCUGAUGGCCCUAAAUCCCCCCAACCAAUCUCCUCCUUUGCAUGGCUACAGCAAGGGAAAAAUUCCCAAGGAAAGCCAUCAUUUCCCCCCAUUUUCUUCCUUCAUUUUCCCUUCUCUUUUGUUCUUCUUCUUUAUUCCCCUCACUCACCCAACGCCUCUCUCUCUCAUUUUUCUUCCCAUUUCCUUGUUGAUUAUUCAAAGGACCAGCGACCAAGGUGCAGCUAGCAUUAAAGGGAACUCAACAAAGCAAUUUUUGAGUCCUAAACUAGGUGAGGGAAUAAGCUAAGUAUUAAACUUCGACAUCCUCUCGAUACUUGAGAGUGGAUUAGUUCAAUCUAAUGGAUUUUUGGGUUAUAGGAGCUAGAUCCAUGGAUGACUUUAGCUUGCAUAUAUCCUGUGAUGUGAGGGAAGUAUUGCAUGUAAGUUUCUCAAAGGUUUUGGGUGCUAAGCUUGCAUGAGAUGCAUUCAUAGAAGCUGAGGUUGGAUUCUCCUUAAGAUCUAUUUUACCGGACCUCCUGCAUUUGCUGUUUUCGUGGGUUGAAAUGCGCUGCGAAUUUAAGGUUGCUUUCUCCUUGAAAAAUAUUUUAAUCAUCUUCAUUUAUAACAUAUAUUUUACUUAAGAUUUUAUGGAUUUGAAGGACCGAUUUUUCAGCUUCAUUGCAUGCAAAUUAGUAUCUUGUUUUAUGCUGGAAUCCGUGACCUUUUAGUGUUCAACAAAUUUUUAUCAACUUUUGUGGUUUGAUUUUUAAAAUGGUUUCUUCACAAAAGUUGUUCAGUACAUCUUGACGUUUAACAUAGUCAAAUUCCAGAGAAAAUGGCUGAAUUUUUAAUUUCAAACCAAGCUGGUUUUGAAAACGUGAUUUCUGGACACGAGGAGAGUUUUGGUGAUUGUUUUGUGCGAUUUACUACUCUUAUUCUAGAAAGAAUUGGGUUAAAUAUUUUCAUGAAAAUUCUUUUUUUAAGUGUUCUUUACUUAUGUUUCUGGAUUUAAUCAUAGAGCCACCCACGCAUGUGGACUUGGUUUCUGCCAGUGAGGGCUAGUUGUGAUCUUGUUGCUAUUUUUGAUGUUUUACUUGCUGGAAAAUGCAUAUUUUGUGAUUGUGGAUGAGUUUGGCAUGUUGAGAACCUAUGCUUGAUGGCUAUGCAUGAGUAGUGAUCAUUGUGUGUGCAAAAUGAUGUGGAAAUAGGCAUGGAGGUGGUGUGAAGGGCAAUUCUGCUUUAUGCGUGCCGAUGCAUUGUGAUCUUGGCAGUAUGGUGGUUUAUGUGUGUGCUGGUGGUGUCAAAAGUGUGCCCAAAUGGAUGAUUGUGAUGUGGUAAAAUGUGUGAAUGAAUCAAAUUAAGAGACAUUCCAUCGGUCAACAUCCCGAUGAGGCCCCCUGGGGAGUGAGGAUGCCCCAAACUGUGUGGUCUAGGAUGCCUCAGUUCAAGUCACAAGGCCAAUGACCCUUGGACACCAGGAUGCCUCGAAGGGAGAUGCCUAGGGCCAACGUCCCUUAGAAGUCCAACCAGCAACCUGGAAGUGACUCGAACAGAUCCAACCAGCGUCUCUGGUUAAAUCCAAUUCGAGGGUGGAUAUGAAAUGUUCUCACAUUGAAAUUAAUUAACAAGGCAUGUGAGUACGUGUGAUGAUGUAGUUGUGUGCCAUGUGACGCAUGAAUGAAUUCAUGUGCACCGUGUGAUGCAUGAUUAGAGUUCGUAUAUGUCUUGUGGUGCGGUCUUCAUGCAUUUUACUCAUUAUAGCUGUGACAUCCUAGAUUUUCAGUCCUGUUUUCAAUUUAAUAAGUCGAGCCUUUCAUCGAUGCACCUAUAGUGCUAUUCUCAAAUCUGAUCACUCGUGAGAUAACUAGACUAUCUGGGGAAGUCAUUAAGGGAUUUUAAUGCAAUAGACUUGAGAAUUCGACCAAAAAUCGACUAAUCAACCAUGCUCAUCUGCAGAGAUCAUUACAGCACAGUAAAGAUCGAUUAAAGAUCAGAGAUAGGUCGAUUUGACUGAGAUGUGUGGUUAAACUUGGAUGAUUUCACUAAAUUGCAAAUUCUUGUCAAUCGGUACUAGAUUGAUUUUUCUGUCGUUUUGGUAUCAUGUGUCCGUAUUGAAACCUCAAGAUUUUCACGAUCACCAAGAGUCGCCAAUGUGUUGAAGAGGUUUAUUGUGGCUCGAAGAAAAUCAACCACGGGCCAUUUGCACUAAAAAUUUCUGAAAGCUACCCGGUAGCCUAGGUCACUCUAAAAUCGCGCCAAAUCGAAAUUAACCGCGAAUUUGAAUCCGAUUUCAGAAAGUGAAGUCUGUCAUGUCACAAGUCAUUUUAGGAACGUCAACUCAAUCUUUGAAAAUUUUUCUGCAAACCAAGAUUUUUGAUGAAAAGUCGACAUAGAGCUAUUUUUGUCCAAAAAAUUCAGAGGACCGUUUUUUAUCGCGUAAUUGGGAUGCAAGUAGGUUCUAUUGGUGAAGAAAAAUACCAAUUUGAUCGAAGACUCGAUAAUGGAAUUUAUAGAUACCGAAUUGAGUUGAUUCAAGAUGGAAUUGAAGUCCAAUUUGGGGAAAAUCCAAUCAAAAUUCGUAGCCCCCCCUUGGACACAACCUUUGGACCACCUCCAAGGCUUCUAGAGGAAAUUUGGCUGUUGGAAAUUGGCUGAGAAAGCCAGCUUGCAAGUGGGACCAAGCUAAGGGAGACAAGAGGAUAGAGAGAGGCCAAGGGGAACCCUCUACCGGCCAAAGCUGUCCCCUUCAGUCUAUCCUUGCUGCCGUCGACCCUCUCCUCCAUUCCAGCUCCUUGAAGCUUCAAAAAUUCCAAAAAACAGAGCUUCAGUCCCCCCUUGCCGUCGCAACCACCCACCAAGCCACUGGACCGCCCCUCGCAACCGCUCGCUCGCCCGCACACCACCCACAAUCGUCUAGCCUACCCGCAUCUCCAGCCACUCGUUCCGCUACUGCUCGCAACUGUCCGGUGUCGCCAAGCCGCCGUGCAUCAUCAUUGUAGUCACCGGAGCUACCGUCUACCCGCCUGCACAACCGUCCAAGCUGCUGUAGUCCCCGCUGACCGUCCUCGCCGCUUCAAGCCGUCAAAGCAACUUCUUUGGCUCAACCACAUAACCGAAUGGAGUGGGUCUCGCCAGCACUUUUUGGACCGUUUUGGUGCCCUUUUGGACCUCGAAAGGCGCACCCGUUUUGGAAUUUAUCGAUCCUCUCUGCCUCGCCAUCAUUUUGGUUCAACCGGUUCAUUAAUCAAGUGAGUUUAACUCACUAAUCCCUACUUAGUAAGUUAAUGACACUUAAGGAUUGAUUAGUUUAAGUUAAUUAGGGAUUAUGUGGUUAGUUAGAACAAAUUAAUGAGUUAAUCGAUCAUUAUUGCAUGUUAGGUGGUUAGAGUAGUGCAAUUAGCAAGUAGAUAAGCUCUAGUAUUUAUCUAGAUAGGUUCGGAAAUUUUCCGAACCCAAAUCGAUAUUUAAUUAGGUUUUUCCGGCCUAAGUGUGCAUUUUUGCUAUUUAUUGGUAGUUAUUAAUUAUUUUCCGUAAUUAUUUAAUUAAUUAUUAUUUUUCGAAAGUUAGACCGAGAUAACUGGUGACCGGAAUUUUAUGCUACUCGCAGUGGUGUGAUUUGUAAUUUUGGGGUAUUUAUCCCAAAAUUUUAUAUUUUUAGUAUUUAAUUAGAAAAUACCGAGCAUCGGUUUACAACGCCAAAAAUGUGUUUAUGGACUAUGGAAAUUAGUGGGAUUUUCAAAAGGAAAAAUAUUGUAUUUUGACUAAGGCCGACCAUAUACCCACACACGAUUAUUUUUAUUAGGUAUCAUAAAAAUGGUGGCAUUCUCAGUUGGUGAGAAUAAGUAUACUAUAUCAGCCUACGGGUGUCAAUAUAUCAGCUUUGGGUGAGCAGUAUACUUUAUCAGCUUAGGGUGAGCAUCAUAGGUAUACUAUAUCAGUCUACGGACCUUAAUAUAUCAGCUUUGGGUGAGCUAUAUAAUCUAUUAUCAACUUUGGGUGUGUUAUACUAUCUAUCUUCAGUUUUGGAUGAGCAGUCCUCAAUGAGAUCGGACUAUAUAGAUAGUAUUGAUUGGAUUGAUCGAGUAAUGGUCGUGAUGACAUGGAAUCGACCGAGUCGAUUGAUCGAUGGUUCAAUCUAAUGUGAUGAUGUGAUUUAUUGAUGUGAUUCGAUUAUUUCGUGAAUCAUACUGACUUGCAUGAAUGUACCGGGGUAAAGGUAAGUCAUCUGACUCGUGUUUGUGCUUAGGCAGCCCUUAGAGUGUAUUCUCUUCCUAGUCAGGUCUUAAGGGAUGAACUUGCUGAGACGUCGUCUCAUCCCGUUGUGGGAUAACAUUUUCAGGUCCUUAGAUAGCCGCUCCUCUCGAGUGUUUUGGACAACUGAAGAAAGUCACAGAACAAGUAUUUACAUCCCACUUCAUGGGAGCCCUCGAGGAUGAGUCUAUGAGCUCAUAAGGUUCAUGGUCUGGGUCGAUGAGGCUUUACCCCCACAAGGUAUCUCAUCAAUUCAGAUCAUGGUACUGACGUGCGCGGGAUGGACAGAGAGGGGGUCCCAUACCGGAGUCUGAGAUACAUGUGUAUGUGUUGGAGGUUGCUUUUGGAAAAGGCACAGCAGAUCCUCUCGAUGGGUCGAUGGUGGACUCGUAUCUAUCAAAUCCAGGGAUCCCGGUGUAUUCAGCUAAAGGCUCCAAUGAGAAUGAGGAUGAGGAUGAGGAGGAGGAAGAAGAUCUGUAGUUUUAUAUAACCCUCAUGUUUUACAGAUCUUGUUUUAUAGACCGGUAUUAUAUAUGACAUAGUUUGGUAUGUAUAUAUAAGUGUGGCUUAGUUUGAUUUUAAAAAAAAUUGGUCCUACUUUCCUAUCCCAUUUUGUUGUUGUCUAGGAAUUAUUUAUUGGCUUCCGCAUGCGUAUUAAAAAGAAUGGGUCGGCGACGCGUCCUAGGACGUCGCUAUUUAAUCGACCGUUAAGGGAUGGGCACGCACUCGGAGGAUCGGGGCGUGACAAUAGCUUGUUUAGUUCACAUGAUAUCAUUAAUGCCAUAUGCUGCCCAAUUCGAUGUAGUCCAUGUUUAUGAUGAUUCACUAUGUUUGUGCUAUUUUCACUAAUGAGUGAAGUUAAGAUCUUGUUGUUUAAUACCAUACUUUAUCCUUUACUGGGCAUUGUUGCUCACCCUUUAUUUUUCCUCUCAGAUCAUUAGCUAUGAAUGUGACACUCUGGGUGACUUAUGGCACGCGAGAUGGCAUGUAGAUGGCAUGUAUAGGAACUUUGAGGAUCAAGAUUCUUGUCUUAUUUUGACUCAUUAUGUUUGUACUGUCUGGACAAAUGAUGGAUGCCAUAAUCCUUUCUCGAUGUGAUUUGUGUCCGUGUACCUCAACGUGAAUGGGAGAUUGUUUGGGUCCAUCCGUUGGUAAUGUUUUGGGCAUGGAGUACGAGGCACGCGAGAUAUGGAGGGAUGUAGUGAAUGAGGAAAACUACCAGGUUGAUGAGUUAGGCACCUUUUUGACCUCUCCCUAGUGUUUUGUUCAGGUCAUCUUGAUAGUAUUUUGCUAUGUUUGUAAUUGUUAAGAUGUCGCUUUCCUCUUGUAAUCUCUACUUAUGAUGAAUGAAAUGAAAGCAUGUCAUUAUGGAAUUUGUUUCUGAGUAAAAUUUCCUUAUAUUAAAAAUGUAUACUCUUCCCCUUGCGUAAUAAUAAUGAAAGAUUAUAAUCGAGGGUCUAAAGUGAUGGCCUGGGACGUCACAAAAGUUAAUAUUCGAAACUUGGUCGUGGAUUUCUAUAUUAUUGUUUUAAAUUCUAAAAUCUGAUUUAAUUUUGAGCUCAAAUUCAAAGCAUAUUUUAACAAGGGUUACUCAUUUAAAGCGUAGAAAAAUACAUAUAGAAGAAAUUCGAACAGACAUCACGAGCUGUCGACAUAUAAAAGGAGUGUUAGAUUUUGAAGAGCCAAAAAUCAACAUUUCAAAAAAGUGGUGAGUUCUUCUUAGUCCCGUGUCUUCGUCAACGAGCACUGGACAUUCAUGGGAGCAUCGUACUUGUUUUUUCUACGAAAAACGUAUGUACCCCUAUUCCUUCCGAGCAGGUCUCACCUGAUGAUAGUCCUCCGGUCCCACACAUCGAAAAAUUUCUAUGCUUCUGGAUGAUUCUGAGAGGACGUGCACGUGUGGCGAUUCCAACCGAGCCUUGAACGAGGAGAAGAGGAACAUGUGAUUCAUAACCAUUGCCGAGUCUUUGUCGGGUCUUUUCGGUUUGUAUUAGGUUGGUUUUAAACCAUUUAGGGGACAAAAACCUUUGGUUUUUUUUUUUUUCAUAAAAAACCUUUGGUUGAUUUAUUUAUAUUUAGUGCCGGUCCUUAUGGGGUGUUUUUGGGUCCCUCUCCCCUGAUUUUUCCUCUGGUAGGGCAAGCCAGGAACGGUCACCCUCAUUUCACCUGGAAAAAAGAAGCCAAUUGGAUCACCCCGUUGAUGAAGGAACGUAGAAAUUGGACUAAUUCGUCUUUGCCAGACCCGGCAUCUGGGAAAGCAGCUGCAAACUUGGUUCUUGAUCAAUUUCUUUACCUCGGCUUCCAGAAGUUGCUUAUUAUUGUACUCCUCUUGAGUUGAAAGAGAGUCCAUGGCCGACUUUGAAUUACUCUUACUGUACUUGCAUUCUUUCCAAGUUCAAGCAAAAAAGAAAAUCGAUGCACCAAGAAAUAUUUCCUUCGCUUUCUGGAUUUCAUGCCUGAUCCUCUUCAUCCGAGGCACUCCUGUCGGUGCACAGACAUAUGUUCAGGAGCGGUGUGCAGAUAGGGGCGACUACGCUGCUCCUAGCAAGUUUCAGGACAACCUCAGCAGCCUCCUCUCCAAGGGCGACUCCGCUGAUUACAGCAAAGGACCCAUUCGCGGUUUCUACAACACAACGGAAGGUGAAGAUCCGGACAAAGUUUAUGGUCUCUUCCUCUGCAGGUAAAUAACAAGCGAAAGAUACCAAAUAUUUCAACUUUUGAGUAAUACCUUCCAAAUCAAUUGUUAUAAUCUUUGGAAUUGGCUCGCUUGGAACUAGGAUUUAUAAUGGACCUGAUAUAUUGGUCUUAAUUGGAAUCCUCUACAAAGUUCGGUAAUCCAAUGCCAACCUAAAAAUUACUAUCCAGAUUUAAGUGACUACUAAUGCGACUUUUCUAUUCCUCUUUAGAGGGGACGUUGCCGCCAAUCAAUGUCAGUCUUGCAUCGGUCAAGCUAGCAACACCAUCAUAGAAAGAUGUCCAGGACAGAAAGAGGCGACCAUAUGGUAUGACGAGUGUCUCCUGCGCUACUCUAACAGAUCGUUCUUCUCUGUCAUGGAGACAGCACCGAUUAUUUUUGUUAUCGACCCUGAGAGCAAUUCAGUUACCUUCAACAAGAUUGUGGAGCAAACUUUCGAUAAUGAGGACUUUGUGGCAAAAGUGACAGAUUUGUUCGCGAGAAAUGUCACAGACAAUGCGAUCUCCUCGGAAAGCUUAUACGCAACCAUAAACGUUAAUGUCUCAAGUUCAGCGACCCUGCAUGAGCGUGCACAGUGCACCCCUGACAUCUCAAAGUCAGCUUGUAAGAGUUGCUUGCUUUCUGCUAUCAAAGAGUUUCCUACCGCUCUUAAUCAUAAAAGGGGAGGUACGAGAAUUCUUCAGCCAAGUUGUUAUGUACUGUACCGAAUGGAUGUUGCUGGGGAACCUGGAGGACAAGCACCAGCACCAGCACCUUCUGCAACCAGUAAAGGUAUGAGCUAAAUAACACUCAAAAUGUACACUCAAAUUGUCAGUGGAAAGCGCAUAAUGGUAUCAUUCCAUUGCUUCUAAUUCUCAAUAUAAGCUGUUUUAUGUAUUGUAUUGCACUUGACUUGCUUUUACGAUCUAAAAGAUCAUACUCUCCUGCUUUCAACGAGUUCUUGGUACUAUUUACACUUGGUGAAAAAAAAGUCUGCAGAUUUGUGGUAUGUUUAGAUGCAAGGAAUUUCUCUUUCUUGACAGGGGUUCCAUGGAUUGCAAUAGUUAGCUCAGUAGUUGGAGCAGGGUUACUAAUAAUCAUUGUGGGUUCGUGUCUUUUUUUAAAGAGGACAAAGAGAUUGAAGAAAGGUAUAGGUGAAUUCAUCUUGCUUGCCACUGGAAUGACCAUCCUCUAACCUUUACCUGACGAGAGUACACUCUUGGACUCUCAGACAUGGAAAACAACCAAGAGGUUCAGUUACUUCAUCUACGACAAGAAAUUGAAGAAGAGUUUUCAAAGGAAAACUCUCGUGGACCGGCGGGUUCUCAAGAAUUAUCUCUGAUGCGAUUAGACAUCAUACGUGCAGCCACAGGAAACUUCUCCGAUGAAUGUAAACUUGGGGAAGGGGGGUUUGGCCCUGUGUACAGGGUAAGCAUUUCAAGGACUCAACACGUAUUUAUGGGGAAAUUGGGAAAAUCUUCUAAUGGUAGCAAACUGGCAGAGUCAUUAUCAAUGGCAUGAACUGAAUCGAAUUUGGUUAUCAUUAGUAAUUCUCAAAUAGGGAUCUCACUACUGACUUUACGCUGUUUCAGGCCACAUUGGCAGAUGGAAAAGAAAUUGCAGUUAAGAGGCUUUCAAGAACCUCAGGCCAAGGACUCAUCGAGUUGAAGAACGAAGUCAUCUUGAUUGCCAGACUACAACACAGGAACCUCGUCCGAUUAUUGGGAUGCUGCUUGGAAGAAGAAGAAAAACUCUUGAUAUAUGAAUACUUACCCAACAAAAGCCUGGAUGCCUUGCUUUUUGGUUUGAGCUUUAGCAGAUGCAAUGAAUUUUUGAGCUAGUUAAUUUUAGUUUUUAAAGUUGAGUUUCCAUCUGAGUCUCUCAUUUUGACAGAUUCGAAUAUAGGGCGAUAUCUAGAUUGGAAGCUACGCAUGAACAUCGCCUGUGGAGUAGCUCGGGGACUUCUCUAUCUGCAUGAGGAUUCUCGCCUGAAAAUUAUCCACAGGGAUCUGAAAGCUAGCAAUAUUUUGCUAGAUGGUGAGAUGAAUCCAAAGAUAUCUGAUUUUGGAAUGGCAAGGAUCUUCGGUGCAAAUCAAGACAAGGCAAACACAAACAGGGUUGUUGGAACCUAGUAAGUGCCUCAAUAUCUUUCUACGUCCUUUACAUGUUUGACUGAUUCACUAGGCCAACAAAGGACUCUGAUAAUCUGCUCAACAACACCAGAUAGAGCACAUUCAUAUUUCAGAUGUUCCAUCUUGAAAUUUACUUUUCACUGUUUCUUACUUCCAACUAAUUGCUCUUCAUUAUGUAAUUCUGGUUAGUGGAUACAUGGCACCGGAGUAUGCGAUGCAAGGACUUUUUUCUGUAAAAUCAGACGUCUUCAGUUUUGGAGUUCUCUUGCUAGAGAUAGUAAGCGGGCGCAAGAAUAAUGGUUUUCAUCUCCAAGAACAGGGUGAAAGCCUUCUCACAUUUGUAUGUUCCUAAUCACCAUAUGAAUUAAAUAUGAAAUCGAAGAUUUUCGUGCAGCUGUCCUUGUUAAUUUUUCCUUGCUAAAUAACAGGCAUGGAAGUUGUGGUCUGAAGGUCAACCGUUCGAACUUAUCGAUCCGUUAAUCAAUGAGUCAUGUGAUGAAGGUGAAGUGCUGAAAUGCAUACACAUCGGUCUAUUGUGCGUUCAAGAAGACCCAGCAGAUCGACCGGCUAUGUCACUCGUGGUUCAUAUUUUAGGAGGCGAUACCAUCACACUUGGCCGACCAUCGCAGCCUGCAUUCUCAGUUGGGAGAAAAGUGAAAAAACUUGAUCGUUUCGGGCACACUCAAGAAGCCUCAACUGUUAAUGGAAUAACCCUUUCGGUUGUUACGGCUAGGUGACCAAGUAUUAUACAAUGGAAAUGCUGCUAGUAAUAAUUAUGGUAUAUUUUAUCUUUUAGGACUGUGUAUAUAUCUCCAUCGUAAUAUAUUUAUAUCAUGUUAUUUUCUAUAUUAUCAUGUAAAACUAGCUUAUGUUCCCUUCUUUAUAUAUACAAAAAUAUACAGAAACUUAAAAAUCCUCUCCUUCGCAUUAUCACAUAUUUCUUAUCUUAGCGUUAGAGUUAGAUGAUCUUGAGCAAAUUUUGAGUGCUCAAGUGCAACACACCCGAGUGCACACGCGGAACACACCUUCACAUCCCGUGUCAUGUGAUUCAUUUUUAUUAUAGUUACUAGUAUCCCUUUCUCAAUGUCAAUUCUAAACAUUUUCGUCAUGUACACAUAAACGUCAGCCUAUCGCUGCAUAACCUACAUACAUCAAUCGGUUCUCUCUUCAUCACAUAAAAUCACCUCGUUGGAUCUUUUCUCCCAACUCCAUUUGACUUCCUCUUUUCACCUUGAGCUUGAGAGUUUGUUUAAAAUAAUUAAGAUUUUACCUUGAUCCUUCAUUUUUCAUGAUUGUAAAUAUAUAUUUCCCUUAAUUGUGCAUAUUGUUGAUUGAUUUAUAAUCAAUAUCAUAAGCCAGCCCCAUUUUAUUGUGCAUGCAUUUCCACCCCGUUCAUCAAAUAGACGUCAUUCCUCGUCUAGUUUACAUGUAAGAGGGUUGGAAUAACACAUGCCAUUUGAUUAUGGGGUUAUAUGUUUGUUAUAUACAUGUGAUCUCUUUCUAUUUAUUAGUAAGAAUCUUUUGGUUGAAUUUUCGAAUUUCGCAAUUUAAUGAAAUAGAAUGAUAAUUACGGUGUUUGAUCUCUUUCGCAUUGUGACAAUCAUUUCUCAAUCCUUGAUUUCUGGAAUCAUCAAUUAAUGAUUUUAGGGGAAAAAAACCUUUUCAUUAGUCAUCUUGAGUAUUCCAUGUGCACAACUCCUAUGGAUUAGAUAAUUUACUUGAGUGUAAAAGUUCAAAAAAAUCAUGUGUGACAAGACACGUGCUAUAAAUUCGACAAAGUGUCCUUUACUUCAUUCUUGAGCCAAGAACGUUUAGACAUCAUCUUAUUUUUGCAUCACGUGAGUAAUAGUGAUGUGUGCAUUUUGUUGAUUCAAAGCAUUAAUUGGCCGAUAUAUUCACUAAACCUCUUUUUUGCUCAAAUAUUUAUAAUAAAAAAAAUUAAGUAAGCAAAGAGUAAGCAUAAGCAAUCUACUCAACAACCUUCAUUGCUAUGAUAUAUGUCAAGCCCCAAACUCCCGAGUGUGCGAAUAUCCUUCAACGGUCAAUUAGUUGCGACGUCCCAGGACGCGUCGCCAACCCAUUCUUUUUAUCUUUCAAUUAAACCCAAGAAAAAGAAUUUAAUAUAAACAACAUCUGAUCAAACAACAAACAAUAGGGAUAAUAAGAACACAACAAACAUUCCAAAAACAGCACUUUAAUUUAUAAACUGCUAACUCUAAGAUAUUUAAUAAUUACAAGCUUUGUUACGGCCACUUCUUACCAACCAUCUCAAAAACCUACAGGGUCAAGUUUAACCUAAACUUUAGUAACGACGAGGCCAACCAAACAUGACACUAGGCACACCAGCGUCUUGGUCCAUCAGGAUCCCAAACCGCAUGUGACAGUUCUCCAUACUACGGACUCGAAAAUAUUUAAUAAUAACAGGAUGAAAUAUAAAUCUCAAUGGGUUAACCGCUUAAGCCUCGAUUAGGACGCAAAUUCAUCUCAAAAGCAGCCUAAACAUGCAACAACCUACAACCUUACCUCACCUUGACACACACCUGCAUAUUGGUACAUCACAUAUGCCAAUACCAAUGCAACAAGCAUAGUCAAUAAUCAAAACACAUAACUCCCAUACACCAAGUAUUCACAUGGGUCCCAAUUAUAAGAUAAAACCCAUUUUGGCCAAUCUUAUACCGUGCUUCACAGUUUUACUUCAUAAUCAAGCGCAAUGCAUUGCAAUCAUUUACAUGUGUUUCGAUUAUUACGACCCCUCGAGCCAUGGCCAACACAGAAGUUCUGGCAUGAACGGGCAUUGUCCCGUCCCAUCGAGUACAGCAUUGUUUAGAACCCCCACCUAGAUGGCAUUUCAUAAAGAAGCAUCGAUCUGACUUCAACCACAACUUGACAUCCAGACCCCCGCCAAGCAUUUGAUAAACAUCGGACAUCAUCCCUUUGGCAUUCUACUCGUCCUCUUACACAAACCACUGCAAGCAUUCCUCUACAAACCGCUUCUCAGUAUAGAAUUUGCUAUGCCAUAUCAUCUCAUAAUUAGUAAUAACUCAUAUAUGCCACACAUUAGUUUCUCAAUUCAUUAGGCUCUCACGCUUAAUUACUUAUGUAAAAUUAUGUUAGGGCACUCGUUGAUGGGAGAAAAUACAUUUACCAAUAAUUUAUAAUGAGCACCACCUCUAAAAUCAAUUGAAUCGUGUAAUUUUUACUUUUGAAAAGUAAAGUGCAUCGCACAGAUAGGAAGGGUGCAAAACGUAGAGGGAAAUUAUUCUACAAUUGUGACAUCCAGAUUUUCGGAUUCUAAUUUCGACUGGAUAAAUAUGGCAGUUUUUGUUCAGUUGAAGCCAGGGAUUGUGAAAUUGGGAUGCAAGUGGGCUACAUUGGUAAGGAAAAAUACCAAUUGAAAUGAUGAGGUGUUGAAUGAAAUUAUGGGAGUCAAUUUAAAUUGAAUCAAGAGGGAUUAAGGUCCAAUUGGGAAGAAAACUUAGCAAAAUUCGUAUGCCACCUCUACCACCACAUUUUGGCCUACCUUAAAGCUUCUAGAAGGGGCAUUUUUGGCAAGGAAAAGUGAGUGUAAGACAGCUGGAAUGGUGGGGCCAAAGAGAGAGAGAGAGAGAGAGAGAGAGAACCGGUUUUUCCUCUCUCCUCCGUCGAGCGUCUCCAUCUUCUUCCCCUUUCUUUGGGCUUCUUCUUCAGCAACAAUCGAAGACCAGUAGGCCGAAGCAGCGAUUCCUCUCGGCGUCAUCGCAGCAAGCAACCGGAGCUAGAGUCACCGCCGUCCGCCGUCCUGCUGCCUUGUGCAGCUUUGCCCCACCCUCUCCCUCUCACCUUGCGAACCAGAGAAGCUGAAGACAGAAGCAACGUCCAGCGUCGCCGGAAGGAGCCGCGACCAACUGCCUGGACGCCACCGCACCGGAGCUGCCGCACCGCCGCCCGCGUGACGCCGUGCGCACCGCCACCUCACGCUCGCGCCUGCUGUCCCCGCUGUGCAACCCCAGCCCCUGCUUUGCCUCAGUUCAGUCUCGUUCGGCCGCCUCCGGCCACCGCCCGACCUCCUCCAGCCACCGUCCGGCCUCACCGGAGUUCCCUCGCCCUCCGCCUGCCCUGUCCAGCUUGAAUCAGCGCCGGAACCACCUCAACCAGCCGUGCACCGAGAGUUCGAAAAUGGGUAUGUCAGCAUACGUUUGGCCCGUUUUGGCCAUCUUCCCGAGCCCGGAUGCUCGGCCCGCUUUGAGGAAAGUCGAUCCUCGCGUCGAGCCCAUCGUUUUGAGUGAGUUUUUCUCACUAAUGCCUUCUUAGUUUGCUAAUUACACUUAAAUGUUGAUUAGUAUUAAUUAAGUGUAAUUAGGUUGUUAGAUUAGGAUAGAUUAGCGAUAUUUGUUAAUUUCAUUGCAUAUUAGUUAGGUGGUUAGUGUACUUAGAUAGAGAAUUGCCUAUAGUAUUUAUUGGAUGCUUCGUGGGAUUUUUCCCGACCCUUAUUGGGUGUUAAUUAGGCGAUUCGGGCCUAAUUGGUAUUUUUAGGAAUUAAUUAUUUAAUUAGUUAUUUUCCGAAAAUUCAACUGGGAUGGCUAGUGACAGAGAUUUUAUGCUGAUGAUCGUGGCGCAGACCGUUUCUUUAAUUGAGCUUCAUAUUGUGCUAAAUUGGAAUUAUUGUGUUUAUUUAUUUAUUUUUCGGAAUUAAAUUAAUUAUUUAUUUAUUUUCCGAAAAUUCAACUGGGAUGGCCGAUGACCGGAAUAUUAUGCUGAUGACCGUGGUGAAGUCCGUUUAUUUAAUUGGGCUUUAUUUUGAGCUAAAUGGAAUUUUUAAUAUUUAUUAAUUAAUUAUUUUUCGGAAAUUAAUGCUGAGGUGACCGACGACCGGAAUUUCGUGCUGAUUGUCGUGGCGCAGUCCAUUUAUUUAUUUGAGCUCUACGUUGUAUGAAAUUAAAUAAAUUGUGAUAUUUUAGGGAUUUACCCUAAAUUGAUUGAAAUUGAGUGAAAUUGAAUUAUUGAUUGGUAAAUGGCCGAGUAUGGCUAGUUAGCAUUUGUACUGCCUUGUUGAGCUGUAAGUGGAGAAAGUGGUGAGAGCUAACUGAGAAUUCUAUUUGCUGAGACCGAUCAAGUACGAAGUAUAGACAAGUGUGGUUCGAUGAUAAAGUACAUCACUGUGCGAAAACGGCGCCUUAAAGAAUGCACAUAGACUAUCUAUGACUUAUGGCAGGCGUGGUUCAGUGAUUAGGGAGAUCACUGUGCGAAAUCAACGCCUUAAAGAACGCACGUAGACUGCCUAUGAAUCGUGACAGGCGUGGUUCAAAGAUGAAGGACAUCACUGUGCGAAAAUGGCGCCUUAAAGAACGCACGUAGACUGUCAGUGAUUUGUGACCUAUGACGAGCGUGGUUCGGAAAUGAGGAAUAUCACUGUGCGAAAACGGCGCCUUAAAGAACGCACGUAAACCGUCUGUUACUUAUGUCACCUUGGCGAAAACGACACCCGACAGCAUUGAUGGAGCUCUGUGACUAAGUGUAUUUUAGAGGUUAUGUGGGAUGGAAUGAAUAACCUAUAAAUGAUCCGACUGACUCGUAAUCGAUUAGGUCGAUUGAUCGUCGCCUUGAUUUGAUGUUGUGGAUUGAAUGAUUGAAUGGAGAUGACCGUGAGUGGUCUUCUUGGUGUGGAAUCGACUAGAUCGAUUUGAUCGAUGCUUCGAUCUUUGAUGUGAUUGCUUGGGUGUCUAUUUGAUCUGUGCUAACAUGCAAGUGGAAUCUGAGGCUAAGGUAAGCCCUCUGACUCAUGUUAUGCAUAGGAAACCCUAAGGUAUAUUAGUUUACUAAUCAGGUCUUAGUGUGGUAGAAUUUGCUGAGACAUAGUCUCAUCCCGGUUUGGGGAAAACAUUUCAGGACCCUGAUGAAGAACCUGAGGAUAAAGAAAUCGAAGAGGAGUAUAUGGAGAAGAACUCCGAGGAUGAUCCAGAGUAGGAUCCUGACGACUUUUGCUAUAGAAUCAAUUUGAGUAGAAACCAGUCGUUUUAGUAUGGCUUGUAUAUGAUCAUAAGGGUGUUGGUUUUCAGGUUCAAUUUCCUAGUCCUACUUGUAUAUCCCAUUACUUUAUUGUCUGGGGAUUUUUAUAACUGCUUCCGCAUGUGCUAUUAAAAAGAAAAGGGUUGGCGAUAUGUAGUCUUGGGAUAUCGCAUUUUAAAAUCUACCAAAAGUAAGGGAUGUGCGCGUGCCUGAGGAUCGGGGUGUGACAUCCCCAUUUUGUGGUAUCAGAGCAAUGGUUAAUGAAUGGAGUGAUAAGGUGCGAUGAGUCAUGGGAUAGUAGUAGGAAUGACCUUUAAAUUCAUAUUGAUGCAUGUCGAUGAUAGCUGAUUUGUAGCUUGUUUGUGGAUCACUCAAAUUCUAAUGUGGCAUUAGAAUUAGAAAACAAGUUUCUAUAAAGAUCUUGUAAUUUGAGUGAUCAGGAGCUGUGAGCUCAUAGUAAGAGGACAGUAACCUUUAUGACUCGGGAAUUAACGCCGACAAGGAUCGAUGCCUGAGGUGGUUGUGGCAGAGUACCGGCUUAGGCUAGUGCGCGUGUAAGAGUACCACCGUGGGUUGGUACUGAGAAUGUAGCAGCACCGAGCGAUCCUAGGUCCAGCAAGAUCGUUCAGGUGCAAGUUUUCCCAAGGAGCUUGUCGAGCCAGUGAGUUCGAGAUCAAGUUGAAGUUAUUGCCACACCUGCCGAGGUUUAGUAAGGAGACGUGAUCCAGGAGCAAGCCGUUGUAACUGAGUUGAGGUUCAGGUUCAGUAGAGUUGGAAAUCGGGUUGGAAAGGAGCCUAUGACCGGAAAAGUGUAUUAUAUUCCACACCUCGGAAAAGACGGGAUAGGCAAGGCAGCAUCGGAUCAGAACAUAGUGUGUCAUGGAAGCCGACAUGGAUCAGCCUUGUAUCCUAUUAAGAUGGGUGUUUAUUCUGACUGUGAUCGACAAGGUCACUUGGCAAGAGAUUGUCUUAGAAGAUCGAUGGGAUAGGUUGGAAGGAGUGAGCCACAGAGCGUACAGUGGAGUUUUUGAAACAAGCCUCCAGUGCAACCGAGAGGGUAUACUAUCACCUGACAUUAGAUAGAGGACUCACUAGGUGAGUGCCGAAAGUAUGGAAGGAAUGCAUGGAUUAAUCCUGUGUUCGAGAAUGACUAGAACGUGCUUUGAUGGUAGUGAGCACGGCCAUCAAGUGAGGGACUAUCAGUUGGGGUUUAAGAAGAACACCAACACUAUUACUACCGUUAGAACGCCAGCAAGAUGGCAAAAGGAACAGGAACGGAACCGACCAUGCCUUAUUCAAUGGAAGAAUGUUUUGAGGUGAUUUUAUCAUAAUAGUGCCAGAGAGUGUUGGGAUUACAAGUGUGGAAUUUCAGUUGUUUGUUAAGGCUGUAGGAAAAGAACCAUUGACUAGAGUUGUACUUGAUUGGCUGUUGGUGUACAACUUAUUCGUCAAGUGUGGAAAGAAUUGAUUCUAGAGCAUUUUGUGGUGAUGAAUUGUUAUAGUGGAGUAACCCAGUUUAUUCCAGGAGCAGGUAGAAGUGCCAAGUUUUAUUGAGAAUUGAGAAGAGUCCUCGACUUCUUUAAUCUCGUCACUUGAGGCAAUCCGUUUGUUAGACAAAGGUUGCCUAGGUUACUUGACGAUUGAAAAAAAUAAGACAGAUUGAAGAAUUGAAAAUUUAAGACUCCUCAGUAGUCCAAGAAUUCCUGGAAGUGUUGCUAGAAGGAUUAUCAAACCGUCGCCAGAGAAAGAGAAGGAAUUGCGAUCGAACUAGCAACCAGAAUAGAACUAUUCUCUAAAGUUUCUUACCGGUUGUUGUUGUCUGAAUUCAUAGAACCAAUGGUGCAAAUGUGAGAAUUGAUGAAUGUGGAAUUCAUGCAUUUCGGUGCAUUACCUAGGAGAAACAUCAGCCUCAUAGUGAGAAAGAAAGAAAGAUGGUUCGUUGCAAUUAUGCAUCAACUAUAGUCGACUCAAGCAAGUGACAAUCAAGGAUAAACGUUCAUUGUCAAAGAUCGACGAAUUGGGUGACUUGUUAUAAAGAGUGCUGAUGUCUUCAAGGAUCGACUUGAGGACAGGUUAUUGUCAGUUGAGAACCAGGAAUGAGGUUAUACUGAAGACAGCAUUUCGCACUUGAUUUUGCCCUUGUGAGAAUAAUGUAAAACCAUUUGAUUUGACGAACGCUCCAGCCGCAGUUAUAGAUUUGACAAACCGAGUGUUCAAAGAAUAUCUAGAUCAAUGGUGAUUGUGUGGUGUAGUGACAUUCUAGGGUAUUUGUUAAAUGAUGAGGAUCACGAGAGCCCCUAAGAAUAGUCAUGUGAGUACGAGUAAAGGAAUCUUCAUGAACACAGCCAAGAUUGAAUCAGUUGUUAAUGGAUCAAGAUCGACAACAAUGUUAGAGAUCAGAAGCUGUGGGAAUUGGACAGAUUACUAUGGAAGGUUUGUGUAAGAAUUUUUAGCAUCAGUAUCAUCGCGGGCUUGACCUCUUGAGAAAGAAGAGAAAUUCAUCGGCAUAGACAAGUAUGAGGAUAGUUUCCAGAGCUUAAAGGACAGGGUACGUAUUGAUACAACAUGAGAAGAUUGUUGCAUACCCAUCCCGCAAGUUGAGACCCAUCAAGUUGAAUAUGAAAUAGUGUCAUGAAUUAGAAUUUUGGCGGGACUAUGAUGGUGUUAUCUAGUAUCAUCCUUGGAGGAACGAAAUGAGUCAUUAAUGUGUUGGGUCGAGAGUCUUCAAUUGUGCAUAGACUAGCUAAAGUGUAGACUUUACUUAAAAAGGGUUCAAAAUGUGGUUUUCAAAUUUGAGGUAGGCUACCUUUUGAAUUUUAUAGCCGCCCUCAAAAUUGAACCAUAUGUUCAAAUUAGAAUCGGCGCCUAAUUGAUAGACAGAGAUGUUCAAAAGAUUGUAUAAGAGGAUACUGGUAAGAAAGAAUCUGACUUUAAGAUUUCUGGGGAUGGAAAGUUUGGAUUCCAUGAGUGAUUGAAUACAAUUGACAGUGUAGCACUCAGGGAAAAGAUCUUGUCAGAAGUUCACUAUAGUAUUGCAGUUUUGACCAGACGGUGCAAGUGAGUCAGAAUUGACGUCAGCUAGAUCGGUAGGCCGAUAUGAAGAUAGAUAUCGUCAACCAAGUUGCUAGUGUCAGAGGUGUCAGUAAGUGGAAGUUCAGUAAUGCAAACCCGGAAGAUGUUAUCAUCACUUAAGAGUCCCUAGUGGGAAUGAAAAUAUAUCACGAUGGGACAUGGUGAUGAGCUUAUUAAGGAUUUAGGGGGUUACUAAUACCAUUUGAGAAUAGUAGUCAAUCGAUAGAUGGAGUUGGUCCACUUUGGUACAGUAUGAAUAGAUCUUGUUUUGAGUGUGUGACAUCCUGAUUUUCAGACUCUGAUUUCGAUUGGUUAAAUUGGGCAUUUCAUCGACGCGACUACAGUGAUUUUCUCUGAGUUGGCCACUCACGAGAUAACUAGACUAGAUGGGUAAGUUAUUAGGGACUUUAAGACAGAUAGACUGAGAAUUCGACUAGGAAUCGACUUCUCGACUGUGCUCAUCUUUAGGGAUCAUUGCGGCACAGUAUAAAAUCGAUUUGAAAUUAGAGAUAGGUCGGUUUGACUGAGAUGAAUGACCGAUCGUGGGUGACUCCAUUAAAUUGAAAAACUCUCGUCGACUAGCACUAAUUUGAUUUUAUUGUUGUUUUGGUACCCUGUGUCCGUAUUUGAAUCUUCGAGAUUUUCACGAUAAUCGAGGGUCGUCAAUGUGUCGAGUGGGUUCAUCGUGGCUCGAAGAAAAUCGACCACGGGUCAUUUGUCUUAAAAAGUUCUAAAAACUACCCAAUAGCCUAGGUCACGCUAAAAACGCGUCGAAUGAAAAUUAACCAUGAAUUCGAAUCCGAUUUCAGAAAUUGAAGAUUCUGUCUUGUCACAGAGUGGGUAUACCGAAGUGUGUGUGCAUCAGAUAAUUCACUGGCAUGGAGUGCUGAGGAUGAAUUAUAUUUCGAAUCUAGAUAAGAGGUUACAAGUUUGGCAGAGUUUUCAGAGGGUUCUUUCUUAAGCAGUGUAUAGCAUAGGGUACAGAAUUUUGGUGGUGAAAAGAAAGUGAAGAAAGAUUACAGGCCAGAGUCAGCUCAGUAAUCAGUGAUGGUAGUUGUCAGAUCAGUGUCAGAGUAAAGACUGCUCAGAACUGUCAGAAAUUUUGAAUCGUUGAGGUUCGAAGGUUUAUUAGGGAGUUGCGAAAAAGAGAUCAGAUGUGAAUGACAUAAUGUCUUAUGUGAGAAGCUCAGUUCAGUUGUUGAUUCAGAAAGAGCAGAGUUUGUGUACCAAGACGAUCUCCUUAGUCAAAAAGGUCGAACAACACCACGAGACCGAAGGAUUAGCAUGGAAUAGUGAGACUCAAUGAAAUGACAAUACCCCCACCUUUUGUAUAAGGAUUGGUAAAAGUUUAAAUUUCAAAAACGAAAUUUUUAUAAGAGGGAAAGAGUUGUGACAUCCAGAUUUUCGGAUUCUAAUUUCGAUUGGAUAAAUAGGGCCGUUUUUGUUCAGUUGAAGCCAGGGAUUGUGAAAUUGGGAUGCAAGUGGGCUACAUUCGUAAGGAAAAAUACCAAUUGAAAUGAUGAGGUGUUGAAUGAAAUUAUGGGAGUCAAUUUAAAUUGAAUCAAGAGGGAUUAAGGUCCAAUUGGGAAGAAAGUGGGCUACAUUCGUAUGCCACCUCUACCCCCACAUUUUGGCCUACCUUAAAGCUUCUAGAAGGGCCAUUUUUGGCAAGGAAAAGUGAGUGUAAGACAACUGGAAUGGUGGGGCCAGAGAGAGAGAGAGAGAGAGAGAGAGAGAGAGAGAGAGAGAGAGAGAGAAAACUGGUUUUUCCUCUCUCCUCCGUCGAGCGUCUCCAUCUUCUUCCCCUUUCUUUGGGCUUCUUCUUCAGCAACAACCGAAGACCAGCAAGCCGAAGCAGCGAUUCCUCUCGGCGCCGUCGCAGCAAGCAACCGGAGCCGAAGUUGCCGCCGUCCGCCGUCCGCCGUCCUGUUGCCUUGCGCAACUUCGCCCCACCCUCUCCCUCUCACCUUGCGAACCAGAGAAGCUAAAGACAGAAGCAACGUCCAGCGUCGCCGAAAGGAGCCAUGACCAGCUGCCUAGAUGCCAUCGUACCGGAGCUGCCGCACCGCCGCUUGCUCGACGCCGUGUGCUCCACCGCCUCACGCUCGCGCCUGCCGUCCCCGCCGUGCGACCCCAGCCCCUGCUUUGCCUCAGUGCAGUCUCGUUCGGCCGCCUCCGGCCAUCGCCCGACCUCCUCCGGCCACCGUCCGGCCUCACCGGAGUUCCCUCGCCCUUCGCCGGCCCUGUCUAGCUUGAAUCAGCGCCGGAACCAACUCAACUAGCCGUGCACAAAGAGUUCGAAAAUGGGUAUGGCAGCGGACGUUUGGCCCGUUUUGGCCGUCUUCCCGAGCCCGGAUGCUCGGCCCGCUUUGAGGAAAGUCGAUUCUCGAGUCGAGCCCGUAGUUUUGAGUGAGUUUUACUCACUAAUGCCUUCUUAGUUUGCUAAUUACACUUAAAGGUUUAUUAGUAUUAAUUAAGUGUAAUUAGGUUGUUAGAUUAGGAUAGAUUAGCAAUAUUAGUUAAUUUCAUUGCAUAUUAGUUAGGUGGUUAGUGUACAUAGAUAGAGAAUUGCCUAUAGAUUUAUUGGAUGCUUCGUGGGAUUUUUCCCAACCCUUAUCGGGUGUUAAUUAGGCGAUUCGGGCCUAAUUGGUAUUUUUAGGAAUUAAAUAUUAAUUUUCAAAAUUAAUUAUUUAAUUAGUUAUUUUCCGAAAAUUCAACUGGGAUGGCUAGUGACAGAGAUUUUAUGCUGAUGAUCGUGGCGAAAUUAAUAUUUAAUUAGUUAUUUUCCGAAAAUUCAACUGGGAUGGCUAGUGACAGAGAUUUUAUGUUGAUGAUCGUGGCGUAGACCGUUUCUUUAAUUGAGCUUCAUAUUGUGCUAAAUUGGAAUUAUUGUGUUUAUUUAUUUAUUUUUCGGAAUUAAAUUAAUUAUUUAUUUAUUUUCCGAAAAUUCAACUGGGAUGGCCAGUGAUCGGAAUAUUAUGCUGAUGACCGUGGUGAAGUCCGUUUAUUUAAUCGGGCUUUAUUUUGAGCUAAAUGGAAUUUUUAAUAUAUAUUAAUUAAUUAUUUUUCGAAAAUUAAUGAUGAGGUGACCAACAACCGAAAUUUCGUGCUGAUUGUCGUGGCACAGUCUGUUUAUUUAUUUGAGCUCUACGUUGUAUAAAAUUAAAUAAAUUGUGAUGUUUUAGGGAUUUACCCUAAAUUGAUUGAAAUUGAGUGAAAUUGAAUUAUUGAUUGGUAAAUGGCCGAGUAUAGCUAGUUAGCAUUUGUACUGCCUUGUUGAGCUGUAAGUGGAGAAAGUGGCGAGAGCUAACUGAGACUUCUAUUGGCUGAGACCGAUCAAGUACGAAGUAUAGACAGGCAUGGUUCGGUGAUAAAGUACAUCACUAUGCGAAAGCGGCACCUUAAAGAACGCACGUAGACUGUUUAUGACUUAUGGCAGGCGUGGUUCGGUGAUUAGGUAGAUCACUGUGCGAAGACAGCGCCUUAAAGAACGCACGUAGACUACCUAUGAAUCAUGAGAGGCGUGGUUCGGUGAUGAAGGACAUCACUGUGCGAAAACGGCGCCUUAAAGAAUGCACGUAGACUGUCAAUGAUUUGUGACCUAUGACGGGCGUGGUUCGGUGAUGAGGAAUAUCACUGUGCGAAAACGGCGCCUUGAAGAACGCACGUAGACCGUCUGUUACUUAUGUCACCUUGGCGAAAACGACGCCCGAGAGCAUUGAUGGAGCUCUGUGACUAAGUGUAUUUUGGAGGUUAUGUGGGAUGGAAUGAAUAACCUAUAAAUGAUCCGACUGACUCGUAAUCGAUUAGGUCGAUUGAUCAUCGCCUUGAUUUGAUGUUGUGGAUUGAAUGAUUGAAUGGAGAUGAUCGUGAGUGGUCUUCUUGGUGUGUAAUCGAUUAGGUCGAUUUGAUCGAUGCUUCGAUCUUUGAUGUGAUUGCUUGGGUGCCUAUUUGAUCUGUACUAAUAUGUAGGUGAAAUCUGAGGCUAAGGUAAGCCCUCUGACUCAUGUUGUGCAUAGGCAACCCUAAGGUAUAUUAGUUUACUAAUCAAGUCUUAGUGUGGUAGAACUUGCUGAGACAUAAUCUCAUCCCGGUUUGGGGAAAACAUUUCAGGACCCUGAUGAAGAACCUGAGGAUAAAGAAAUCGAAGAGGAGUAUCUGGAGAAGAACUCCGAGGAUGAUCCAGAGUAGGAUCCUGACGACUUUUGCUAUAGAAUCAAUUUGAGUAGAAACCAAUCGUUUUAGUAUGGCUUGUAUAUGAUCAUAAGGGUGUUGGUUUUCAGGUUCAAUUUCCUAGUCCUACUUGUAUAUCCCAUUACUUUAUUGUUUGGGGAUUUUUAUAACUGCUUCCGCAUGUGCUAUUAAAAAGAAAAGGGUCAGUGAUAUGUAGUCUUGGGAAAUCGCAUUUUAAAAUCGACCAAAAGUAAGAGAUGUGCGCGUGUCUGAGGAUCGGGGCGUGACAACAAUGGUACGGUCUCCCUUGGAAGAGAGACUAUAACUUCUCUACCUUUCAUUCUCCCAAGAGAACCUAACAAAUCGUUCAUCCGAUUUCUUUAAGAAAUUUGGAAUGAAAUCUCUUUUGUUUGGAUUUCCUCUAGUCCCUCUAAGCGAGCUUUCUUAAACGUGAGUAUAAUAAAUAAAUAAAUAAAUAAAUAAAUAAAAGUAGGAGAAAUGUUAAAUUUGAAGAAAACCCACAAAACAUCCACAAUAGUGCAAAAGUUAUGGUUCAUAACCACUUAUUGAGCUGCCAUAUUUGCAUUGAGCAGUCAUCAACUCAAAACUCUAGUGAUUGGGGCUGCCGUAACCAUGAUUGCCACAAGCUUGGAGCUUGAGCUCAUGACUAUGGCGGUAGAGGUGGCAAAAGGGGUCUUGACCCAUAUAUGACCCAUUUAAAUCAUAAAUGAGUCAUAUAUGGGUCACUUGUUUUUUUGACAAAAAGUAGAUAAUUAGGUUUAACAAUUACAAACUUUGAUAGGUGGGUCUUAAGUGGAUCUUAAAUGGAUUGGAUUUAGAACCCAUUUUCACCAAAACCUCACAAUCUCUCUCUUUUCUCUUUAACUUUACAAAAACAUUUUUAUAAUAAAAACCAAAAUUAUAACUAUAAUUUUUUAUUUUUCUUUUCUUUUCUUUUUUCUUUCCUUUUUUUUUCUUUCUUCUUCCUCCGGUCGCCGGCACGGUGAUGGCCGACAACCGGCUAGGCGAGCCUCAAGCUCGCCCCUCGUCGGAUCUGGCAAGGCGAAGGCCUCGCUGACGCCCAACAAGGCUAGAGCCUCGCUAGAUCCGGCUAGGGGCGAGCUCAUUGGAUCUAGUGAGGUGGAGGCCUCACUGACGUCCAACGAGGCUCAAGCCUCACUAGAUCCGGCAAGGGGCGAGCUCAAGCUCGCUCGACGCCGGCCAGCCUUGAGCUCGUCAAAUCUAGCGAGGUGAAGGCCUCGCCGACAUCCGGCAAGGCUCGAGCCUCACCAGAUCCGGCGAGGGGCGAGCUUGAAGUUCGCCUAUGGCUGGCCAUCGGCCGUCGUUGUGGCCGGCGGCUGGCCAAAGAAGAAGAAGAAGAAAAAAGAAAAAAGAAAGAAAUUAUAUUUUAAAAAAUAAUUUAAAAAUAAAAAUAAUUAAAAUUCUAUUUUCAAAAUAAUUAUUUUGAAAUUAUAAAAUUUGUCCAUUAAAUUUGUGUUGUAUAAACUAUCUUAGCAAUAUCAUUAUAUAUAUAUAAAUAAGAAAUAAGAUUUCUUAAGUUUAGUUAAAUGGGUCGGGUUCGGUAUGAGUCAAAAAUUUUACAUUGCAAUAAAUGAGUCAUAAACAGGUUAAAUGGGUCGAUUUGGAUCGAACCAUUUAUGACUGGACCCAAACCUGACCCGAUCCACCCAUUUAACGGGUCUAUAUGGCGGCUGUGAUGGACCUCCAUCUCUCUCUCAAUUUUGUUUUCUAUUAUAUUGUUUGAUGUGGUGCUUUUUUGGCUAAUAAUAAUUUUCAACUAAUCAUAACAUAACACGCAUGCAUUUUGGUCAAUCUAUGUCAUUUAUUCCGCAAUCCAUGUCAACAAAAAAAAAAAAAAAUUAGGAGAAAAGGUAUAAUGAAAUGACUAUAUGUUGACUUUAAGAGAGAAAGAUGAUUUUGAUUUUCGGACAAAAUAAAGGACAAUGGUGAUAUUAUUCAUUGAAAAGAAAAAAAAAAAAAAGACCUUCAUUCCACGUUAUAUGUUGCUUUUCUAUCUAAGUUCCAUUGUUGAAUUAAUCAAGGUUAGCAAUAUAAUAAUGUAUAUCUUUAGAUUCCAACAAAAGUCCAAUGGAUUAACAUUCCUUUGAAAUGGAAAUUGCGGCCCACGGGCCACCAUCAUCCCCGUUAGGCUAACAUCUCCCAAACGUAAAUUGCAAAUGUUCGUGGUGAUAUUUAGGUAAUUUUCUUUUGAAAAAUAAAGAAAUAUUCUAAAAGAUUUCAUGGAAUUAAAUUCUAAAACUUUCCAAGAGCGUAAUUAAGUCCCAAACUUGUCACAAAAGUACAAUUGAAUUUUAAAAUUUUCAAAAAGCGUAAUCAAGUCCGAAAACUUGUUAAAUUGAUCCAAUCAAAUCAUUUUGUUAUAGUACUUUUUGAAAGUUUUAGAAUCAAGUCAUUCUAUUAAUUACACUUUUUGAAAGUUUUGAAAUUUGAUUACACUUUUCAUAACGGAUUUUAAGAUUUGAUUGUACUUUUUGAAAAUUUUUAAAAUUCAAUUGUACUCUCAUGACAGGUUUCAAGACUCUCGAUGCACUUAUCUCAAAUAUUAAUCACUAAACUUUUUUCAUUCCCAACCUCUACAAGCUGUACUAAAUUAUUUCAAUAUUCGAAUUUACAGUGGGCUAUAACUUUUUGGGAUUAGUUUUAAUUUGAAGUUAUGUAUCUCUUCACGUGAAACAGAAUUUUUCCUUCUGACAAGAAAAAAAAGAAAAAAUAAAAAACUUUUCUGCCUCCCACAUGUCAACAUUGAAGUGUGGACGGCAAAGGAUGUUGGAAAUUCGGUCCGUCUUUUCCCUUCGAUAGUAAUAAUGCCAUAAUCACGUGGGCUUUUUUGUAACGUUAAUAAUAAGCUGUGCUUACGGAUGGCUGUGCUUCGGCCGUCGUGUCGUCACCGCUGCGAACGAGAGCAGCAUAAAAAGGUCAUAUUCUUAUUAGAUUGCCCUAUUUGUAGGUUGUAUCAUUGUUAGCAACAGUAGUAGAGCAUCUCUUGUGCCCAUUGAAGAAUCCAGGCGAUGUCGCCAAGAAGCUGCAAAGGAAAAGUGCAAGCGUGAUUGGCGUGGGGGCUCGCUGGCCGCAGGACGUGAGCUUUUGUAAAACAACAAAAUUAAACAUCCUCAACUUCCAUUCCCGAUAAAAGUAAUAGUACAUGGAGAGAAAACAUGCACCUAACUAGGCAACUACAAUCAAGUGAAAGAUUUCGAAAAGUAAAAUCGUAUUCACUCCCUUCAGCCUAAUACAAGGCAACCCUAGUUUGUAUGAUACUAUCACAGGACCAAAAUUUUAGAGGAUUAAAUAGGCAGCAACCCAACCGCUAUCACUACCCUUUAGCUUACUCACCAGACAAACACACACAAUCACACACCAUACCCAGCCCCACCUCAGCAAACAGCAAUCACCACAAAAUAGAACCGACACGUUAAGGGGGAUCUUGAAAAUUGUAAGAGUUUUACUACUACUCACAAGGCCUUGCUAUUCGAUCCGGUGGGCCCAAUAUCUCCAAAGCAAACCCCUGCGACCAAGAAACGCCCAAAAUCAAUUUUGAGAGCCGCGCCAGCUUAAUUGAUACCCACACCCUCAUCAAAAACCCUAGAAUCAAACACACAAACGCUGAACCAAACAGCUCAAAGCAAAAGAAACAACAGUCUUUGGAACUUUUUCACUCCUAUGAAGUCACAAAUUGAAGUCACGACCGGCAAAACUAGUUCAAAAGAGAUCUGAGCACUUCGGAUCUUCUAAUGUCAAGCCAUUGAAGUUUCGGUCGUGGCGAAGAGAAACGGAGAUGGAAGUCCCUAAUGGAAGUCGUGUCUUGCAGAAUUAAUUCUUCUCUCUGUGUCUGUCACUCUCACUAAAAAGGAAGGAAAUAGAGCCGAAGGGUGCAACGCAUUUAGUAAUCAUUUUGUUCCUGGGAAUAAUUUAUGCUUAGAAAUAAUUUUUUCUAAUAUUGUUCUUUGGACGAGUUAUUUAGCAUUCAACCGUAUUAGUAACUUCAUAAAAUUUAUGUUCAUUGAAUAGAAAAGAAUAGAAAUAUGUUUAGCACAAGUCUUAAAUUUUUUUUUUUUGUGACAUACAAUUUCUUUUUAUUUUUUAAUAAAUUUCUCAAAUUUGUAUUUAUUUUAUUUAUCUUUUCCUCUUCUCGUCUUCCUUCUCUAGCUAGUCACCGAGCCUCAAGAAUGGCUAGUGGCUAGCUAGAAGUGAGAGCUAGCGACUUUGUUUGCUUCGGGGGCCACUCAUUGGCCUCGGGGGAGCCUAACUAGCUCUUGGUGAGGCCGACCCAUCCAUCCACGACAAGGUCAAGCCUCACCAAGAGUCAACGAGGUUGCCAAACCUCGUUUUUGGUUGGUUGCUGGCCAUUGCCGAGCCUAGCAACUGACUAGAGGAGGAAGAAGAAGAAAAGUAUUUUUUUAAAAAAAAAAGAUAAUGACUUGGUUUCAGAAUUUGUUUCUAGAAACAAAUAAGUAAUUUUUUUCUAUUUUUUUAUUUCUGUUCUAGAUUUAUUCCAUGGCUACUGAUACGUUUUCGGGAAUAGAAAAAUUAGCUGACAUUAUUAAAUGGAUUUUUGUUUUUCGGAAUAAAAGAACAAAAUUAAUUAAGAAUUAACUGGUUACCAAAACGGGCCAAAAUAAAGUGUAAAGGUGUAUGGUGGGUCAUGGACUUAUGGGUGUCGUGUGGGUUUUGAAAAUAUGGGUUAAAAUAUGGGUCAUGUCUGUCUAAUGGAUCUCGCGAGUCGGGUAUAUUGGCUUUUUUUUGGGUCUUUAGUUUUCCACAACCCACUUAACCCAUUUUGAAAGAAAACGAGUUACCAAUAUAACAUUGUGCCUCUUAAAAUUGAGUUAUAACUAGGGGUGAGCGGUUCUCGGUUCUGGUUCCGUUCCGUUUGGAACCUGUAACCUACUCUCGGGUAUAGAUUUAUCAUUUUUUGGAACUUGGAACUUACUCAUCAAAACUAAAAACCUGGAACCUACCUGUCACAAGUUCUAAGAUUGGUUUCAAGUUCCAACAGGUUUUUUUUUUUUUUUUCAUUUUCAUAUUUGAACUAUAACGAAGAAGGAAAGAGACAAACCAAAGCUUCUAUGUCCAUAAAUUGCCAAAAAUAGUUCCUUGGGAGGAGAAGCAUAAAACAAAAAAGCACAUUUUUGUCCCUUUGACUAAUGCCACUCCAAAUUCACCAACUGCACAAUGAAAAGUAAUUAAUUGGUGGUUAGACAACACUCAAUGAAGCUAUAUUUAAAGUAAUAUUGAAGAAAGCUGAGACAAGGAAAUAUUUUUCCUUCUGCUCACCAUGCCUUAAUGGAGAAAGCAAAAGAAUAAAUAGAGCCAUCAAACCAAACUCAAAACAAUUGAAGUGCCAUUUUAAGCUUGUUCUGUCUCCAUUUGGGCAACUUAUAGAAAACAUCCUUUGUCAUCCCAAAUUUCUCUCUGAACUCCAAUGAUGAGAAAUAAGUCUGCUACAUUUCAUGCAAAGCAAUGUCCAGGAACAAAAUGAUACAAUGGGAAAAUCUUAUUUAGAUAUUACCUCUUGCAUAGCUGAAAAUUUUUGCAUUGACUGCAGAACCAUCGUCCUGUAGACAGUAUAACUUCACGGCAAUGACAGCAUACAUACUGCAAAUGGACAACAAUGAAGUCCUCCUUAGCAGGCAGGAUUUUUUCCCCAAGCUGUUAUCAAUAAGAGAAAAAUAAUGAGAGCAUAAUUUAAAGAUACAGAAAAGAAGGUAAAAUCAACCAGCCACGAAGUUGCUGAACAGAUAUCAUCAUUUCUCUAAUAAAUGAAUCUUAUUCAGUCUAUGACACAAAAUGACAGUAUUAUAUACUGCUCAGUUAAACAAGCCGAUGCGGAUCUUGACAUUUAACUUAGCCUCUCGUAUGUUCAGAAAAACACAGGAUUAGAAAUUGCCACUAGAUUUGGCACCAUCUAAUGAAAUAGCAUCUUUUUCUUUUUGGUAAAAAAAUAUCAAAAAGAAAAAGGGUUUAAUACCUUGAAAAACCUCAAACUGAUACACCAGUGACAAAUUUACCCCAAAUUAUUUUUUUGACCAUGAAAAAUCUCAAACUGGUACAUCUAUGACAAAUUUACCCCGACUGACCAUAAGAAACCUUAAAUUGGUACAUUUAUGACAAAUUUAUCCCAAACUAAUUUAUGUGACGGCAAAAAACCCCAACCUGAUAAAUUUGUGACAAAUAUACACUCCGUUAAAUUGAAUUAAUACCACAAAAAAUCACAAAAAUUGUAAACUAUGACAAACGGAUCUUAAAAUCGCAAAUUGGUAUACCAGUCAAUUGUCAUGUGCUAUUUAACUUAAUAAUUUGACAGUAAAAUUUAACGAAAACUAAUAAAGGGUAAAUUUCUCACAAGUGUACCAGUUUGGGGUAAAUUUGUCAAAUGUAUACCGGUUUAGGGUUUUUGGUGGUCAAAAAAAUAGUUUUGGGUAAAUUUGUCAUAGGUAUACCAGAAAGGUCCAAACAGAACCUAGUGAAACUCAAUAAUGGCUAUGGAACUAUAGAUCUCAUGGAGUUAGCAUUAUGCAACUAACAUGUGUAGACAGAAUAGGAAAUCUUCAGGGAAAAAAAUAAGAUUGCUUAUUGUCAUACAAGGAUCCCGCAGGAGUAAAGCAACAACUCAAACAAAACAUGACAUGCAGUCAUCACAACAUCAAUUGCAGAGCACAAAAGCAAGUUAGAACCUACAGUCCUCAGCUUUAACAACUUAUCUGGAUUAGAUUAGUCCAGUUUCAUCCAUGAGUGGCUUACAAUGUUCAAUAAAAAGGUCAAACUGAAAUGGAUCCUUCAAAGCCUUAAGUGUACUACUCCACUAUCAAUCACAUGGACUUGAAAAUUGGAUCUUCCAGUUCGUAUUAAUAUGCAACAAGAGAAACAGACCCCAGCUUCUUGUCUGCUUUCUCAAUUCUCCCAUUUUUUCUAAGAAAAUUUUACCCAUAGUUUUUCAUCCCCUCAUAACCAAAUCCAGCAUCCCCCAUCAACACUACCGCCAAAGCAAACCCAAAACCAACAAUCAAAUAUUCACGCUGGAACUUAAUUUUGCUUUACGAAUUUCAUGAGCAUUAUACCAGCACUGAGUUUGUUAAGAUCUUGCAUGUACUGAAAAUAAUAAAUGAUAUCCAUAAAGCAAGCCGAGGGCACAAGAAAAUAUUGGAGCAUAAAGAGGCUCGCGGAAGGGAAAUAAAAUCAAGCACUUGGUGCCCAUUAUACCUGACAAUAUCCCACGCUUCCAUAGAAAGGGGGAAAAACAGUGGUCAUAACUUGCUACCUUGAAAACAAAAACACUUUGAAAUAGAGCUAAACAAAAGUAGUAUUCUUGCAAACAUGAAUUCCCCCCCCCCCCUAAAUCUUACAUACAAACCACAUUCGUUCAGGUCGCCGGCGGCAAAUAAGGGGAAACCAAGAAAAUGAACAAUAGCAACGUAGAGAGGGGGCAGCAAAGAUUACCGGCUCAAAAGGCGAGCUACGAGCAGCGUCGAGGGCAACUGGCCGACCAGUUCGGUUCUUCGAUUUCCGGUUCUAUCCAGGGACCACACUCACCCCUAGUUAUAACAUAGGUACACGAACCAUCUAACCGGCCCUACUUCUGACCAACCAUAUCAGGGUCAAGUUAGUCAGCAUCCUACUUUAUAUAUUCUCUUUCUGGCUUUCACCAUCCAUGAAAUCAAUAUGGAAGAGAAUGGUUUUUUACUAUCAUUUGCCAACAUAUAAUAAAGAGGAUAUCACAUCGUCUUCCAGGCCGUGCUUAUAUAGGCAAGUACAAAAGAAGAAUGGCAGACCUGUAAUAUACUCAAUGAACCUCCGCAAAAGUUACGGAGCUUCAUGACUUUCGAAGCAGAGAACACACAUUUGGAAAAAGAUCAAAAAGGCAUAAGUGCUCUCGACUGUUCACUUUCAAAGAGCAAGAAUCGAUAUCUCUGAGCUUCAAGAACGUAAUAAGCAGCUAAGUCUUGUCGGAUCAAUCUCCUUAGUCCCAUCAUCUUCAUCAACAUGUAUUCGAGUUUCCUUUUGGCUCUUUAUUUAACAAAGGCAUCCGCACCCUUGUGACUCUGAAGAGAAUCACAUUGGGUGUGGCAGUUACCCAUCCCACAUAUACCGAAUAAUUUAUGGGAGAUGUGCAUUCCUAUGCUCCUGGAUGACUCCAAGAAAAUACGCAAGAAUGAUGAUUCAAAUUAUGAUCUUGAACAUGAGAGAUGAACACACGUAUGACUUGAGCAACCCUAACUCAUAAUAGGACUUAUAACCACCGCCUAGUCCUUGUCAGCCUUCCAGUCAACUGCUUUUUUGUUAGGUAGCGCAAGCCAGGAAUGUUCAUCCUCAUUUCUUCUGGGAAAAUGAAGCCAGUUGGGUAGUCUCUAGUGAUUACAGCAUUUGAAUAUUUGACUAAUCCGUCAUUUCUGAAGCCGGCAUCAGGGGGGGCACCUGCAAAACUUGUUCUUGGUCAAAUCAGACAAAUGCAAGACCUGGACGUUACUGAUAUCAAACAAGUUUGUGUAUCUUGCCGUCCGAAAGUUGCUCAUAAUCUUACUCCUCUUUGAACUACUCUUAUUGUACUUGCAUUCUUUCCAAAUUAACGGAUCAAGAUGAUUAUCAACGCACCAAGAUAUAUUGCAUUCGUUUUCUUGAUUUCAGGCCUGAUCCUCUUCAUCCCAGACACUCCUGCCAAUUCACAAACAUAUCUUCAAGAGGGGAGCUCUAGUAAGGGCAAUUACACUGCUUUUGGCAAGUUCCAAAACAACCUCUACAGCCUCCUCGACAGGUAACUUCACAACAAAGGACGCGUUAACUGUUUCUACAACAUGACAGAAGGGGAAUAUCCAGACAAAGUUUAUGGUCUCUUCCUCUGCAAGUAAAUCACAUGGAAAAGACAUCCAAAGUUUCUACUUUUUAGUAAUACCUUUCAAUUCAAUCCUUAUAAUCUUUGGAAAACCUGAUGUGUUGGUCUUAAUUGAGAUCCUCUAAAAGUAUGGAGAUCCAAUGCCAACAAUUUGGUUAAUACUAUCCAAACUUAAGUGACUACUAAUGCAACUUUCCUAUCCUUUUUUAGAGGCUAUGUUGCAGCCAAUCUCUGUCAGUCUUGCAUCAAAUCAGCUACCGGCAACAUCUUAGAAUGAUGUCCAGGAGAGAAAGGGGUGACCAUAGGGUACGAUGAGUGUCUUGUGCGCUACUCUAACAGAUCAUUCUUCUGUAUCAUGGAGUCAAUGCUGGCUUUUUCAAUGUACAACCUUAUGAAUGUAUCAGAUCCCAACCAGUUCCUCCCGGUUGUGGGGGAAACUUUCAGGAAAGUGAUGGACUUGGCAAUCUCCUUAGAAAGCUUAUGCGUGACCAUCAAUGUUAGUGUCUCAAUUUCAGUGAGUUUGUGUGCACUUGCGCAGUGCACCCUUGACUUAUCAAAGUCAAUUUGUGAACAGUUGUAUGGCUGCUGCAAUCCUCUUUAUGAGGAAAUUAGAUGACAAGCAACAGCACAUUCUCCAACUAACAAAACCAGCAUUGAUUCCGGUACUAGAGGUAUAAAAAUUGUAUAAUGCUCAAAACGUGCAUUCAAUUUUCAUGGUUAGCAUAUAAAGGUACUCAUUAUAAGCUGUUUCGUGUAUCAUAAUGCACUUCAAUUGCUUUUACGAUCUAAACUAUGAUCAUUCUCUCUAGCUUUCUCUGAGUUCCUGUUACUAUUUACGCCUAGUGAGAAAAAUCUGCAGACUAAAUUCAAGGAAUCACUUUGUCUUGAUAGGGGUGAAACAAACAAAAGCUCCAUGGAUUGCAAUAGUUAGCUCAGUCACUGGAUUGUGUUUACUCUUAUCCAUCAUAGGUUCAUGCAUUUUUUUAAACAGGACAAAGAGAUUGAAAAAGGUAUAUAUGAAUUCAUCUUGCUUGCCAUUAGAAGACCAUCUUCUAAACUUUACCUUAUGAGAGUAACCUCUUAUACUGUCAGGGUAGGAAAACAGCCUAGAGGUUCAGUUACUGCAUCUGAGACUAGAAAUUGGAGUAGAGUUUUUAGAGGAAAACUAUCAAGGAGAAAAGCCAGUGGAUCCUCGAGAAUUCACUCUGAUACGAUUAGACGUUAUACGCGCAGCCACUGGGAACUUCUCUGACGAAUGUAAGCUUGGGGAAGGCGGGUUUGGUCCUGUAUACAAGGCAAGCAUUUCAGUGACUAAAUACUUAUUUAUGGGGAUAUUAGGAAAUUCUUCUAAUGGCAGCAAAUUGGCUGUCAUUAUUGUCAAAUCACCACUAACGUUACGCUGUUUCACGGCACAUUGGGAGAUGGAAAAUAAAUUGCAGUUAAGAGGCUUUCAAGAACCUCGGGCCAAGGACUCAUCGAGUUGAAGAACGAAGUCAUCUUGAUUUCCAGACCACAACACAGGAACCUCGUCCGAUUGGUGGGAUUCUGCUUGGAAGAACAUGAAAAACUCUUGAUAUAUGAAUACAUGCCCUUCAAAAGCUUGGAUGUCUUCCUUUUUGGUUUGAGCUUUAGCAGAUGAAAUGAAUCUUUUGGCGAUUUUUAUAAAGGGCAAAUCCAUUUGAGUCUCUCAUCAUCAACAGAUUCAAAUGUGGGGCAAUCUCUUGAUUGGAAGAUGCGCCUGAACAUCACCUGUGGAGUAGCUGAGGGACUUAUAUUUCUGCAUGAGGAUUCUUGCCUAAGGAUUAUCCACAGGGAUCUGAAAAGCUAGCAAGAUAGCAAUAUCUUGCUAGAUGUUGAGAUGAAUCCAAAGGUAUCCAAUUUCGGGAUGGCAAGGAUCUUCAGUAUAAAUCAAGACAAGGCCAACACAACAGAGUUGUUGGCAUUUAGUAAGCGCUUUCAAAUAUGUUUCUACAUCUGUUAUAUAUUUGAAUGAUUUACUAGGCCAAAAAAGAACUCUGAUGAUUAGUUCCACAUGACCAAAAUGUGAAGAUUCAUAUUUCAGAAGUUUCCUAUAAUCACUUGUGAAUUUUUUUCCUACUUCCAACUAAUUGCUCCUCAUCAUAUAGUGGACACAUGGCACCGGAGUAUGCGAUGGAAGGGCUCUUUUAUGUUAAAUCAAACAUCUUCAGUUGGAGUUCUCUUGCUAGAGAUAAUAAGUGGGUGAAAGAAUAAUGGUUUUCAUAUCUGAGAGCACGGUGAAAGCCUUCUCACAUAUGUAUGCUCCUAGUCUCCGUUCCAAUUUAUUAUGAAGUCCAAGAUUUUUGUGCAGCUAUUCUUGCUUAUUUUCCUUGUGAAAUGACAGGCAUGGAAGUUGUGGUCCAAAAAUUGAGGGUUGGAACAUACUGAUCCGUCAAUCAAAGGGUCAUGUGAUGGAGUUCCAGUGCUAAAAUGCAUACAUAUCAAUCUGUUGUGCGUUCAAGAAGACCCGGUGGACCGAUCAACUAUGUCACUCGUGGUUCAUAUGCUAGGAGGUGGUAUGAUCACCCUUACCCAAACAUCACAGCCUGCAUUCUCAGUUGGGAGAUAAGUGAAAACACUGGAUCCUAUCGGACCGAUUCACAAUGUUUCCACCGUUAACAAAGUAAACCAAGAAUCAUCACCUUUCUUCAGUUGUUUCUCUUCCAUACAAUGGAAAUGCUUCACGAUUUGACAAAAUAGAACUAGUUACAGUGUAUGAUCUCUUUAUUAUUGUGACUGCCAUUUCUUAAUCCUUGAAUUACACAAUCAUGAAUUAUAUAUUGUGAGGAAAAAAAAAAAAAACCUGUUUAGUAGUCGUCAUUUCUACUCUAAUUCACCACUAAUGUGCUUUAAGAAUAAUAGAUAUACUUACAUGAGUGAUAUAUCAAUAUUCAAUUCUAUAAGUACCUCAUUAAUAUAUAAGAAAGAAUAUACAUAUACAAAUUCAAUAAUCUAAUUUGAGUAUGUUCACCGAAAUCUUCAUUAAUGAAGAAUGUAGAGUGUUUAGAUAUUACAUCACAUCUGAGCCGUACUUAUUGCAUUCAAAUCUUUCCAAACUCAUGUUUGCCUCCCCUAUUAGAUAUUUUUACACUUCAGUCCCAGACUAAAGUUUAGCUUACACGUGAGGAUAGUGUUAGAUUAUUUAAGUAUUAAAUCACGCUUUUAUCUAAUAGCCUAAGAUAGAAAACUUUUUACAGAGGAGCUACCAAGUCAAGGCAUCAUUUUGUAGUAGUUUUGAAUGGGUCAUGUAACGACUUUCUAGACUUUGUAUCAAAUUUAAUUUGGCUUUGUAAUGUUUGAUUUAUUUUUUUAUAAACUCUUUUUUAUUUUGUAAUGGCUAUAUAGCGGUCAUCUUCUCCUUCAAUAAUUACUAAUUUAUUUACAAUUGUCUCUUAAAACUCUCUCUUUCUUUUACCUAUAAAUUGUUACUCCGAAUAUAAUUGGAAAGCGAAAUUGAUAUAUCAAAACAAAAAUAUUCCUCUUUACGUAUCUUUCAUUUCCUUGUUGAAUUAUACACAUAACUUUGUUCCCAUUCCUUCUAUUAUUCUAUCGCAUUGAGUUUCUACUUUGAGGGCUGGAAUUAUGCUUUAAAACGGUGCUUUGUACACCUCAAACAUUUGAUUUUAUUUUCUCAGCAUUUUCAAUAGAAUUCCAACAAUUAUUAUUUUCAUAUUAUCUAACAUUUUCCCAACAAUCUUGACGGUAAUUGCCUUAUGGAUUCCCUAGUCUCUGCUGUCUCGCACCAGUUUCUCCGGCGGUUUGAUGUUGGCUAGCGGUUUCACUGUCGCGAAACAUUUAAUCAUUGUCGUUGCGGCUCUUCUUAACCGACCGCGACUUAGUUCACUCCUUCGAUCGCGAUUCCAGUGGGGCAACCAUGACUCUGGCGGCUUUAUCUACAAUCUCCUGUCGUGUCUUCAGCUCUGCCGCUGUGUAUCCUUCUCCAUGACAGGCGAUGAUGAAAUCCAUUGAUGGUUUUAUCUAUAAGUUGAUGGGCCUUAGUAGGCCUGUCCGCCCAUGUUGGGCCUAAAAGCCUGGCCCGCAAAAUAAGGGCCCAUGGAGGAACGGUUGCGAUGUGAAAGGCUACGUUGUUUAGAAUGAGGAGUUGUGUCUUUUGGGGGAAUGUUUUACAUUGAAGAGUUACGUCUAUUAGAGAAGACGUAAGAGAGAAAAGAAAAAGGGAACGUACCCCUUCAACUUACGUACGUUGUUUUUUGUCUCUCUCCCCCCCUAAGAAACGUAAGAGAAUAGUACCCUCAAAACAACAUUUUUCCCCCUAAUAGCGAUAGCACGCUCCUCGGUAGAAAGAGAUUAAGAUUCUUCCUCGAACUUCAAGGUUGGUGUUUAAUCUGUGGACAAUAAGGUACACUCGAUUCCAUGGUAUAUCUUUGAUCGGUGAUACAUGUGAUUCCUGGGCUCGUCUUCCGCGUUCAUUUUAGGGGUUCGAUUAAGUAUCGGAAACGAUUUUAGGGAAUACGUUAUUCCCAACAUUAGUAUCAGAGACAUUGUUCAUAUUUCUUGAUCCCUUUUCAUGUUUAUGAUUUGUUUUUUGAUUGAAUUUUCAUGAAACACCGCCGUCAGCCGAUUGAGACGGAAAAAUCCCGACACCCACAUAUUGUUCCCCCUAUUUUGUAAUUUUCUGUAAGUCGAAAUUCGUUUUGAUAACGCAGGGUCGAAGCUCUUGUUAAUACAAGAAAAACGAGUCGCGGAUCAUCGCCAGGGGCCGCCAAACGUGCCGCCACACGCGGCUGGAACGGACUGGGGUCGUUGGCGCGUGCCAUGCACGCGCCAGCUAACGUCAUAGUGACGUCAUCCAAGCACGCGCAUGGCACGUACCAAUCGAUUCGUCCUACCGGCCCGACCGACCCGACUCGUCCGACCCGGCCUCAGCGGUCCGACCGGUUUGACCCGUAUCAGCCCGACCCGACAACUAUUGACCCGAUUGACCUGUUGAUUCAAUCCGUUGACCGUUGACCCCUUUGAUCGUUGACCGUUGACUUUGACCAUUAACUAAAAAAAAAAAAAAAGAGGAGGAAAAGAAUGUGUUUCUUUUGCCAAGUAAUUCUAUGUGGAUUAUAAGUAAUCCCUUAUUUGUUCUGCAUUUGUUACAAGAACAAUGUCUCCCUGUAAGGUGCGCACACCUAUUCGCGCAAAUUCAAAUGAACAAAAGGAAAGGCUUUCUAAGUUGAUAACUGAGCUAACAGAUUAUCGAUGGGAGAAUGGUGACUUAAUUGAUCAUGUUCUCGUAGUUAACAAUAAAAUACAACAGGUCAUAUGGAAUGGUCAUCUCAUGCCACAUUCUGAGAUGGUGUGAUUCUUCAUGAACAUUAUUCCACUAAUAUGGCAAGGAGUGUUGAAUCGCCUAUGGGAGGUUAACAGAGCUAUUACGUAUAAGAGGCUUGUAAUGACUUUUAUAGAUGAACAUUACCGGAUUGAAGCCAAAAAGACUGCGACCCAUGGAAUGACUUCGAUCUGGCGGAGAAUGGAUGUAUGAAGGAGAAAUCCUAAGGGAUACUCGUCUGUUUUACCGUGGCUACCUAGAAUGUCUCAAGAAUUUAAAGAAUAAAAGAUCAAUAAAUUAAACAAAAAUGAAUAUUUCCCAGUUCAUGUGUUGUCUUGGCGUUAGAUGUUUUUGACUGAUCUUUAUUUAAGUAUGCUUUAUGGACAUGUUAUGUAAAUGUUUUCUACCUAGAUGUUGUUGGUGUAGCAACUGAUAUGUUAGUUGCAUUAUAUGAAAGCAUUACUAUUCUAUCAUUAUUAGAUGUCGAAUAUUAUUUGCUUCUGUUAUUAUUGACCGUUGUGGAUAGUUCAUAGAAGUUUUUGUAGCUUUAAAGAAUUUAUUUUGUAUAAAAGAUUAUAUUAAUAAUAAUUCCAAGUUAUGAUUUUUGGAUGAUGAUUGGAAACAUAGUGACAUUUUGAUUCCGAAACCAUACUUGAAAUUAUUCAUUAAUAUGAUGGUUUGUGCAAAAUGGAUGCGUAAAUAAUAAGCAUUAAUAAUUCGUGCAUAUAUGUUUGAUAUGUUUAGAUCAAUGGCUUCAGCCACAAAGAGCAUAGUCACUGAGCUAAACAAAGGUGAGAAGCUCAAUGGCGAUAAUUUUGAAAUAUGACACAUGAAAAUCCAAUAUGUACUAGAAGAGCAAGAGGCAUUAGAAAUUCUUAACCUGACUAUGGAAGUACUUGAAGAUAGAAACAUUGCACAACAUAAGAGAGAUAAGGAUGCAUUUGCUACCUGGAAAAGAAAGAACUCUCUUGCUCACAUUACGUUGCUGAGUAGUAUGGAAAAUGAUGUCAUGCAAGAGUUCAGGCAUUUUGAGAAUGCCAAGAAAAUGUGGGAAGCGUUGAUAGCAAGAUUUGGUCAUGCUUUGGUGACCAGACUGAGAUAGCUUACUAUUAGGUUUGUCUCUUAUAAGAAGCCUCAUAGUCAGACUAUGAAGCAACACCUUAGAAAGAUGUCAAACAUGAUUAAUGAGUUAAAAGAUUUUGGACAUGUCCUGACUGAUGAGCAGCAAGUGCAGUGAUUCAUUCCUUGCCUCAAAGGUGGGAGCAUAUGAAAGUGCACCUAACCUAUAAUGAGAAUAUCAAAACCUUUGAGGAUGCGAUGCGUUAUCUUGAGCUAGAAGAGGAUCGUCUCUUGGCGGCUAAGCUUGAAACUGAAAUUUAUCAUGCUGGUUCCAGCUUACAUGGAGCUUUGAGCUCCAAGCACAAACGUCUUAACUGGUUUGAUAAAAGGAAAGGCAAGGAAGCAAGUUCUUCGGGGAAGAAACCUAAGCUUGACCAACAUGAAAGAGGAAAGCGUCCUCCAAUGAAGAAGUUAACAAGGGUGAAGUGUUAUAAUUGUGACAAGAAUGGUCAUUAUGCUCGCAACUGUCGUGAGCCAAAGAAGGUAUACACCCAUUGUACAUUUCAAAACUUUGCUUAUGUGUUGAGUUAUGUAUUCUUAACUGAGUCUAAUCUUUUGUGGACUGUGGAUUCAGGAGCGACAGGCCAUGUAGCGAAGGAUAGAGAAUCCUUCGUGAAAUUCUUAUGAGUACCAACUGGAACUAAAUGGAUCUAUGUAAGAAACUUCAAAGCAGAAGUAAAAGGGAUUGGCACCUGCCAACUUAACAUGCGUGGUGGACGCACUUUAUUCCUACAUGAUGUAUUGUAUGCUCCGGAGAUUCGUUAGAAUUUAUAUCUGUUUUAGUGUUGGUUAAGCUUGGUUUUAAUAUGAACUUCCAUAAUAGUGGUGUAGAUUUAUAUUUAGUUACAAAUUACUAUGGUUGUGAUUAUUUUCUAGAUGGUUUCAUUAUAUUAAAUAUUGACUAUGGUAAUGCCAAUGUUUGUUAUUCGCUUUUCACGUCUCCUAAUUUAUAUGAUAAUGAUGUGAAUGUGUGGCAUGCUAGACUUGGUCAUAUUGGCCAACAACGUAUGAAUAGACUAGCCAAAGAGGGCUUAUUGGGCAACAUUGAAAAAGUCGAUUUGCCCAUGUGUAAGCAUUGUCUAGUAGGGAAAACGACAAAGAAACCAUUUGAAAAAGGUAAAAGAGCUAAAUUUCCUUUGCAUUUAAUCCAUUCCGAUGCCUGUGGUCCGAUGAAUGUGAGAGGAAGGCAUGAGACUGUUUAUUUCAUCACAUUUAUAGAUGAUUAUACUCGAUUUAGAUAUGUUUAUUUAAUUUAUUAUAAAUUCGAAGCAUUGAGUUGUUUCAAGAGGUUUAUGAACUUGGUAGAAAAUCAAUUAGACAAGAAAAUAAAAGUAUUGAGAUCCGAUCGAGGUCGAGAAUAUUUAUCUGAUGAGUUCAGAAAGUUCUGUGAUAAAAACAAAUAAUAGAAAGACAGUUGUAUAUUCCAUAUAUUCCUCAACAAAAUGGUGUUGUGAAGAGAAGGAACAUAACCCUAUUGGAAAUGGUUAGGUCCAUGAUGACGCAUGCUAACUUACCCAUUACUUUUUAGAGUGAUGCGUUGUUAACUGCUGUUAUAUACUUAACCGAGUGCCUUCCAAAUCAGUUACUUCCACUCCAUAUGAGUUAUGGACAAGCAGAAAACCGAACUUAAGUUUUCUUAAACCAUGGGGUUGUGUUGCCUAUACUCAUGAGCCCUCUCACAAGUUUGGGAAAUUGGGUCCCAGAGGAAAGAAGAGUAUUUUUAUAAGAUACUCUAACACUCGAAAGGGUAUGUGUUCAUAGGUGAGCAGGAAAGUAGAAGUAUAACUGAAUUCGAAUCACGGGAUGUCACAUUCUUAGAGAAUGAAUUUCCUAAAAAAUGCGAAAUAGGUGAGGAUCUAAGUAGCAUCAAUACGCGACACGGACACGCGACAUGACACAACACGACACAUCGACACGUCAUUUCUUAAAAAUAUAGAAUUUCGACAUGUUCCGACACGUUAUAUAUUAAAUAAAUAUUUUUAUUUUUAAUUAAUUUUAUUUAAAUUCACAAAUAAAUAAAUAAAUAAAUAAAUAAGAACUUACAAUAAAUUUACACUAAUAAUAUUAAUAAAUCUAUUCAUGAAAAAUUAUUCAUAAUUAAUACGUGUGCAUAUUUAAAAAUAUAUUUUUUAUUUUAACAAAAAUUAUUCCCCUCAAACCCUCCCUUCUCAUUUCUCUCUCCCCCUCUUCUCCCACGCCACCACCCUAAAAUCUCCCCCCUUCGAUUUCUGCGAAUCUACCCCCACUCUCUCUCUCCCCAUCCCCUUCCCCCUACGCCCCCACUUGCUCCUGCGCCCCCAUCAAUUGCCCCCAUCCCCCUCGGAUUUCUUCCCUUCUCUCCUCUCUUCUCUCCCCCUCCCCCUCCCUUUACCCCCCAUGCCACCACCUGCUCCCCUACAAGGCUGCACCCCCCAUCAAUCCCCCUCCAUCCUUGUUCUUCCCCUGCUCUCUCUCUGUGGCAUCCUAGAAUUUCAUGACAACCCUUGGAUAUACCAUGAACCUUAUAAGUUGGAUUUUAUUGAUUAUUGUUGCAAAGUUUUAUGGCCAAGUGAAAAAGUGUAAUUAGGUCUUUAUAUAAGUGGGAAUUAAGGUGGAUUAUUAGGAAUAAUUGUGGGCUGUGUAUUUGAGGACCAAAUCAGCUCAAGACAGCCCAUAAUUUCCCACCAUUCGGCUGACCAAGCCCAGCCCGAGGAGCCCAUGAAGUAGUCGAUCGAAGGAGGGAGAGGCCCGGCCCAUUGAGCCCAUCAACUUGCAUGGCAAAAUUAACAAGUGGCAAGAGAGAUUAGCCAAGUAUCUAAUGCCAUACAAAUCAAAUCUAAUGAUGAAGGGGAAAGAAAAGAGGAGGGGCGGAUUGAGAGAUAGGGUUUUCGACCGAGAGAGAGAGAGAGAGAGAGAGAGAGAGACCGAGCGAGCGUGCGAGAGAAGAAGAGAAGAAGGAGAUCGGUUGCCGCUGUGAGUCCGCCUUGUCCCACCGUCGUGCUUGCUGUGAUUUUCUUUGGAUUAGAGGCAAGUAGAGUCCGUUAGCCUACACUUUACUUGUUGUAGUUGUGAUGUUGAAUGCAGGGAAUGUUUGAGCUGUGAUGUUGAAUGCUGGAAACUCGAGUGAAUGGAGGUAGUUUUCCAAGUGAGCUGUUGCAUGUAGGAACAAUCCGACUUUUGGUGAUUUCGUGAGCUGCAUGCAAUGUUCUAGUUGGAAUCUCACUUCGACUUCUUGAUAAAAGUUGUAGAGGACUUCUUGAAGAUUAACAUAUCAAAAUUUGAGGGAAAACGAACAAGUAUUUGUUGGUGAAACCAUUUUUCUUCAAAGAUACUAGAUUUGGAAACUGUUAUGUUGAUCUAUUGUGAUUCUGUGAAUUUUGUGCAAUUAUCCAGUCCGAAUUUGAUCUCGUGUCCUUGAUAAGAGUUGUAAAUGACAUCUUGAGGGGUAAUAUACUAAAAUUUGAGAAUAAACGAACAAGUAUUGAUCGGGGACAAUCAUUUUCUUUGAAAGGGUUAAAUCUAGAGAGUGAGCCGAGAGUUAGGGAGAGUUAUAAAAAUUAUAAAUUUUAAUCCAGAAGGAAUUAGACUUUAAUUUCUUCAUUGGACUUUUACUUCUAGGCCACAUCUAUAACAUAUUAAAAUCUCAGAAUUUACGAAGUUCAUUUAAGAGCUUAAUCGAAAUUAUUUCCGAAACUGUGCAAAAAUGGCGUUGGAAAUUCUGUUGCUGUGAUGUAUGGACCUAUGCGAUUGAUGUGAAACUGUCUUUGUGGCAUCCUAGAAUUCCUUCCUAAUCUUUAGGGGUAUUCUAAUUCAUGUCUUAUAUUAAGACUUUAGCCAAGCCUAUGGUGAAUAAUUAUUUGAUAAAAAUUUCUAUUUUUGGCCAUGAAGGAUUAUGGGUUGGAAUGUGUUAAGAUAGGUCACAAAGUCUUGUGAAUUAUAAAUUUCAAUUAGGUGUUUAUAAAAUUAAAGGUUUAAGGAGGAUUAUUAGGAUGAGAUGUGGGCCAAAGUAUUAGCUUAAGACCAGCCCAAAAGAAGCCCCACCCUUCGGCCAUUUGGGCCUAGCCGCGAAGCCCAAAGGAGGAGGAGGAAUAGUCAGCCCUUGGCUGGCCCAAGCCCAGCCGAAAGAUGGAGGCCCAUCUUGCAUGAAGAAGGCCAUUUGUCCCUCCUAGCUGCCAAGUGUUCCCCAUGCAAAAUCAAUGAUUGUUCAUCAUUGAGGGGAAAAAACUAAGGGAACCGGUUGAUGAUGAAGGGAGAGGGAAAGCGUCGUCGAUUAGGAGGGAGUGAGAGAGAGAGCUACCGAGAGAAAGAGGGAAACCGAGAGAGAGGAGGAGAAGGCCGCGCGAGGAAGAAGCCGUGUGUUUGUCCACCGUCCGCCGUGCGUCCGUCGCUCAUCACCAUCCGUGUGCUUGCUGUUUGCUCGGUCUAGAGGCAAGUUGGGAUCCUUAAUCUACUCUUGCAUGUUAUAUCUAGCAUGUGUGUUUGAAUGGUGAUGAAUUUCGGAUGUCUAGGGUGUUCUCGAGUAAACCGUCUGACCCAGAAUGUUGUAGUGGCUUGCAUGCGAUUUUUAAGUCGGCUUUUGGCUUCGACUUCUUCAUGAAAGUUGUAGAUAACAUCUUAAAGUAUAACAUACUAACAUUUGAGACAAAAUGGCUGAUUUUUUAGGGGUGAAACCCUCCCUCUACGAAAAUGUUAGAUCUGAAGCUGUUUUGUUGACCUCUUGGUGAUUUUGUGUGUUGCAUGUAACCUUUUACUGAAAAUUUCUCUUCUAUUCCUUCAUGAAAGUUGUAUAGAACAUCUUGAAUACUAACAUACUCAAAUUUCAGGUAAAAAUAACAAGUAUAGCCUAGUGAAACGAUUUUUCGUUUGAAGACGUUAGAUCUGGAAAUGUUGUACUGAAUCCCAGUGACUUCGUGGACUAUAAAGUGACUUUCCUUUGAAAAUAUCACCUUAAUCCCUAAUGAAAGUUGUAGUAAACCUAAUGAGGAAAAACAUAUCAAAAAUUGAGAGGAAAAUAUGGAAGACAAGUAGAUAAAAUCAUGAUUUUUCGGAGACGGCUAAACCUGGAAUGUUCGGUACUAGGAACAGGGCUUCGAACGUUCAUAAUUAAUUAUAUAGGACAAAUAUGACUUCAGUGUCUUCAUGAAAAAUUUAAUUUAGGAUCUUUACUACCACAUAUUUAAAUUUCAUAAUUUUUUAAGGUCAUUAUAGCAUUUAAUCGGAAAUAUUUCAAAACCCGAGUAAUCUGACGGGUACGGGUUUAGUCAGCUUCAAUGCAUGGAUCAUAUUUUUUUUUAUGAAGUUCUUUCGGUAAAGUGUUCUUCACGAAGUAUCAUUAUGUAUGUCUUUUCUGCAACAUAUUCAAAUUUCAUAUUUUUUGAAGUUCAAUUACCUAUUUAACCAAAAAUAUUUCAAAAACUGUGCAAGUUGUAUUGAUAAAAUAGAAAUGCUGUGAUGCGUGAUCUAUAUCAAAUUUUAUGAUGGUCUUUUUGUGCAGUUUCCUUCAUAUGAUAUCUGCCAUUAUGUCUUGACCAGCACACGUUCAAAUUUCAUAAUUUUUAAAGACCAAUUGGGUAUUUAAUGGAAAUAUUUUCUAAAACUGUGCAGGCUGGAUUGUGCGAAUUUGAAAUGCUGAAAUUUAUGAUUAUUCUGUUUUGGAUGAGCCCUACUAAUUAUAUUGGUUGAGGUGAUUGAAUCUUGCUGAGCAUGUGAUGAUAUUUGGCAUUGCAUAUAGAAUCAAAUGCUGAAUUUGACUUGGUUGUCAUUACGUCAUGUGCCAUGUUGAUUGUGAGACAUAAAUUGGUGAACAUGAAUUAUGAUGAAUGAGGAAACUGUUGGAGGUGGGUCGAUAAUGCCCUGGGGGUAUCAGGAUGCUCGGGAUGGGGGGUGCCGGAUGCCCAGUUGUAUUGUGAUACAUGCCCGGAUGUCCUCGGGAGUUUCGAAAUGCCCGGAAUGGUUGGGUGCCGGAAGCCUCAGAGGUUUGUGCCCGGGGAAUGCCUCGUGAUGCUAGUUGGGAUGCGAGAUGCCCGGAAUGUGGGGGUGCCGGAUGCCCGGUGGUGUGUGCCAGAGGUUUCUCGCGAUGCUAGGUGGGGGUGUGAGUGAUAAAAAUGUGGGAUGCAAUUACUGGUCCCGGGAAAGGAAGAUGUGGUGAUCAAAUUGAAAGAUAAAAGUGUAAAUUGAAUCAUGCACAUAUGAUAUGGUGACAUACGCAUGGCGAUGUGAUAUGAUGAUGAUAAGUGCAUAGUUGUAUGUGCACCGAUGGCAUGAUGAUAUAUAGAUGAUAUGAUGAUGAUGAGUGGAUGGUUGUAUGUGCACCUAUGGCAUGAUGGUAUAUGUAUGACAUGAUGAUGAUGAGUGCAUGGUUGUGUGUGCACCUAUGGCAUAAUGAUACAUGUAUGACAUGAUGAUGAUGAGUGCAUGGUUGUGUGUGCACCUAUGGCAUGGUAUAUGUAUGACAUGAUGGUGAUGAGUACAUGAAGAGGUAUGUACAUAUGGUAUGAUGACAUAUGCAUGGCUGCAAGGUAAGUAAUGCUUGGAUGCAUGAAUGACAUGUACUAUGCUAUGAUUGUUAUGAUUGUAUUGUAUGAUGCAUUGAGUGGUUUAUUGGAUCUUUUACUUGCUUAGUGAUUGUACUCACCCCUUCGGGAACCAACAUUCAGACUAGAAAGAUGCCGCUUCCUACUAUCACGCGGGGCACCUUCUAUGGCCUCCCAUCUGAUGUGGAGGUAGAGUGUAUGGAGAUCGACUGCAUUACCAUCCAUGGUCUGACGUUUGUGAGAGUGCGAGUGCUGGUCAUGUACGAUGUGGGCCUAGCUGAGGGCCUAGUCAUUCAGGAGUUUAUGUCGGUUCAUGUUCGCCGAGAUGGAGUGUUUAGGGGGAUGUUGCUGCCACCACCGCCCGACGCGCCAAGAUGGGUGUGAUGGCCGCGUGAGGGGUAAAAAGCUUAUGUUUCUUUUUGGGGGUAACCGACACUGAUAGAUGGAGGAUGACACGUGAUCGUUAUAGGGGUCAAGAUAUCCUUUUGAGAUGUGGCCAAGUGUAGCUAAAAAUUUUGGCUUUCUUUUGUUGUAUCGACCUGAGAAAAUCCAUCAUGAAAAUAUGUAAAUAAAAAUGGCUCGGCUUUAUCCUUUCCUAUGGUGCUUAGUGGUGUGCAUUGUACCAUGAUUGUUGGAGGGAGAGAUGGUGAUAUUCAAUUAUGCUUCCACUAAUAAGUUGCGCUGGGACCGUUUUUUUUUUUUUUAUAAAAAAAAAAAUGCCUAUGAACUAUGAUGUUUCUACUAAGAGAUGUAAUUAGUGUUCGUUAGGUGGAGCGAUAGGUACUUGUGGCGACCUUAGGUGGUUCGGGGUGCCACAGCCGCUGCCCCCCUUUUUGGUAUCAGAGUGAAUGAUUAUAAGUUGGAGUGAUAAGGAACCUCAUUUGGAAAUUGAGGAACAUGAUGACAAUGCACACCAUAGGAUAUUAACUGGAAUGGUUGGGUAACUUUGAAUAACGGGUGAUGAGUAAUCACUCGUAGAUCCUUAGUAGUUAUUAUUAGUUACUUUUAGGUGACAGUAACAUGGUUAUGUUAGUGUUGUUGUUUUUAAUGAAGACAUUGAGUCACAGAUAAUUCCUGAGGCAAAUGCUUGGAAACUGCAGGAAAAUCAUGGUAUGAUAUGGAAGUCAUCAUCCGUCAAGGGCCGAAGCCUCUGCUGCAAGGGCUGAACCCCGGAUGGAAGAUAUCCUGCAGGCAUUGGCCAAUAUAGGAAAUCUGAUGGAAAGACAAGCGCAGCAACAACUCUGAGCAGAAAGCCGUACUCAAGGACUGGUGGAGCAAUUUCUGAAGUUGAAACCACCUAAGUUCAGUGGAAUGGGAAGUCCUGAGGAGGCGGAGCAUUGGAUUGAUGGAAUGGAACGAAUUUUCCGAUUGUUGGACUGCAAUGAUGUUGAGAAAAUAACUUUGGCAGAGUACCAGCUGGAGGAAAAUGCAAAGUUUUGGUGGAGAGCUUCAAAGGACAUAAUCUUUCCACCAAGUACUGAUGUUAAUUGGGGAGAGUUUGUGAGAGCUUUUAAUAGAAAGCAUUUUUUUUUACUGUGCUAAGGACAAGAAAUUUCAAAAUUUGUUCAAUUAGAACAAAAUGAGCUGACAGUAGACCAAUAUGAGGCUAGAUUUUCUGAAUUAUCUAGAUAUGCUCCUAGGCUGAUUGAAGAUCAGGAAGAAAAGACUAAGAGAUUUAUGAAAGGGUUGAGAACUGAUAUCAGGAAACAACUAGUGCCUUUGAACAUAAGGGAUUACCAUGAGAUUUAUGAAAGGGCACAAUUAGUGGAGCAGGAGCUGAUGAGAAAACGAUCAGAGUUUAAGAAACAACUAAACUUUAAUGAUGUGAGAAGGGGUAAGAGACCCUACCAUGGUCAAGGUUAGACUUGGAAUGUGAAGAAAAAGAGCAAUUUUGGAAAUUUUGGGAGAGCAAGAAAUGGCCUGAAUAUAGGGAAAGCACCCUAUCAGCCUGAUGUUUGUCAAAGGUGUAAUGGGUGACAUGGCCCAAGACCUUGCAAUGGACGAUUGAGAUGUUUUGGUUGUGGACAAGUGGGCCACCUUAGGAGAAGUUGCCCACAAGAAAGGUCGCAAAUGAGUGUUGGCUCGGUGUGACAGGGACAACAGAGUGCUGUUAGAUCAAACUUACCAAGGAAUCCUCAGAGGCCACCAGCACAAGGAAGGGUGUAUGCGGUCACCCAAGAGGAGGCGAAAGCUUCCAAAAAUGUUAUCUCAGGUACGAUCCUUAUAAAUGGUAAAAAGGCAUGUGCGUUGUUUGAUAUGGGUGCUAUGCAUUCGUUUGUGUUUGAAAGAUAUAGGCAUUUGAGUAAAAUAGAAGUUACGCCCCUUGAGAUGCCUCUUUGUAUUUCCACACCUGUAAAGAAUAUGGUAUUGUCUACGCUAGUGUGUGGAAAUUGUAAAAUAUCAAUGGGAGGAAAGGAUAUGGAAAUAGACUUGGUCGUAAUGGCUAUGUAUGAUUUUGAUGUUAUUAUAGGAAUGGAUUGGCUUUGUAAGUAUCGGGCCAAAAUGGGUUGUUAUAGAAAAGUGAUCCAAUUUGUCUUACCUGAUCAGUCUAGUUAUGAAUUUUUGGGAGGUUAGACCAACCAAUCUAUAGCACUUAUCUCAAGAAUAGAAGCUCGUGCGUUACUUGACAAGGGAUGUCAAGGGUACCUGGCUAUGGUUAAAGAUUAUACUAGGGAAGAGCCUAAACUUGAUGAAGUUCGAGUGGUUAAUGAAUUUCAAAAUGUAUUUCCUGAGGAGUUGCCCGGAUUACCACCAGAGCGGGAAGUUGAGUUUGAAAUUGAAUUAAUGCCUGGAACAUGACCAAUAUCUAAAGCCCCGUAUAGGAUGGCCUUAGUCGAGUUAAAGGAAUUAAAGGUGCAACUACAAGAGUUGCUUGACAAAGGAUUCAUUAAGCCAAGGGCUUCACCUUAGGGUGCACCAGUUUUGUUUGUGAAAAAGAAAGAUGGGCCGAUGCGCUUGUGCAUUGAUUAUAGGCAACUGAAUCAAGUAACCAUUAAAAAUAAAUAUCAUUUGCCUAGAAUUGAUGACCUAUUUGACCAACUCCAAGGAAAUUCGGUCUUCUCUAAGAUUGACUUAAGGUCGGGAUACCAUCAGCUAAGAAUUAAGAAAGAGGAUAUUCCUAAAACUGCGUUUUGGACUCGUUAUGGACAUUAUGAGUUCCUGGUUAUGCCAUUUGGAUUGACAAAUGCACCAGCUGCAUUUAUGGAUCUAAUGAAUAGGGUAUUUAAGUCUUAUUUAGACCAGUUUGUGAUUGUUUUUAUUGAUGAUAUUCGGAUAUAUUCAAAAGGGCCUAAAGAGCACGAAUAGCAUUUGAGGAUAGUUUUGCAAACCUUAAGAGAUCAUAAGAUGUAUUCCAAAUUUAGCAAGUGUGAAUUCUGGCUAGACUAGAUAAUAUUUUUAAGACAUGUGGUAUCAGGAGAAGGAAUUGCAGUAGACCUGCCAAAAGUUAAAAUGGUAAUAAAUUGGCAAAGAUCGACAACACCUACUGAAAUACGGAGUUUCUUAGGACUGGCUGGCUACUAUAGGAGGUUUAUUGAAGGAUUUUCACGAUUGGUGGGUCCUUUAACAAAAUUGACUCGAAAGAACGUAAAGUUUGAAUGGAAUGGGGAAUGUGAAAGGAGUUUCCAAGAGCUUAAAAGAAAAUUGACCUUGGCUCCAAUCUUGACUAUACCAACAAAAUUGGAUGGUUUUACAGUGUAUAGUGAUGCAUCUCACAAAGGACUGGGAUGUGUUUUGAUGCAGCAUGGCAAGGUCAUAGCCUAUGCAUCUAGACAAUUGAAACCCCAUGAACUGAAUCACCCAACGCAUGAUUUAAAACUAGUAGCUAUAGUGUUCGCUUUGAAAAUAUGGAGUCAUUAUUUAUAUGGGGAAAAGUUUGAGAUUUAUACGGAUCAUAAGAGCUUGAAAGAUCUAUUAUCACAAAAGGAGUUGAACAUGAGACAAAGGAGGUGGAUGGAGUUGUUAAAGAAUUAUGAUUGUGAGAUAUGAUACCAUCCAGGGAAGGCGAAUAAGGUAGCGGAUGCUCUUAGUCGUAAGUCAGCUAUGGAGAUGGCUAGUUUAAGAAUGGCGGAAUGGAGUUUGUUAAAGUCCGUAGAAGACUCAGAGUUUAAAUUGAAAAUGGAUUGUCUUACAAAUAUGCUUAGUGCAUUAAGAAUUGAACCUGAAAUUAUUCAGAAAGUUAAGACUUUACAAGAAUCUGAUCUGGAAAUUAUGAAAGUGAAAGAUGCAGUGUCUUUAGGAAAAAAGACCAGAAUUUCAAGUCUCUGAAGAUGGAGUGGUAAGAUGCCAAUGAUGACUCUUUGUUCCCGACAACGAAGAGGUAAAGAAGGAAAUUUUGUCGGAGGCACAUAAGAGUAAUUACAGUGUUCAUCCAGGUAGUACAAAGAUGUACAGGAAUUUACGUCAGCAAUUUUGGUGGAAUGGUAUGAAAGCAGAUAUGGCUAAGCACGUUUCUCAAUGUUUAAUGUGCCAGCAAGUAAAAGCAGAGCAUCGCAAACCCGCAGGACUUUUGAGACCGUUAGACUCACCAGAAUGGAAAUGGGAACAUAUAACAAUGGAUUUUGUGCAAUGAUUGCCAAGGACAUCAAGUGGUCAUGACUCUAUCUGGGUAAUAGUGGACCGUCUAACCAAGUCUGCUCAUUUCCCAUUUCCUAGCAGUUCGCAUAGACUACCCAAUGGACAAAUAUGCGGAUUUAUAUGUAAGCCAAGUGGUACGCUUACAUGGUGUUCUGGUAACUAUUACCUCAGAUCGGUAUUCAAGAUUUACUUCGAACUUUUGGCGAAGUCUUCAAAUUGCCUUGGGAACUAAACUCCAAUUUAGUACUGCUUUUCACCCUCAGACAGAUGGACAAAUAGAAAGAGUAAUCCAGACAUUAGAGGAUAUGUUGAGGGCUUGUGUGAUUGAUUUUAAGGGAAAUUGGGAUGAAAGAUUGCAUUUGGUGGGGUUUGCUUAUAAUAAUAGUUUUCAGAAAAGUAUAGACAUGGCUCCCUAUGAAGCAUUGUAUGGAAGGAGAUGUAGGACUCCUGUCUGUUGGAAUGAAGUAGGUGAAAGGAAAUUGACAGGACCUGAACUGGUACAAGUUACCACUGAAAUUGUCAAAAUUAUCAGGGAAAGACUUAAAACAGCUCAAAGUAGACAAAAAGACUACGCAGAUAGGCGUAGAAAGCCUUUGAAAUUUAGUGUGGGAGAUCAUGUAUUCCUUAAAGUAUCUCUGAUGAAAGGAAUAUCUCGAUUUGGAAUGAAGGGUAAGUUAAGCCCUAGAUUUGUUGAACCUUUUGAGAUACUUGAAAGAAUAGGAGAUGUGGCUUAUCGUUUGGCGCUGCCUCCUAAGUUGGGAAAUUUGCAUGAUGUGUUUCAUGUAUCCAUGCUGAGAAAGUACCAGCCGUAUCCUGGUCACAUACUCGAUCAUGAAGCCAACAAAGUGGAUGAGAAAGUGAGGUACAUCGAAGAGCCUGUGCAAGUAUUGGAUCGGAAGGAACAAAUUCUCAGGACCAAGAGAAUCCCAUUGGUUAAGGUAUUAUAGCGACAUCAUGAUAUGGAAGAAGUCACAUGGGAAAGUGGAGAUCGGAUGAAGGAAAAGUACCCCUAUUUGUUUCAAAAGGCAUGAGUAACUAUCUAAUUUCGAGGACGAAAUUCUCUAAGGAGAGGAGAAUUGUGGCAUCCUCGAAUUCCUUGCUAAUCUUUAGGGGUAUUCUAAUUCAUGUCUUAUAUUAAGACUUUGGCCAAGCCUAUGGUGAAUAAUUAUUUAAUAAAAAUUUCUAUUUUUGGCCAUGAAGGAUUAUGGGUUGGAAUGUGUUAAGAUAGGUCACAAAGUCUUGUGAGUUAUAAAUUUCAAUUAGGUGUUUAUAAAAUUAAGGUUUAAGGAGGAUUAUUAGGAUGAGAUGUGGGCCAAAGUAUUAGCUUAAGACCAGCCCACAAGAAGCCCCACCCUUCGGCCAUUUGGGCCUAGCCACAAAGCCCAAAGGAGGAGGAGGAAUCGUCGGCCCAUGGCUGACCCAAGCCCAGCCAAAAGAUGGAGGCCCAUCUUGCAUGAAGAAGGCCAUUUGUCCCUCCUAGCUGCCAAGUGUUCCCCAUGCAAAAUCAAUGAUUGUUCAUCAUUGAGGAGAAGAAACUAAGGGAACCGGUUGAUGAUGAAGGGAGAGGGGAAGCGUCGUCGACCGAGAGGGAGUGAGAGAGAGAGCUACCGAGAGAGUGAGGGAAACCGAGAGAGACGAGGAGAAGGCCGCGCGAGGAAGAAGCCGUGUGUCCGUCGACCAUCGGUCGACUGUCCGCCGUGCGUUCAUCGCUCAUCGCCGUCCGUGUGCUUGCUGUUUGCUCGGUAAAGAGGCAAGUUGGGAUCCUUAAUCUACUCUUGCAUGCUGUAUCUAGCAUGUGUGUUUGAAUGGUGAUGAAUUUCGGAUGUCUAGGGUGUGAAAAACCCAAGUUUUGAUUGUGUUGUUUUGAAGUGGUAAGCUGUUCUCGAGUAAACCGUCUGACCCAGAAUGUUGUAGUGGCUUGCAUGCAAUUUUUAAGUCGGAUUUUGGCUUCAGCUUCUUCAUGAAAGUUGUAGAUAACAUCUUAAAUUAUAACAUACUAACAUUUGAUACAAAAUGGCUGAGUUUUGAGGGGUGAAACCCUCCCUCUACGAAAAUGUUAGAUCUGAAGCUGUUUUGUUGACCUCUUGGUAAUUUUGUGUGUUGCAUGUAACUUUUUACUGAAAUUUCACUUCGAUUCCUUCACGAAAGUUGUAGAGAACAUCUUGAAUACUAACAUACUCAAAUUUGAGGUAAAAAUAACAAGUAUAGCCUAGUGAAAUGAUUUUUCGUUUGAAGACGUUAGAUCUGGAAAUGUUGUACUGAACCCCAGUGACUUCGUGGACUAUAAAGUGACUUUCCUUUGAAAAUAUCACCUUAAUUCCUUAAUGAAAGUUGUAGUAAACCUCAUUACGCAAAACAUAUCAAAAAUUGAGAGGAAAAUAUGGAAGAUAAGUAGAUAAAAUCAUGAUUUUUCGGAGACGGCUAAACCUGGAAUGUUUGGUACUAGGAACAGGGGCUUCGACCGUACAUAAUUAAUUAUAUAGGACAAAUAUGACUUCAGUGUCUUCAUAAAAAAUUUACUUUAUGAUCUUGACUACCACAUAUUUAAAUUUCAUAAUUUUUUAAGGUCAUUAGACAUUUAAUCGGAAAUAUUUCAAAAACCGAGUAAUCUGACGCGUACGGGUUUAGUCAGCUUCAAUGAAUGGGUCAUAUAUUUUUGUAUGAAGCUCUUUCGGUAAAGUGUUCUUCACGAAGUAUCUUUUUGUAUUUCUUCUCUGCAACAUAUUCAAAUUUCAUAUUUUUUGAAGUUCAAUUUCCUAUUUAACCAAAAAUAUUUCAAAAACUGUGCAAGCUGUAUUGAUAAAAUAGAAAUGCUGUGAUGCGUGAUCUAUAUCAAAUUGUAUGAGGGUCUUUUGGUGCAGUUUCCUGCAUGAAAUAUCUGCCAUUAUGUCUUUACCAGCACAUGUUCAAAUUUCAUAAUUUUUAAAGACCAAUUGGGUAUUUAAUGGAAAUAUUUUCUAAAACUGUGCAGGCUGGAUUGUGCGAAUUUGAAAUGCUGAAAUUUAUGAUUAUUCUGUUUUGGAUGAGCCCUACUAAUUAUAUUGGUUGAGGUGAUUGAAUCUUGCUGAGCAUGUUAUGAUAUUUGGCAUUGCAUAUAGAUUCAAAUGCUGAAUUUGACUUGGUUGUCAUUACGUUAUGUGCCAUGUUGAUUGUGAGACAUAAAUUGGUGAACAUGAAUUAUGAUGAAUGAGGAAACUGUUGGAGGUGGGUCGAUAAUGCCUUGGGAGUAUCAGGAUGCCCGGGAUGGGGGGUGCUGGAUGCCCGAUUGUAUUGUGAUACAUGCCCGGAUGUCCUUAGGAGUUUCGAGAUGCUCGGAAUGGUUGGGUGCCGGAAGCCUCGGAGGUUUGUGCCCGGGGAAUGCCUCGUGAUGCCAGUUGGGAUGCGAGAUGCCCGGAAUGUAGGGGUGCAAGAUGCCCGGUGGUGCGUGCCCGAGGUUUCUCGCGAUGCUAGGUUGUGGUGCGAGUGAUAAAAUGUGGGAUGCAAUUACUGGUCCCGGGAAAGGAAGAUGUGGUGAUCAAAUUGAAAGAUAAAAGUGUAAAUUGAAUCAUGCACAUAUGAUAUGGUGACAUACGCAUGGCUAUAUGAUAUGAUGAUGAUGAGUGCAUGGUUGUAUGUGCACUUAUGGCAUGAUGAUAUAUAUAUAUAUAUAUAUAUAUAUAUAUAUAUGACAUGAUGAUGAUGAGUGCAUGGUUGUAUGUGCACCUAUGACAUGAUGGUAUAUGUAUGACAUGAUGAUGAUGAGUGCAUGGUUUUGUGUGCACCGAUGGCGUUAUGAUAUAUGUAUGACAUGAUGAUGAUGAGUGCAUGGUUGUGCGUGCAUUUAUGGCAUGGUAUAUGUAUGACAUGAUGGUGAUGAGUACAUGAGGAGGUAUGUACAUAUGGUAUGAUGACAUAUGCAUGGCUGCAAGGUAAGUUAUGCUUGGAUGCAUGAAUGACAUGUAUUAUGCUAUGAUUGUUAUGAUUGUAUUGUGUGAUGCAUUGAGUGGUUUAUUGGAUCUUUUACCUGCUGAGUGGCUAUACUCACUCCUUCGAGGACCAACAUGUCAAAUUAGAAAGAUGCCGCUCCCUACUGUCACGCGGGGCACCUUCUAUGGCCUCCCAUCUGAUGUGUAGGUAGAGUGUACGGAGAUCAACUGCAUUACCAUCCUUAGUCUGACGUUUGUGCGAGUGCAAGUGCUAGUCAUGUACGAUGUGGGCCUGGUUGAGGGCCCAGUCAUUCAGGAGUUUCUAUCGGUUCAUGUUCGCCGACAUGGAGUGUUUAGGGGGAUGUUGCCGCCACCACCGCCUGACAUGCCAGGAUGGGUGUGAUGGCCGCGUGAGGGGUAGAGAGCUUAUGUUUCUUUUUGGGGGUAGCCAACACUGAUAGAUUGAGGAUGACACGUGAUCGUUAUGGGGGUUGAGAUAUCCUUUUGGGAUGUGGCCAAGUGUAGCUAAAAAUCUUGGCUUUCUUUUGUUGUAUCGACCUGAGAAAAUCUAUGAAAAUAUGUAAAUAAAAGUGGCUCGACUUUAUCUUUUCCUGUGGUGCUUAGUGGUGUGCAUUGUAUCAUGAUUGAUGGAGGGAGAGAUGGUGAUAUUCAAUUAUGCUUCCGCUAAUAAGUUGCGCUGGGACUGUUUAAAAAAAAUGCCUAUGAACCAUGAUGCUUCUACUAAGAGAUGUAAUUAGUGUUCGUUAGGUGGAGCGAUAGGUACCAGUGGCGACCUUAGGUGGUUCGGGGUGCCACAGUCUUGACAUGGUGUUCUUCAUGAAAUCUCUUUCUCUAGAUCUUGUCUGCAUUAUGUUAAACUUUCAGAAAUUAUUGAGAUUUUUUACUAAUUUUUCAAGAAUUAUUACUAAAGAGGUGCAUUUUGUUUUAUCCGAAAAUUGUUCUAUUUUCAAAAACCAAUAAAUUGCUUCAUGAAAUGUGAUAUCGUGGGUAUUAUUUGUACUGCAUAUGUGGUGACAUUUAGCAUGUCAUACAGCAUAAAAAAGACUAGUUUAGACCUCGGAUAUUAUUGCAUCAAAUGCUGAUUUGAAAAUGAGAUAUAUAUGUGAAUAUACAUUGUGAUGAUAAUGAUACUGUCGGAGGUGUGAGCCGACGAUGUCCCGAGAGUGUUGGGAUGCCCGGAGUAUGUGUGCCGGAUGCCCGGUGUGUGUGCGCCGGAGGGUCCUUGAGAGUUUCGGGAUGCCCGGUGGUAUAUCGGUACGUAAUUCCAGGGGAGGCCUGGUGGUAUGUCAGUACGUAAUUCCGGAAGGCAAGAGUAACCAUUUUCAUGGCGAGCCCCGGCAAUUUCUCAUGAUACUAGGUGGGAUGCGAGAUGCCCAGAGUGUGUGUGCCGGAUGCCCGGAGGUGUGUGUCGGAGGUUCCUCCCGACACCAAGUUGGGUGCAAGUGAUAUAUGAGGGAUGCAAACACUGGUCCCUGGGAGAAAGAUAAGAUCCUUUUGAAUAUCAAAAUGGGAAUUGAAUCAUGCACGUGUGUGUGUGCAUAUGGCAUGUGGUAUAAUUGCCUGUGAAAUUGAGUUGAUACUAUUUGGCAUUGAGAAUGCGAUCAUGAUGGCAUUGAAUGGAUCUCAUGAGGAUAUACAUGAUUGUGUGGAUGACAUGAAUCAUGCGUAUGGGUAUGUGCAUAUGGUAUAAGAUAUAAUUGUCCAUAAACUUGAAUUGGUAUUACUUGGCAUGGGAAAUAUGAUUAGUAAGGUCGUGAAUGAAUCUCGUGGACAUAUAUGUAUGAUGGCAUGGAUGAUAUGUGCAUUUCGCAUGAAAUUGUGAUUGUCUUGCCUGUUGCAUUGUGUAGUUUGAUGGAUCUUUACUGCUGAGUGGUUGUACUCACCCCUUUAGGGACCAACAUUUCAGAUUGAGCGAUGCCUCUAGCACCUGUCACGCAUGGUAUAUACUAUGGCUUACCAUCUAAUGUUGAGGUCGAGUGCACGGAGCACCCUUGUGUCAAUGUUCAUGGUCUGGUGUUUAUCCGAGUCCGUGUUUUGGUUAUGUAUGAUGUGGGCCUACCUAAUGACCCUGUAGUUCAGGAGUCCCUUUCUGUACAUGUUCAACGCAACGGACUGAUGAUGGGGAUGUUGCCGCCGCCACCGGCCGAUGCACCGGGUUGGGUGUGAUUUGGAGCGUGUGACUGGUGGAGGACGACACUUUUUGGGAUGGCCGACACUAGCUGAUGGAAUGAUGUGCAUGUCUGAUGUAUAGUCGGGUACUUUUGAGUAUAGCCGAGCUUAGUUAAAAUCUUGGCCUUUUGUUGUACCGACUCGUGAAAUCCAUCUUAGUUAUGUAAAUAAAAGUGAUUCGGCCCUAAAGUAUAUAUAUAUAUAUAUAUAUAUAUAUAUAUAUAUAUAUAUGAAAGGUUGUAAUUGGUGUGUAUUGCAUUGUAUUAUUUGGUUUGAUUACAGGUUAGAGAAAUGAUGAGUAUGCUUUCGUUAUAUGAACUGCGCCGGGACCGAUUAAGGUAAUACAAACCCCCAGGUUGUAUGCACCCGCUACAAUUCAAAUGGUAUCAGAGUGACAUGUUAUUAGGACAAGCUUUAAGUAAACGAACUGUGGCAACCCUAGCGGAUCAAGGGCCAUCGAGGGCUACCACACUCUCCCCCCUCCCCUCCCCCAUCAAUCACCCCCUCAGUUUCUUCCCUACUAUCUCUCUCUCCCUCCCCUUCCCCCCACGCCACAACCAGCUUCCCCUUAGUUUCUUCCUCAUUGUCGCACGAUCUUCUCAACUCUUUCGAUCGCCUCAUCGCUGUCACCUUCGGCCCUUCCUCUUUCGCAGUAGCUGCAGCCUCACCGCCAGCCCUCCAUCGCAACGUCACCUCAGUUUAUGCUCUUCCUCUCGCCGUCAUGGCCUCACCUCCACUUCCUUGGUCUCUUCCUCGGCCUCACCUCUACCCACCAUCAUCUUCUUCAACAAUCUCUCUCUCGGACACGCAUGUCGAGAAAAGUUGACCACGUGUCAGAUUUCUCAACACAUGUUGACCACGUGUCCGAUUGUGUCUGAGCGUGUCCGAGCAUGUCGAACACGUCAACACGUGUUGGACAUGACACAGAAGCCUCGGCGACGUGUCCGUGCUUCAUAUGUGAGGAUUACUUCCUAUUUGAAACCUUGGAUCCAGAUAAUGAAUUUAAUGGAGUUCGUCCAAGUAAGAGUAACAUGAGAAGUGAUGAAUUUAAUUCAACUCACUCUCGAUUACAACCACAUGAUGAAACGAUAUUGUCAUUAUCUAAUCCGAGUGGGAGCAUAAUGGGGAAUGAUGUGCCAAGUGUACAAUUUCUCAUAUGGCGAACAAGUCACAAAAGUAUUCCCCGUCGACGCUUUGACAUUAAAGGGGAAACUUUUAUGGUUGCUCCACGAGAUGAAGAUGAGCCAAGAAAUGUUAAUGAGGCUCUAAAUUGCCCUAGUAAGGAAAAAUGGAUGCAUGUAAUGGAAGAGGAGAUGGAGUCAAUGAAGUCAAACCAUGUUUGGGAACUGGUUGACCUUCCAAAAGGACACAAAACUAUUGGGAACAAGUGAGUUCUCAAAAUAAAGCGUAAAGCUGAUGGCUCGAUAGAAAGGCAUAAGGCUCGCCUUGUGGCGAAGGGGUAUAAUCAACAGGAAUGAAUUGAUUAUGAAGAAAUAUUUUCUCUUAUAGUGAGAUUUACCUCAAUUUGUAUUAUUCUAGCAAUAAUGGCUAAUAUAGAUCUUGAGUUAUAUCAAAUAGAUGUAAAGACUACUUUCCUCAAUGGAGAAUUAGAGGAAGAAAUAUAUACAUAUAUAUAUAUAUAUAUAUAUAUAUAUAUAGAACAACCUGCUGGUUUUAUUAUGGAAGGCCAAGAAGGAAAGGUAUGUCAACUUUUGAGAUCGAUAUAUGGCCUUAAGCAGUCGUCGAGACAAUGGUAUAUACAUUUUCAUAAUGUCAUAAUGGCAUAUGAUUUGACAAUGAUAGAUGAGGAUCAUUGUGUAUAUAUCAAAAGAUCCAAAGAUCAAUUUGUGAUCAUAUCAUUAUAUGUUGAUGAUAUACUAAUUACUGGAAGCAAUAUGGAGUUUGUUAAUACUGUCAAGGGUUGGUUAUCUUCCAACAUUGAGAUGAAAGAUAUGGGUGAGGCUAUAUACAUUCUUGGAGUUAAGAUUUCAAGAGAUCGUUUGAAGAGAUCAUUAUCUUUUUUCGCAAGAAACAUACAUAAAUAAGGUUCUUGAAUGAUUUCGUAUGCAAGAUUGUAAACCCAUAGAUAUUCCUAUUGCAAAAGGUGAAGGAUUGAGCCAUAGACUAUGUCCAAGGACUCCACAAGAAAAUGAACAAAUGAAACAUAUUCCUUAUGCUAAUGUUGUAGGAUGUUUAAUGUACGAUAUGAUGUGUACAAGACCUGAUAUAUAUUUCGCAGUUGGAAUUGUGAGUAGAUACCAAUCUAAUCCAGGUCAAGCACAUUAGAAGGCCGUUAAAAGAAUACUAAGGUAUCUGAAGGGAACUGCUGAUUACAAGCUAAAUUACCAAUGAAAGAGUUUGCGACUUGAAAGCUAUUCAGAUGCUGAUUGAAGAGGAGAUUUAGAUGAAAGAAAAUCUACCUUUGGUUUUGCUUUCUUACUGAAUAAUGGCGCCAUAUCUUGGAGCAGUAAGAAGCAAACGUGUAUAGCCUUGCCCACGAUGGAAGCUAAAGCAACAGUACAUGAAGGUGUCUGGCUUAAGAGAUUUUUGGAUCAUUUAUGUGUUAUUGGGAAUGUUGCAAAUCCAUUAUUGGUUAAUUGUGAUAGCGAAGCAGCUAUAGCAUACACCAAAGAUCUAAAAUAUCAUGGCAAGACCAAACAUAUAGAUACAAAGUAUAAUUUUGUCAAGGAUAUGAUUGCACGAAAAGAUGUGAACUUACAGUACAUUUCAACAUAUAGAAUGGUAACAGAUCCUAUGACAAAGCCAAUACUUAGAGAUGUGUUUUAUGAUCCUGUAAAAUCUCUAGGACUGUAUAGAGGCUGAUGUACUAAAUAUUAUAAUUUCUCUGAAGUGUUCACAUUUAAUAAAUUUAUGUUUUUCAUUAUUAAUGCAUAUGAAUCUUUGUUUGACGUUUAUGCAUCUUAAUACUCAGUGCAUUAUAUUAAGUUGAGAAAGUCAGACGGAUAAAAGAUUAGCCCACUCACACAGGUAAUCGCCUCUAUUUACUGUGUGAUAAAUAGAUAUGAGACAGUUUUUAAGCUUAUUAUCUAGGUGAUAAUCGAGAGCUCAAGCUUAAAAUACAUAUGUCACAUUAACUGAGUGUUAAGAUGAGAACAUAAUAUUUAUUAUGUCCGAAAGUAAAAUAACCCACAUAUUUUACUUUAUCUGUCUAUGAUGCCAGAUGUGAGUUCUGAUAAAUUCUGUGUAUGAGUAGAUAUGUGAACUCAAGUCAGACAUUGGGUAUGUCUGAACUAUCAUCUGUACGGUAUUAAAGAUGUAGACAUACGCUCCAUAGGAAAUAAGUUAAGUACUGUAAUACAUAUUUCAUACUACGUAUGCAUGAGCCGACCAAUAAGAGUAGCAAAAGUUUGAUCUCAACUUUUAUAUCGUGUGAGACUCUUGAGGAAAAGAGUUCCUCAAUUUAGUGCCCUCAUGACUCUUACUUAUUCUCAAAAUUUAUAUUCAGUGUUUGCUAUCUUAGGAUGUUGCCAAUGAUCACGAAUUUAUUCGAUCUAAUAGGACAUUUCUAUAAAAGCAAGCUGAACUUAAAUUGUGAGUUUGAAGAAAAGAGGAAUAUCGAAUUUGGAGAAUCACAUUCUAGUUUUGUAUUCACCGGUCGACUAAUUAUGAUUGUUUUUGGAAUAAUCAUAAUUGUGAAUAUAAUAUAUCACUAUUUAAAAGGAGAUCAAGAGAGAGAUAUAAAUGUGAUCGAUCGAUCUAGGGUAUUGCAUACUAAAUCUACUAAGAGUGUGAUGCCUAUUAUAAGCUGCUAUAUAUUCCUAACAGAUGUAUGGUAACGAGCUCUAAAAGUAUGCUGGUCGCACAAAUUAUUCACCGGUAUGAAUGUUGCAGAGAGGUAAAGAGAAUCUUGUUCGGCCCACCAUAUGCGAGUGGGAGAUGAUGGUUUUAUCUAUGUGUUGAUGGGCCUAAAAGCCCAACCCACAAGAUAAGGGCCCAUGGAGGAACUAUUGCGAUGUGAAAAGCUACGUUGUUUAGAAUGAGGAGUUGUGUCUUUAGGGGGAAUGUUUUACGUUGAAGAGUUACGUCUAUCAAAGAAGAUGUAAGAGAGAAAAGAAAAAUGGAACGUAGCCUUUCAACUUACGUGCGUUGUUUUUUGUCUCUCUCUUCCUCUAAGAAACGUAUGGAACGAUACCCUCAAAACAAUGUUUUCCCCCCUAAUAGCGACAGCACGCUCCUCGGUAGAACGGGAUCAAGAUUCUUCCACGAACUUCAAGAUUGGUGUUUAAUUUGUGGACAAUAAGGUACGCUCAAUUCCGUAGUGUAUCUUUGAUCGGUGAUAUAUAUGAUUCCUAGGCUCGUCUUCCACGUUCGUUUUAGGGGUUCAAUUAAGUAUCGGAACCGGUUUUAGGGACUACGUUUUUCCCAACAUCCAUCAACUAAGACCUACACCUGCAAGAGGGACUAGUGAACUUCAGGGCGUUCAGUGGAAAUGAAGUCAGGGCGUAGGAACGUGACCCAUAGCACAGCUACUUCAUGAUAGCUAUGCGCGUUAUCACCUCACCACUACCAAAACCACAAUCAAUCUUGAAUCAUCUCACUCUACUGAUUCAAGCCAAGUAUCGUUGUUGGACCAUCAGGUCAUUUCGUAUCCAAUUAAACUCAAAUUCACUUAUUUAACUCUACUACAUUGUCUAGCUGAGUAUCCUAGGUCAUAUUUUGUUUUGAAUUGUUAGCUAUUCUGUUUAUUGGAUGCUUCACACCAUAUGCUCACAACCUGUUCAACAAAAUGCCUAACUCAAUGUGGAUAGUUAGUUCCUACUGCAUUCUGUUUCUAAACGUUUUGAUGUCCAACUGAUGUUGAUUGCGUCUUGCUGCAUUUCCUGUACAUAGUUCAUUAAUAUGCAAACGGACUGGAUAUAUAGGUGAUGUAUGUCGAAUGUUGUUCAUGAGUGUUUUGAAUGUAUCGAAUCCUGUUCAUAUGUGGUUGUGCAUGUCAAAUGAUGCUCAUGCGCGUUACUUUGAGAUCGUGAGGUGCUAAAGGAAAGAGAAGAGAAUGCGGGGCGUUAUGAAUUAGAGGUGAAUUUGAAUGAAAUAGGCUUAGUUUGACUAUUCUCUUACCUGCUCGUGAUAAUGGGUAGUGUCUAAUCUCUUUUUUAGGGUUCAAAGCAUGUUUACAAAUCACUGUCAAUGUACAAUUUGCUUUACAUCUGCUAGACAUUGCUUGGCAUUUUUGGACAUACUUCAUUGAACAUGAUUCCUGAUGAAUUUGGCUUAAUUUAAUGCUAAUUUACUUGUUUGUAAAUAGAGGCUCACAUGUCAAUAGUUUUUAGGUACUUUUAAGCAUGUUUAGACCUCAUUUUUAGUUCCAGUUCAGGACCGUGCUUACUGGGUGUUGCUGGACCGUGCAUACCAGUAAUGUGGUCUAAUAUAUCCAUGAUAUGGAUUUUUUUGUGGCCAGUAUGAUGACAUGGAGUAAGUUAUAAAAAUAAAAAAUAAAAAUAAAAAAUAUAUGAGAAGAAUGAAAAACAAGAACAAGCGCCAGCACACACCAAGAAUUUUGUAUGUUCCUACUCACAUCCCAUUUUUAUGUGAAAUCCAAGAAUUUUGUGCAGAGUCCUUCCUUAUUUUUCUCGCAAAAUGACAGGCAUGGAAGUUGUGAUCUAAAGAUUGAGGGUUGGAACUUACUGAUCUGUCAAUUAAAGAGUUAUGCGAUGGACUUCAAUUGUUAAAAUGCAUACACAUCGGUCUAUUAUGCAUUGCAGAAAAUCUGGCAGACUGACUGACUAUGUCAUUUGUGGUUCAUAUGCUAGGAGACGAUACUAUCCACAAUACUAUCGCACUUACCCGAUCAUCGCAGUCUGCAUUCUCAGUUGGGAGAUAUUUGAAAACACUUGAGUCUAUCAGCCCGAUUCACAAAGCUUCCACUGUUAAUGAACUAACAAUUACAAAUGUUUCACCUAGAUGACCAAGUAUCAUCAAUCCUCCUCCAGUUCAUUUCUCUUUUAUACAAUGGUAGGUAGAAUGAUAAUUACAGUGCGUGAUCUCUUUAGCAUUGUGACUGCCACUCCUAAAUCCUUGAUUUCCGCAAUCAUCAAUUAGUAAUUGUAAGGUUAAAAAGCCCGAUAGUCGGCAUUUCUAUCCAAUUUACCACUUUUGUUCUAUCAUAAUUAUAGAUAUACUUACUUGAGAUAUAUAUCAAUUUGUAACCCAUUGAUAAUUAAAAUUUAAGCAUAUAUAAAUUUAAUAUUUUACCUUUAGUAUAUUCAUUGAAAUCUAAUUUGUGAUGAAUAUUAGAAUUAAAUAAAAUCUAAUUUGUGAUGAAUAUUAGAAUUAAAUACUAGAUUACGCAUGAGUAGAAAGUCCUGAAUUCAAAUCUCUCUAAACCCCCAUGUACCUCUUUUACUUGCCAAUGUCCUAUGCAUGUGGAGGAGUGUUGAUUAUUCAUACAUUAGAUGACGUCUUCAUCUAAUAGUUUAGAGAAAAUCAUUCAAAAAGUCUUACACCUAUUGUACUUUUGUUAAUUCAAUCAUAAACAUUUUUACCUUUUGUCAAUUGACUCUAUCCGGCUAAGUUUGAUAGAAAAUCGCUAAUGUGAAUGCCGGAUGUCUUAUAUGUCACAUGAACAUUUUAAAUAAUAUUUAAUAACUUUUUUAUUUUUUUAUUAUUUUUAGGGAAAAUCUCAAAUGGAGACCCAAAGUGACCACAUUUUCUCAAAAGAGGACUUGAAGUGGAGUCUAUCUCAAAUAAGGCCCCAAAGUAGUCAUUUAGUCUAAAAAAAGAACCCGACUUGCUGACCGGCGUACUAACGCAUUUUCAAUGCGUAUUCCGAUGACCUGAUCUGGGGCAUUUUUGUCCCAAAAAUAUUCUCUUUUCGUUUUCCUUCUCCUGUUCAUCUUGUUCUUGAUCUACCCAUGAUUGUCCAUGUUCAUCAUCUUCUUCGUCAAUGUUGAAGAUAGGCAUUGUGCAAAUCAACAACAUUGGAAGUGGGGAAAGGCUGGUGAAGGUCUUGGGGUCGGCGAGGGUUGGCCUCGCCUGGGGCCAACGAGGGCUUGAUGCCCAUCGUCGACAACAGGUGCUGGAAGCGGGCGAGGGCUUGCAAGCCCUCACUCGCUCUUACCAAUGGCCAACGAGGUCGGCGAGCCCUUGCCGGCCUCGCCGAACUCACUGAGGACAAAACUAUCCUGCAAUGGCAUCAUCUUCUUCCUCCUCUUUGUCUCCGCUUCCCUCGCACGGAGCAACCUCGACAUGCUCCUAAAGCUUAUAAUUGCCUUGGUCGGGCCUCCCUCCACCGCCAUCGGCGACUAGGUCAACUCCUCCUCCUCCUCCUCCUCGCCGUCGCCCUUUCCGCAUUGCUCCUUCACCAGAGUCACGUGCGAUGCCAACUCAUGGGUCGUCUCUCUCAACAUCAUCUUUGUCGGCCUCUCGAGCUACAUCCCACCCAAAAUUGGCCUUCUCCGCGACCUAAUCAACCUCACGCUCGCCACCGAAAACCUCACCGAGACCCUCUCGCCAAAGCUCGGUAGCCCCACCUCCUUCCGAUUCCUCAACCUCUCCAGGAUCUUCCCCAGCAGAGUCUUGCGGGCGAUAACCCAGCUCGAAGAACUCGACUUGGGCAACGACAAGUUCAUGGGGCCGCUGCCGCUGGAGGUGGUGGGGCUGAAGAAGCUAAAGUGGCUCGAUCUCACUGGCAAUUACUUCACCGGCAAGAUACUGGAGGUUUGCUCGGAGAUGGAGAAGAUGAACAUGGGAAAAGGAAAAUGAAAAGAGAAUAUUUUUUGGACGAAAAUACCCUGAUUAGGUCACUGGAAUACGCAUAAGAAAUGCAUCAGUUCAUUGGCCGGCGAGUCAGGUCCUUUUUUUAGACUAAAUGACUACUUCGGGUCCUUAUUUGAGACGGACUCCACUUCAAGUCCUUUUUUGAGAAAAGGAAGCCACUUCGAGUCUUUAUUUGAGUCCUUAUUUGAGAUUUUCCCUUAUUUUUUGUGGCAUCCCAAAAAUAACUCACGGCCAUGUGUUUUGUAAGUAGGAGUUUAUUGAAUUAUGAUUUCAAGAUUUAUGGCCAAGUGAAUAAGAAUGAUCUGGUAUUUAUAUAAAUGGAUAAUUAUUGUUGUUGGAAAUGCAUCCUAUGUUCAUGUGAGACCAAGGAUUUUAUUUGAUGAGGAAAUUAUGUAUUUGGCCAUGAAUUUUAUAAGUUGGAUUUUAUUAAACUAUGUUGCAAAGUCUUUUGGCCUUUUAUUAUGCAAUUAGGUAUUUAUUUAAAUUGAGGAUUAAGAUGUAUUAUUAAAAAUAAACUUGGGCCAUUUAAGUUUGGACUUUAGGCCCAAGUGAGAUGGGCCUAAAGUGGGCAAGAGGCCCGGCCCAUAGAGCCCAUUGGGCUGUCGGCGCAUGGAGGGGGAAGGAGGAGCCGCAUGGCUUCCUCCAAGUGUCUUCGGCAAAGGAGACACUUGUCUCCUUCUUAGGGACAAGUGUCCCCCAUGCAAGAGAAGAAAGCAUGCAAUAUAUAAGCCACCAAAAAGAAAGAGAGAGAGAGAGAGAGAGAGUGGCUGGUUUUGAGAGAGUGAGAGAGAGGGAGAGAGUUGCCGAGAGAGAGAGUGAGAUGCGAGAGAGAGGGAGGCCGAGGAGGAGGAGCUCGCCCGUCGCCGCCAGCACGCCGUCCAUCCGUCGCCGGUGUGCUGUUCGUGUGCUGCUGUCCGCUUGGUUCUAGAGGCAAGUAGAGAUUGAUUUCUACUCUUGCAUGUGUGUCUUGCAUGUGUGGUUGAAUUCUUGGAUGUUUAGAGGCUAGAAAUCGAAGUACAUGAGGUUUGUUCUUGGAGAUGCUUGCUGUUUUCGCAUGAACCGCUCGACCCAGAAUCUUGUGAAGGCUUGCAUGCAUCUUUUGAGUUCGAUUUUGACUUUUAUCUCUUCAUGAAAGUUGUAUCUAACAUCUUAAACUACAAUACACUAAAAUGUGGUGCAAAAUGAUGGAGAUUUAAGGGGUCAAACUCUCAUCCUACGGAGAUGCUAGAUCUGGAAUGUUUUCGCAUGAACCGUUUGAGUCAGAACUUUGUGAGAGCUUGCAUGCAUGUUUUGAGUUCUAUUUUGACUUUUAUCUCUUCAUGAAAGUUGUGGAUAAAAUCUUAAAAUAAAACAUACUAAAAUUUGGUACAAAAUUAUGGAGAUUUGAGGGGUCAAAAUCUCAUCCUACGGAGACACCAGAUCUGGAACGAUUUCACUGACCUUUCGGUGGAUUUGUGGUUGCAUGUUGAUUUUUACUAGGAAUAUCUCUCCUAUUUCUUCAUGGAACAUGUAGAUAACAUCUUAAAAUAUAACAUACUCAAAUUUGAAGUAAAAUGAACAAGUACAACCUAGUGAAUCGACUUACUCUUGAAGAUGGUAAAUCUGGAGACACGGUACAGGACACCCGAGACUUCAUGGACCCAUAUGAUGACUAUACUCUGGAUAUUUGACUUAUAUCCCUUCAUGAAACUUGUAUAGAACAUCUUGAAGUAAAACAUAUCCAAAUUUCAGAGGAAACGAAGAAUAAUAGGUAGGUGAAGACUCAGUAUUUCGGAGAAGCAUGCACUGGACGUUUUGGUGUUAGAUCCAGAAGCUUCGUAUGAUUAUAGAAAAUAAUAUAAAACGAAUUUGGCUUAUAAGUCUGCAUGAAAAAUAUAAUUUAGUGUCUUGGAUAUAACCUGGUAAAAUUUCAUAAUUUUCGGAGGUCGUUUGGAUAUUUUAAUUAAAUUAUUUCGGAAACUGUGCAUUCUGUUUCUAUCCGAAAAUUGCAUGCUGUUUUGUGUGAAUUGUACCUUCUUGUGUGAACUCUAUUGGGCAUGUGUUUUUCAUGAAAUUGCUAUCUUAUUGUCUUGUCUAGUACAUGUCUUGAUUUCAUGAUUUUUUAGAAGCAUAUGGAUAUUUAAUUUAAAUAUUUUCUAAAAUGGCACAUGCUGGAAUUUUGUAAACUUUGAAAAGGCAUGAAAUAUGGACCACUUUAAAUUGCAUGGACUCUAUGAAUUUUAUUGUUAUGGAUGAUGGUGUCUUGCUGCAUGUAUGAUAAUGAUUUGAGAUGCAUGUAUGAAUUCGAUGAUGAGUAUGAUCUUGAUUGCCAUCACAUCACAUGCUAUGUUAAAAUUGAACUAUAAUUGAAGAUGAGAAUUGAGAUAAAUGAGAAGGCUGUCGGAGGUGUGAGCCGACGAUUCCCCGGGAGUGUCGGGAUGCCCGGUGGUAUACGGUACGUAAUUCCAAAGGAGGAGGGGGAUCCUGGUGGUAUGUCGGUACGUAAUUCUGGAAGCCCCAGAGGUUUGUGCCCGGGGGGAUGCCUCGCGAUGCUAGUGGGGAUGCGAAAUGCCUGGCCAGGGAGUAUAAAUGCCAGAAGCCCUGGAGGUUUGUGCCCAGGGGGAUGCCUCGUGAUGCUAGUUGGGAUAUGAGAUGCUCGGAAUGUGGGGGGCCGGAUGCCCGGUUGUAUCUUGGAUACAUGCCCGGAUGGUUCUCGCGAUGCUAGGAUUGGGCGCGAGUGAUGAAUGUGGGAUGCAAACAUUGGUCCCGGGAAAGAGAAAUGUGGCGGUCCAAAAUGAAAUUGAAAUUGAAUUAUGCAUGAUGAUAUAUGCAUGAUAUGAUGAGAUGUGCAUGGUUGCAUGGUAAUGAUGAUGGUACAUGUGAUAUGAUGAUGAGAUGUGCAUGGAUACAUGGUAAUGAUGAUGGUACAUGUGAUAUGAUGAUAUGAUGAUGAUGUUACAUGCAUGAAUGCAUGGUAAUGAUGAUGGUACAUGUGAUAUGGUGAUAUGAUGAUGAUGUUAUACACAUGGAUGCAUGGUAAGGAUGAUGCCAUAUGUGACAUGUUGAUGGUAAGUGUAUGAUAUGAUGAUGAUGUCUAUAUGAUGAUGAUGGUACAUGAGGUAUCAUGACAUGUGCAUGAUGCCAUGGUAUGUUGUGCAUGGAUGCUUGUAUGACAUGUGAUGCUAUGAUUGUGAUGAUUGCAUGGCAUGAUGUAUUGAGUGGUUUAUUGGUCAUUUACCUGCUGAGUGGUUGUACUCACCCCUUUUGGGGAAUAACAUUUCAGAUUAGAUAAGAUCCCUCUGCUGCCACUGCUACCAGUAGAUGAAUCAAGUUGUUGGAUAUGAUUGCGAGGAGGAGGAUAUCAAAGGGAGGAACUUUUGGACGCCGACACAAAUCGAUGGACUUUAAAUAUUCGACUGUUAGAAGAGAUGUCGGUCAUCUUUUGAAGUAUAGCCGAGUAUAGAAACAUUGGCUUUCGAUGUACCGACUAAAUAUGUCCAUCUGCUUUACGUAAAUAAACGUGUUCGGCUUUAACUUAUAUAAGAUGUUUAGUAGAUGUGCAUCGUUUUCUGAAUAUAGGGAAGGGAGUUUGUUAGAUGUGCUUCCGUAUAUGAAUUGUGCAAGGGACCUAUCAAAAAAAAAAGUGUGAACCCCCUAUGUUGUAUGGACCCGCUGCAAUUGAAAUGGUAUCAUAGUGACAUGUUAAUAAGGAAAGUAAAAGGUAAGCGAACUAUGGCAACUCUAACGGAUCGGGGGCCGUCGAGGGGUGCCACAUUUUUAUUCAUUCCCUUUCUUUUCUUUGGACUCAAGUCGACAAGGGUAUCGCGGCCUUGCCCUAAAAGAGGAGAGGGUGUCAUGGCCUUCGAUUGGGGCCAAGGCUAGCAAGGGUCACCAUGCCCUUGCCUUGCCUAUAUUUGGCAUGGGCAAUGCGGCCAUUGCCAAACUCUUAAACCUUGCCUAGUGGCUGACAAGGGCCAUACACCCUCUCUAGGCCAAAUCCAAAAAAUGGUAAAGAAAAAAAAAACAUUAUUAGAAAUUCAAUAUGUUAAAAUAUCAUUAAAAAUGUUUACAUUAGUAUCAACCAUGCCAUGUAAGACGUUUGGCAUCUACGUCAUCCAUUUAAGGCCAAAAUUGCCCAGAUGGAUUCAAUCGACAAAAAGUGAAAAUAUUUAUAACUCAAUUGGCACAAUUGGAAGGUUUUAAAUUGAAUUGGCAAAAGCACAAUAGGUUUAGGAUAUUUUGGAUAAUUUUGUUCACAAAAAUUCAUAAUUAAUGACCUAUUUUCAUUUGAUAUAAUUAAGUAAAAAGAAAACAACGUGUAAUGCCAAGCAAUAGUAUCAAGUAGGGGUGUGCAACCAAACCAGUUCUACCCGAGACUUGGAUCGGACCGCCUGAAAAAUAGGUCCACAAACCGGUUCAGGAACAGGUUCAAAUUUUUGGAACUAGUUGUAAUAGGUCUAGUAAUAGGUUCCGAGUGAAUAUCCACUCGGGAACUAGAUCAAACCGUCCUAUUUUGGAAUCGAUUUUAUAAGCUAAAAAGCCAAAAUCCUAAUUUCUUUUUCCCAUAAAUUCUAACCUUAGCACUUUUUCGUCCUUUGUCCUUCCUCAAAGCUCCUCACCAAUCUUUCCUCUUCCCUAAAGUUUUAUGGAUGAUUGGAGAAUGGAAUUUUAUAAUUUACGUUAUAUGUUACAUGUUUGAACUUUUUGUCAUUAUAAUUGUAUAGGAUUACGUAUUCAUAUUAUGGAUUGUUGUUUAUGGUGGAUAAUGAUUUAUGUUGUUCAUCUUUUACAUUAAAUCGUUUCGUUACUCAUAACCUUAUAUGAUUUUGCUGCAAAAAAUGAACCAAAAAAAGGCAAAAAAAAAAAAAAGGUUCUCGAGUAGACUUUGGAACUGGACUGGAAAAAUAAGAUAGGUUCCAGAACCGAUUUCAAGCAAACAAGGUAGUCCAAAAACUUAGAACUAGUUAUAACAAAAUACGUUCAGGUUACCUUGAAACUACCCACAUUGGAACCAACCACCCUUAGUAUCAAGUAAUGCAUGCAGAUGACUCAGCAACGGUAUUUGUCCACUAGACCUGCUCGUAGGCGCCCAAGGGAAAAACAUUAGCUGGCCAAGCUCGCCUAGUGGAGAAACCUUCCUUCUUUUAUUUUUAAAAUUUCUAGCUAGGGAAAAAAUGAAAAUGAAAAAUAAUUAUAGGGUUUUGUGUUAUAUUAUCUUAUAUGUGAGUUUACUACUAUUUUUCUCUCCUAUAUCGGAAUUUUGGGCUUAAUUUGUGCUACUAGUGUUUAUAAAAUCUACAUAUCAUAGUAAACUCACUAAUAAAAGGAAAAGCACCAAAACAUAUAUUAGCGUUCAUGAACGACCAUUCAUAUAUCUUUACUUUUGGAAAAAAACAAAAACAUGCUAAGUGUUACUUUUGAAAACCACCCUUCACAUCAAUUAUCAGUAUGUCUCCUUUUACUUUGUAAAAUGCCCGCUCUAAAUCCUAAUUUAUCACACCCACCCAAAUUAGCCAAAACCAACUAAAAACUAAACCAUUUAAACCCUAAGCAAUAUACUAAAAUGAAUUUUGCAAGGAGGGGUAAUUUGCUCUUUUCAAGGUGGAGUUUUGCUUAGAGGUUAUAUGAAUGGUUUGCAAAGAUUGUUUAUUCGUUGGGUCAAAAGUAAGGUAUUUAGACAUAUUUUUGUAAAUUAUUUUAAUAAUAAGGGCGCAACAAGACAAGCCUCAAGCCCUUGCCCAGACCUAGCCCACCCGUUGACCAGACUUGUCCAAGCUCACUAAAUAGGCUUAAAAAAUUUAGCCAACCCCACUCAUGAAUCAGGUCUAUUAGCACAAUCACAAGAGUUUGCCCUAAUGACCACCCUUCCAACAUGAAAAGAGAAGGUAGAGAGUUUGAAUCUCCACAUUCUCAAGGGACUGGGGUGGGAACAGAUUAGUUUCAAGUGUGAGUUUAGACUCUCACGUUCUGCAAAGAGGUAGGGCAAAAAUUUAAGAGAGAAUUAAAAUAGGAGUAAAAUAGGAUUGACAAAAAAAAAAACGUCUACUAGCGCGAUAUAAGCAAAAGUUACUAAAUCUGACCAAUCAUAUCUAUCAAAUCAAUGAGGAAAAAAAAAUAUUUUCUAUUAUCAUUUGCCAACAAAUAUUACAGAGAACAAAUCAUUGUCUUUCAAAACGUACUUAUAUAAGAAAGUACAAAAGAAAAAUGAUACUCAUGCGAUAUUCCCAUUGAAUUUGGGCAAAAAUUACGAACUUUGAUGAAUAUUGCGUCGAUCUUUUGAAACGCAAUAUCUUUCUCUAACACCUCUUACAAGACCCCAUAAACUGGGUUGCUCACUCAAAGCAUAGAAAAACACAUUUAGAAGAAAUUCGAAAAGAUAUCCAGAGCUGUUCACAUAUAAAAGGAGUGUUAGAUUUUGAAGAGCGAAAAAUCAACAUUUCUGACCUUCAAAAACGUGGUGAGUUCUUAGUCCCGUGUCUUCGUCAACAAACACUGGAGUUUCGUUAGAGCAUCCUAUUUAUUUUUUCUACCUAUAACAUAUGUGCCCUUAUCCCUUCGAAACAAAUCUCAUCAGGUAUGAUAGUCCUCCGCUCCCACACAUGGAAAAAUUCCUAUGCUUCUGGAUGACCCCAAAAGAAUGUGUAGGUGCGGCGAUUUGAACUUGGGCCUUGAUCGAGGAGGAACAUGCUUAGGAUGAUGACUCAUAACCAUUCAAGUCCUUGUCGGAUCUUUUGGGUUUGACCCUUAGUUGAUUUGUAUCCAUUGUGGGGACCAAACCACUCACAAAAAAAAAUAUUGGGAAAUUCAGAGCAAAUUGGAUCUAUUUAUAUUUAGUGCUGGCCUUUAUUGGCUCUUUGUCGGGACCCCGUUUAACAACUUUUUUCGGUCUUUUGGGUUCCACCCGAUCGUUGGGAGUACAAGCCGGGAGCGUGGGAACGUGGAAAUCGUCCCUGUUGACAGGGGAACACGGAAAUCGGACUAAUUCGCCUUUGCUAACCCCGGCAUCUGGGAGAGCAGCUACAAAACUUGGUUCUUGAUCAAUUUCUUUACCUCGCCCUCCAGAAGUUGCUUAUUAUCGUACUCCUCUUGAGUUGAAAGAAAGUUCAUGGCGGUCUUUGAAUUACUCUUAGUGUACUUGCGUUCUUUCCAAGUUCAAGAAAAAAAGAUUAUCGAUGUACCAAGAAAUAUCUCCUUCGCUUUCUGGAUCUCAUGCCUGAUCCUCUUCAUCCCAGGCACUCCUGUGAGUGCACAGACAUACCUUCAAGAGCGGUGCGGAGAUAGGGGAAACUACGCUGCGUAUAGCAAGUUUCAACACAACCUCAGCCGCCUCCUCUCCAGGGGGCUUUACAACAAGGACCCAUUUACGGUUUCUACAACACGACGGAAGGUGAAGAUCCCGACAAAGUUUAUGGACUCUUCCUCUGCAGGUAAAUUACAUGUGAAAACAUACCAAAAAUUUCAACUUUCGAGUAAGACCUUCCAAAUCAAUCAUUGCAAUCUUUGGAAUCGGUUCACUCAGAGGUAGGAUUCAUAAUGGACCCGAUACAUUGGACUUAAUCGAAAUCCUCUACAAAGUACGGUGAUUCAAUGCCAAUCGAAAAAUUACUAUUCAGAUUUAUGUGACUACUAAUGCAACUUUACUAUGCCUCUUUAGAGGGGAUGUUGCUGCCAAUCUCUGUCGGUCUUGCAUACACGCAGCUUGCAGCACCAUCAUAGAAAGAUGUCCAGGACAGAAAGAGGCGAUCAUAUGGUACAACGAGUGUCUCGUGCGCUACUCUAACAGAUCAUUCUUCUCUAGCAUGGAGACAACACCAAUUAUUUUCAUUGUCAAACCUGCGGACGUUUCAGUUACCUUCAACUGGAUUGUGGGGCAAACUUUCGAUAAGGAGAAGGACUUUGAGGUGGAAGUGUUGGAUUUGGCGAGGAAUGUCACGGACUUGGCGAUCUCCUCAGAAAGCUUAUAUGCGACGAUAAACCUUAAUGUCUCAAGUUCAGUGACCCUGCAUGAGGUUGUGCAGUGCACCCCGACAUAUCAAAGUUAGAUUGUAAGAGUUGCUUGCUUUCUGCCAUCAAAGAGUUCCCUACCGUUCUUAAUUAUAAAAGGGGAGGUGGGAGAAUUUUUCAGCCAAGUUGUAAUCUGCGGUACAAAAUGUAUCGUUCUGAUCAGGCACCAACUAACAAAACCCGCACUGAGUCCGGCAGUAAAGGUAUGAGUUAUAUAAUACUCAAACUGUGCACUCAAUUUGUCAUGGUAAACUUAUAAUGGUACCAUUCCAUCGUUUCUAAUUCUCAAUAUAAGCUGUUUUGUGUAUCACAUUGCACUUGACUUGCUUUUACUAUCUAAACUAUGAUCAUUCUCUCCUGCUUUCAGCAAGUUCUCUGGUACUAUUUACACUAGGUGAAAAUAAAAAAUCUGCGGAUUUAAGGUUGUUUAGAUGCAAGGAAUUUCUCUUUCUUGACAAUAGUUAGCUCAGUAACUGGAUUGGGGUUACUAUUAAUUAUCGUGAGUUCGUGUAUUUUUUCAAAGAGGACAAAGAGAUUAAAGAAAGGUAUAAGUGAAUUCAUCGUGCUUGCCAUUAGAAUGACCAUCUUCUAACCUUUACCUCACGAGAGUAAACUCUUGGAGUCUCAGAAAAGGAAAACAGCCAAGAGGUUCUGUUACUUCAUCUGAGACAAGAAAUUGGAGAAGAGUUGUGACAUCCAGAUUUUCGGGUUUUAAUUCGACUGGAUAAAUAGGGCCAUUUUGGUUCAGUUGAAGCUAGGGAUCGUGAAAUUGGGAUGCAAGUGGGCUAUAUUGGUAGGGAAAAAUACCAAUUGGAAUGACGAGGUGUUGAAUGAAAUAAUGAGAGUCAAUUUAAAUUGAAUCAAGAGGAAUUAUGGUCCAAUUGGGAAGAAACCCUAGCAAAUUCGUAUGCCCAUAGACCCAAUAUUUUAAACUACCUAAAGUCUUCUAGAAGGGUUAUUUUGGGGCUUGAAAGGUGGGUGGAUGACAGCCAUGGUGGCCCACGUAUGGCUGACCUAAGAGAGAGAGAGAGUGAGAGAAAAAGAAAGAAAAUUUGGUUUUCUCUUCUUCUCUUCUCUCUCCCGUCGACACCCUUUCUCCCUCUUCUUGCUGCUCGUGCCAUGGCUGUGCGAAGACCAGAGCAGCCGAAGCAGCAACAGCAGCUUCGCCCGUCGCCGCCUCUCGUCGCCGCCGUCGCACGCCCGCAAGCACCGGAGCUGCUCGCGCACCCGAGCCGCCGCCGAGCUGCCGUCCGCGUGCGUCCGCCCCUCUCCUCCCUCUGGUUCGAACAGAACCAGCCAGCAGAAACAGAAGCAGCGAUCGGUGUUGCUUGAAGGAGCUACAAUCGCGCCGGAGCUGCCUUCGCCGUCGUGCCGGAACGCUGCCACCGUCCGUCUCUUGCUCGCUUGCUUGAACGCCGUCCACCCUCUGUCUUCCUCUCCGUUUGCUGCUCGGGAUCUCAGAUUUGGGAAGACACCGGAGUUGGGGCAGCAGCUGGCGUUGCUGGACCGGAGCUGCCGCACCGCCGCCAGUGCGACGCCGUGCGCUCCGCCGCUGCUCCGCUCAGCUCGGUCUCCCUCUCGCCCAGCUCGCUGUUCCAGAGCUGCUGUCCAACCCCUGUUCCGCCUCUGUCCAACUCGUGCAAGACCCGCCGGAGCUUCCUCCGACCACCUCCGGCCACCAUGAAGACUUGCCUUGGUCUUGUUCAGCUCCUCCGCCCAUUCCCGAGCUCAACCAGCCCUGGAUCCGCCCUCCUUCGCCUCCAACCAGCAGUGCACAGAGAGUGCAGAAAUGGGUUUGCAGCAACUGUUUGGCCCGUUUUGGCCGCCUUCCCGAGCCCGGAUGCUCGGCCCGCUUUGAGGAAAGUCGAUCCUCGCGUCGAGCCCGUCGUUUUGAGUGAGUUUUACUCACUAAUGCCUCCUUAGUGUGCAAAUUACACUUAAAGGUUGAUUAGUUUUAAUUAAAUGUAAUUAGAUUGUUAGAUUAGAAUUGAUUAGUGAUUAUUAGUUAAUUGCUUGGUAUAUUAGUGAUGUAAUUAGUGUAAUUAGAUAGAGAAUUGCUUGUAGUAUUUAUUGGAUGCUUCUUGGGAUUUUUCCCGUCCCUUAUCGGGUGUUAAUUAAGCAAAUCGGGCCUAGGUGGAAUUUUUAGGAAUUAAAUAUUAAUUUUGGAAAUUAAUUAUUUAAUGAUUUAUUUCUCGGAAAUUCAACUAGGAUGGCUAGUGACCAGGAUUUUAUGCCGAUGAUCGUGGUGCAGUCCGUUUAUUUAAUUGAGUUUUAUAUUGUGCUAAAUUGAAUUUAUUGUAUUUAUUUAUUUAAUAUUCGAAAUUAAUUAUUUAAUUAAUUAUUUUCCGGAAAUUCAACUGGGAUGGCCAGUGACCGGAAUUUCGUGCUGAUUGUCGUGGUGCAGUCCGUUUAUUUAAUUGAGCCCUAUUUCAUGCUGAAUUGAAUUAUUUGUAAAAGAAGGAAUUAUUCUUUAAUUGAAUAAUCUUUGGUUAUUAAUUGAAAAAGAACUGGGCUUUGGUUGAUAAUGCCAAAAGGAUCUGAGUGGGCUAUAGAAAAUGGUGGAAUUUAUAAAAAGGAAAUUAUUAUGUUUUGGCUAAGGCCAAUCGAGUAUCCACUCAUGGCAUUUUAUCGGGAAUGAUAAAAUUGGUUAUUUGAUUAUUUGCUUGGAAUGAUAUGAUAUACCGGCUCGAUGACUCUACGGAGCAUCUGGAGACAGGACGGUAUGAUAAAUUGCGUGUAUACCGGCUCGAUGACUCUACGGAGCAUCUGGAGACAGGACGGUAUGAUAAAUUGCGUGUAUACCGGCUCGAUGACUCUACGGAGCAUCUGGAGACAGGACGGUAUGAUAAAUUGCGUGUAUACCGGCUCGAUGACUCCACGGAGCAUCUUGAGACAGGACGGUAUGAUCUACCGGCUCGGUGACUCUACAGAUUAUCUUGAGACAGUACGGUAUGAUAUACCGGCUCGAUAAUCCUAUAGAUCAUCUUGAGACAGUACGGUAUGAUAAAUGGUUGAUCAAGAGAUAAUUUGGAUGACAUGUAAUCGACUAGGUCGAUUGAUUGAGGAUUCGAUCUGAGUGUGACUUGAUGUGAUUCAUUGCCUUGGUUUGAUGUUGUGAAGUGAAUGAUUGAAGGGAGAUGAUCGUGAGUGGUCUUCCUGAUGUGAAAUCGACUAAGUCGAUUAGAUCGAUGCUUCGAUCUGUGAUGUGCUUGAUUGUGUGCCUAUUUAAUCUGUACUAAUAUGCAGGUGGAAUCUGAGGCUAAGGUAAGUCUUCUAACUCAUGUUGUGCAUAGGCAGCCCUAAGGUGUAUUAGUUUACUAAUCGGGUCUUAGGGAGUAGAACUUGCUGAGACGUGGUCUCAGUGGUUAUUGAAUAACCAUUUCAGGAUCUGGAUGAGGAGCCUAAGGAGCAUGAAUCUGAUGAGGAGGUCCCUGAUGAGGAACCCGAAGAGGAGUACGUGGAGGAGGACAUCGAGUACGACCCGGAUGAGGAUCGAAAUCCUAUCCUGUCUUGUCAGACCUUGUUUGCAUGUAAAAAGUUGUAGUUGUGAAUUUUCAGUAAGAAAAAUGUAUGGCCUGCUUUUCUAUCCCAUUGCUUUAUUGUCUGGGGAUUUAUAACUGCUUCCGCAUGUGCUAUUAAAAAUGAAAGGGUCGGCGAUACAUAGUCCUGGGAUAUCGCAUAAUAAAAUCGACCAAAAGUAAGGGAUGUGUGCGUGCCUGAGGGUCGGGGCGUGACAAGAGUUUUCAAAGGAAAACUCUCGUGGAGAAAAGCCAGUGGCUUCUCAACAAUUAUCUCUAAUGCGAUUAGACAUCAUAUGCACGAACACAGGAAACUUCUCCAAUGAAUGUAAACUUGGGGAAGGCGGGUUUGGUCCUGUGUACAAGGUAAGCAAUGUGGUGACUCAACACGUAUUUGCGGGGAAAUUGGGAAAAUCUUCUAAUGGUAGCAAACUGGCAGAGUCAUUAUCCAUAGCAUGAACUGAAUCGGAUUUGGUUAGCAUUAGUAAUUCUCAGAUAGGGAUCUCACUACUGAUUUUACGCUAUUUCAGGGCACAUUGGUAGAUGGAAAAGAAAUCGCAGUUAAGAGGCUUUCGAGAACCUCAGGCCAAGGACUCAUCGAGUUGAAGAACGAAGUCAUCUUGAUUGCUAGACUACAACACAGGAACCUCGUCCGAUUGUUGGGAUGCUGCUUGGAAGAAGAAGAAAAACUCUUGAUAUAUGAAUACUUGCCCGACAGAAGCCUGGAUGUCUUCCUUUUUGGUUUGAGCUUUAGCAGAUGCAAGGAAUUUUUGAGCUAGUUAAUUUUAGUUUUAUAAAGUUGAGUUCCAUCUGAGUCUCUCAUCUUUGACAGAUUCGAAUAUAGGGCAAUAUCUAGAUUGGAAGCUGCGCAUGAACAUUGCCUGUGGAAUAGCUCGGGGACUUCUCUGUCUGCAUGAGGAUUCUCGCUUGAGAAUUAUCCACUGAAAUCUGAAAGUUAGCAAUAUUUUGCUAGAUGGCGAGAUGAAUCCAAAAAUAUCAGGUUUCGGAAUGGCAAGGAUCUUCAGUGUAAAUCAGCUCAAGAACACCAGAUUGAGCACAUAAUAUUUCAGAAGUUCCAUAUAGAAAAUUCCUUUUCUUUGUCUCUUACUUCCAACUAAUUGCUCUUCAUCACAUAAAUCUGGUUAGUGGAUAUAUGGCACCAGAGUAUGCGAUGGAAGGACUCUUUUCUGUGAAAUCAGAUGUCUUUAGUUUUGGAGUUCUCUUGCUAGAGAUAGUAAGCAGGCACAAGAAUAAUGGUUUUCAUCUUCAAGAGGAGGGUGAAAGCCUUCUCACUUUUGUAUGUUCCUAAUCACCAUCCUAGUUUAAUACGAAAUCAAAGAUUUUUGUGCAGCUACCCCUGUUUAUUUUUCUUGAUAUUUGACAAGCAUGGAAGUUGUGGUCCGAAGGUCGAGCGUUGGAACUUAUCGAUCAGUUGAUCAAUGAGUCAUGUGAUGAAAUUGAAGUGCUGAAAUGUGUACAUGUUGGUCUAUUGUGCGUUCAAGAAGACCCGGCGGAUCAACCGACUAUGUCACUCGUGGUUUAAUUUAGGAGGUGAUACUGUAACACUCAGCCAACCAUCGCAGCCUGCAUUCUCAGUUGGGAGAGAUGCGAAGAAACUUGAUCGUGUCAUGCCCACUCAUGGAGCCUCAACUAUUAAUGGAGUAACCCUUUCGGUUGUUGUGGCUAGGUGACCAAGUAUUAUACAAUGGAAAAGCUGUUAGUUAGAUAGCAUUAUGAUAUUUAUUUUAUCUUUUAGGAUUGUGCAUGUAUCUCCAUUGUAAUAUAUUUAGAUCAUCCUACUUUCUAUAUUUGUCAUGUAAAGCCGGCUUAUGUUCUCUUCUUUAUAUAUACAAAUAUACAUAAACUAAAAUAUUCUCCCUUUUGCAUAUUUCUUAUCUUUUUAUCUUAGUGUUAGAGCUAGACGGUCUUAAGCAAAUUUUGAGUGCUUGAGUGCGAGACACCCGACUGCACACCUGGAGCACACCUUCACAUCUCGUAUCAUGUGAUCCAUUUCUGUUAUAACUAGUAAUGCUCCUUUCUCAAUGUCGAUUCUUAACAUUUUCGUCAUGUAUGCAUAAACGUUAGCCUAUUGCUGUCUAACCUACACACAUCCGUCAAUUCUCUCUUCAGCACAUGAAAUCACCUCUCCGGAUCUUUACUCCCAACGCCAUUUGACUUCCUUUUUGUCACUUUGAGUUUGAGUGUUUGUUUAAGAUAAUUAAGAUUUUUACCUUGAUCCUCCAUUAUUCAGGAUUGUGAAUAUGUACGUCACAACCUGAUCCACAUACAGCCGCAUGACAACCCUUCCUCAACACUACUUUCUCUUUGGGUCAUUCAAUUGCAACGUCCCAAGAAGCAUCGCCGACCCAAAUCAUAAUAAUANNNNNNNNNNNNNNNNNNNNNNNNNNNNNNNNNNNNNNNNNNNNNNNNNNNNNNNNNNNNNNNNNNNNNNNNNNNNNNNNNNNNNNNNNNNNNNNNNNNNUUGGCACACACCGACGUCGGAUAUACCUACGCCUCUAAUACUACAAGGGUGAUUCAAAAAGUGCUAACACCCACAUCUACCUAAGCCCCAAUGUCCUCCGGGGUCCAGGCCUCCCACAUGGUGAUCAGCGCAAGGUUGAUCUCGAGGUCAGACACCUCCCCAUCGGAAACGUCCCAAUCCUUGGCAUCCUAGCUAAUGUCGCCCACAGGAUAGGCCCAUAGCUCUUGCCGCCUACCCAAAAGUAGCAAGCCACAUAUUGGUGUGGCACGAGGUUAAGUAAACCCUCAUUGACCAAAAUUGUCGUGACAUAUCACCUAUAGUGCGCAUUGGCUGCUCCCAGUACCAGAUGCUCUGUCACCUCCUAACUAUACUCGACAGGGAAGCCAAAACGAAUCUAACGAAAUUGUUUAGUCAUUCUUAGAACCUGAAAACAUUUCAACAAACAAAUAUGAGAUAAACUCAAUAAGAGAACUUCCUAGACAUGGAAAUAUCUAGGAAGAGCCCUAAACAUGCAAAUAUCUAUCAAUGGCAAAACAUGGCAACACACUUCUCACUUUACUCUUAUCGAUCUCAUAACAACUUGUCUACCAUACAAGGCCAUCAAAGUAUAUGCAUAGACAAUUUCAUAACAUAACCUUCAUGUUCUCGAGCCAAACAUACGAAUGCACAUUAUGGUUCAAAUCAUGCGCAUAUGCCAUGUAAUAAUCGAAACUUGAACACAUACGAAUCUCAUGCACUUUCCAUACAAAAAUGUGCAAAUUAUUAUGGCCACUCAAAACCCAAAGCCAAUCCGAAGGUUCGCAAAUCAUCUGGAAUAGCCGGGCAUGGUCUUGCCCCAUCGAGCACAGCAUCCCAUUGACUUGGGGGCAUUCCUAUAAGGAGCUUCAUUCCAAAAUUCAUCCACGAAUGGUAUCCUAUUGACUUGGGGGCAUUCGAACUUAAUCAGGCAUUGACCUGCGUAAAACGCCUCAAGACGAGUUCACACGUGGUGUAAAACGCAUCAGGGUCUUAGGUGAUCACACAGGAAUACCAUCACAUACUCCAUUUCUUGUCUUUAUCAUUUAACCCGUGUGAUGCUCAUGCGAUAUGCAACUUCACAUGUCAAAUGCCAUCGUUCCACACACGUACAUCAAUUACCUCACACACAUAUGGACCAUUCACUUCCUAAACUCAUGACACAUAAUCUACAUAUCAUGUUUAACCACUAAUUCACAUGGCACGUAUUCCAUUUAUAAUUUCUAAGCAUCAAUCCACAUGGAAAAUCAUCCAAAUAACAUAUUUAACCACUAAAACACAUGGCACGUAUUCCAUUUAGAAUUUCUAAGCAUCAAUCCACAUGGAAAAUCAUCCAAAUAACAUGUUUAACCACUAAAACACAUGGCACAUUAUUCAAAUAAUAUGUUUAACCACUAAAACACAUGGCAUGUCAUUCAAAUAACAUGUUUAACCACUAAAACACAUGGCACAUCAUUCAAUUAACAUGGAUAACCACUAAAACACAUGGCACAUAACCUAAAAAACAUGUUUAACCACUAAACUACAUGUCAUAUAACCGAAAUAAUAUGUUUAACCACUAAACCACAUGUCACAUAAUCCAAACAACGUGUUUAACCCCUAAACCACAUGUCACAUAAUCCAAAUAAGAUGGAUAGCCACUAAACCACAUGUCGCAUAACCCAAAUAACAUGUUCAACCACAAAACCACAUGUCACAUAAUUCAAACAACAUGUUUAGCCACAAAACCACAUGGCACAUCACUUAAAUAACAUAGAUUACCACUAAUUCACCCUAAACUACUCCCUAAAUGCAAUGAAAGCCCUAAUCAAAUGCUAAAAAGCCACUCACGAACGACUCGGGCUCCCAAACAUGCCAGGGAAAAGGACUACAAGGCCGGACAACAGCUAGCCUCACGUCCUCCAUGCGUAGGUGAGCUGGACAGUAGCUAAACAACAGUCUAGUGAUUGCACGUUGGGGGUUUGACGGGUGGUCGCCGGCAAGGAAAACAAGGGGAAAAUGGAAGAAACAAGCUUGAAAUGGUGAUGAAAAUGGCUUGGAGAGUUUGGCUACUUAAAGUGAGGGAGAGAAAGGUGAGUUUGAGAGUUCAAGUGAGAAAAAUGAAAGUGAAAGUGAGAGAGAAAGGGGGUGGCCGGCAGUGAGGGGAGGGAAAGGAAGAGAGGGGUAAGAGAAAGGACAUCCUAUCUCCAUAAAUGUCCAUCCCAUCCUAUAUCCUUUAACCUAUUAAGCCUAGAGUUCUUUUAAUGAGGAAGUGACAACUUGAAAAGAGAACAAAGUGAGAGUGAGGGGGAGGUAGGUGGCCGGCGGUCUUGAGGGAGAGGGAGGAGAGAGACAAGAAGAAAUCUUGCUCAUAAAUGCAUCACUUCCCUUGACUCUUGUCCAUCAAGCUUGCCCAAAGAAGAAGCAAGAUCUAGCAUUAAAUGGGAGGAUUUGCACUCAAGUGACUAGGAUUGGACUAAACUAGGUAGCCUUUUUCCCUCCUCUUGGCCGCCCCUUCUUUGCCAUUUUUCCAUUUUUAUCCUUUUGUCUUUAGUCCAAUAGGAGGGCAUUUCCGUCACUUCACCAAGAUCUCGCAUUAUUCAUGUCUUUUCGUGCAUUUAAUGCCAAGAUUGUGUCAAAAAGGGAUUGAUGGGCUUUAAGGGGCCCAUGGGCCUCCCUUGGUCACCCACCCUUGGGUGUGUGGGUCUUGGGCAGCCAACUUAGGCUCAAGCCCAAUAGGUCAUUGUCCCUAACCCGUUUCCACUUUUCUACACUCAUAUGCCCUUGCUGAUGAAAAACCGAGGUUUCGCCCUUAAAUGGUCUUUUUUGAUGCCCUCAUGGCUUAUCAAUCCUCAAGACACUCUCGUCCAACGAUCACUUACCAGAAUAAUUUCAUUCUGAAAAACCGGGUCGGAACGAGGAUGUCACAACUCUUCCCCCCUCAAAGAAAUUCCAUCCUUGAAAUUUGUAGGACCAACCACUUCCUCAAAUAGAUGGGAGUAUUGGCUCCUCAUAAUGUCCUCGCUUUCCCAUGUCACUGCCUCGGUACUGUGAUACUGCCAGACAUUUUUUACAAAGGGAAUGACUUUGUUGCGCAACACCCUUUCUUUUCUAUGCACGACUCGCAUUGGCUGCUUGACAUAAGUCAGUUUGUCGUCCACCUCGAUCUCUUCAUAGUUUAGCACAUGUGUCAGGUUUCAUUCAUACUUUCUCAGCAUCGAAACAUGGAACACGUUAUGAACCUGGGCAAGAUUUGGUAGUAGUGCCAAUUGGCAAGCUAAAGUUCCAAUUCUUUCCAAAAUUUCAAAAGGUCCUACAAAUCUGGGGCUUAGCUUCCCUUUAUUGCCAAAACGAGACAUACCUCUCCUUGAUGACACUUUAAGGAACACGUGAUCGCCAACUUGGAACUCUCGAAGUCUUUAUCGUUUGUCCACAUAGCUCUUUUGGUGACUUUGGGCUGUCUUUAACCUUUCUCAAAUGAUUUGGACUGCAUCCACGAAUUGUUGCGCAAGCUCGAGGCCCAUAAUUUCCUUUCUCCGACCUCAUCCCAACAGACGGGCAUUCUACAUGCAUGUCCAUACAUUGCCUCAAACAGUGCAAUUCCAAUGCUCAGUUGAUAAUUGUUGUUGUAUGCGAAUUUGACGAGGUGGAGUUGGUCUUCCAUUCUCCUUUGAAAUCUAUGACACACGAUAUCAUUGGUGCCGUAUGCUACCCUAUUCGAUGUAGUCCAUGUUUAUGAUGAUUCACUAUAUUUGUGCUAUGUUCACUAAUGAGCAAAGUUAGGAUCUUGUUGUUUAAUGCCAUGCUUUAUCCUUUAUUGGGCAUUGUUGCUCACCCCUUAUUUUUCCUCUUAGAUCAUUAGCUAUGGAUGUGACACCCUUGAUGACUUAUGGCACGUAUGGGAACUUCGAGGAUGGAGAUUCUGGUCUUGUUUUGACUCAUUAUGUGUGCACUGUCUGCAUAGAUGAUGGACGCCCUAAUCAUUUCCCAAUGCGAUUUGUGUUCGUGUACCUUAGCGUGAAUGGGAGGUUGUUUGGCCCCAUCUGUUGGUGAUGUUUUGUGCGUGGAGUAGGAGGCACGCGUGGUAUGGAGGGAUGUAGUGAAUGAGGAAAACUACCGGGUAGAGGAGUUAGACACCUUUUUGGCCUCUCCCAGGUAUUUUGUUUGGGUCAUCUUGAUGAGUAUUUUUCUAUGUUUGUAAUUGUCAAGAUGUCAUUUUUCUCUUGUAAUCCUUACUUAUGAUGAAUGAAAUGGAAGCAUGUUGUUAUGGAAUUUGUUCCUAAGUAAAAUUUUCAUAUUAAAAUGUAUACUCUUCCACUUGUGUAAUAAUAAUGAAAGAUUAUAGUCGAGGUUAUAAGGUGACCGUCUGGGACAUAACAGUUACAUUGGUAUCAGAGCUAUAGGUUAACCAUGGAGUGAUAAGGUGCGCUAGUGGUGGAAGAAGGUAGGACGCACGCGCUAAAACACUGAUCGCUUGUGCUUGUUGUAUUGCUAUUUUGUAAAGAACAAGUAACCUUGAUUACUCAUAGGGUAUUAGUAACUUAUGUUACUUAUUAGUUGGUUAGGGUAUUCAAUCACUUAUAGUGACUGAUUUGUAGAAUGGCUGGUGCUUCAAGAGGGAUAGGAACCGGUAGAAGGACAGCCAUGAGUGAAUCCCUUAUAAGGACAGAGGCUAGAUUGGAAGGGAUUUUGCAAGCUCUUGCUAAUGUAGAAGCCCUGACGGAGAGACAAACUCAACAGCAACAGCAGGGCGGUGAAUGCCGAAUGCAAGGGUUGGUUGAACAAUUCCUUAAGUUGAAACCAUCAAAAUUUGCUCGUUUGGGAGACCCUUUGGAGGCUGAGGUAUGGAUAGAUGAGAUGGAAAAGAGUUUUACAUUGUUGAACUGCAUGGAUGUGGAAAAAGUAUCCCUGGCGAAGUACCAACUUUUGAGAAAUGCUUACCAUUGGUUGAAGGUGAUGAAGGGAACAGUAUUCCCCGAAGGUGCUGAGGUGACUUGGGCUAGUUUUGUUUGGGCUUUCUUUGGAAAGCAGUUUUCUGAUUGUGCUAGAGACAAGAAGGUGAUGGAGUUUAUGCAACUAACCCAAAAUAACCUAACGGUGGAUCAGUAUGAGGCAAGGUUUGUUGAACUCUCUAGGUUUGCUCCCAAGUUAGUUGAGGACAGGGAGGAUAAAGCCAAGAGAUUUUUGAAUGGUAUGAGGCCUGACAUUCGUAGGCAUCUAAUGCCUCCGAACUUGAAAGAUUAUCAUGAAUUGUACGAGCGUGCUCAAUUAGUGGGAGCUUGUGAUGAAAGGGACCCUAGUAACCCAUCAGGUGAGAUCAAUUCAUCAGGCUAGUUAGAGCAAUUUCCACUAUGACAAGAGACCCUUUCAAGCUGGGCGACCAUCGUUCUCAUUGACUAAGAAAAGUUGGAUUGGAGAACCUGGGAAGGCGUGGAACAGUUAGUCAUCGAGGUGACCACGAAGCCAAAGUUCUACUUGUCUGGUGUGUGGUGGAUUGCAUGUGAGCAUGUUGUGCCGAUUUGUGAAGGCAUAUUUUGGUUGUGGACAACCAAAUCACUUGGUUAAAGACUAUCCACAAAGGAGCACCCAGUAGCAACGGCCACCACAAUCAUCAAUUGCAUCGGUGUAACAAGGAAAUAACCGCAGGUCGCUAGCUCAAGAAAGAGUCUAUGCAAUUACACGUAAUGAAGUUGAGGCCUCUAAGACAAUCUUUAUAGGUAUUAUUUCCUUGUUUGACCAAAAUGCUUAUGCUUUAUUCAAUACUAGAGCUACACACUCGUUUAUGUCUACUCAGUUUGUGCAAUUAAGUAGGAUGAGACCUAGGGAGAUGGAAGUACCCCUUAAUAUCUCCACAUCGUUAAGAGACAUAGUUUUAUCUACCCUAGUAUGUAAGGACUGUAGGAUCUUUAUAGUAGGACAAAGUUUGCAUUCAAAUUUGGUGGUGUUAACUAUCUAUGAUUUUGAUGUGAUCUUGGGGAUGGAUUGGCUUCAUAAGUACCGAGCUAAUAUGGAUUGUUAUAGGAAGAUCAUUCAGUUUAAUCCUCUUGAUCGCCUAGUUUUGAAUUUUAUGGAGAUAGGGCGACUCCUUCCUUACCGCUCAUUACUGCACUUGAGGCUCAUCAACUCCUUGAGAAUGGAUGUGAGGGUUAUCUAGCUUGUGUGAAAAAUCAAGAUAGAGAAGGAGUAAAGCUAGAAGAGAUUUCGGUAGUUCGGGAGUUUCUCGAUGUUUUCCUAGGGAGUUACCAGGCCUACCCCCAAAACAAGAAGUUGAGUUCAUCAUUGAAGUGGCGCCUGGUACAAAACCUAUAUCGAAGGCCCCAUAUCAAAUGGCGCUAAGUGAGUUGAAGGAACUAAAUGUGCAACUACAAGAGUUGCUUGACAAGGGGUUUGUUAGGCCAAGUGCAUCACCUUGGGGUGCGCCAAUAUUGUUCAUGAAAAAAUAGGGAUGGAUCCUUAUGCCUAUGUAUAGAUUACAGGUAGCUAAAUCAAGUAACGAUUAAGAAUAAAUAUCCGUUGCCUAGGAUCGAUGACCUAUUUGAUCAGUUGCAAGAAGCGUCAAUGUUUUUUAAAGUCGAUCUAAGAUCAGGGUACCAUCAACUAAGAAUCAAGAAGGAGGAUGUUCCUAAGAUGGCCUUUCGAACUAGAUAUGGACAUUACGAGUUCUUAGUUAUGUCCUUUGGAUUGACUAACACACUAGCCGCUUUUAUGGAUUUAAUGAAUAGAAUAUUCAAGCCGUUCUUGGAUCGAUUCAUGAUAGUUUUCAUAAAUGAUAUCCUAGUGUGUUCGAAAGGGCGAGAAGAUCAUGGGGAGCACUUGAGGAUCAUGUUGUAAACUCUUAGAGAACAUUAGUUGUACGUCAAAUUCAGCAAAUGUGAAUUUUGGCUGGACAAAGAUAUAUUCUUAGGUCAUAUGGUGAUUGGAAAAGGGAUAUCGGUAGACCCAGAAAAAGGUCGAAGCCGUUCUAAAUUGGCCAAGAUCGAUGAUGGUAACUGAGAUUCGAAGUUUCUUGGGUUUGGUGGGAUACUAUAGGAGAUUCGUGGAAGGAUUUUCAUGGAUUGCAGGGCCGUUGACUCAAUUAACUUGGAAGAACUCAAAGUUUGAAUGGACGGAGGAGUAUGAGCAAAGUUUCCAAUAACUCAAGAGGAGGCUAAACACGGCACCUAUCUCAACAAUACCUUCAGGACUGGAAGGAGACGCAUUCAUAGAAGCUGAGGUCAGAUUCUCCUUAAGAUCUGUUUUACUGGACCUCCUGCAUUUGUUGUUUUCGUGGGUUGAAAUGUGCUGCGAAUUUAAGGUUGCUUUCUUCUUGAAAAAUGUUUUGAACAUCUUCAUUUAUAACAUAUAUUUUACUUAAGAUUUUAUGGAUUUGAAGGACUGAUUUUUCAGCUUCGUUGCAUGCAAAUUAGUAUCUUGUUUUAUGCUGGAAUCUGUGACCUUUUGGUGUUCAACAAUUUUUUUAUCAACUUUUGUGAUUUGAUUUUUAAAAUGGUUUCUUCACAAAAUUUGUUCAACACAUCUUGAAGUUUAACAUAGUCAAAUUCUAGAGCAAAUGGCAGAAUUUUUAACUUCAAACCAAGCUGGUUUUGAAAACGUGAUUUUUGGACAUGAGAACAAUUUUGAUGAUUGUUUUGUGCGAUUUACUUCUCUUAUUCUAGAAAGAACUGGGUUAAACAUUUUUCAUGAAAAUUAUUUUUUAAGUGUUCUUUAUAACAUAUUUAAAUUUAAAUAUUUUCUGAACUCUUUUGGUUAUGUUUCCGGAUUUAAUCAUAGAGCCACGCAUGUGGACAUGGUUUCUGCCGGUGAGGGCUAGUUGUCGUCUUGUUGCUAUUUCUGAUGUUUUACUUGCUGGAAAAUGCAUAUUUUGUGAUUGUGGAUGAGUUUGGCAUGCUGAGAACCAAUGCUUGAUGGCUGUGCAUGAGUAGUGCUCAUUGUGUGUGCAAAAUGAUGUGAAAUAGGCAUGGAGGUGGUGUGAAGGGCAAUUCUAUUUUAUGCAUGCUGAUGCAUUGUGAUCUUGGCAGUAUGGUAGUUUAUGUGUGUGCUAGUGGUGUCAAAAGUGUGCCCUAAUGAAAGAUUGUGAUGUGGUGAAAUGUGUGAAUGAAUCAAAUUAAGAGACAUUCCAUCGGCCAGCAUCCCGAUGAUGCCCCCCGAGGAGUGGGGAUGCCCCAAACUGUGUGGUCUGGAAUGCCUCAGUUCAAGUCACAAGGCCAGUGACCCUUGGACACCAGGAUGCCUCGAAGGGAGAUGCCUAGGGCCAACGUCUCCUGGAAGUCCAGCCAGCAACCAAAAAGUGACUCGAAUGGAACCAACCAGCGUCUCCGGUUAAAUUCGAUCCGAGGGUGGAUAUGAAAUGUUCUCACAUUGAAAUUAAUUAAUAAGGCAUGUGAGUACGUGUGAUGAUGUAGUUGUGUGCCAUGUGAUGCAUGAAUGAAUUCGUGUGCACUGUGUGACACAUGAUUAGAGUUCGUAUAUGCCUUGUGGUGCGGUCUUCAUGCAUUUUACUCAUUAUAGCAAUGAUAUCCUAGAUUUUCAGUCUUGUUUUCAAUUUAAUAAAUCGGGUUUUUCAUCGACGUGCCUAUAGUGCUAUUCUUAGAGCUGAUCACUCCUGAGAUAACUUGACUAUCUGGGGAAAUUAUUAAGGGAUUUUAAUGCAAUAGACUUGAGAAUUCAACUAGGAAUCGACUAAUCGACUGUGCUCAUCUGCAGAGAUCAUUACGGCACAGUAAAGAUUGAUUAGAGAUCAGAGAUAGGUCGGUUUGAUUGAGAUGUGUGGUUAAACAUGGAUGAUUCCACUAAAUUGCAAAUUCUUGUCAAUCGGUACUAGACUGAUUUUUCUAUCGUUUCGGUACCCUGUGUCCGUAUUUGAAACCUCGAGAUUUUCACGACUACCAAGAGUCGCCAAUGUGUUGAAGAGGUUCAUUGUGGCUCGAAGAAAAUUGACCACGAGCCAUUUGCACUAAAAAUUUCUAAAAGUUACCCGGUAGUCUAGGUCACGCUAAAAGCACGCCAAAUCAAAAUUAACCGCGAAUUUGAAUCUGAUUUCAGAAAUUGAAAGUUCUUUCAUGUCACAAGUCAUUUUAAGAAAGUCGACUCAGUUUUUGAAGAUUUUUCUACAAAUCAAGAUUUUUGGCGAAAAGUUGACAUAGGGUCGUUUUUGUCCAGAAAAUUCAAAGGACCAUUUUUUAUCGCACAAUUGGGAUACAAGUAGAUUCUAUUGGUAAGGAAAAAUACCAAUUUGAUCGAAGACUUGAUAAUGAAAUUUAUAGAUGCCAAAUUGAGUUGAUUCAAGAUGGAAUUGAAGUCCAAUUUGGGGAAAAUCCAAUCAAAGAUCGUAGCCCCCCCUUGGACACAACCUUUGGACCACCUCUAAGGCUUCUAGAGGAAGUUUGGCUACUGGAAAUUGGCUGAGGAAGCCAGCUUGCAAGUGGGACCAAGCUAAGGGAGACAAGAGGAAAGAGAGAGGUCAAGAGGGACCCUCCACCAGCCAAAGCUGUCCCCUUCCCUCUAUCCUUGCUACCGUCAACCCUUUCCCUCUAUUCCAGCUCCUUGAAGCUUCAAAAAUUUUAGAAAACCGAGCUUCAGUCCCCCCUUACCGUCGCAACCACCCGUCAAGCCACCGGACUGCCCCUCGCAGCCGCUCGCUCGCUCGCACGCCACUCGCUAUUGUCCAGCCUACCCACGUCUCCAGCCGCUCAUUCCAUUACUGCUCGCAACUGGCCGAUGUCGCUAGGUUGUCGUGCGUCGCCGUUGUAGUCGCCGGAGAUGACGUCUACCCGCCUGCACACUCGUUCAAGCUGUUACAAUCCCCGUUGACCGUCCUCGCCGCUUCAAGCCGUCGAAGCAGCUUCUUCGGCUCAACCACAAAACCGAAUGGAGUGGGUCUCGCCAGCAUUGUUUGGCCCGUUUUUGUGCCCUUCCGGACCUCGAAAGGCGCACCCGUUUUGGAAUUUAUUGAUCCUCUCUGCCUCGCUGUCAUUUCGGUUCAACCAAUUCGUUAAUCAAGUGAGUUUAACUCACUAAUCCCUGCUUAGUAAGUUAAUGAUGCUUAAGGGUUGAUUAGUUUAAGUUAAUUAGAGAAUAUGUGAUUAGUUAGAAUGGAUUAGUAAUUUAAUCGAUCAUUAUUGCAUGGUAGGUGGUUAGAGUAGUGCAAUUAGCAAGUAUAUAAGCUCUAGUAUUUACUUAGAUAGGUUCGAAAAUUUUCCGAACCUGAAUCAAUUUCCGAACCAGAAUCGAUAUUUAAUUAGGCUUUUCCGGUCUAAGUGUGCAUUUUGCUAUUUAUUGGUAGUUAUUAAUUAUUUUCCGUAAUUAUUUAAUUAAUUAUUAUUUUUCGAAAAUUAGACCAGGAUAGCCGGUGACCAGAAUUUUAUGCUAAUCGCAGUAGUGUGAUUUGUUUAAUUAAUUGAGUGCUAUCUUAUGCAAUUUGAGCGUGAUUUGUAAUUUUGGGGUAUCUAUCCCAAAAUUUUAUAUUUUAGUAUUUAAUUAGAAAAUACCGGGCGUCGGUUUACAACGCCAAAAAUGUGUUUAUGGACUAUGAAAAUUAGUGGGAUUUUCAAAUGGGAAAAUAUUGUAUUUUGGCUAAGGCUGACCGUGUACCCACACACAAUUAUAUUUAUCGGGUAUGAUAAAAAUGGUGGCAUUCUCAAUUGGUGAGAAUAAGUAUAUUAUAUCAACCUACGGGUGUCGAUAUAUCAACUUUGGGUGAGCAGUAUACUUUAUAGCUUAGGGUGAGCAUCAUAGGUAUACUAUAUCAGCCUACGGGCGUUGAUAUAUCAGUUUUGGGUGAGCAGUAUACCGGUAUAUUAUAUCAGUCUACGGACCUUGAUAUAUUAUCUUUAGGUGAGCAGUAUACCUUAGCGGCUUUUGGUGAGCAUUGAGAGUAUACUAUAUCAGUCUAAGAACCUUAAUAUAUCAGUUUUGGGUGAGCAGCAUACUAUAUUAUCAGCUUUGGAUGUACUAUACUAUCUAUCUUCAGCUUUUGAUGAGCAAUCCUCGAUGAGAUAAGACUUUAUAGAUAGUAUUGAUUGGAUUGACCGAGUAAUGGUCGUGAUGACAUGGAAUCGACUGAAUCGAUUGAUCGAUGGUUCAAUCUGAUGUGAUGAUGUGAUUUAUUGAUGUGAUUCGAUGAUUUUGUGAAUCAUACUGACUUGUAGGAAGGUACCGAGGCAAAGUAAGUCCUCUGACUCGUGUUUGUGCUUAGGCAAACCUUAGAGUGUAUUCUCUUCCUAGUCGGGUCUUAGGGGGUGAACUUGCUGAAACGUUGUCUCACCUCGUUGUCGGAUAAUAUUUCCAGGUCCUUAGAUGGCUGCUCCUCCCGAGUGUUUUGGACAACUAAAGAAAGUCACAGAACAGGUAUCUUACAUCCCGCUUCAUGGAGCCCUCGAGGAUGGGUCUAUGAGCUCAUAAGGUCCGUGGUUUGGGUCCAUGAGGCUUUAACCUCAUCAAUUCAGAUCAUGGUACCGACGUAUGCAGGAUGGACAGAGAGGGGGUCCCAUACCGAAGUCUGAGAUACAUGUGCAUGUGCUGGAGAUUGCUUUUGGAAAAGGCACAGCAAAUCCUCCUAGUGGAUCAAUUGUGGACCCGUAUCUAUCAGAUCUAGAGAUCCUGGUGUAUUCAGCUAAAGGCUCCAAUGAGGAUGAGGAUAAUGAGGAGGAAGAAGAUCUAUAGUUUUAGGUAACCUCACUGUUUUACAAACCUUGUUUUAUAGACUGGUAUUGUAUAUGACAUAAUUUGGUAUGUAUAUAUAAGUGUGGCUUGUUUGGUUUUCAAAAAUUUUGGUCCUACUUUCCUAUCACAUCUUGUUGUUAUCUGAUAAUUAUUUAUUCGCUUCCACAUACGUAUUAAAAAGAAUGGGUCGGCGACGCGUCCUGGGACGUCGCUAUUUAAUCAACCAUUGAGGAUGGGCACACGCUUGGAGGAUCGGGGCGUGACAAUAGCUUGUUUAGUUCACAUGAUAUCAUUAAUGCCAUAUGCUGCCCAAUUCGAUGUAGUCCAUGUUUAUGAUGAUUCACUAUGUUUGUGCUAUGUUCAAUAAUGAGCGAAGUUAAGAUCUUGUUGUUUAAUGCCGUACUUUAUCCUUUACUGGGCAUUGUUGCUCACUCUUUAUUUUUCCUCUCAGAUCAUUAGCUAUGGAUGUGACACCCUUGGCAACUUGUGGCACGCCUGUGCGGGUAGAUGGCGUGAAUAGGAAUUUUGAGUAUCAAGAUUCUUGUCUUGUUUUGACUCGUUAUGUUUGUACUGUCUAGAUAUAUGAUGGAUGCCAUAAUCCUUUCCCGAUGUGAUUUGUGUCCGUGUACCUCAACGUGAAUGGGAGGUUGUUUGGGCCCACCCGUUGGUGAUGUUUUGGGCAUGGAGUACGAGGCACGCGUGAUAUGAAGGGAUGUAGUGAAUGAUGAAAAUUGCCAGGUUGAUGAGUUAGGCACCUUUUUGACCUUUCCCAGGUGUUUUGUUCGGGUCAUCUUAAUAAGUAUUUUGCUAUGUUUGUAAUUGUUAAGAUGUCGUUUUCCUCUUGUAACCCCUGCUUAUGAUGAAUGAAAUGAAAGCACGUCAUUAUGGAAUUUGUUUCUGAGUAAAAUUUCCUUAUAUUAAAAAUGCAUACUCUUCCCCUUGCGGAAUAAUAAUGAAAGAUUAUAGUCGAGGGUCUAAUGUGAUGGCCUGGGACGUCACAAAAGCUAAUAUCCGAAACUUGGUCGUGGAUUUAUAUAUUAUUAUUUUAAAUUCUAAAAUCUGAUUUAAUUUUGAGCUCAAAUUCGAAGCAUAUUUUAACAAGGGUUACUCAUUUGAAGCAUAGAAAAAUACAUUUAGAAGAAAUUCAAACAGACAUCAAGAGCUGUCGACAUAUAAAAGGAGUGUUAGAUUUUGAAGAGCCAAAAAUCAACAUUUCAAAAAACUGGUGAGUUCUUAGUCCCGGGUCUUCGUCAACGAGCACUGGACUUUCAUUGGAGCAUCGUACUUGUUUUUUUUCUACCAAAAACGUAUGUACCCCUAUUCCUUCCGAGCAGGUCUCACCUGAUGAUAGUCCUCCGGUCCCACACAUCGAAGAAUUUCUAUGCUUCUGGAUGAUUAUGAGAGAAUGUGCACGUGUGGCAAUUCCAACCAAGCCUUGAACGAGGAGGGGAGGAACAUGUGAUUCAUAACCAUUGCCGAGUCGUUGUCGGGUCUUUUCGGUUUGUAUCUUGGGUUGAUUUUUAUCCACCGAGGGGACAAUCACAACACAAGAGCCUUUUUUUUUCAAUAUCUUUCUUUAAUUCCAGAACACAAGAUCCAUUUCUAUAGAUAAGAUAGAUCUAUCAGAUGGCGAUUCCAACCAAGCCUUGAACGAGGAGAGGAGGAACAUGCGAUUCAUAACCAUUGCCGAGUCUUUGUCAGGUCUUUUCGGUUUGUAUCUUAGGUUGAUUUUUAUCCACCGAGGGGACAAAAACCUUUGGUUUUUUAUUUUUAUUUUUUGUCAGAAAAAUCCUUUGGUUGAUUUAUUUUUAUUUAGUGCCGGUCUUUAUGGGGUCUGUUUGGGUCCCUCUCCCCUGAUUUUUCCUCUGGUAGGGCAAGCCAGGAACGGUCACCCUUCAUUUCUCCUGGGAAAGAAAAAAAAAAGCCAAUUGGAUCACACCUGUUGACGAAGGAACGUGGAAAUUGGACUAACGGUCACCCUAAUUUAUCCUGGAUAAAAGAAGCCAAUUGGAUCGCCCCUGUUGACGAAGGAACGUGGAAAUUGAACUAAGUCGUCUUCGCCAACCCCGGCACCUGGGAAAGCAGCUGCAAACUUGGUUCUUGAUCAAUUUCUUUACCUCGGCCUCUAGAAGUUGCUUAUUAUCGUACUCCUCUUGAAUUGAAAGACAGUCCAUGGCCGUCUUUGAAUUACUCUUACUGAACUUGCAUUCUUUCCUAGUUCAAGCAAAAAAGAUGAUCGAUGCACCAAGAAAUAUUUCCUUCGCUUUCUGGAUUUCAUGCCUGUUCCUCUUCAUCCCAGGCACUCCUGUCGGUGCACAGACAUAUGUUCAGGAGCGGUGUGCAGAUAGGGGCGACUACGCUUCUCCUAGCAAGUUUCAGGACAACCUCAGCAGCCUCCUCUCCAAGGGCGACUCCGCUGAUUACAGCAAAGGACCCAUUCGCGGUUUCUACAACACAACGGAAGGUGAAGAUCCGGACAAAGUUUAUGGUCUCUUCCUCUGCAGGUAAAUCACAAGCGAAAGAUACCAAAAAUUUCAACUUUUGAGUAAUACCUUCCAAAUCAAUUGUUAUAAUCUUUGGAAUUGGCUCGCUUGGAACUAGGAUUUAUAAUGGACCUGAUAUAUUGGUCUUAAUUGGAAUCCUCUACAAAGUACGGUGAUCCAACACCAACCUAAAAAUUACUAUCCAGAUUUAAGUGACUACUAAUGCGACUUUUCUAUUCCUCUUUAGAGGGGAGGUUGCCACCAAUCAAUGUCAGUCUUGCAUCCGUAAAGCUAGCAACACCAUCAUAGAAAGAUGUCCAGGACAGAAAGAGGCGAUGAUAUGGUAUGAUGAGUGUCUCCUGCGCUACUCUAACAGAUCGUUCUUCUCUAUCAUGGAGACAAGACCGAUUAUUUUUGUUGUCGACCCUGCGAACAAUUCAGUUACCUUCAACAAGAUUGUGGAGCAAACUUUUGAUAAUGAGAACUUUGCGGCAAAAGUGACAGAUUUGGCAAGAAAUGUCACGGACAUGGCAAUCUCCUCAGAAAGCUUAUACGCAACCAUAAACGUUAAUGUCUCAAGUUCAGUGACCCUGCAUGAGCGUGUACAGUGCACCCCCGACAUCAUAAAGUCAGCUUGUAAGAGUUGCUUGCUUUCUGCUAUCAAAGAGUUUCCUACCGCUCUUAAUUAUAAAAGGGGAGGUGCGAGAAUUCUUCAGCCAAGUUGUUAUGUACUGUACCGAAUGGAUGUUGCUGGGGAACCUGGAGGACAAGCACCAGCAUCUUCUGCAGCAAGUAAAGGUAUGAGCUAUAUAGCACUCAAAAUGUGUACUCAAUUUGUAAUUGAUAAGCAUAUAAUGGUAUCAUUCCGUUGCUUCUAAUUCUCAAUAUAAGCUGUUUUAUGUACCGUAAUGCACUUGACUUGCUUUUACGAUCUAAAGGAUCAUACUCUCUUGCUUUCAACGAGUUCUUGGUACUAUUUACACGCAGUGAAAAAAAAGUCUGCCGAUUUGUGGUAUGUUUAGAUGCAAGGAAUUUCUCUUUCUUGACAGGGCUCAAACGAAUUCCAUGGAUUGCAAUAGUUAGCUCAGUAAUUGGAUCGGGGUUACUAAUAAUCAUCGUGGGUUCGUGUCUUUUCUUUAUGAGGAAAAAGAGAUUGAAGAAAGGUACAAGUGAAUUCAUCUUGCUUGCCAUUGGGAUGACCAUUUUCUAACCUUUACCUGACUAAACUCUUGGACUCUCAGAGAUGGAAGACAGCCAAGAGGUUCAGUUACUUCAUCUACGACAAGAAAUUGGAGAAGAGUUUUCAAAGGAAAACUCUCGUGGACUGGCGGGUUCUCAAGAAUUAUCUCUGAUGCGAUUAGACAUCAUACGAGCAGCCACAGGAAACUUCUCCGAUGAAUGUAAACUUGGGGAAGGGGGGUUUGGUUCUGUGUACAGGGUAAGUAUUUCAGUGACUCAACACGUAUUUAUGGGGAAAUUGGGAAAAUCUUCUAAUGGUAGCAAAUUGGCCGAGUCAUUAUCAAUGGCAUGAACUGAAUCGAAUUUGGUUAUCAUUAGUAAUUCUCAGAUAGGGAUCUCACUACUGACUUUACGCUGUUUCAGGGCACAUUGGCAGAUGGAAAAGAAAUUGCAGUUAAGAGGCUUUCAAGAACCUCAGGCCAAGGACUCAUUGAGUUGAAGAACGAAGUCAUCUUGAUUGCCAGACUACAACACAGGAACCUUGUCCGAUUAUUGGGAUGCUGCUUGGAAGAAGAUGAAAAACUCUUGCUAUAUGAAUACUUGCCCAACAAAAGCCUGGAUGCCUUGCUUUUUGGUUUGAGCUUUAGCAGAUGCAAUGAAUUUUUGAGCUAGUUAAUUUUAGUUUUUAA
This 217512-nucleotide long non-coding RNA is filed under the name Eucalyptus grandis. RNAcentral's name for it is "long non-coding RNA (EGRA_LNC002964)". The record is from RNAcentral. Lineage: Eukaryota; Viridiplantae; Streptophyta; Magnoliopsida; Myrtales; Myrtaceae.